Molecule: long non-coding RNA, 228487 nt
Filed under: Triticum aestivum (bread wheat)
Lineage: Eukaryota; Viridiplantae; Streptophyta; Magnoliopsida; Poales; Poaceae
Description: long non-coding RNA (TAES_LNC009406)
Rfam family: MIR1120/MIR1122 microRNA precursor family (bases 194925-195059)
Source: RNAcentral
UGUGGGGUGAGAACUUCUUUGACCCAGCCACAAAGAAAUGGACCUCCAAGAACACUGGGACAGCUACCUGCAAGAGAGGUUUCGUUCAGUUCUGCUAUGAGCCAAUCAAGCAAAUCAUAGCCACCUGCAUGAAUGAUCAGAAGGAUAAGUUGUGGCCAAUGUUGAAGAAGCUUGGUGUGACGAUGAAGAAUGAUGAGAAGGACUUGAUGGGCAAGGCUCUCAUGAAGCGUGUGAUGCAAACUUGGCUGCCUGCCAGUCGUGCUCUGCUUGAGAUGAUGAUAUUUCACCUUCCCUCUCCCUCAAAGGCACAGAGGUAUCGUGUGGAGAACUUGUACGAGGGUCCCCUUGAUGAUAUAUAUGCUAAUGCUAUCAGAAACUGUGACCCUGAUGGUCCUCUUAUGCUGUAUGUCUCCAAGAUGAUUCCAGCAUCUGACAAGGGUAGGUUCUUUGCCUUUGGACGUGUUUUUGCCGGGAGGGUUGCAACUGGUAUGAAGGUCCGUAUCAUGGGUCCCAACUUUGUUCCUGGCCAGAAGAAGGAUCUGUAUGUGAAGAGUGUCCAGCGUACUGUUAUCUGGAUGGGAAAGAAGCAAGAGUCUGUUGAGGAUGUUCCCUGUGGUAACACUGUUGCUUUGGUUGGUUUGGAUCAGUUCAUCACCAAGAAUGCAACCCUGACAAAUGAGAAGGAAGUUGAUGCCUGCCCAAUCAGGGCAAUGAAGUUCUCUGUGUCCCCUGUUGUGCGUGUUGCCGUUCAGUGCAAGGUGGCAUCUGAUCUUCCUAAGCUUGUUGAGGGUUUGAAGCGGCUGGCGAAGUCUGACCCUAUGGUUCUCUGUAGCAUUGAAGAGUCUGGUGAGCAUAUCAUUGCUGGAGCUGGAGAGCUUCACCUUGAAAUCUGUUUGAAGGAUCUGCAGGAGGACUUCAUGGGUGGUGCUGAAAUUAUUGUUUCCCCUCCCGUCGUCUCCUUCCGUGAGACUGUUCUUGAGAAGUCCUGUCGCACUGUCAUGAGCAAGUCCCCCAACAAGCAUAACCGUCUUUACAUGGAAGCUCGCCCAUUGGAGGAGGGAUUGGCUGAGGCUAUUGAUGAUGGCCGCAUUGGCCCACGUGAUGAUCCUAAGGUGCGCUCUAAGAUCCUAUCUGAGGAGUUUGGUUGGGACAAGGAUCUCGCCAAGAAGAUUUGGUGCUUUGGACCUGAGACGACUGGCCCCAACAUGGUUGUUGACAUGUGUAAGGGAGUGCAGUAUCUGAAUGAAAUCAAGGACUCUGUUGUGGCUGGGUUCCAGUGGGCAUCGAAAGAAGGUGCUUUGGCUGAGGAGAACAUGCGUGGCAUUUGCUUUGAGGUCUGUGAUGUUGUUCUGCACACUGAUGCUAUUCACAGGGGUGGUGGUCAGGUCAUCCCAACAGCCAGGAGGGUCAUUUACGCUUCUCAGCUCACUGCUAAGCCAAGGCUGCUGGAGCCCGUGUACCUGGUUGAGAUCCAGGCCCCAGAGAAUGCACUCGGCGGUAUCUAUGGUGUUCUGAAUCAGAAGAGAGGGCAUGUGUUUGAGGAGAUGCAGAGGCCUGGUACCCCACUGUACAACAUCAAGGCUUACCUCCCGGUCAUCGAGUCUUUCGGGUUCUCAAGUACCCUCAGGGCAGCGACAUCUGGCCAGGCAUUCCCCCAGUGUGUGUUCGACCACUGGGACAUCAUGUCUUCUGAUCCUUUGGAGGCCGGCUCCCAGUCUGCCACCCUUGUCACGGAGAUCCGCAAGCGCAAGGGUCUUAAGGAACAGAUGACCCCUCUGUCUGAUUUUGAGGACAAGCUCUAAACUUUUGGUUCUGUUAUCUCCUAUAUGGUGUAGUUGGUUUUGCUGCUAAGAGAGCUGCACUAUUAUUUUCUGUCUAUUGUGUCGUGGCUGUAUUGCUAUUGGGAUGUCCUAUCUGUCGUGAUACUGGCACUUUGUUUUUGAUGUCUAUCGAUGUUAAAACUUAGAUUAUAUAUGUGUUAGCCACUGGUAGUUCGUUGUUUGUGUUAGAUCCUGCUCUGCCUGAUUAUUUAUUGCUAUUUUCUUGCUCUAUAUUUUUCAUGUUUGUCCAGCAAUCGCAUCAGUGUUUUUCUUAUUCAUUGCAUUAGUUUUCUCCCUGCUCUUAUCAUCAUUUUACAUUGAUUGAUGCACUCGUCCAGGUUUUAUGCCCAUCGAAAUGUGUUCCCUCGUCUAGCAGUUGUAUCUUUCAAUUUAUCCUCAAAACUUGUUUAAGCUGCAGUUUGUCAGUUUUUUAGUACAGUACAUAGCUCUCCAGUUCGUACUCUACAAUCUCGUAGACACAAACUGAUGAUGAGAAAUUACUCCCUCUGGAACUAAUGCUAUACAUCAGUAGAGUUACUUGAGAUUAUUCUGUAGUAGAAGCAUCUGUUGGUGCUGACAAUAUCCGAACUUGGCAUAUAUUCUUUGGAAUAAUGAAGGGUGUGCGAGAGCAAAAAUUCCUUUCUCGACCCACUUUCGGGUGUUUGGUAGUGUAUGAAGGUUGCUUGAGUCCACACUAGUUUAACACAAAUAGGACGCGUUUGGUUGCCUGCAUUAGACCCAAUCAGGCCCGUGCGGGAAGAAAAUGGGCACCGAAUCGGCCAUUUUUUGCGAGCUAGACGAGCUAGAUCGAGCACAAGGAGUGGGCCCCGUUGCAUGAGAGGACCUCUCCUCUAAUCCCCUUCUUCCUCCUCCAUUCAGAUCUACACAACGAAGCUUCGAUUCGAGAUAAGUUCUACACAAAAAAGAUGCACAUCGAUCUUAUGGUUCCAUUCAGACGAUCGGUUUGUAGUUUCAUAGAUUGUAGAUGAUUAAUUUUGUGUUCAUGUUUGUACCUAUUUUAGGCGCUCUUGAGGAACAUGAGGGAGACCGGGCGCGGCAAGACGCGGAGGCGCAAUAGGCUGCCGCCGCGGUGCGGCAGCAGGUACUUGGUUGGGGGCACGGAGAGACGCGGAGGCGUAACAUGCCGGCAUACGGGAGGAGAUCGAGCUUGCUGAGGAGUGCUCGUCGCCGAUCCGUCUCCUGCCCGCGCAAGGCAGCGCGUACUCGCAAUGGGUGCUCGCCAAGCAGCCGAAAGCGACGGUCCGAGUGGCGUGCAUCGAGUUCGACCCAAGCAAGCUCACCGACGACCGCGGCGACCUCGACAUGAUCGUGAAGAAGCUGACUCGGUCGAAGGCCGGUGGCGGUGCAACAAACUCUGGGUCCGUUGCCCAGACUGUGCACAGGCCCCAAGGACAAGAUUACAGCACCAAGAUCUGACCAAGCAAGAGGGAUUAAUUCUUUGAAGGAUCCAAGUGCAGAUCAAGAAGGCCAAGAUGAGCCAGAGAAGCAAGAUACCGCUAAGGAAAGAACCUCUCUUGCCGGGCAGGCGAGCCUGGCAAGGUUGGGGUUGCCACGGAAGCAAGCUUCCAGAUCAUCCCGACAGACCUGCCGGGGCUUGCGGAGGCAGGCCACUCCACCGCUCCACCUCACAAGCGAUGCAAGUCAUAGAUCAGUGCGGUGUCGAGCCCCAAGGUGACUAAGUGGCUGCUCUCUGACACAUGGCAGCCACUUCCUACAGCAAACACCUCCAUAUGACACCCGUCCUGAGACGUGCAGGCACGAAGCUGGCAAGACAGCCCGGCAAGGGUUGCCGGGCACACUGUGAUGUGACACUCGACGACACAUUUAAUGCGCUCUGUCAGCCUGCAGAGUUAGGUAUGAUAGCACUGUUUGCUAUCUAAUCAGUACGUAAAGACUGAUUUGCCAUUGUGGUGACCCCUUGCUCUAUAAAAGGAGGCCCAUGGCAACCGUAGAAAGGGUUCCGGUUCUAGAGGCUCGGGGAUUCAGCCAUUCGGACCCUCACACAUUCAUAUGCGCGUAGCCACUCUCGCCGCGAGACAACCCUGUUGGGCAAGUGUGCUGCGUUCGCUGCCAUUUUCCACCAUCAAUCCACCAAAGCAUGAGUAGGGUUUUACGCCUCACGGCGGCCCGAACCGGGGUAAAACUGCCCGUGUGAUCUCUAUCGCGCUGUGUUACGCCUCUCCGCUCUUUGUGCAACGUGCCCAUCCCCCUGCCAAACCAAAAAGGGCUCAUGGCCCCAUAGGUGGUCGUGGUUUCCCACGACAUCUUUGGCGCGCCAGGUAGGGGGAUCACUUGCGCGAACCCGAGAGCGUCAGUAGCGCGUCAUCUUCAUCGCCAUUUUCGUCAUCGACUAUGGCGCCCAAGAAGAAGCUCGAAGCUGCAAAUCACCCGUCCACCUCGAAGGCUCCGCCACCCGCGACCGCCGACGUCACGGGGAAUGCGGGGACGCAUGAUGAUGUGGACGCUGCGGGGGACGUGGUCGGCGCAGGAGGCGUUGUCACCACCUCCCUCACGGCCGAAGCAGAAGCGGGAGGCACCGGGGAAGGACAACAUCAGCAACAUCCCAGCGGCCACGAUCCACGAGGUACAGAUGGAGGGAUUAUUCUGUCUGCACCCUCUCUCCUCGCCGAAGGGCACAGUCGCAGUGGUGGCACAUGUUCUGGGGCAAAUCGCAACCCUCCAGCCGCCCCCGCUGUGGGCGCGACCGCAGGGCACGCGCAACCCCCGGAACAGGCUGACCCUGCUACUGUGCCCAACGGAGCCGCUCGUCCUCAAGCGCCUCCACCGCGUCACCACGCCAUCCAAGCGGCUGGUUCGCAACAGCGAGGGCACGACGCGGUCGCCACCGGCACCAUUAGGAGCCGAGCGACACUGCGGUCUACAUCGUCAUCACCUAUGCCAAGCAUUGCCUCAGAGGCCAUGGCGCGGGCUUAGCUGCUGUUGAGAUUUCCGCCAGCAGCCGAUCAGAUGGAUGAGUGGCGAGCCAUCAUCCAAAGCCUGAUUGGUUUCACCGAGGCGGGAGGAUCACAGCGAGCUGGCACGCCAUGGCCUCCCCAGGCGACAACAACGGCUCGUGCAGCUGGUCGUACGGAAGGGGCCACCCCCACGGUGCAAUCCCCACCACAACAAGCAGCACAGAAGCCACGAAACCAAGAAUCCGAUGACGUCUCGAUGGCCUCUUCCGACCCUCGAGCGCAUCAAGGCCAAUGGCGGUCCCCGAAGGACAGGCGGAGGGAAGGCGCGCGCGUCGUCGUCAAGCGGCACCGCGACAACCACCGCCAGCCCAAUGGCUGCGAUGGCCCCGACAUCGACGAGCCCGCGCUCAGAGAUGGCGAGUGCCUGCCUUUCGAGGUUGGGUGCCCUGCCUUCACCCGUGAGCUGUGGCAAGUCCGUUGGCCGUCCGCUCGCACGUUCAAGCCAGAGAUACCCAAGAAGUAUGAUGGGAGAUUGAACCCAGCAGAGUUCUUGAGCAUCUACACCAUCGCUGUUCAAGCUAUCGAGGGAAGAGAUGAGAAGGUGUUCGCCAACUACUUCCCUUUGACACUCAAGUCAAAUGUGAGGUCUUGGUUGAUGCACCUGCCGGAGAACUCCAUUUCGACCUGGGUUGACCUAUGCCAUGAGUUCAUUGGCGCCUUCACGGGAAGCCAUCAAGAACCAGGGCAGCCCAGCGACUUGCAGCUUCUCCAGCAGAAAGAAGGAGAGACUCUACGAAAGUACUUGCAGAGAUUCAACCGAGUCCACAGAAAUAUUCCAGACAUCCACCCGGCAGCUGUGAUAGGUGCCUUCCAAUCCAACGUGCGCAACCACAGGAUAAGUUCCAAGAUCAACGUUCGGUUGCCCAAGACUGUGAAGGAGCUUUAUGCCUUGGUGGACAAAUGUGCUCGGGUGGAGGAGGGGAGGAAACUCCCUGGAGAGGAAGAUUGCGUCAACAUCGACUCAGAGGAUGACGACGAGACCACUAGUCAGAAGAAGAAGAAGAACAAGAAGCGCAAGGAUAAGGCGGUGAUGACCGUUGAGGGAUCGGGCAUGCCUAGUACCGACAAGAAGGCUAAGGCCGAAGCCUCCGGCAAGGAAGCUACCACGUGCGCUGACUGCCGAGAGGCUGCGACUGACGAGAAAGCUGGGAAAAGUGAUGGACCGUACUGCAAGAUUCAUCGGACCAAGGGCCACGAUCUCCAGGAAUGUCAUCGGGUUGAGCAGCUCGUCAAGAGGCAAAGGGCUGAGUAUGAAAAGCGUGAUAAGGAAAAAGGUCAGAACGGUACUGGCGGGAAGGGCCGGGGCGGUGAAGCAAAUCGCCUCGGCAAGACUCCUCGGAACCAAGGGAAACCCGCCAGGGGCCGAGAGAAGGAGGAUUGCAAUGCUGAAAGUGAUGAAGGGGGUGACGAGAAAACCAGCGAGCAGGAAUUCCAGAAGGCCACUGGCGCUAUUGACGUGGGUGCAUCUUUGCACUCCUCUCACCGCCAGCUUAAACAGUGGGCGUGUGAGGUCAAUGCCAUGGAGCCAGCGGCAGGUUCUCGGAAGCCGCUCAAGUGGUCACUCACGCUCAUCAUCUUUGAUGAAGAGGAUCACCCCGACCGCAUCACUGCGGUAGGGUGCUUGCCGUUGUUGGUCUCACCAACGAUCCGCAACCUCAAAGUCACAAAGAUGCUGUUGACGGCGGGCCGGGUUGAAUCUGAUUUCCCCACAGGUUAUCAGCAAACUCCAGAUAGCAAAGGAAGAGCUUAAGGCCACAGGCACGUUUCAAGGAGUCAAUCUUGGCAGGAGCCGUCCUAAGGGAAAGAUCACGUUGCCAGUGACAUUUGGGGGAGAUUUAAACUACCGGACUGAGAAGGUUGUGUUUGAUGUGGUCGACCUCUCCCUACCGCACAACGGAAUCCUUGGGCGCCCGACCCUAGCCAAAUUCAUGGUGGCAUCCCACUAUGCGUACAACACCUUGAAGAUGCCAGGGCCGAUGAGCGUCAUUUCCAUUCCGUCAGACAAGAAAGACGCAAUUAUUUGCGUGGAUAAGAUGUAUCGGGGCGCCAUCGCGGCAGAGGCCGCUGAAGCCACAGUUCCCAUCAAGGAAAGUAAAGGAAAGAAGAAGACCAGUAAGGACGCCGGCAUAGAAUCCGGGAAGCAUAUCUCUUUGAAGUGUGCCACACAUGUUGAUGACGUGCCGGAGAGUUCCAACAGCAAGAGGUCCAAGGCUGCUGCACCCCAUGUGAAAAAGGUCUCAGCUGGGCUGGUUGGCGCUGAUGGUACUUUCACUAUCAGUGCCACCCUUGAUGACAAAUAGGAAAGCGUGCUCGUUGUCUUCCUGCGGGCGAAUGUCGAUGUGUUCCCAGGGAGGUAAUCGAGCGCCAUCUUGCUGUCUGCCCACAUGCUCGACCCGUCAAGCAGAAGGUUCGGAAGCAGGCCUUGGAGCGGCAGCAGUUCAUUGCCGAGGAGAUCAAGGAACUUGAGGCAGUUGGUUUGCUCAGAGGAGUACUGCAUCCAAGAUGGUUAGCAAACCCAGUGGUUGUGCGCAAGGCUAAUGAGAAAUGGAGGCUUUGCAUAGAUUUCACGGAUCUGAACAAGGCGUGCCCGAAGGACCCAUUCCCCUUGCUGCGCAUCGACCAGAUUGUGGAUUUCACUUCCGGGUGUGAUUUGCUCUCCUUUCUGGAUGCAUACUCUGGGUACCAUCAGAUAUUUAUGUCCAAGGAAGAUGAAGAAAAUACCUCAUUCAUAACCCCAUGUGGCACAUAGUGCUUUGUGCGCAUCCCUUUCGGGUUGAAGAGUGCCGGGUCCACUUUUGCAAGAGCAGUCCAAAUUGGCUUUGAACCACAGUUGCACAGGAACAUCGAAGCUUAUAUGGAUGAUAUUGUGGUCAAGACCAAGGAUAGAUCAACACUCAUCCAGGAUUUAGAAGAGACAUUUGCUAAUCUGCGCAAGAUCAACUUGAAGCUGAACCCGGAGAAGUGUGUGUUUGGCGUUCCCAUCCGGCAAGCUACUUGGUUUCUUUUUGUCCCACCGCGGGAUCGAGGCCAACCCAGAGAAGAUCAAAGCCAUCGAGCAGAUUCAGGCACCCAAGACAAUUAAGGAUGUAAGGCAUUUGAUGGGAUGCAUUGCUGCGCUUAGCAGAUUCAUCUCCAAGUCUGUCGAGCGCGCCUUGCCGUUCUUCAAAAUUUUGAAGAAGGUAGAACCCCUGAAGUGGACCCCAAAAGUAGACGUAGCGCUGCAAGAUUUGAAGACCUACUUGUCUUUUGUUCCCACUUUGGUUGCACCCAAACCACAUGAGCCGUUGCUGCUAUAUCUGGCAGCGACUAAUUAAGUGGUUAGCGCAGCAUUAGUGGCACAACGGGAAGUGGAGUAGAUAGCAACCUUAGCCGGUUUCCCAUCCAGGGAAGAGAGAGAGAACAACCCGACAAGGCCAGAUAUGGAUCAGGACAAAGAGGAGCACGUCAGCGGAGGCAACGCCAAGGACACGACAAGGAAGAAGGUGGUGGAGCGCUCGAUAUACUUCAUUAGCUCCCUAUUGCAGGGGGCUAGAUCCAGGUAUUCUGGCGUGCAAAAAUUGAUUUUUGGCCUUGUCAUGGCCUCAAGGAAACUGCGCCACUACUUCCAAGCCCAUGAGAUCACGGUUGUCACACGCUUCCCAUUGCAAAGGAUACUCCAAAACCCAGAGGCUACCGACAGGAUAGUGGAAUGGUCAUUGGAGUUAUCCAGCUUUGGCCUGAAGUUUGAAAGCACAUCAACGAUUCAGAGCAGGGCAUUGGAAGAGUUUAUUGCAGAAUGGACGCCAACCCCUGAUGAAGAAGUACUGGAAACAGUUAUCCCCGUCAAGGAAGCGCUCCAUGAAUGGAUCAUGUAUUUCGAUGGUGCCUUCUCCCUACAAGGUGCAGGGGCUGGUGUGCUUCUCGUUGCUCCCAGUGGAGAGCACCUGAAGUACGUCGUCCAGAUGCAUUUUCACCGAGAGGAGGCGACCAACAAUACAACAGAGUAUGAAGGGCUCCUUGCCGGGCUCAGGAUUGCCACAUAAUUAGGAAUCAAGAAGUUGAUUAUUCGAGGAGAUUCACAACUUGUGGUGAGACAAGUCAACAAGGAUUACCAAAGUCCAUUGAUGGAGGCAUACGCCGAUGAAUAGAAGAUUGGAGGAGCACUUUGACGGAUUGCAAACGGAGCACGUACCCCGCGCGGAAAACAGCAUUGCUGAUCAUCUGUUAAAGUGUGCUGCGCAGAAGCUUCCUGUGGAACCAGGGACUUUUGUUCUCCAUCUUACUCGGCCCUCCGUAUCCCCGACAACAAUGGACCGAAAGAGGAGGAAUUAGGCUCCGGUAAGCCUCUCUCGGUAGAGCCUCUCGGGGCUCCUGGCAGGGACCCUGCCGGAAACAACUCCCCUUCGAUUGCCGGGCUGCACCCUCCUGCCGGGCCACUGGUCCCCGUGGUCGAGGGAUGCGCUCCCACGAAUGAGGAGGUGCCGCUAGUCCUCGUUGCCGAGCCCCAGGCUCCAACUUGGGCAAGGCACAUAGUCCAUUUCCUCCAAACUGGAGAACUUCCCGAAGAGCAAGAAUAAGCGGAAAGAGUAGCCCGGAGGGCCAGUAUGUAUCAGUUUGUCGAUGACACACUAUACGGAAGAAGGCCUAACGGUGUGAAAUUGAAGUGCAUUUGUCGGGAAGAAGGAAAAGAACUGCUGGCAGAAAUACACAAAGGCAUGUGCGGCUCCCACAUUGGAUCAAGGGCUUUAGUUCGGAAAGCAUCCUGGCAAGGAUUCUAUUGGACCACAGCCCUCCAAGAUGCGGUCGAGCUAGUCACCAAGUGUGAAGCCUACCAGUUCCAUUCCAAGAAUAUCCAUCUGCCUUCCCAAGCACUUCAGACAAUCCCUUUGUCAUGGUCGUCUUCGGUCCGGGGGCUCAAUAUCCUCGGCCCUUUCCCCCGAGCUGCUGGGGGCUUUGAAUUCUUGUUCCUUGCAAUCGACAAAUUUACAAAGUGGCCGGAAGUAGCUGCCUGAGAAAGGUGACUGCUCAGUCAGCUAUCAAGUUCUUGAAAGAUUUGGUGUGCCGCUUCGGGGUCCCCGCCCGGAUCAUCACUGACAAUGGCACCCAAUUCACGAGUCGCGCCUUCAUGCAAUAUGUUCGUGCCCUCGGAAGCAAGAUCUCAUUUGCCUCUGUUGCACAUCCCAGAAGAAAUGGACAAGCUGAGAGGGCGAACGCUGAAGUGCUACGGGGACUCAAGACAAGAACAUUUGAUAAGUUUUAGAAGUGUGGCAGGCGAUGGAUCGAUGAGCUGUCGGUGGUUCUUUGGUCCCUCAAAACGACACCAAACUGAGCUACCGGGCAGACUCCCUUCUCCCUACUCUAUGGGGCAAAAGCAGUUAUCCCCAUGGAACGGGUCACCUCGAGUACUUGCCUAUGAUGAAGUAGCGCAGGAACAACACCGGCGUGACGACGAUGUGCUUCUCGAGGAGAACCGUCUCCGGGCUGCUACGCGUGUUGCACGCUACCAGCAAGCCCUGCGUCGAUAUCACAACCACAGGGUUCAUGCCCGGUGUUUUGAGAAAGGCGACCUUGUCCUUAGGGGUGUUCAGUCCGCCAAGGGUACAAACAAGUUGUCGUCGAAGUGGGAAGUCCCUUACCGGGUAGUACGAGUCACCAGACCUGGCGCAGUACGUCUGGAGCCGGAGAUGGCAUUCAAUUGCCAAAAUCAUGGAAUAUUGAGCAUCUCCGCAAGUUCUACCCGUAAGGUGCGGCUGUCAGGCCCUGCCCGGUAGCCACCCUUUUGUACAGGCCUUGCCUCAGUUGCAUGUAACCCCUUGUACAAAGCCAGGCGCAGACUGAUACGUCUCCAAUGUAUCUAUAAUUUUUGAUUGUUCCAUGUUGUUAUAUUAUCAUUCUUGGAUGUUUUACAAUCAUUUUAUAGUCAUUUUAUAUUAUUAUUUUGGUACUAACCUAUUGACAUAGUGCCCAGUGCCAGUUUCUGUUCUGCAUGUUUUUUUAUAUUCCAGGAAAUCAAUACCAAACGGAGUCCAAACGCAGUGAAACUUUUUGUGGAUUUUUUUGGAUCAGAAGACAUAAGGUGGGCCAAGAAAGCACCUGAGGGGAGCUCCGAUGGGAGCACAACCCACCAGGGUGCGCCUGGGGGCCCAGGCACUCCCCGGUGGGUUGUGCCCUCCUCUUUGGCCCCCCACACCGCCUCUUUGCUCUAUAAAUACCCCAGUAUUCCAAAAACCCUAGGGGAGUCUACGGAAAUCAAUUCCAGCCGCCGCAGAGUCCAGAAACACAAGAUCCAAUCUAGACACCAUCUCGGAGGGGUUCAUCAUGUCCAUUGUUGCCUCUCCGAUGAUGCGUGAGUAGUUCUUUGUAGACCUACGGGUCCGUAGUUAGUAGCUAGAUGGCUUCCUCUCUCUCUCUCUCUCUCUCUCUCUCUCUCUCUCUUGAUUAUCAAUGCAAUGGUCUCUUGGAGAUCCAUAUGAUGUAAGUCUUUUUGCGGUGUGUCUGUUGGGAUCCGAUGAACUUUGAGUUUAUGAUCAGAUCUAUGUUUUUAUCCGUGAAAGUUAUUUGAGUCUUCUUUGAUCUCUUAUAUGCAUGAUUGAUUAUAGCCUCGUAUUUCUUCUCCGAUAUUUGGGUUUUGUUUGGCCAACUUGAUCUAUUUAUCUUGCAAUGGGAAGAGGUGCUUUGUGAUGGGUUCGAUCUUCCGGUGCUUGAUCCCAGUGACAGAAAGGGAAACACCAUGUAUGUAUCGUUGCUAUUAAGGAUAACAAGAUGGGGUCUAUUUCUACAUAAAUAGAUCUUGUCCACAUCAUGUCAUCGUUCUUAUUUCAUUACUCCGUUUAUCCAUGAACUUAAUACACUAGAUGCAUGUUGGAUAGUAGUCAAUGUGUGGAGUAAUAGUAGUAGAUGCAGGCAGGAGUCGGUCUACUAAUCUUGGACGUGAUGCCUAUAUAAUGAUCAUUGCCUGGAUAUCAUCAUGAUUAUUUGAAGUUCUAUCAAUUGCCCAACAAUAAUUGAUUUCCCACCAUUUGCUAUUUUUCUCGACAGAAGCCACUAGUGAAACCUACGGCCCCCGGGUCUCUUUUCAUCAUAUUUGCCUUUGCGAUCUAUUUUCCUUUGCUUUUAUUUUCAGAUCUAUUAAACCAAAAAUACAAAAAUGCCUGCUGCAAUUUAUUUUUUCGCAAUCUAUUUAUCCUAUCUACCACAUUUAUCUCAUGUUAUCUUGCCUACUUGAGGCGCCGUACCCGAAAGGGAUUGACAACCCCUUUAACACGUCGGGUUGCGAGUAUUUGUUAUUUGUGUGCAGGGGCUGUUUACGUGGUGUGAGGAGGUUCUCCUACUGGUUCAAUAACCUUGGUCUCAUCACUGAGGGAAAUACCUACCGUCGCUAUACUGCAUCAUCCCUUCAUCUUUGGGGAAAUACCGACGUAGUUCUAGCAGAUAUCAAAAGGAAUUUCUGGCGCCGUUGCCGGGGAGGAUCUUCAACAUCAACCAGGUUCCUAAACACAAAUCUCAUCUCCUCGCAAUUUUCAUUAUUUGCCAUUUGCCUCACGUUUUCCUUUCCCCCACUUCACAAAAAUUCGUCGUUUUAUUCGCCCUUUUUCCGUUCGUCUUUUCAUUUUCCCUUUAUGUCUUACUUGGUUUGUUUGCUUGCUUGCUUGGCAUAAUUGUGUGUUUAUUGAAAAUCAAGAACCAAAAAGUUUAUGGAUCCUCAUCCACUUGCUAAUAUUUUUAAGAGAUCCAAUUAUGAUGAACCAAUUGCUAGUGACUUGUGUGCACAAGAUUAUCUUUAUGAAGUUUUGCUUGAAAUUCGUGAAUCUGAAAAUUGUGAUGAAGUGUUGAAAGAAGAAAAUUAUAAUGUGAUUCAUGAUAGGUCCUUGAAUGAAAAGCAUGAUUGCAAUGAUGUUAUUAUAAAUUCUAUUAAUGUCAAUUUAAUGAUAUGCAAAACCCUAAGCUUGGGGAUGCUAAUUUUACUAUGUCUACUACUUUUUGCAAUGAUCAUGAUUGGGGUGAUUCUUAUUAUGACCUUGAAAAUUUGUUUAAGCCCCAUGAUGAAUAUGAGACUGAAAGCAAUGUUUGCAAUAAUAUUAAAAGUGGGUUUGGAAGAGUGUCAACUUUAGAUCCCACAUAUUUUGAGAAUGUUCAAUCUUAUGAAAUUUUUGAUAAAACUGGGUUUGGAGAGGUCAUGACUUUAGUUAAUUUUAAUCCCACUAUUUUGGAAGAGUGUCAACUUUGCAUGCAUGUGGAUCGUGUUGAGAAUAUGUUAUGCGAUAGCUAUUUUGUUGAAUUUGCUUAUGAUCCUACAUGUAAUUAGUAGGAGAGAGGAAAAUAUGGUUGUAGAAAUUUUCGUUACUAAAUUACCUCUCUUCAUGUCGAGAUUACUAUCGUCUCUUUCUUUUUCCUUUCUUAUGCCAGUUUUUUCUUUCCUUGAUAAUUUGUUUGCUUAUAAGAUUCCUAUGCAUAGGAAGUAUGUUAUAGUUAGAUGUGUUUGUCACGUGUUUUAUGAUGCUCUCUUUGUGCUUCAAUUCUUCUCUUUUAUGUGAGCAUCAUUGAAAUCUCAAUGGCUAGCUAAAAGGCUUUAAAGAAAAGCGCUUUUUGGGAGACAACCCAAUAUUUUUACUUGCUGUUUUGCAAAAAUAAGUCAUAUAGCCUCUGGUUAGAUGUGUUUUUGUGGUUUAAAUUAGUGUUUGUGCCAAGAAAGGCCUUUGGGAUGAUUUGGGUGAGAGUUGAUUUGAUCUUGCUGAAAAAUAGAAACUUUUGCGCUCACGAUUUUUUUUCAUUUUUAUGAGAAGAGUGAUUUUGAGUUGGUUCUUUUUGUAGAAUAUUAAUAAACAAAUUAUUCACGUCAUCCUAACUUUUCAGAAUUUUUGGAGUUACAGAAGUAUUCGAAGUAUCAGAUUGUUACACACUUUUAUGUUUCUGACAGAUUCUGUUUUCUUUGCGUCGUGUGCUUGUUUUGAUGAUUCUAUGGUUUUCUUUGAAUAGUUUUUUCCAUAGAAAAGUUGUAAUACAAUAGAUAUAAUGCAAAAAUAAAAUAUGAAUGGGUUUGCAACAAUACUUAUAGUAGUGGUUUGCUUUCUACUAGCGGAUCUCACGAAGGUUUUGUUGUGUUUUGUGUGAUUGAAGUUUUCAAAUUUUGGGUGAUCUUACGAUGGAUGAAGGAAUAAGGAUUAGCAAAAGUCUAAGCUUGGGGAUGCCCGAGGCACCCCAAGAUAAUAUUCAAGAAAUAGCAAGCAACUAAGCUUGGGGAUUCCCCCGAGUGGCAUCCCCUCUUUCUUCUAACAACCAUCGGUAUUUUACUUGGAACUAUAUUUUUAUUCGUCACAUAUUAUGAGUUUUGCUUGGAGCGUCUUGUAUGAUAUGAGUCUUUGCUUGUUUUGCUUUGUGUUUUAAGUCUUGAAUCCUUGCUGGACACACCUUUUUGAGAGAGCCAAAAAUUAUGCUAUGCUUGCUCCUAUACUUCACUUAAAUUUUUAGAGCCAUGGAAUUGCUCUAGUGCUUCACUUAUAUCUUUUUGAGCACGGUGUGCUUUGUUAUUUUUGAAGAAAUGCUCUCAUGCUUCACUUAGAUUUAUUUGGGGGUUAGUAAAUUUUUUAAGAAAUUCUCUCUUGCUUCACUUAGAUCAUUUUGAGAGAAAGAAAUUUUAUGCUCAUGUUCUUCACUUAAAUUUGUUUGAGAUUAUUAAAAGCAACAUAUGAAAAUAGUCCCAAAGUGAUAGAUAUCCAAGGAGGAUAUAAUAAAAACUUUCAUGAAGAUCAUUGGACAAAAUAAACUUGGUUCUUAGUAAUGGUUUUGAGAUAUGACGAUAUGAUAUGUGAGUCAUGUUGAUGAGUAAUUGUGCUUUAGUAAGAAUAUUGAUGUUAAGGUUUGUGAUUCCCUAUGCAAGCAUGAAAGUCAAUAGUUAUGCAAUGAAAUUUACUUGUGGUGCAUUAUUCGGUGUUACUUAUGCUUAAUGCUGGAUACGAGAAUUUUUUGUUUCUUAGUUGGUCGGUUCUCAAUCUUUUUGCUAGCCUUCAUUUUGCACUAAGUAUGAUCACUACUUGUGCAUCCAAAACCCUUUAAACCAGUUUUGCCAUAUGAUCCCACUAUACCUACCUAUAUGCGGUAUUUUUGUGCCGUUCUAAGCAAAUUUGCAUGUGCCAUCUCUAAUUUUCAAAAUAAAUUUCUCUUUUGUGUGCUCUACCGCUCGCGAGGCGGUGAGGGGUGGCCAAUAUUUUCCAUGCUAGAUGUGUUACUCUCACGAUGAGUGUUUAUUCACUUGUCAUUGCACGAGAGUACGACAAAGGUAUUAGGGAUGCCUAGUCCUGAAAUGAAAAAUGAAUUUACUUUAUGUUGUCUGUGACGCCCCCGAUUUGACCGUACACUAAUCAUGCACGCAAAUGUGUACGAUCCAGAUCAGGGACUCACGGGAAGAUAUCACAACACAACUCUAAAACAUACAGGGGUUCGGGCGAUGCGGGUGCGGGUGCCCGCCCGCAUGGCCACGGGCGUGCGGGCGCUGGAGCUGAGCGGGGCGGAUGGGCACCGGCGUCGGGUGACGACCGGGGCCGCGACGAGGCCGGCCGGGAACGGCACNNNNNNNNNNNNNNNNNNNNNNNNNNNNNNNNNNNNNNNNNNNNNNNNNNNNNNNNNNNNNNNNNNNNNNNNNNNNNNNNNNNNNNNNNNNNNNNNNNNNNNNNNNNNNNNNNNNNNNNNNNNNNNNNNNNNNNNNNNNNNNNNNNNNNNNNNNNNNNNNNNNNNNNNNNNNNNNNNNNNNNNNNNNNNNNNNNNNNNNNNNNNNNNNNNNNNNNNNNNNNNNNNNNNNNNNNNNNNNNNNNNNNNNNNNNNNNNNNNNNNNNNNNNNNNNNNNNNNNNNNNNNNNNNNNNNNNNNNNNNNNNNNNNNNNNNNNNNNNNNNNNNNNNNNNNNNNNNNNNNNNNNNNNNNNNNNNNNNNNNNNNNNNNNNNNNNNNNNNNNNNNNNNNNNNNNNNNNNNNNNNNNNNNNNNNNNNNNNNNNNNNNNNNNNNNNNNNNNNNNNNNNNNNNNNNNNNNNNNNNNNNNNNNNNNNNNNNNNNNNNNNNNNNNNNNNNNNNNNNNNNNNNNNNNNNNNNNNNNNNNNNNNNNNNNNNNNNNNNNNNNNNNNNNNNNNNNNNNNNNNNNNNNNNNNNNNNNNNNNNNNNNNNNNNNNNNNNNNNNNNNNNNNNNNNNNNNNNNNNNNNNNNNNNNNNNNNNNNNNNNNNNNNNNNNNNNNNNNNNNNNNNNNNNNNNNNNNNNNNNNNNNNNNNNNNNNNNNNNNNNNNNNNNNNNNNNNNNNNNNNNNNNNNNNNNNNNNNNNNNNNNNNNNNNNNNNNNNNNNNNNNNNNNNNNNNNNNNNNNNNNNNNNNNNNNNNNNNNNNNNNNNNNNNNNNNNNNNNNNNNNNNNNNNNNNNNNNNNNNNNNNNNNNNNNNNNNNNNNNNNNNNNNNNNNNNNNNNNNNNNNNNNNNNNNNNNNNNNNNNNNNNNNNNNNNNNNNNNNNNNNNNNNNNNNNNNNNNNNNNNNNNNNNNNNNNNNNNNNNNNNNNNNNNNNNNNNNNNNNNNNNNNNNNNNNNNNNNNNNNNNNNNNNNNNNNNNNNNNNNNNNNNNNNNNNNNNNNNNNNNNNNNNNNNNNNNNNNNNNNNNNNNNNNNNNNNNNNNNNNNNNNNNNNNNNNNNNNNNNNNNNNNNNNNNNNNNNNNNNNNNNNNNNNNNNNNNNNNNNNNNNNNNNNNNNNNNNNNNNNNNNNNNNNNNNNNNNNNNNNNNNNNNNNNNNNNNNNNNNNNNNNNNNNNNNNNNNNNGGUGGGGUGUGGGAGUGGGGGGUGAGGGGAUAAGGAGAGGAGUGGGGGCCGGCCUGGUUGGCCCGAUGGCCAGCUGGGCCGCGGUCCAGCAGGGGGGGUUCUUCCUCCUUUUGUUUUUUUUGUUUUCUUUCUUUUAUUUAUUUUCUUUUCUGUUUUAUUUCAAUUUAAUUUAUUUAGACAUUUUAUAAAAAUAUGUUUUUUUAGUAUAAUUACCCUUGCAAUAUUUGGCACCCACAAAACAUUUUUGUUUCAAUUUUUGAAAAACUUUUACUGUUGGCAUUAAUUUAAAUUUGAAUUUUGAAACGGUUUUGGAUCAUCGCACGGUUAACAACAGUAACCGAGGUGACGUGGCAUGAUUAGCGGGGAAUUACUGUAACUUGAUUCCCCGGGCGUUACAAAUCUCCUCCACUACAAGAAAUCUCGUCCCGAGAUUUAAGUGGGGAAGUAAAGAGUAACUUCGGGAGAACUGACCCUUAUAGGAUUAAUUAUCUGGUGUACAAUUCAGGGAAUGAGGUAGAAGUAUCUCUCGAGUUGAAAUGCAAGAAAGUUGUCGAGAGCAAGGUAAGGAGGGGCAACAAGAAGCUCCAAGCGGUUAGGCAACCGCCCGUUGCCUGAAACAGAGGGUGAAAGGGGUUCGGAGCAAUGGGAAUAAGUGUUGUGUCUGAUACCAAAAUUGAUGAUCUCACAAAAGGUGGCACGUGAAUUACAUACGAAGCCAAGCGUGAGGAAUAACCUUGGGAACAGGGGGUGUACAAGAGAGUCAGGUUUCGAUCCUCUGGAACUGUGGGUUAUGGGCCCACCAUGUGGGUUAAAAGUAGAAAGGGCAGUAAUGUCUUGCACGAUCAUGUAAGUAAGGCAUGUAAGAGGAUAGCCUGUCUUUUAUGUCGGCAACAACAUCGGUACCAAGGGCGAGGGACGAAGAGAACCAUUUUCCUGCUCGUUGAAACGAGGCGGACCAUUAGGCAAAGUUCUCGUCCAUCGGUGGCUACCGGGAUGUCAUCAACAAUAGUAACAGGGUCUUGCUGACAGAAUUGUACACCGAGGUGUUUACAUAAGCAGGAGAAUAUUACUGCUUAGAUCAUAUAGAACUCAAGAAGGGUUAAACAAAAGAAUGGGAAGGAAAAUAUCGUUAUCAGAUUAAACAGAACAAUGGAAAGGAAAAUGUGUUUAAACACAUAUUUCAAGGGUAUAUUCUUCCCAAGGGUAAGCAGAGCAUGAUAUCCAUGUCGGGAUAUAACGUAGAAAACCCUUUAGGAAAGAGGAGAGAAAUUUCAUGCCAUUACCCAUACAACGGUGUUUGGAUAAUUGAUAAAGAAAGUUUAGCAUUGUGCUUCAAAUGUUCUUAUUAAAAUUCGGAGUACCACAGACAUGCUUCGAGAUAGCAUUGACAUGGUCUUCAAGCAAAAGACAGACUUGGAAUACACAAGAAUUCAUCAGGAACAACAUAUAGAAUAAGUCUUUCAAUUUCCUCAUGGAAGAAUGGUUAACCUUGCUAAAAAGGAAAUUAUAACAAAAGGUCCUCUGGCUAGGGGUGCUAAGCAAAGACACCACCUUAUCGAGUUAUGUAGAGACCAAUGUUACAACUCUUGGAAAUAUGUUCCAACCAUCAUAUCUGACCGAGGUUUAGAUCUGAUUGGUGUCAGGAUACCUCAGACUCAGGAUGUCUGAGAAGAAAGGUGCAACACAAAUUGAUGGGAUGACAUUGUAAGAUUAUCGGGAAAUGAACUAUGAAAGCAAGUUCCGAAACAAGGGUUCAUCAUUAAACCAAGGGGAGGAUGACGGGGUGGCUGAUGGACUCAGAGACAAUUCCUCGAGAUUUCCAAAAAAUGGAUUUCCACAACUAUGUGACCAAGGAGAUAACAUUAGCUAGAUCGAAUGAUAUAAUGAGGUAUGCUCGAGGAAAACAUACCCAAUUAAACAUUGGUGGAAAGCUACACCCAAAAUAUGGGCUUAGGUAGCAUGAUCAAUGUUGGAACGGUGAUUCGAUAACCAAUAGUCUAAGCAUGAACUAUCGACCAUUAGCUCCAAAGCAAUAGGAUUGCUAGAAGUUUUGAAUUCACGCAUGCUAGUUCAAUUGUCGGUAUUCAGGUUAGAAACAACACGGGGAUCAGAAAGCAAAUGGAGAUGGCGAGACGUAUUACUAUAUCAAGAAUUCUCAAGAGGUGGAGAAAUUCUCACAAUAUCCUUGACAUAAAAGAUAGCAAUACUCCAAGGUAGAACAUAACAUAAGUUGGAUAACAAGGAUCUCAAGGUACAACACAAAACAUGAACAAGUUUGUAUUGAAGGGAAAGCAAGAAUGUUGCCGAUGAUAACACAAAUCAUCGAGGGGCAAGGAUGGUAUUUCUCAUCAUGAAUUCAAUUGAUAUCCUGGAGGAACUCAGAAUGUUGAUGAUGAUCAUGACAAAUUUUGUCGAGAGGUUUCAUGGAGAUGUAAUCGAUCGACGAUGACAUCAAGUCAAAGGAAUGAUGAAAGCGAAAGGUUAUUGGAACCACGGUUAGGACACAAACUCGGAAUCAAGUUUGCUGUUCAAGGAGAAGCGCUAUGACGAGGAAGAUCGACGUAAGCUUAGCUCAUCGUCGAAAGCUGUGCUCUGUGAAUAAGGACCAGGUAGCACAGUUAAAAUCGGCACGAUAAUGGCAUAGCUGAGCAGGCUAGGGAUGACGUGAUCGAGUACGAACUCGUAAGCAAAGGAGAUUACUAAGAGUUGUUUAAUCGUGAUGCGGACUCGAUUCAGUUAUCGAUGUUCUUGAGUGUUUAAUAACUCGGAGCCCGUGAACAAUUGGAAUCAAUGAGAAUGUAAUACUUGGUGGAGAACUCAUAAGAAGUUAUGCAGUUCCGUGAUAAUCUUGAGAUACCAGGGGGGUAAUACUCGACGACAAAUCAAAGUAGAGGUUGGACUGGGGUAUUACUCUGCAGAAGACAAGUGCUUAAACUUGCACGAGAAAUGGUAUUUAAAGGAGAACAUGGUCGGAACCACGAUUGCAAAAGGCCAGAUCCCAGAUAUAAGAUGAACUUAUACCAAGGGAAUAAUUAAUUUAAGAAAAGAUUUAAUGAUAAGAUCUACAUCGUGUCCAUGGGCAUGAACGCAAAGUUCAAGGUCGACUCCCACUUCUUCAAUGCAUAACCUUUCAUUCACUUCUCGCGUUUGAUGAAGUUGCAGUGUUGAAAAUUUUUAUCUGGCAAUAUACCAGAAGAGUAUGACUCAGGAAAACUUUCGAGUUCACACAUAUUAUGAAAGGCAUAGGUUUCAACUCAUCAAGGCAUCUUAGGAACAUAUACCACAAACUUCGGAGUAAAUAUUACAAGCUCGAAAGAAGAGCAUUGUUCAAAAACAGAUGAUACAAUUUACCAAAGGCAUUAUAUACCCAUGGAAAGGCUCACAAGGUUAUUCAAUAUGAAGGACACUGUCGGAUAAAAUCCAACAAAGGAACCGAUGGUCCACUAGGGAUCUGAUGUGAGCAUCGGUACUCAACCAGAGGAACAAGAACGCAAGGAGAUCUGAUUAUAGAAACAACUGACUAACUCAAAGUUCAAAUGCAAAAGAAUUAUGAUUUCCAAAUCAUGGGGUCAGAAGAAACGCUCUCAUCAAGGAUGGAUAAGUUGAGUAGGCUUAGGGGUACAAUCGAUGGCAAUUUGAUAGGUCGAGAUCCAGCUCACGUUUAAAAUGACGUCUGAGCCGGAAGAAUGAAUUCUAGUAGAUGAUGGAGGAUUGCGAGCAUUCGCAACAAAUAGAAUCAACGGACUCAAAAUGAUAAUGACAAGAGAUGCCAAUAAGAUUACGAGACUUAUGGGAUUAACCAUAAUGCAAGCAAACAAGAAUUUCAAGAGUAAUAGGCUCCUGAGGAUUUUCGAAAGAUCGAAUAGUAUUUUGAAGACUAAUGUGGAAUACUUGAAUCAACUGGGGAUGACCGGAUACUCGGUAAGUGCGAGAAUUAUCCGUAGGGGUAUUCAGGUGACAAAGAACAGCAAGGCAGUAAGCUCAAAGGAUUCUCGGAACAACAGAGAGAAUUUCAGGGUAUCUUGUAAUAACAAGAUCAACUGGGAAACAUUGUAAGAAUGGCGAGUAUACGUGGUUAUCCAUAGGAGUUUAUCGAUGAAAGGGAAUUUCAAAAGCGAUGAACACAAGUUCUCGGGUUAUCAGCGGAGAGUAUCUUCAGGGUCUUCACGUGCAGCAGACGAUCAUCAGUAAUAAGGGGCUCCCCGGGUGAAAGUGAUAAUGAGAUCCUAAUGUCAGAUUUAGCAAAAUUCAAUUAACCCGAAUAGAAGAGAUAUCAGAGUCCCAGAGUAUAGGUUGAGGAAUAAAAGAUCCUACUACCACCCAAUGGCGACGUGGGCCCGUAAGCCACACAGCCAUGUUAGUAAAACAGUUUUCACUGACUAGACUCAACUUCGGCCAAGUAGUUGGAAAGGGGGAUUCCUACAUGCAGUCGGCUCUGAUACCAACUUGUGACGCCCCCGAUUUGACCGUACACUAAUCAUGCACGCAAAUGUGUACGAUCAAGAUCAGGGACUCACGAGAAGAUAUCACAACACAACUCUAAAACAUAAAUAAGUCAUAAAAGCAUCAUAAUACAAGCCAGGGGCCUCGAGGGCUUGAAUACAAGUGCUCGAUCACAUACGAGUCAGCGGAAGCAACAAUAUCUGAGUACAGACAUAAGUUAAACAAGUUUGCCUUAAGAAGGCUAGCACAAACUGGGAUACAGAUCGAACGAGGCGCAGGCCUCCUACCUGGGAUCCUCCUAACUACUCCUGGUCGUCGUCAGCGGCCUGCACGUAGUAGUAGGCACCUCCAGUGUCGUAGGUGUCGUCGUCGAUGGUGGCGUCUGGCUCCUGGACUCCAGCAUCUGGUUGCGAUAACCAGAUAGAAAGGAAAGGGGGAAAAGAGGGAGAGAAGCAACCGUGAGUACUCAUCCAAAGUACUCGCAAGCAAGGAGCUACACUACAUAUGCAUGGGUAUAUGUGUAAAGGGGCAUAUCAGUGGACUGAACUUCAGAAUGCCAGAAUAAAAGGGGGAUAGCUAGUCCUAUCGAAGACUACGCUUCUGGCCAUCUCCAUCUUGCAGCAUGUAGAAGAGAGUAGAUUGAAGUCCUCCAAGUAGCAUCGCAUAGCAUAAUCCUACCCGGCGAUCCCCUCCUUGUAGCCCUGUUAGAGAGCGAUCACCGGGUUGUAUCUGGCACUUGGAAGGGUGUAUUUUAUUCAGUAUCCAGUUCUAGUUGUCAUAAGGUCAAGGUACAACUCCGGGUCGUCCUUUUACCGAGGGACACGGCUAUUCGAAUAGAUAAACUUCCCUGCAGGGGUGCACCACAUAACCCAACACGCUCGAUCCCAUUUGGCCGGACACACUUUUCUGGGUCAUGCCCGGCCUCGUAAGAUCAACACGUCGCAGCCCUACCUAAGCACAACAGAGCGGUCAGCACGCCGGUCUAAUCCUAAGCGCGCAGGGGUCUGGGCCCAUCGCCCUAUGCACACCUGCACGUUGCGAACACGCCCGCGAGCAGACCUAGCAACCCACACGAUCACGGCGGUUACGUCAAAGCAGUCCAACACGGCGCGCGCCACUCAGUCGCUGACGUCACGAAGGCUUCGACUGAUACCACGACGCCGGGAUACCCAUAACUACUCCCGCGUAGAUGGCUAGUGCGUAUAGACCAAAUGACCAGACUCAGAUCAAAUACCAAGAUCUCGUUAAGCGUGUUAAGUAUCCGCGAACGCCGACCAGGGCCAGGCCCACCUCUCACCUAGGCGGUCUCAACCUGCCCUGUCGCUCCGCCACAAAGAUCCACUUGCGGGUACUCCUACGAGCCGACCCGACUUUAGUCAUCACAUGUGUCAUGUAUUUAGUAUAUAAGUAUAUAGCCAUGAUCACCGCCCAGGUGGUCACGGCCCGAUAGUAUAGCACAGCAGACGGACAAGAAUGUAGGGCCACUGAUGGAAAACUAGCAUCCUAUACUAAGCAUGUAGGAUUGCAGGUAAAGGUAACAACAGUAGUAGCAAGGAUAGGCUAUGCAUCAGGCUAGGAUAUCGGAAAGCAGUAACAUGCUACACUACUCUAAUGCAAGCAGUAUAGAGAAGAAUACGCGAUAUCUGGUGAUCAAGGGGGGGGCUUGCCUGGUUGCUCUGGCAAGUAGGAGGGGUCGUCAACUCCGUAGUCGAACUGGGCAGCAGCAGGGUUGGUCUCGUAGUCUACCGGAGAGAAGAGGGGGAAGAAACAGUAAAUACAAUGCAAACAUAAACAUGACGAUGCAUGACAUGACAAUGAGCAGUGCGAGGUGUGUCCUAACGCGACAGUAGGUGGUACCGGCGAAGGGGGGAAACAUCCGGGAAAGUAUUCCCGAUGUUUUGCGUUUUCGGACAGAUGGACCGGAGGGGGAAAGUUGCGAGUUCGAUAGGUUAGGGAGGUGUGGUGGAUGAACGGACUGCGUAUCCGGAUUCGUCUCGUCGUUCUGAGCAACUUUCAUGUUGAAAAUAUUUUAAUCCGAGUUACGGAUUAAAAGAUAUGAUUUUCUAAAGAUUUUAUUAAUUUCUGGAAUUUAACUAAUUAUUUAAAUUAAUUCGAAAAUGGAUUUAUGACAUCAGCAUGAUGUCAUGCUGACAUCAGCAGUCAACAGGGGUUGACUGGGUCAAACUGACAUGUGGGUCCAGUGGGACCCACGUGUCAUACUCUGUUAGGUUAAUUAGGGUUUAAUUAAACUAAUUCUGUUCAAUUAAACUAACAGGUUAAUUAGAUUAAUUCAUUAGGAUUAANNNNNNNNNNNNNNNNNNNNNNNNNNNNNNNNNNNNNNNNNNNNNNNNNNNNNNNNNNNNNNNNNNNNNNNNNNNNNNNNNNNNNNNNNNNNNNNNNNNNNNNNNNNNNNNNNNNNNNNNNNNNNNNNNNNNNNNNNNNNNNNNNNNNNNNNNNNNNNNNNNNNNNNNNNNNNNNNNNNNNNNNNNNNNNNNNNNNNNNNNNNNNNNNNNNNNNNNNNNNNNNNNNNNNNNNNNNNNNNNNNNNNNNNNNNNNNNNNNNNNNNNNNNNNNNNNNNNNNNNNNNNNNNNNNNNNNNNNNNNNNNNNNNNNNNNNNNNNNNNNNNNNNNNNNNNNNNNNNNNNNNNNNNNNNNNNNNNNNNNNNNNNNNNNNNNNNNNNNNNNNNNNNNNNNNNNNNNNNNNNNNNNNNNNNNNNNNNNNNNNNNNNNNNNNNNNNNNNNNNNNNNNNNNNNNNNNNNNNNNNNNNNNNNNNNNNNNNNNNNNNNNNNNNNNNNNNNNNNNNNNNNNNNNNNNNNNNNNNNNNNNNNNNNNNNNNNNNNNNNNNNNNNNNNNNNNNNNNNNNNNNNNNNNNNNNNNNNNNNNNNNNNNNNNNNNNNNNNNNNNNNNNNNNNNNNNNNNNNNNNNNNNNNNNNNNNNNNNNNNNNNNNNNNNNNNNNNNNNNNNNNNNNNNNNNNNNNNNNNNNNNNNNNNNNNNNNNNNNNNNNNNNNNNNNNNNNNNNNNNNNNNNNNNNNNNNNNNNNNNNNNNNNNNNNNNNNNNNNNNNNNNNNNNNNNNNNNNNNNNNNNNNNNNNNNNNNNNNNNNNNNNNNNNNNNNNNNNNNNNNNNNNNNNNNNNNNNNNNNNNNNNNNNNNNNNNNNNNNNNNNNNNNNNNNNNNNNNNNNNNNNNNNNNNNNNNNNNNNNNNNNNNNNNNNNNNNNNNNNNNNNNNNNNNNNNNNNNNNNNNNNNNNNNNNNNNNNNNNNNNNNNNNNNNNNNNNNNNNNNNNNNNNNNNNNNNNNNNNNNNNNNNNNNNNNNNNNNNNNNNNNNNNNNNNNNNNNNNNNNNNNNNNNNNNNNNNNNNNNNNNNNNNNNNNNNNNNNNNNNNNNNNNNNNNNNNNNNNNNNNNNNNNNNNNNNNNNNNNNNNNNNNNNNNNNNNNNNNNNNNNNNNNNNNNNNNNNNNNNNNNNNNNNNNNNNNNNNNNNNNNNNNNNNNNNNNNNNNNNCCUUUUGUUUUUUUUGUUUUCUUUCUUUUAUUUAUUUUCUUUUCUGUUUUAUUUCAAUUUAAUUUAUUUAGGCAUUUUAUAAAAAUAUGUUUUCUUUAGUAUAAUUUCCCUUGCAAUAUUUGGCACCCACCGAACAUUUUUGUUUCAAUUUUUGAAAAACUUUUACUGUCGGCAUUAAUUUAAAUUUGAAUUUUGAAACGGUUUUGGAUCAUCGCACGGUUAACAACAGUAACCGAGGUGACGUGGCAUGAUUAGCGGGGAAUUACUGUAGCUUGAUUCCCCGGGCGUUACACUGUCAAAUAAUAAAUUUCUUGGAAAGUGUUGGUAUGGAGGGCACCCAUGGAUACGGUUAGCCAUGGAAAGUGAAAGUAAUGGUGGAAAAAGGAAUAAACUUCAUUUUCUGUUUGGGAACCGCCUAUGAUGUAUCUAGCAUGGAAAGUGUUGGGAGCUCUAAGUCGUUUUCAUUGGUGGGAAAAGUAUGCCUCCCAAAAUGUUUUUAUCUCUCAAUUUUCGCUUUGAGCUCUGGCACCUCUACCAAUCCCUACUUCCCUCUGCGAAGGGCCCUUCUUUUACUUUAUGCAUUUUUUUUGAAUUUGAGUCUCCACCGUCUCUCAUAAAGCACCAACUAAGGGGCACUAUGAUCGUAUUUGAGCAUUGGGUGUAGCUAAUAUUUGAGUGUGUUUCAUGAAUGGAUCAAUGGUUGACCAUAAUGGGCUCGGGAUAACUUGCUUUAGUGUUGAUAUUUUGAAAGACAUGGUUGCUUGUUGGUAUGCUUGCGUAUUAAAGUGUUCAUGUCAAAACUAGACUAUUGCUUUGAACCAUAUAAAGGUCCAAAUGUCCAUGCUAUAAAGAAAAGAAAAUGUGAUGAACAUGUUAGGCAGCAUUCCACAUCAAAAAUUUCGUUUUAAUCAUUUACCUACUCAAGGACGAGCAGGAAUUAAGCUUGGGGAUUGAUAACCCACAAGUGUAGGGGAUCGCAACAGCUUUCGAGGGUAGAGUAUUCAACCCAAAUUUAUUGAUUCGACACAAGGGGAGCCAAAUAAUAUUCUCAAGUAUUAGCAGUUGAGUUGUCAAUUCAACCACACCAGGAUAACUUAGUAUCUGCAGCAAAGUAUUUAGUAGCAAAGUAAUAUGAUAAUAAUGGUAACAAUAGCAAAAGUAAUAUUUUUGGGAUUUGUAGUGAUUGUAACAGUAGCAACGGAAAAGUAAAUAAGCAAAGAACAAUAUGUGAAAAGCUCGUAGGCAUUGGAUCAGUGAUGGAUAAUUAUGUCUGAUGCAAUUCCUCAUGUAAUAGUUAUAACCUAGGGUGACACAGAACUAGCUCCAGUUCAUCAAUGUAAUGUAGGCAUGUAUUCCGAAUAUAGUCAUACGUGCUUAUGGAAAAGAACUUGCAUGACAUCUUUUGUCCUACCCUCUUGUGGCAGCGGGGUCCUAAUGGAAACUAAGGGAUAUUAAGGCCUCCUUUUAAUAGAGUACCGGAACAAAGCAUUAGCACUUAGUGAAUACGCGAACUCCUCAAACUACGGUCAUCACCGAGAAGUAUCCUGAUUAUUGUCACUUCGGAGUUGUCGGAUCAUAACACAUAAUAGGUGACUAUAGACUUGCAAGAUAGGAUCAAGAACUCACAUAUAUUCAUGAAAACAUAAUAGGUUCAGAUCUGAAAUCAUGGCACUCGGGCCCUAGUGACAAGCAUUAAGCAUAGCAAAGUCAUAGCAACAUCAAUCUCAGAACAUAGUGGAUACUAGGGAUCAAACCCUAACAAAACUAACUCGAUUACAUGAUAAAUCUCAUCCAACCCAUCACCGUCCAGCAAGCCUAUGAUGGAAUUACUCACGCACGGCGGUGAGCAUCAUGAAAUUGGUGAUGGAGGAUGGUUGAUGAUGACGAUGGCGACGAACCCCCCUCUCCGGAGCCCCGAACGGACUCCAGAUCAGCCCUCCCGACAGAGAUUAGGGCUUGGCAGCGGCUCCGUAUCGUAAAACGUGAUGAAACUUUCUCUCUGAUUUUUCUCUCCGCGAAACGGAAUAUAUAGAGUUGGAGUUGAGGUCGGUGGAGCUCCAUGGGGCCCACGAGACAGGGGGCGCGCCCAGGGGGAGGGGGCGCGGUCCCACCUCGUGGACAGGGUGUGGGCCCCCUGGCCUUGAUUCUUUCGCCAGUAUUUUUCUUACUUUCCAAAAAUAAUCUUCGUGGAUUUUCGGGUCAUUCCGAGAACUUUUGUUUCUGCACAAAGAUAACACCAUGGCAAUUAUGCUGAAAACAGCGUCAGUCCGGAUUAGUUUCAUUCAAACCAUGCAAGUUAGAGUCCAAAACAAGGGCAAAAGUGUUUGGAAAAGUAGAUACGUUGGAGACGUAUCAACUCCCCCAAGCUUAAACCUUUGCUUGUCCUCAAGCAAUUCAGUUGACAGACUGAAAGUGAUAAAGAAAAACUUUUACAAACUCUGUUUGCUCUUGUUGUUGUAAAUAUGAAAAGCCAGCAUUCAAGUUUUCAGCAAAGAUUAUGAACUAACCAUAUUCACAAUAACACUUAGGUCUCAUGUUUACCCAUAUCAAUGGCAUAAUCAACUAGCAAGCAAUAAUAAUAAAACUCGGAUGACAACACUUUCUCAAAACAAUCAUAAUAUGAUAUGACAAGAUGGUAUCUCGCUAGCCCUUUCUGAGACCGCAAAACAUAAAUGCAGAGCACCUUUAAAGAUCAAGGACUGACUAAACAGUGUAAUUCAUGGUAAAAGAGAUCCAGUCAAGUCAUACCCAAUAUAAACUAAUAGUAAUGCAUGCAAAUGACAGCAGUGCUCUCCAGCGGGUGCUUUUUAAAAAGAAGGUGAUGACUCAACAUAAAAGUAAAUAGAUAGGCCCUUCGCAGAGGGAAGUAGGGAUUUGUAGAGGUGCCGGAGCUCGGUUUUAAAAUAGAGAUAAAUAAUAUUUUGAGCGGUAUACUUUCACUGUCAACGCAACAACCAAGAGAUGGCGAUAUCUUCCAUGCUACACACAUUAUAGGCGGUUCCCAAACAGAAUGGUAAAGUUUAUACUCCCCCUCCACCAACAAGCAUCAAUCCAUGGCUUGCUCGAAACAACGAGUGCCUCCAACUAACAAGAGUCCCGGGGGAGUUUUGUUUGCAAUUAUUUUGAUUUGAUUUGCUUAAAGCAUGGGACUGGGCAUCCCGGUUACCAGACAUUUUCUCGUGAAUGAGGAGCGGAGUCCACUCCUCUUGAGAAUAACCCGCCUAGCAUGGAAGAUACAGACAACCCUAGUUGAUACAUGAGCUAUUUGAGCAUACAAAACAGAAUUUCAUUUGAAGGUUUGGAGUUUGGCACAUACAAAUUUACUUGGAACGGCAGGUAGAUACCGCAUAUAGGAAGGUAUGGUGGACUCAUAUGGAAUAACUUUGGGGUUUAUGGAGUUUGGAUGCACAAGCAGUAUUCCCUCUUAGUACAGAUGAAGGCUAGCAAAAGACUGGGAAGCGACCAACUGAGAGAGCGACAACAGUCAUGAACAUGCAUUAAAAUUAAUCAACACUGAGUGCAAGCAUGAGUAGGAUAUAAUCCACCAUGAACAUAAAUAUCGUGAAGGCUAUGUUGGUUUUGUUUCAACUACAUGCGUGAACAUGUGCCAAGUCGAGUCACUCAAUUCAUUCAAAGGAGGAUACCACCCUAUCAUACCACAUCACAACCAUUUUAAUAGCAUGUUGGCACGCAAGGUAAACCAUUAUAAGCUCCUAGCUAAUUAAGCAUGGCAUAAGCAACUAUAAUCUCUAAUUGUCAUUGCAAACAUGUUUAUUCAUAAUAGGCUGAAUCAGGAACGAUGAACUCAUCAUAUUUACAAAAACAAGAGAGGUCGAGUUCAUACCAGCUUCUCUCAUCUCAAUCAGUCCAUCAUAUAUCGUCAUUAUUGCCUUUCACUUGCACGACCGAACGGUGUGUAAAAUAAUACUAGUGCACGUGCAUUGGACUAAGCUGGAAUCUGCAAGCAUUCAAUUCAAGGGAGAAGACAGAGUAAUAUGGGCUCUUGGUUAAAUCAACAAUCAUGCAUAUUGAAGCCACUAAACAUUUUCAUUAUGGUCUUCUCCUCUCGACCCCCAAAGGAAAAGAAAAGAAAUAAACUAUUUACACGAGAAAGCUCCCAACAAGCAAAAGAAGAAUGAGAAAUCUUUUUGGGUUUUCCUUUUAAUUACUACUACAAGCAUGGAAAUUAAACUAACUAAAUUUUUUGGUUUUUCUUAAGGUUUAUCAAACACACAAGAAGAAAACUAGAAAAAGAAAUUAAACUAGCAUGGAUAGUACAAUGAAAAAGUAUGAACACCGACAACUAGAAUAAGUGUGUGAACAUGAAUGUAAAGUCGGUGAGAAAUACGUACUCCCCCAAACUUAGGCUUUUGGCCUAAGUUGGUCUAAUGCCAAGGAUAGCCUGGCUAAUAUCCAAAGUUAUAACUGGGGUCAUACUGAGAUGCAACAGCCAAUGCCUCCUGAGCUGCGGCAUGUUGGCGAGCUGCCUCCGCUCUCCUAACGUAUUCGGUGGCCUCCUCCCUAGUUACAACAUAUCUUCGUUUUGCCUGGUAAUCAAAAAGGGAAGGAGCAGGGAGAGUAAUAUGGACAACGCGACGUUUGUCAAAGAUUAGUCGAUACUGGAGGAAUUGUUCAUUCCUCUCAAGAAAAUGAUGACUGACCAUAGCGUCAUAAUCUAAAUAAGCGGGAGGCAAUUCCAUAUCACCCUCACGUGGAGGUAUACCAAGGUAAUUAGCAACACGGGUCGCAUAAAUCCCUCCAAACAAAUCUCCAGCUAAACCAUUAUUAUGCAACCUACGUGCAACAAUUGCCCCCAAGUUGUAAUCUUUAUUACCUAGUACAGCACUCUUGAGGACACAAAGAUCAGGGACACACAUGUGACAAGCUUCAUCUUUACCAUUAAUACAUCUACCAAUGAAAAGAGCAAAAUAAUGUAUAGCAGGAAAAUGAAUGCUCCCUAUGGUAGCUUGUGCUAUAUCCCUAGAUUCUCCCACAGUUAUACUAGCAAGAAAGUCUUUAUAUUCAGAUUUACGGGGUUCAUUAACACUACCCCACUGCGGGAGUUUGCAAGCAGUAGUGAAAUCUUCUAAGUCCAUGGUAUAGGAUUGAUCAUAAAUAUCAAACAAGACACUUUGAGAAUUACGCGAGGAUGAAAAUUUAAACCUUCUCACGAAUGAAUCAGUUAAAUAGUAGUACUGAGGACACUUAUCUUGCAUGAAGUCCUCAAGAUCGGCAUUACGCACAUAUGCAUCAAAUUCAUCCCUUAUGCCCGCAUUGACCAUAAAUUCUUCUGACGACCAUUCACAAGGACGCACGUACGCUUCCCUUGGUGGUUCAUCGUCUUGCUCACGCAUUGCGCGCCUGGGUGCUUGCUUUCUUGAAGAGCCACCUUGAUACAUUUCCUAGACAUAUUUCUUCCUCUGAAAAAUUUCUGAAAUUUUUAGUAACUUCAGAAUAAAAGUGAAUCAAACUAAACAAGAUUGAUAGCAACUACUCCUACAAGUGCGUAGAGCCUAUAUCAUGCAUUAGAAUUACUUGGGAAGUCAUAAAUUUGACAUGCAAGCUCAAGAACAGGGUCACCUAGGCAGCAAAAAUUUGCAAUGAAUAAAGCACUAGAAAAAAAACUAAUUGGACCAUUGGAGGAGUCACAUACCAAGGAACAAUCUCCCAAAGCAGUUUUGUGAAUGGAGCUUUGAGCAAGGAGAUCGAAAAUCGCAGCAAAAUGAGCUAGAACUCGUGCUUGAGCUGGAUGGUGAUUUUUUGGGAGGAAGAUGGAGUGUGUGGGUGCAGGAAUAAGUGGAGGGGGCCACCGUGGGCCCACAAGGCAGGGGGGCGCGCCCUGGACCCUCGUGGCCAAGUGCCAGCUCCCCCUGUUGUGUUCUCAGUGCCAGAUAUUCACAAAUAUUCUAGAAAAAAACAUACUAAAUUGGCAGGGCAUUUGGAGAACUUUUAUUUUCAGGGUAUUUUUUAUUGCAUGGAUAAUUCAGAAAACAGACGGAUAAUACUAUUUUUGCUUAAUUUAUUCUAAAUAACAGAAAGUAAAAAGAGGGUACAGAAGGUUAUGCCUUCUAAUUUCAUCCAUCUCGUGAUCAUCAAAAAGAAUCCACUAACAAGGUUGAUCAAGUCUUGUUAACAAACUCAUUCUGAAUAACAUGGAACCGGAGAAAUUUCGAAUAACACUAAGUUACCUCAAUGGGGAUAUGAACAUCCCCAAUAAUAAGAAUAUCAUAUUUCUUCUUGACAGUAGGAAGAGGAAAUUCAAAACCUCCAAUAGUAAUAGUUGGAUUUUUUCCAAUAGAAUUGAUGCUAUGAACUUGAGGUUGUUUCCUCAGAAAGUGUACCGUAUGCUCAUUUCCAUUAACAUGAAAGUGACACUGCCUUCGUUGCAAUCAAUAACAGCCCAUGUAGUGUUCAGAAAGGGUCUACCAAGGAUAAUUGACAUACUAUCGUCCUCAGGAAUAUCAAGGAUAACAAAGUCCGUUAAGAUAGUGACAUUUACAACCACAACAGGCACAUCCUCACAAAUACCGACAGGUAUAGCAGUUGAUUUAUCAGCCAUUUGCAAAGAUAUUUCAGUAGGUGUCAACUUAUUCAAUUCAAGUCUACGAUAUAAAGAGAGAGGCGUAACACUAACGCCGGCUCCAAGAUCAUAUAAAGCAGUUUUAACAUAGUUUCUUUUAAUGGAGCAUGGUAUAGUUGGUACUCCUAGAUCUCCUAGUUUCUUAGGUAUUCCACCUUUAAAAGUGUAAUUAGCAAGCAUGGUGGAAAUUUCAGCUUCCGGUAUCUUUCUUUUAUUUGUAAUGAUAUCCUUCAUAUAUUUGGCAUAAGGAUUUACUUUAAGCAUAUCAGUUAAGCGCAUACGUAAGAAGAUAGGUCUAAUCAUUUCAGCAAAGCACUCAAAAUCCUCAUCAUCCUUCUUCUUGGAUGGUUUAGGAGGAAAAGGCAUGGGUUUUUGAACCCAUGGUUCUCUUUCUUUACCAUGUUUCCUAGCAGCAAAGUCUCCUCUUAUCAUAACGUUGAUUCAUUGAUUGUGGGUUAUCAAUAUCAACAACAGGUUCAAUUUCUACAUCAUUAUCAUUUCUAGGUUGAGCAUCAACAUGAACAUUAUCAUUAACAUUAUCACUAGGUUCAUGUUCAUCACCUGAUUCUGUUUCAGCAUCAGAAAUAGAAAUAUCAUUAGGAUUCUCAGGUGUGUCUACAAUAGGUUCACUAGAAGCAUGCAAAGUCCUAUCAUUUUUAUUUUUCUUCUUUUUAGAAGGACUAGGUGCAUCUACAUUAUUUCUCUGAGAAUCUUGCUCAAUUCUCUUAGGGUGGCCUUCAGGAUACAAAGGUUCCUGAGUCAUUUUACCAGUUCUAGUAGCCAUUCUAACAGCAAAAUCAUGUUUACUAUUUAAUUCAUUAAGCAAAUCAUUUUGAGCUUUAAGUACUUGUUCUGCUUGAGUGUUAACCAUAGAAGCAUGUUUGCUAAUGAGUUUGAGUUCACCUUUAACUCUAGCCAUAUAAUCACUCAAGUGUCCAAUCAUUUAAGCAUUACUCUUUAAUUCUCUACCAACAUAAGCAUUAAAACUUUCUUGCCUAGCCAUAAAGUCAUCAAAUUCAUCUAAACAUUGGCUAGGAAAUUUAAUAGACGGGAUUUCAACUUUAUCAUAUCUAUAGAGAGAAUUUACCUUUACUACUUGUGUCGGGUUACCAAGACAAUGUGUUUCUUCAACAGGCGGUAUAUUAAGACCAUGUAUUUCUUCAAUAGGAGGUAAAUUCUUAACAUCUUCAGCUUUAAUACAUUUUUCUUUCAUUGAUUUCUUUGCCUCUUGCAUAUCUUCAGGACUGAGAAAUAGAACACCUCUCUUCUUCGGAGUAGGUUUAGGGAUAGGCUCAGGAAUUGGCUCGGGAAGAGUCCAAUUAUUUUCAUUAGUCAACAUAUUAUUCAAUAGUACUUCAGCUUGGUCGACUGUUCUUUCCCUGAAAACACAACCAGCACAACUAUCCAAGUGGUCCUUGGAAGCAUCGGUUAGUCCAUUAUAAAAGAUAUCAAGUAUUAAGUAAUCAGAGAAGCCUCCCCCAAGCUUGUGGGAGACUCUCUUCUUCAAUUUGCACAAAAUUAUAUAUUUCCCGCAAGGCAGCUUGUUUCUUAUGAGCAGGGAAAUAUUUAUCAGAGAAGUAAUAAAUCAUAUCCUGGGGACUACGCACACAACCAGGAUCAAGAGAAUUAAACCAAGUUUUAGCAUCACCCUUUAAUGAGAAAGGAAAUAUCUUAAGGAUAUAAUAAUAGCGAGAUUUCUCAUCAUUAGUAAACAGGGUGGCUAUAUCAUUCAAUUUAGUAAGAUGUGCCACAACAGUUUCAGAUUCAUAGCCAUAAAAAGGAUCAGGUUCAACUAAAGUAAUUAUCUCAGGAUCAACAGAGAAUUCAUAAUCCUUAUCAGUAACAAAGAUAGGCGAAGUAGCAAGAGCAGGGUCAUGUUUCAUUCUAGCAUUCCGAGUUUUCUGUUUAAGUUUAGCUAAUAAUUUCUUAACAUCAUAUCUAUCAUUGCAAGCAAGAAGAUCUCUAGCAGUUUCUUCAUCCAUAACAUAACCCUCAGGAACAACAGGCAAUUCAUAUUUAGGGGGAGAACCUUCAUCAUCACUAUCUUCAAUAAUUUCAUUUUCAAUAAUUUCAUUCUCUCUAGCCCUAGCAAGUUGUUCAUCAAGAAAUUCACCAAGUGGCACAGUAGUAUCACGCAUAGAAGUAAUUUCAUCAUAAGUACCAUGCACAGCAGAAGUGGCAUCAUCAAUAACAUGCGACAUAUCAGAAUUAAUAGCAGAAGCAGGUUUAGGUGUCGCAAGCUUACUCAAAACAGAAGGAGAAUCUAGUGCAGAGCUAGAUGGCAGUUCCUUACCUCCCCUCAUAGUUGAGGGAUAAAUUUUAGUUUUAUCGUCUUUCAAGUUCUUCAUAGUGACCAGCAGAUAUAAAUCCCAAGUGACAUAAAGAAUAGAUCUAUGCUCCCCGGCAACGGCGCCAGAAAUUAGUCUUGAUAACCCACAAGUGUAGGGGAUCUGUAACACCCCCAAUGCCAAGCUACUGUAAUCCCCUGUUAAUGGUGCCAGGUCAUCACUCUUACUGUUGCUAAUCCCCACUUGCAUUCAAGCAUAGUUCAGAUUUCAAAUUCAAAUACAAGUCAAAUUAUUAUUUCUUCAAACUGCAAAACUAAAGUGUUCAUAAUUUUACAAAUAAUAACUAGUUAAUUGUCUUGGAAAAACCAAUAUUAUUUGGAAUAUUAAAUUGCCCCUAACCUAUUUAUAGCAGUGCCCAAAAUAGCCUAUUUAAUCCAUUUGUAUUUAGGUAAAAUUCAAAUGAAAUCAUCUAGCCUCGAAACUUUUUGUGGCAGUACAAAAUAUUGCAUAGUAUUUGAUUUCCAAGUUCCGUAUUUUACAGAAGUCAAAUGGAGUGAAAAGUAAAAUGUAAGACACUAAAUAAAAUAGAAAACCUAAUUAGAAAAUGAAAAAGGAGACCUAAUCUACCGGGCACUUUUGCCCAUUAAGCAAAAUGGCCUGCCCAGCCCACCCCCACUUGCCUCCCACCUCGCUACAGGAGGCAGGGGUGGCCGUGGCGGCCAUCCGCCGGCCGAGGCCGUGCGUGGCAGCCAUCCCGCGCGCCGCUUGGCCUAUAAGCCCCCGGCGCCUCNNNNNNNNNNNNNNNNNNNNNNNNNNNNNNNNNNNNNNNNNNNNNNNNNNNNNNNNNNNNNNNNNNNNNNNNNNNNNNNNNNNNNNNNNNNNNNNNNNNNNNNNNNNNNNNNNNNNNNNNNNNNNNNNNNNNNNNNNNNNNNNNNNNNNNNNNNNNNNNNNNNNNNNNNNNNNNNNNNNNNNNNNNNNNNNNNNNNNNNNNNNNNNNNNNNNNNNNNNNNNNNNNNNNNNNNNNNNNNNNNNNNNNNNNNNNNNNNNNNNNNNNNNNNNNNNNNNNNNNNNNNNNNNNNNNNNNNNNNNNNNNNNNNNNNNNNNNNNNNNNNNNNNNNNNNNNNNNNNNNNNNNNNNNNNNNNNNNNNNNNNNNNNNNNNNNNNNNNNNNNNNNNNNNNNNNNNNNNNNNNNNNNNNNNNNNNNNNNNNNNNNNNNNNNNNNNNNNNNNNNNNNNNNNNNNNNNNNNNNNNNNNNNNNNNNNNNNNNNNNNNNNNNNNNNNNNNNNNNNNNNNNGACGGACCCGCCUCGCCCCGACACCAAAGUCACCGCGUCUGCCGCCGUCGAUGCCGCGGACCGUGACCACCUCAAGCCAUGCGGAGAUGUCCAGCAGCACCGCCACCGCGUCUUCAUUGACUACGCACGAUGGUUCGGACCGGGGAGCCCCCACGACGUCGUCCUCGGCUCUUCUUCCUCGCUACGUCCGCCGCCGUUCGACGUCAGAUUCGCCGCAUCCCGACCACCUCCGGCCUCCCCGACCACGCCCUCGAGUGCGCCGUGAGCACCUCCUUCGAUUCCCGGCCUUUACCCCGUCGAUCCUUCGCCUUAGUGUCACCUCGUGAGUUCGCGCCCGCCGUGGUCGAAGCCCACCAUACCCGCGCCCGGAGCUCUGCUCCCGCACGCUGGUCGCGUCACCUGCUGCGCUCUGCCUACCCCGGGACGCCGCGCUCGGCGCUGCUUGUUGCCGUGCCUGCUGCUCUCUUGCUAUUGCGCUACCUGCUACUCUUAGGUGACUGCUUUCUGCUACUACAUGUCGCUGCUGUUGACUACUGUCGCUACUGCCUCUGAGUGGUACUGCCCCGCUUCUGCUCUGCUGCUAGCGUUGCGUACUGCUGCUGCUAGUUCCUGCCUGUUGCUAAUUGCUAAUGCGCUUAGUGCUGCCUGUUGCUGCUAUCGGCCAUUGGCCAUGGCCAUGGCUGAGUGUGUGCUGUGUGGUGUGUGUGGCGUGUGUGUUCUGUGUGUGUGGGUGGCGGCCCAAGAAUUAGUUUAGGGCUAAUUUUGUUACUAGUUAGGCUAAUCGGUACUACUACUUAAAUCAGUUGCUACCCUAAGACAUGUGGCCUCCCUAUAAUUAGGAUUGCUUUAUUUAUCUGAUUAUUAGGUAAAUAGUCUAUGACAAGUGGGUCAUUGCUAAAUUAAACUAAACAAGUAAAUCUGUUAAAAUUUUAGUCCAUGACAUGUGGGUCCACUAACCCUGUUGACCAGUCAAAGUUUGACUGGUUAACUGUUUGACUGGCCUGCUGACUGGACCAUUGGACCCCACUCUCAUACACUUAGGCUAACCACUGGUGGGUAUAAAAAGUAAUCUGACAUAUUUAAUGUUUGAGUUAACUAGAUAAAUAAAAUUCCAAAAAAUCAUUAAAAACUUUAAAAAUUAAUAUAAAAUAAUCCGUAGCUUGGUUGAAAAAAUUUUGUACAUGAAAGUUGCUCAGAACGACGAGAAAAUCCGAAUACGCGGCCCGUUUGUCAGCCACACGUCUCUAGCAUAGUGAACGGGCAACAUUUUGCCUGCGGUUCAUUUGUCCGAAAACGCGAAACACCGGGGAUAUUUUCCCGGAUGUUUCCCCCUUUCACCGUUAUCACCUGCUACCGCGUUAGGGCACACUUAGCACCGCUCGUUGUCAUGUUAUGCAUCUUCAUGCUUAUGUUUGCAUUAUAUUUAUUGUUUCUUCCCCCUCUUCUCUCCGGUAGACUACGAGACCGACGCCGCUGCUGCCCCGGUCGACUACGGAGUUGACGACCCCUCCUUCUUGCCAGAGCAACCAGGCAAGCCCUCCCUUGAUCCCCAGAUAUCGCCUAGUCUUCUCUAUACUGCUUGCAUUAGAGUAAUGUAGCAUGUUACUGCUUUCCGUUAAUCCUAUCAUGAUGCAUAGCCUGUCCUUGCUACUACUGUUGUUACCCUUACCUGCUAUCCUAAUGCUUAGUAUAGGAUGCUAGUGUUCCAUCAGUGGCCCUUCACUCUUGUCCGUCUGCCAUGCUAUACUACUGGGCCGUGAUCACUUCGGGAGGUGAUCACGAGCAUAUGCUAUAAACUUUAUACUGUUACAUUACUUAUGAUACUGUUCGGAGAUGGGGGCUGAAGGGGCAGGUGGAUCCAUCCCGGUAGAGGUGGGCCUGGGUUCACGACGGCCCCCGACUGUUACUUUGUGGCGGAGCGACGGGGCAGGUUGAGACCACCUAGGCGAGAGGUGGGCCUGGCCUUGGUCGGCGUCCGCGGUUACUUCAUAAUAACACGCUUAACGAGAUCUUGGUAUUUGAUCUGAGUUGGGUCGUUGACCUUAUACGCACUAACCGUCACGUGGGACAAGAUAUGGGCAACCGGCGUCGUGGUAUCAGCCGAAGCUCUUUUUGACGUCAGCGACUGAGCGGCGCGCGCCGCAUUGGACCAUAAGCCCGCGCUUGUAUUAAGGGGGCUAGGUCUGCUUCCGGCCGCGUACGCAACGUGCAGGUGUGCAAUGGGCGAUGGGCCCAGACCCCUGUGCGCAUAGGAUUUAGACCGGCGUGCUGACCUCUCUGUUGAGCCUAGGUAGGGCUGCAACAUGUUGAUCUUUCGAGGCCGGGCAUGACCCAGGAAAUUGUGUCCGGCCAAAAGGGAUCGAGCGUGUCGGGUAAUGUGGUGCACCCCUGCAGGGAAGUUUAUCUAUUCGAAUAGCCGUGAUCUUCAGUAACAGGACGACUUGGAGUUGUACCUUGACCUUAUGACAACUAGAACUGGAUACUUAAUAAAACACACCCUUCCAAGUGCCAGAUACAACCUGGUGAUCGCUCUCUCACAGGUCGACGAGGAGAGGAUCGUCGGGUAGGAUUAUGCUAUGCGAUGCUACUUGGAGGACUUCAAUCUACUCUCUUCUACAUGCUGCAAGACGGAGGCUGCCAGAAGCGUAGUCUUCGACAGGAUUAGCUAUCCCCCUCUUAUUCUGGCAUUGUGCAGUUCAGUCCACCGAUAUGGCCCUUUACACAUAUACCCAUGCAUAUGUAGUGUAGUUCCUUGCUUGCGAGUACUUUGGAUGAGUACUCACGGUUGCUUUUCUCCCUCUUUUCCCCCUUUCCCUUCUACCUGGUUGUCGCAACCAGAUGCCGGAGCCCAGGAGCCAGACGCCACCGUCGAAGACGACUCCUACUACACUGGAGGUGCCUACUACUACGUGCAGGCCGCUGACGACGACCAGGAGUAGUUAGGAGGAUCCCAGGCAGGAGGCAUGCGCCUCUUUCGAUCUGUAUCCCAGUUUGUGCUAGCCAUCUUAUGGCAACUUGUUUAACUUAUGUCUGUACUCAGAUAUUGUUGCUUUCGCUAACUCGUCUAUGAUCGAGCACUUGUAUUCGUGCCCUCGAGGCCCCUGGCUUGUAUUAUGAUGCUUGUAAGACUUAUUUUAUUUUUAGAGUUGUGUUGUGAUAUCUUCCCGUGAGUCCCUGAUCUUGAUCGUACACGUUUGCGUGUAUGAUUAGUGUACGAUUGAAUCGGGGGCGUCACAAGUUGGUAUCAGAGCCGACUGCCUGUAGGAAUCCCCCUUCCAUACUCCUUGGCUGAAGUCGAGUCUAGACAUUCCAAAACUUUUACUAACAUGGCUGUGCGGCUUACGGGCCCACGUCGCCAUUGGGUGGUAGUAGGAUCUUUUACUCCUCAAUCUUUACUCCAGGACUCUGAACUCUCUUCUACUUGGGUUAAAUGAUUUUACUAAUUAUAACUCUAAGUUCUCGCUACCACUUCCUGCCGGAGAGCCCCUUCAUUCCAGAUGAUCGACUACUUCACCGAAAGGUUUCGAAGAUGCCAUUCGAUGUUUUCCCGAGACGCUUGUGCCCACCACCUUUGCAAAUUCCCUACCACUUUUAUAUCUGUAUGGAUAACUGCAUACACUUGCCUACAUUCAAUUCCAUUGAUCUUGUUAUUACAAGAUGCCCCGAAUUGCUCUCCGUUGUUCCGAGAAUCCUUUGAGCUUACUGCCCUGCAGUUCUUGCCUGAUGAAUACCCCCUAUUGGUAAUUCCUCGCACUUACCGAGUAUCUGUUCUUCCCCCGUUGUUCAUAUGAUGCACAAGAUACAUUGAGAUGUUACCUGAUCUUCCGGUAAUCCUCUGCCGCUAUUGCUCUGCAAUUGUGUGCUUGCAUUUUGGUUGCGUUCCUCAAGACCAGCAAUAUUCAUUUAGUAUCCUUUGUCAUUAUCAUUUCAAGUCUCUUGAUUCAAUAGGUUGCGAAUGCUCGCAAUCCUCAACCGGAUCCUAGAAUUCAUCCUUCUGGCUCAGAUGUCAUUCUGAACAGGAGCUGGUUCUCGACCAAUCAAAUUAUCAUCGAUUGUAUCCCUAAGCCUGCUCGACUUAUUCAUCCUUAAUCAGAGCCCUUGCUCCCGAUCCCUUGAUUUGGAAAUCUUAAUUCCUUUGCCUUUGAGCUUUAAAUUAGCCAGUUGUUUCUAUAAUCCAAAGUCUUUGCUUUGUUUCGUCCUCUGGUCGUGUGCCGAUGCUCACAUCAGCCCGUUAUUGACCGUCAGAUCCUUUGUUGAAUUAUCAUCCGACAGUGUCCUUCGUAUACAAAAACCUCAAGAAGUUCUUUCUCUGACACACAAUGCCAUUGGUAAAUCUCAUUCCCUGAUUUGGCCAACCAUGCUCUGCUUUUGAGCUGGUGAUAAUUACUCUCGAAGCUUGUGGUAUAUGUUUCUAAGACGCCCCGAUGGAUUGAACCUAUACCUUCCCUAAAACCGUAUGAACCCAAAAGUUUUCACAAGUUAUACCCUUCUGGUGUUUUACCAGAUAAUUUUCUACCCUACAACUUCUUUGAAGACAAGAAGUGAAUGAAAGGUUAUGCAUUAAAGAAGUGGGAGUCGACCUUGAACUUUGUGUUCAUGCCCGUGGACCCGAUGUGGAACUUAUCAUGGAAGCUUCUCUUGAAAUUGAUUAUUUCCUUGGUAUAAGUUCAUCUUAUAUCUGGGAUAGGGUCUUUUGCAAUCAUGGUUCCGGCCAUAUUGAUAUUCUUUGAUUCUUUUCCUCAGGCAAGUUAAGGUACUUGUAUUCUGCAGAUCAAUACCCCUAUCCAACCUUUGUUCUGUCCUACUUUCGGGUUUACCCCUGGUAUCUCGAGGAUAUCAUGCUAUUGCCCUACCUCUUUUGAACUUUUGGUGAAGUAGUACCCUUUUCCUAUCAUAGUCACUCCACGGGUUCUGGGUUGUUGUCAAUCGAGGACACCGACUAGUGAAAUUAUUCCGCACUGCAAAUCAAAUACCCCUAGUAUUUUUGCUAGGAAAUUCUAAACUCAAUCUGGUCAUUCCUAGACUAUCGGCUGCAUCCUGGUCUUGCUAUCUUUAACUGUGCUACCUCAUCCUUCUCUGGUGCACGAAUUCUCAGUGUGUGAGCACGACUUACGUCGAACUUUCACGAUCAUAUUGUUUGUCUUGAGAGACGACUCUGAAUUCUGAGAUGGCAUCUUAUCUAUGGUUAUAAUAGCCUUUUGCUUCACCAUUACCUUGGCUUGAUGUCGUCGCCGUGCGAUUGCAUCUUCAUGGAGCCUCUCGACAAAAUUUGUCGUGCUCAUUGUCAACAUUUCGACUCCUUCCAGGGUAUCAAUCAAAUUCAUGAUGGGAAAUACCAUCCUUUCCCCUCGACGAUUGUGUUAUCAUCGACAACAUCCUUGCCUUCCCCCAACACAAACUUGCUCAUGUUAUGGAUGCAACUUGAUAUCCGGCUUGUAUGAUGUUCUACCUUGAAUUAUUACCGUCUCUUAUGUCGAGGAUGUUGUGAGAAUUUCGCCACCUCUUAAGAAUUCUUGAUACAGUGAUGCUUCUCGCCAUCACCAUUCUUCUUGGUCCCCAUGUUGCUUCCAACCAUAAUACCAAGAAGUGAACGGUGCUGUUUGGAUUCUGCAGUUCUAGCAACCCUAUUCCUUUGAAAUUAAUGAUCGAUAGUUCAUUCUUAGCCUAUCGGUUAUUGAAUCACCAUUCUAAACAUUGAUCAUGCUACCUAAGGCUAUAUUACGGGUGCACCUUUCAACCAAUGUUUAAAUUGGGUAUGUUUUUGUCGAGCAUAUCCCCUUAUAUCAUUUGAAUUGACAAGUGUCAUCUUCUUGUUCACAUUAUUGGGGAAAUCCAUCUUUUUGGGAAUCUCGAUGAGUUGUCGCUGAGUUCAUCAGCCCCCUCCUCGACCUUUCCUUGGUUAAAUGAUGAACUCUUGUUUCGGAACUCGCUUCCAUAGUUCAUUUCCUGAUAAUCUUACAAUGACAUCUCGACAAUUUGUGUUGCACCUUUUCCUUCUCAGGCAUCCUGAGUCUGAGGUAUCCUGACACUAAUCAGAUCUGAAUCUCGGUCAGAUAUGAUGGUUGGAACAUAUUUCCAAGAGUUAUAACGUUGGACUUUAUACGACCCGGUAAGGUGAUGUCAUGCCUAGCACACCUCCUUUUUAGCAAGAUUAACCAUUCUUCCAUGAGGAAAUUGUAAGACUUAUUCUAUAAGUUGUUCCUGAUGGAUCCUUUGUGAAUCCAAAGUCUGACCUUUGCUUGAAGACCAUGUCAAUACUAUCUCGAAGCAUGUCUGUGGUAAUCCGAUUUUCAAUAAGAGCAUUUGAAGCACAAUGCUAAUUUUUCUUUAUCAUUUAUCCUAACACCGUUGUAUGGGUAAUAUCAUGAGGUUUCUUCACCCUUACCAAAAUGGUUUUCUACUUUCUAUCCUGUCAUGGAUAUCAUGCUCCGCUUGUCCUUGGGAAGGAUAUACCCCCGAAAUAUGUGUGUAUACACAUUUUCCCUUCCAUUGUUAUGUUUAAACCUGAUAACCACUUUUCCUUUCCGUUGGUUUGUUUAAACCUUCUUGUGAUCUAAGCAGUAAUAUUCUCCUGCUUAUGUAAACACCUCGGUGUACAAUUCUGUCAGCAAGACCCUGUUACUAUUGUUGAUAACAUUCCGGUGACCACCGAUGGACGAGAACUUUGCCUAUUGGUCCGCCUCGUUCAACGAGCAGGAAAAUGGUUCUCUUCGUCCCUCGCCCUUGGUACCGAUGUUGUUGCCGACAUAACUGACAGGGUAUUCUCUGGCAUGCCUUGCUAUCAUGACUGUGCAACAGGUCAGCGCCCUUCCUAGUUUUAACCCACAUGGUGGGCCCAUAACCCACAAAGUUCCACAGGAUCGAAACCUGACUCUCCUGUACACUCCUAUUGCCAAAGUUAUUCCUCGCGUUGACUCCGUAUGUAAUUCAUGGUCACCCUCCUAGACAUGAUCUAUUCUGGUAUCAGAUGCAAUACUUAUUCCUGCUGCUCUGAGCCCCUUUCAUGCCCUAUUUCAGGCAUCGAACGAUUGCCUUCCCGCUCGAAACUUCUCAUGGUACCUUCUUACUUGCUCUCGAUAUCUUCUUAAGUUUCAAUUCGAAAGUUACUUUCCGCCACCUUCCCCAAAGUUAUCUACUAGAUAGUCAACCUUAUAGAGGUCCAUUCUUCCGAAGUUACCCUUGUCCCUUUCAUAAGUUUGGUGGAGAGCCUGAAGGAAGGACGACAACUUCAUCAUGAUGCAUCGAUGCAACAAAUUGAAGACAUCUACGUAAUGGAUCAACCUCUUCGAUGAGACCAACAAGAACAAGAAGAUCCGUUAGAAUUUCGUAACCAAAAUAUUCCCUCUUACUCCACCUCUUAAAUCUCGGGACGCGAUUUCUUGUAGUAGAGGAGAUUUGUAACACCCCCAAUGCCAAGCUACAGUAAUCCCCUGUUAAUGGUGCUAGGUCAUCACUCUUACUGUUGCUAAUCCCCACUUGCAUUCAAGCAUAGUUCAGAUUUCAAAUUCAAAUACAAGUCAAAUUAUUAUUUCUUCAAACUGCAAAACUAAAGUGUUCAUAAUUUUGCAAAUAAUCACUAAUUAAUUGUCUUGGAAAAACCAAUAUUAUUUGGAAUAUUAAAUUGCCCCUAACCUAUUUAUAGCAGUGCCCAAAAUAGCCUAUUUAAUCCAUUUGUAUUUAGGUAAAAUUCAAAUGAAAUCAUCUAGCCUCGAAACUUUUUGUGGCAGUACAAAAUAUUGCAUAGUAUUUGAUUUUGCAAGUUCCGUAUUUUACAAAAGUCAAAUGGAGUGAAAAUUAAAAUGUAAAACACUAAAUAAAAUAGAAAACCUAAUUAGAAAAUGAAAAAGGAGACCUAAUCUACCGGCACUUUUGCCCAUUAAGCAAAAUGGCCUGCCCAGCCCACCCCCACUUGUCUCCCACCUCCCUACAGGAGGCAGGGGUGGCCGUGGCGGCCAUCCGCCGGCCGAGGCCGUGCGUGGCAGCCAUCCCGCGCCCCGCUUGGCCUAUAAGCCCCCGGCGCCUCUCCUCUCAAACCCUAAUCCCCUCCCUCGCGCCCCCCCGUUUCCUUCAUCGCUCUCCCUUGACGGACCCGCCUCGCCCCGACACCAAAGUCACCGCGUCUGCCGCCGUCGAUGCCGCGGACCGUGACCACCUCAAGCCAUGCGGAGAUGUCCAGCAGCACCGCCACCGCGUCUUCAUUGACUACGCACGAUGGUUCGGACCGGGGAGCCCCCACGACGUCGUCCUCGGCUCUUCUUCCUCGCUACGUCCGCCGCCGUUCGACGUCAGAUUCGCCGCAUCCCGACCACCUCCGGCCUCCCCGACCACGCCCUCGGGUGCGCUGUGAGCACCUCCUUCGAUUCCCGGCCUUUACCCCGUCGAUCCGUCGCCUUAGUGUCACCUCGUGAGUUCGCGCCCGCCGUGGUCGAAGCCCACCAUAACCGCGCCCGGAGCUCUGCUCCCGCACGCUGGUCGCGUCACCUGCUGCGCUCAGCCUACCCCGGGGCCGCGCCCGCGUCCGACCGCCACUCCUCGCGCCCGCCUCUGGCCUCACCCAGUUGCGUCGCCCCCGCCCGCCGUUGCUAGCCGGCGCUGUCCAUGCACGCGACGCCGCGCUCGGCGCUGCUUGUUGCCGUGCCUGCUGCUCUCUUGCUAUCGCCGCUACCUGCUACUCUUAGGUGACUGCUUUCUGCUACUACAUGUCGCUGCUGUUGACUACUGUCGCUACUGCCUCUGAGUGGUACUGCGCCGCUUCUGCUCUGCUGCUAGCGUUGCGUACUGCUGCUGCUAGUUCCUGCCUGUUGCUAAUUGCUAAUGCGCUUAGUGCUGCCUGCUGCUGCUAUCGGCCAUUGGCCAUGGCCAUGGCUGAGUGUGUGCUGUGUGGUGUGUGUGGCGUGUGUGUUCUGUGUGUGUGGGUGGCGGCCCAAGAUUAGUUUAGGGCUAAUUUUGUUACUAGUUAGGCUAAUCGGUACUACUACUUAAAUCAGUUGCUACCCUAAGACAUGUGGCCUCCCUAUAAUUAGGAUUGCUUUAUUUAUCUGAUUAUUAGGUAAAUAGUCUAUGACAAGUGGGUCCUUGCUAAAUUAAACUAAACAAGUAAAUCUGUUAAAAUUUUAGUCCAUGACAUGUGGGUCCACUAACCCUGUUGACCAGUCAAAGUUUGACUGGUUAACUGUUUGACCGGCCUGCUGACUGGACCAUUGGACCCCACUCUCAUACACUUAGGCUAACCACUGGUGGGUAUAAAAAGUAAUCUGACAUAUUUAAUGUUUAAGUUAACUAGAUAAAUAAAAUUCCAAAAAAUCAUUAAAAACUUUAAAAAUUAAUAUAAAAUAAUCCGUAGCUUGGUUGAAAAAACUUUGUACAUGAAAGUUGCUCAGAACGACGAGAAAAUCCGAAUACGCGGCCCGUUUGUCAGCCACAUGUCUCUAGCAUAGCGAACGGGCAACAUUUUGCCUGCGGUUCAUCUGUCCGAAAACGCGAAACACCGGGGAUACUUUCCCGGAUGUCUCCCCCUUUCACCGUUAUCACCUGCUACCGCGUUAGGGCACACUUAGCACCGCUCGUUGUCAUGUUAUGCAUCGUCAUGCUUAUGUUUGCAUUAUAUUUAUUGUUUCUUCCCCCUCUUUUCUCCGGUAGACUACGAGACCGACGCCGCUGCUGCCCCGGUCGACUACGGAGUUGACGACCCCUCCUUCUUGCCAGAGCAACCAGGCAAGCCCCCCCUUGAUCACCAGAUAUCGCCUAGUCUUCUCUAUACUGCUUGCAUUAGAGUAGUGUAGCAUGUUACUGCUUUCCGUUAAUCCUAUCAUGAUGCAUAGCCCGUCCUUGCUACUACUGUUGUUACCCUUACCUGCUAUCCUAAUGCUUAGUAUAUGAUGCUAGUGUUCCAUCAGUGGCCCUUCACUCUUGUCCGUCUGCCAUGCUAUACUACUGGGCCGUGAUCACUUCGGAAGGUGAUCACGGGCAUAUGCUAUAUACUUUAUACUGUUACAUUACUUAUGAUACUGUUCGGAGAUGGGGGCUGAAGGGGUAGGUGAAUCCAUCCCGGUAGAGGUGGGCCUGGGUUCCCGACGGCCCCCGACUGUUACUUUGUGGCAGAGCGACAGGGCAGGUUGAGACCACCUAGGCGAGAGGUGGGCCUGGCCUUGGUCGGCAUCCGCGGUUACUUCAUAAUAACACGCUUAACGAGAUCUUGGUAUUUGAUCUGAGUUGGGUCGUUGACCUUAUACGCACUAACCGUCACGUGGGACAAGAUAUGGGCAACCGGCGUCGUGGUAUCAGCCGAAGCUCUUUUUGACGUCAGCGACUGAGCGGCGCGCGCCGCAUUGGACCGUAAGCCCGCGCUUGUAUUAAGGGGGCUAGGUCUGCUUCCGGCCGCGUACGCAAUGUGCAGGUGUGCAAUGGGCGAUGGGCCCAGACCCCUGUGCGCAUAGGAUUUAGACCGGCGUGCUGACCUCUCUGUUGAGCCUAGGUAGGGCUGCGACAUGUUGAUCUUUCGAGGCCGGGCAUGACCCAGGAAAGUGUGUCCGGCCAAAAGGGAUCGAGCGUGUCGGGUAAUGUGGUGCACCCCUGCAGGGAAUUUUAUCUAUUCGAAUAGCCGUGAUCUUCAGUAACAGGACGACUUGGAGUUGUACCUUGACCUUAUGACAACUAGAACUGGAUACUUAAUAAAACACACCCUUCCAAGUGCCAGAUACAACCUGGUGAUCGCUCUCUCACAGGUCGACGAGGAGAGGAUCGUCGGGUAGGAUUAUGCUAUGCGAUGCUACUUGGAGGACUUCAAUCUACUCUCUUCUACAUGCUGCAAGACGGAGGCUGCCAGAAGCGUAGUCUUCGACAGGAUUAGCUAUCCCCCUCUUAUUCUGGCAUUGUGCAGUUCAGUCCACUGAUAUGGCCCUUUACACAUAUACCCAUGCAUAUGUAGUGUAGUUCCUUGCUUGCGAGUACUUUGGAUGAGUACUCACGGUUGCUUUUCUCCCUCUUUUCCCCCUUUCCCUUCUACCUGGUUGUCGCAACCAGAUGCCGGAGCCCAGGAGCCAGACGCCACCGUCGACGACGACUCCUACUACACUGGAGGUGCCUACUACUACGUGCAGGCCGCUGACGAUGACCAGGAGUAGUUAGGAGGAUCCCAGGCAGGAGGCCUGCGCCUCUUUCGAUCUGUAUCCCAGUUUGUGCUAGCCAUCUUAUGGCAACUUGUUUAACUUAUGUCUGUACUCAGAUAUUGUUGCUUCCGCUGACUCGUCUAUGAUCGAGCACUUAUAUUCGAGCCCUCGAGGCCCCUGGCUUGUAUUAUGAUGCUUGUAAGACUUAUUUUAUUUUUAGAGUUGUGUUGUGAUAUCUUCCCGUGAGUCCCUGAUCUUGAUCGUACACGUUUGCGUGUAUGAUUAGUGUACGAUUGAAUCAGGGGCGUCACAGGAUCGCAACAGCUUUCGAGGGUAGAGUAUUCAACCCAAAUUUAUUGAUUCAACACAAGGGGAGCCAAAGAAUAUUCUCAAGUAUUAGCAGUUGAGUUGUCAAUUCAACCACACCUGGAUAACUUAGUAUCUGCAACAAAGUAUUUAGUAGCAAAGUAAUAUGAUAGUAAUGGUAACGAUAGCAAAAGUAAUAUUUUUGGGUUUUGUAGUGAUUGUAACAGUAGCAACGGAAAAGUAAAUAAGCAAAGAACAAUAUGUGAAAAUCUCGCAGGCAUUGGAUCAGUGAUGGAUAAUUAUGUCGGAUGCGAUUCCUCAUGUAAUAGUUAUAACCUAGGGUGACACAGAACUAGCUCUAGUUCAUCAAUGUAAUGUAGGCAUGUAUUCCGAAUAUAGUCAUACAUGCUUAUGAAAAAGAACUUGCAUGACAUCUUUUGUCCUACCCUCCCCUGGCAGCGGGGUCCUAAUGGAAACUGAGGGAUAUUAAGGCCUCCUUUUAAUAGAGUACCGGAACAAAGCAUUAGCACUUAGUGAAUACAUGAACUCCUCAAACUACGGUCAUCACCGAGAAGUAUCCCGAUUAUUGUCACUUCGGGGUUGUCGGAUCAUAACACAUAAUAGAUGACUAUAGACUUGCAAGAUAGGAUCAAGAACUCACAUAUAUUCAUGAAAACAUAAUAGGUUCAGAUCUGAAAUCAUGGCACUCGGGCCCUAGAGACAAGCAUUAAGCAUAGCAAAGUCAUAGCAACAUCAAUCUCAGAACAUAGUUGAUACUGGGGAUCAAACCCUAACAAAACUAACUCGAUUACAUGAUAAAUCUCAUCCAACCCAUCACCGUCCAGCAAGCCUACGAUGGAAUUACUCAUGCACGGCGGUGAGCAUCAUGAAAUUGGUGAUGGAGGAUGGUUGAUGAUGACGAUGGCGACGAAUCCCCCUCUCCGGAGCCCCGAACGGGCUCCAGAUCAGCCCUCCCGAGAGAGAUUAGGGCUUGGCGGCGGCUCCAUAUCGUAAAACACGAUGAAACUUUCUCUCUGAUUUUUCUCUCCGCGAAACGGAAUAUAUAGAGUUGGAGUUGAGGUCGGUGGAGCUCCAGGGGGCCCACGAGACAGGGGGCGUGCCCAGGGGGAGGGGGGCGCCCCCCACCCUCUGAAGGAAAUAUGCCCUAGAGGCAAUAAUAAAGUAUUAUUUAUUUCCUUAUAUCAUGAUAAAUGUUUAUUAUUCAUGCUAGAAUUGUAUUAACCGGAAACAUAAUACAUGUGUGAAUACAUAGACAAACAGAGUGUCACUAGUAUGCCUCUACUUGACUAGCUCGUUAAUCAAAGAUGGUUGUGUUUCCUAGCCAUAGACAUGAGUUGUCAUUUGAUUAACGGGAUCACCUCAUUAGGAGAAUGACGUGAUUGACUUGACCCAUUCCGUUAGCUUAGCACUCGAUCGUUUAGUAUGUUGCUAUUGCUUUCUUCAUGACUUAUACAUGUUCCUAUGACUAUGAGAUUAUGCAACUCCCGUUUACCGGAGGAACACUUUGUGUGCUACCAAACGUCACAGCGUCACUGGGUGAUUAUAAAGGUGCUCUACAGGUGUCUCCAAAGGUACUUGUUGGGUUGGCGUAUUUCGAGAUUAGGAUUUGUGACUCCGAUUGUCGGAGAGGUAUCUCUGGGCCCACUCGGUAAUGCACAUCACUAUAAGCCUUGCAAGCAUUGUGACUAAUGAGUUAGUUGCGGGAUGAUGUAUUACGGAACGAGUAAAGAGACUUGCCGGUAACGAGAUUGAACUAGGUAUCGAGAUACCAACGAUCGAAUCUCAGGCAAGUAACAUACCGAUGACAAAGGGAACAACGUAUGUUGUUAUGCGGUCUGACCGAUAAAGAUCUUCGUAGAAUAUGUGGGAACCAAUAUGAGCAUCCAGGUUCCGCUAUUGGUUAUUGACCGGAGAGGUGUCUCGGUCAUGUCUACAUAGUUCUCGAACCCGUAGGGUCCGCACGCUUAAAGUUAUGAUGACAGUUAUAUUAUGAGUUUAUAUGUUUUGAUGUACCGAAGGUUGUUCGGAGUCCCGGAUGUGAUCACGGACAUGACGAGGAGUCUCGAAAUGGUCGAGACAUAAAGAUUGAUAUAUUGGAAGCCUAUGUUUGGACAUCGGAAGUGUUCCGGGUGAAAUCGGGAUUUUUCCGGAGUACCGGGAGGUUACUGGAACCCCCUGGUAACUUAGUGGGCCUUAGUGGGCCUAGGUGGAAGAGAGGAGAGGAGGCUAGGGCAGGGCCGCGCCCCCCUUCCCCCCCAGUCCGAAUAGGACAAGGAGAGGGGGGCGGCGCCCCCCUUCCUUCCUAGCCUCCACCUCUUCCCUUCUUCCACUCCUAGUCCAACAAGGAAAAGGGGGGAGUCCUACUCCCGGUAGGAGUAGGACUCCUCCUGGCGCGCCACACCUCCUAGGCCGGCGGCCUCCCCCUUGCUCCUUUAUAUACGAGGGCAGGGGGCACCUCUACACACACAAUUGAUAUACGAUAUUUUAGCCGUGUGCGGUGCCCCCCUCCACCAUAUUACACCUCGAUAAUAUCGUUGCGGAGCUUAGGCGAAGCCCUGCGUCGGUAGAACAUCAUCAUCGUCACCACGCCGUCGUGCUGACGAAACUCUCCCUCAACACUCGGCUGGAUCGGAGUUCGAGGGACGUCAUCGAGCUGAACGUGUGCUGAACUCGGAGGUGCCGUGCGUUCGGUACUUGAUCGGUCGGAUCGUGAAGACGUACGACUACAUCAACCGCGUUGUGAUAACGCUUCCGCUUUCGGUCUACGAGGGUACGUGGACAACACUCUCCCAUCUCGUUGCUAUGCAUCACCAUGAUCUUGCGUGUGCGUAGGAAUUUUUUUGAAAUUACUACGUUUCCCAACACCCUCGUGGACAGGGUGUGGGCCCCCCUGGCCUUGAUUCUUUCGCUAGUAUUUUUCUUAUUUUCCAAAAAUAAUCUCCGUGGAUUUUUAGGUCAUUCCGAGAACUUUUGUUUCUACACAAAGAUAACACCAUGGCAAUUCUGCUGAAAACAGCGUCAGUCCGGAUUAGUUUCAUUCAAAUCAUGCAAGUUAGAGUCCAAAAUAGGGGCAAAAGUGUUUGGAAAAGUAGAUACGUUGGAGAUGUAUCAGGGAUGCUGAUACGUCUCCAACGUAUCUAUAAUUUUUGCUUGCUCCAUGCUGUUAUAUUAUCAUUCUUGGAUGUUUUACAAUCAUUUUAUAGUCAUUUUAUAUCAGUUUUUGGUACUAAUCUAUUGACAUAGUGCCCAGUGCUAGCUGUUGUUUUCUGCAUGUUUUUUACAUUGCAGGAAACCAAUCCCAAACGGAGUCCAAAUGCAGCGAAACUUUUUGUGGAAUUUUUUGGACCAAAAGACAUCUAGUGGGCCAAGAAAGCACCUGAGGGGAGCUCCGAGGGGAGCACAACCCACCAGGGCGCGCCUGGGGGCCCAGGCACGCCCCGGUGGGUUGUGCCCUCCAUGUUGGUCCCCCACACCGCCUCUUUGCUCUAUAAAUACCCCAAUAUUCCAAAAACCCUAGGGGAGUCGACGAAAAUCAAUUCCAGCCACCGCAGAGUCUAGAAACACUAGAUCCAAUCUAGACACCAUCUCAAAGGGGUUCAUCAUGUCCAUUGGUGCCUCUCCGAUGAUGCGUGAGUAGUUCUUUGUAGACCUAUGGGUCCGUAGUUAGUAGCUAGAUGGCUUCCUCUCUCUCUCUUGAUUAUCAAUACAAUGGUCUCUUGGAGAUCCAUAUGAUGUAAGUCUUUUUGCGGUGUGUUUGUUGGGAUCCGAUGAACUUUGAGUUUAUGAUCAGAUCUAUGUUUUUAUCCAUGAAAGUUAUUUGAGUCUUCUUUGAUCUCUUAUAUGCAUGAUUGAUUAUAGCCUCGUAUUUCUUCUCCGAUAUUUGGGUUUUGUUUGGCCAACUUGAUCUAUUUAUCUUGCAAUGGGAAGAGGUGCUUUGUGAUGGGUUCGAUCUUAUGGUUCUUGAUCCCAGUGUCAGAAGGGGAAAUGACACUUAUGUAUCGUUGCUAUUAAGGAUAACAAGAUGGGGUCUAUUUCUACAUAAAUAGAUCUUUUCUACAUCAUGUCAUCGUUCUUAUUGCAUUACUCCAUUUUUCCAUGAACUUAAUACACUAGAUGCAUGCUGGAUAGCGGUUGAUGUGUGGAGUAAUAGUAGUAGAUGCAGGCAGGAGUCGGUCUACUAAUCUUGGACGUGAUGCCUAUAUAAUGAUCAUUGCUUGGAUAUCGUCAUGAUUAUUUGAAGCUCUAUCAAUUGCCCAACAGUAAUUGUUUUCCCACCGUUUGCUAUUUUUCUCGAGAGAAGCCACUAGUGAAACCUACGGCCCCCGGGUCUCUUUUCAUCAUAUUUGCCUUUGCAAUCUAUUUUCCUUUGCUUUAUUUUCAGAUCUAUUAAACCAAAAAUACAAAAAUACCUUGCUGCACUUUUAUUUAUUUUGCGAUCUAUUUAUCCUAUCUAUCACAACUUUAUCACGUCUUCUCGCCAAUUCGAGGCAUCGUUACCCGAAAGGGAUUGACAACCCCUUUAACAUGUCGGGUUGCGAGUAUUUGUUAUUUGUGUGCGGGGGCUGUUUACGUUGUGUUGCUUCAUUCUCCUACUGGUUCGAUAACCUUGGUCUCAUCACUGAGGGAAAUACCUACCAUCGCUGUGCUGCAUCAUCCCUUCCUCUUUGGGGAAAUACCAACGUAGUUCAAGCAGACAUCAAGGCGUAAAACCCUACUCCUGCUUUGGUGGAUUGAUGGUGGAAAAUGGCGGCGAACGCAACACACUUGCUCGGCAGGGUUGCCUUGGGGCAAGAGUGGGUAUGCGUGUAUGAAUGUGUGAGUGUCCGAAUGGCUGAAUCCCCGAGCCUCUGGAACCGGAGCCCUUUCUACGGUUGCCAUGAGCCUCCUUUUAUAGAGCAAGGGGUCACCACAAUGGCAAAUCAGUCUUUAUGUACUGAUUAGAUAACAAACAGUGCUAUCAUACCUAACUCUGCAGGCUGACAGAGCGCAUUAAAUGCGCUGUCGGGUGUCAUAUCACAGCAUGUCCGGCAACCCUUGCCGGGCUGUCUUCACGCCUGCUUGCUUGACACGUCUUAGGACGGGUGUAAUAUGGAGGUGUUUGCUGUAGGAAGUGGCUGCCAUGUGUCAAAAAGCAGCCACUUAGUCACCUUGGGGCUUGACACCACAUUGAUCUAUGACUUGCGUCGCAUGUGAGGUGGAGCGGUGGAGCGGCCUGCCUCCGCAAGCCCCAGUAGGCCUGCUGGGAUGAUCUGGAAACUUGCUUUCGGGGCAAACCCAACCUUGCCAGGCUCGCCUGCCCGGCAAGGGAGGUUCUUUCCUUAGUGGUAUCUUGCUUCUCUUGCUCAUCUUGGCCUUCUUGAUCUGCACUUGGAGCCUUCAAAGAAUUGAUCCCUCUUGCUUGGUCAAAUCUUGGUGUUGCAAUCUUGUCCUUGGGGCCUGUGCCUAGUACGGGCAAUGGACCCAGGGUUUGUUGCACCGACAUGAGCCCCCGGGCCUGGCUCGAAUGCGCCGCUAGGCAUCAUCGGGGUAGGCCCUAACUAGUGCACAGGCAGGAGCGCAAAGGUGGCUCCGCCCUUUGAGAUCUUCUUUGCUUCUUCAUUAACCCGAGCUUGGGUUAGAUUCCGGUUCUCCCGCGCGCAGUGCAACACCAAUUAUGGUGGGGCCAUUCUUGUAAUGGCCCGUGGAUGACUUUAACGCACGGGCGGGUGACUGCGAAUUCACUCUUCCCACCACGCCCUUAUCCUUAGCCACGUAUGUUGCAUGCAUUGAGCGGGGCAGGUAAUGGAGGCGCGUGGUAUGGGAGAGCAUCAAGGCAGGGCCCCGGUCCAUUUGGAUUGGUGGAGGAGGACGGCGGUUACCCGCUGGGGAAUCAGGCCCCCGCCCCAGCUCGCCUAUAAAAGGAGGAGCGGAGGCAUUCAUCCAAAUUCCUUUCUUCAUCCAUUCUCUACUUUCUCCUGGGUAUGCUGAACGGAAGAGCCCUGGGCCAGGCCUCCGGCCCUAGCUUAGAGCUGAUUGUCGGUGUCAAAACCGGCGGAUCUCGGGUAGGGGGUCCCGAACUGUGCGUCUAAGGCUAAUGGUAACAGGAGGCGGGGACACAAUGUUUACCCAGGUUCGGGCCCUCUCGAUGGAGGUAAUACCCUACUUCCUGCUUGAUUGAACUUGAUGAUAUGAGUAUUACAAGAGUUGAUCUACCACGAGAUCGUAGAGGCUAAACCCUAGAAGCUAGCAUAUGAUUCUGAUUGUUGUUGGUCCUACGGACUAAACCCUCCGGUUUAUAUAGACAUCGGAGGGGGCUAGGGUUACACAGAGUCGGUUACAGAGAAGUAGAUCUACAUAUCCGAAUUGCCAAGCUUGCCUUCCACGCCAAGGAGAGUCCCCUUCGGACACGGGACGAAGUCUUCAAUCUUGUAUCUUCGUAGUCCAAUAGUCCGGCCAAAGUAUAUAGUCCGGCAGUCCGAGUACCCCCUAAUCCAGGACUCCCUCAGUAGCCCCUGAACCAGGCUUCAAUGACGAUGAGUCCGGCGUGCAGAUUAUCUUCGGCAUUGCAAGGCGGGUUCCUUCUCCGAAUACUCCAUAGAAGAUUUUGAACACGAGGAUCGUGUCCGGCUCUGCAAAACAAAUUCCACAUACCACCGUAGAGAGAAUAAUAUUCCACAAAUCUAAUCUGCUGACAACUUUUCACAGCGUGACAUCACGCCGCGGCCCGGUAAUUAUUCGAACCGUUUUUCUCAACCAGCUGCUGCGCAUACUGCGAGGCGGUUUCAUUGGCACGUCUUGUUGAAGCAGAGAUCGUGUCCCCUUAUCACGGGAUUCUCAUCCAUACGGGUGUGGGUAACCCAACCGCGCCAUCAACGCGGCGCUUGGGGAAUAAGCGAGUUUACCGGGCAAGUGGGGAGGCGCAGGAUACCUGCUGCCUUUAUAAGGAGAUAAGGACUCCCCUUUUUCACCCACGCCUUCUUCUUCCUCUGCUCAUCCAUUCCCUUGCUCAAACUCCAGCGCCCAAGCGUUCGUCUUCUCUGCCCACAAGGGCCUUCCGAAAAUGUCCGGAUCCGGAGCAAGAGGCAAGUGGAUGGCCUCUACCGUCCGGGAGAAGGAUAUCAAAAAGCUUCGAGAGGCCAGGUAUCUGGCCAAGAAAAUCAGCCACCAUCUUCCGACGGCGGGACAGAUAGUCCCUACUCCGGAACCCCACGAGAGGGUUGUAUUCCUCCCUCAUUUUGUCCGCGGGCUAGGGUUUCCCCUCCACCCAUUCGUUCGCGGCAUCAUGUAUUAUUACGGGAUCGAUUUUCAUGAUCUAUCCCCCAAUUCCUUAACAUCUCGACAUUCAUCGUCGUGUGUGAGGCCUUUCUCCACAUCUCGCCACACUUCGGCUUAUGGCUGAAGAUUUUUAAUGUGAAGCCCAAGGUAGUGAGCAGCGAGCGCGCCAAGUGCGGAGGCGCUAUGGUGAGCAAGAUGCCCAACGUCACAUGGCCAUCAGGUACUUUUAAUGAUUCCAUCAAAGAGUGGCAGCAGCAGUGGUUCUAUGUCACCAAGCCACGCGACCCAAAAUGGGCCGUAGCUCCCGAAUUCCGGUCCGGAGCUCCCCUGCGGCUUACGUCCUGGCCCAAGAAGGGCCUGAACUGGUCUUCUUCCGACGAAUUGUCGGAGCUCCAGACGCGCAUCAAGGAUAUGGAAGACAAGAAUAUCAAACUUGUCGAUGUAGUCCAGGUGAUGUUAGUUCGCCGGAUUCUUCCUUGCCAACGCAGAUCUUGCAGCUUAUGGUAAUUCGACCCGGCCAAGCACCAGACCCUGCGAGAGCUCUUCGGCUCCUCGCAUGAGGACAUCUGGAAGGUGCUCUUCAAGUCCGGCGAAUCGUGGCCGGACUCCGCCGAGGACCGCGGGUACCAACUGUCCCGCCCUGCAAGUUCGGUAAGUCAUUGUAUGUUGGCAACUAAUACGCUUUAUAUGCAUAACUUGAGGGAAAUGCUUGAUGUGUUUUCCACCACUCUCCUAGGGCAUGACGAAGAAGGCGGGGCGGAUCUACUGUCCGGCCCCCCUACCAGAAGAACCGGCCGGCCCACAUCGGACGAAGAUGCUGGUCCCGGCGCCUUACAAGGAGGCCAAAAAGACCAGGGCGGCCCUCGUCUCCGCGGUACUUCGGACACAAUACCCGAAGACUCCGAUGCCCGCUCUUCCCCCGAAGAGGUCGAGGAAGAGGAGGAAGACCAAUCCCCAGUGAGGGGAAGAAAUAAAAGGACGGCCUCCACAUCUCUAGAGGCCGAGUCACCUAAGAAGGAAAAAAACCUUCCGGAGGAGUCCACCGCCGCCGCCGACAGCAGCCCGGAGUGGGAUCCCAGGGCCCAGCCCCUGGUGAACUCGUGAGUAUAUAAAAUCCAAACACGUUUACGCAUCCGAACUCACUAUGGCAUGAUGUUUUGACCAUCAUCCAUAUUUUUUUGGCAGUCCGGUGAGGUCCCACACCGAUCCAUCCUCAUCGGAGGGUUCACUGGGUUCGGAUGCUAUGGACAGCGGGACACCCCUGAAGGCCCCUUCCCCAAAAUAGAUGAAUGAUACCGAGGCGACGUCCCAGAGGGAACUAGGCCAAGGAGGGGGGAGAAGACCAUAAAGGCGGCGCCAGGGGGUCAAGCUUCAAGGGCCGGACACACGGGAGAAAAGGCUCCCAUGGAUGUCGACGGCGGGGGCUAUCUUCAAUUCGGCCCCCAGCCGGACACAAUUCCGGAGACCAAUACGGCUCCAGCAUCAAGCAGGCUGCCUCCCUCGGCUGGAGGGGGUGUGCCUAUUCCACCGGCAACUUCUGUCCAACCAGAGGUGCCAGAUAUUUUAUCGGCGGCGCUAAAGACCGCCUCCAUCGUUGAAGAACACCGUGCCCUUAUGGGUACGGUGAUUGAGAAGAUUCAGUCCGCUGAGAGUGGACUGAAUGAAGCCUGCAUCAGCCUGAUAACGGGCUUUGAGGUAUGUUUUGUGAGAUAUCGAAGAAUGUCAUAGUGUAGGUAUAGUAGCCCCUGAUACACUGUUCGGUGAAAGAAAGAACUGAACAGAGGAUCAAAUAUAUGUUCGCAGGAGACUCACUUUAUGGCAUCUCUCUUUUGUUCAAAAGCAGGCGUCUAUGGCAACUGCCGCCUCUCGAACUGCGGAAGUCUCCGGACUGAGACAGAGUCUGGAGCGGACCGAAGAACUCGGCCGAGUGAAGAAGCAGUUGGAGGAUAACCAAGGUAUACAGAAACCUUUUUCGCAUUCAGUGCGAAUGAUUGAGUUAUUAUGAUGAAAAUAUUUUUAUGAUGUGCUCUAGGGGUGACGGCCGAAAUUGAGGCUCUUAAGAAGGCUGUGGCCGAAGCCGAGAAGAAGGCAGCCACAGAGCGGGCUCUUUGGGAAAAGCACGAGGCCAGGGUUAUUGAAGCUGAGCGAGAUCUUCAAGAGGCCGUGAAGAAAUGCGAGACCUUGGAGCAGAGUUUAUCAGGGAAAUAAUUCGAACUCUCCCAAGCUCGCCAAGCCGCAAGUGAUGCCCGGGGGGAAGCCCAGGGCGCCCUGAAGGAAAUCCAGGAGGCGAGGAAGAUUGCGGCUGGUAAGGCUUUGUCUAUGCAAAGCGUGUAUUUGAAAGGAGAAGAUCACGUUUACUAAUUUGAGUUCGGAUUUCUCCAGGGGUAUUUGCGGAGCUGCCACGCAGCAUAUCUGACGCUGCCCAAUUCUACCGAGCCGAAGAAAGGAGCACUGCGGAAAAGCUCUUCUGGUCGCUGUAUCUGGCGCCGAAUUAUCCGGUGCCAUUUGCCGAUCAGCUGAAACGGCUGAUCGAACUGCAUAAGGUGGCCGAACUAGCCAUGAAGGAUUUAAUUAUCCGGCUAUGGCCCGCCGAGCCGAUUCCAAGCAGCUACUUUGGGCUCGUUAAGCGGCUUGUGAGUGCCUGCCCUCGACUUGAUGUCAUCAAGCGGUCGGUCUAUAUUGAAGGUGCGUGAAUGGCCUUCGCCCGCGCAAAGGUGCACUGGGGGAAGAUGGAUGCUGAAAAGCUGAUGACCGAGGGACCGCCAGAGGGGAAGGAGCACCGCAAGCCCGAAUUAUAUUAUGAUAGUGUGCUGAAAGGAUCCUGCCUUGCGGCGGAGCAAUGCACUAAGGACAUUAUAUUUCCAUGAAUACAGUCAUGUUGUCCUUUGUAAUGUUGAACAAGGUCAUUUCUAUUAUUUAUUGCCUGUUAUUUGAAAAAAUUUCCUCCUGCGCGGCCGUUUUAUAUAUUAAUCCUGAGAGUUGGCUAGUCGUCGGCUUCUGCCCCCACGUAGGAAGUACGGGGGUGUUCGGGAUAAACCUGAGGACUCUUUAUCCCAAUUUUGGGUCCUAGAAGGAGGUGUUCAGCACAACGAACCAGGCAAUCGGACUAUAAGGCUUUAUCACUCUCACUUAGCCAUAGGAGUUUGACAAAAGGAAGGUAGGCGCAGCCCCUGGUGUCGUGGAAUUGUCACGGCAGAUGUCCUCGAGCUAGGACUUAGUCGUGGAGCCAUCGCAACUAGGAAGCUGGAAGGGGUUAAGUGGGACAAGGAACACGAGGGUUUAUACUGGUUCGGCCCCUUACGGUGAAGGUAAAAGCCUACGUCCAGUUUGAGGUGGUAUUGAUUAGGGUUUCGAUGACCAGGGAGCUUAACUGCUAUGCCUGGCUCUCGACGAGAUCUUUCUUGUCCCUAAACCGCUGCUGGGUCAUCCCUUUAUAUAGGGAGGCUGACGCCCAGCAGCUCUCAGAGUCCCGGCCGGCUCAUAAGAGUGUCCGGCUCGGACUCUCAACUAUUCUUGCCUUACACUACAAGUUCUACCAUAAUAAUGAUGGUAACUACGGGCCUUAAGCCAUAUCCGGGUCUUAAGCCCAUCUCUGGCCCAUCGUCUUCAAGCUUGGCUCCGGGCUUCUGGCAAUGACCAUAUGAGUAACCCGGCCCCUCCUGGCGGGUGACUCUAAGGUCUAUAUCCUCAACAUUAGGCCCCAGAUUGAUUUGAGCCGGCUCAUGUCAAUCUUCAAUUCUUUCGACAGAAAACCUCCGGCUUACCAUUGUGUGAGAGCCAUAACCCGGCGCGACGUCAUCCUCUGGACUCCGGGUAAUCCGCCAUGAUGUCAUAUUCCAUUAAGCCCAUUUUUUACUCCACCAGAUCCGCAACGGAUCUUAUCUUUACUGCCAUCCCGAAAAUCGAGGCGUUUCAUGGGGAGAUAACCACGCCAUGGUCUCCUUGUUUCUCGCGCCCACUUUAUGAGCUCGCCCUUAUAAAUAGGCCGGCCCGACGGGCCUUUCCGCCACCCUUCUUCCUCCUUGCGCCACUGUUCCUCUGCUCGAGCUCGAACUCUGCCGCCGCCGCAGCGCCCCCGGUCUUCGUCAACCUUGGCCGCUGCAUCACCCUGACUCGGUCCAGACAAACGGCGGCAACCUCCGCUCCUCUUCAGCACCGGUGAGUCCUCGCUACUCCAUAGGGCAGAUCCGCACUAGGGCUUCAUAGUUCUUCCUCUGUUCUUCGUAGUUCAUCGCGACCCUCAGUAGAUUUGAAUUUUACUGCCUCUUUUUGAUCUUAGUAUAGGGUAGAACUAGUGCGGCGGCUGUUUAGCACUCAUUUCAAAUCCAAGUAGGCCUCUUUUUACUGCAUAAAGACCUCAUUCGAGCUCGAGAACCUCCCUCGCAUCUGUUUCUAGGUCUAGAAACCUUUUCUUUUGCCCGACCAUUUUGAUCCAAAAUAUUUACCGCAAUGUGUGAAACCUGUUUUCACCACACUUAGUGAAAAACUGCCCUCAUUGAAUCAUGGCGGUUUACAUUUCUGACUUAAAGAAAACACGCGCCAUAGAACCUUCCGACUUAAGAGAAGCCACGCACCGUAAAACUUUCCGGCUCACUUAUAACAAGGCUGUAGACAAUUUGAAUUACCCUCAAGCACACCAGUGGCUUAGAUAACCCGAUGUACUUAGACAUAUAUCAUUAGUCCCCUCCAUAAGCCGCCACCUUAAACCUUAACUUUGUAAGUCUCCUCCGGCUCAUUAUUAAACCGGAUAUUUUUCCCUGUAUCAUAGGUUUCCAACAGUCACCAUGCCUCCCAAGGCUCCUAAAGCCUCCAUCACUUGCAACUGGAUGAGGUCCAAUGUCACCAACGAAACCUUAGCAGAUUUUGUCAAGUCCGGCUAUCUGCCCAAGAAAGACAUCAUGUCCUACCGUGCCCCUGACCCGUCAGAAGAGAGACCACAGCCAAAGGACGGGGAGGUAGUGAUUUUUGCGGAUCAUAUGAGCCGGGGCUUCGCACCGCCCGGCUCAAAGUUUUUCAGAGACGUUCUGAACUUCUUCGAUCUGCGGCCUCAAGACAUAGGACCCAACUCAGUGUCUAAUAUCUGCAACUUCCAAGUGUUCUGCGAGGUUUACCUUGGAGAAGAACCCAGUCUGCUGCUCUUCAGAGAGCUUUUCUAUUUAAACCGUCAGAAUGAGUGUGCCAACGGGCCAAGUCUGGAGCUAGGCGGCAUCUCCAUCCAGCGGCGGAGGGACUGCCUUUUCCCUUACGCAGAGCCGCCCAGCCACCCCAAGGACUGGAAUCUGACGUGGUUUUACUGCCAAGACACGUCGCCGGCUGAUGAGAGUCCGUUGCCCGGCUUUCGCCCCUCGCGUCUGGAGCCGACUCACCCACUGUCAGACAAGCUGACUCAAGCGGAGCGCCAACCUCUGCUCCCCACCAUCAACAAGAUCAAGGCUCUCCUGGGUAAUGGUCUGAACGGAAUCGAUCUGGUCCGGGUCUGGAUCUCGUGGCGGGUGAUCCCAUUGAGCCGCCGCCCCGGCUUAAUGUGUGAGUACACGGGCCGAAAGGAUGACCCCCAGAGACAUAGCCACAACGAUCUUCCUGAAGAUGUUGCAGAGGAGAUGACCAAGGCUCUCUUGAACGAGAGCCUGGCAGACUGCGGAAGGACCGGGUUAGCCCCCUUCUGCAAGACCAACCCAGCCCCAGCGGUAAGCCGCUGAUCUAAACCUCUUAUAUGUAUAUAACUGUCAUCUGAAUCAUUUUAAGAAAUCAUCAUUGUAUUUUUCAGGCUGAUGAUAAGUUCUGGCGGGUCAAAUAUGACCAUGAGGCAGCCAAGAAGGCCAGAAAGGCGAAGAAAGCCGCCAAGAAAGCCGCCCCUCGCAAGAAAGGAAACAGGCCUACUGCUUCAGAGCUGAUGCAACUAAGCGACAGCUCCGAGUCAGAGGUAACCCCUGAGCCCGUAAGUCCUCGUUGUACUUUGUUGUUUAUUUCUGUCCGCCUUAUCAAUACUUGUUCAUCAAUAGGACGACACCGGAGCAAGUAACCCGGUGGUUGAAGAGGUAACAACAUUUUCCUCCGACUCGGAGCCCUUGCCCAGGCUGAAAAUCCAAAGGGUAACCCGGAAAGUAAGCUUUUCACAUCCUUUAGCUUAUCAAGACCCUCACUUUAUUUUGAAGCGACAGGUGCAUGAGAGCCGGCGGCACACCCGGACCGACAAAAGCACCGACCUCUCCUCCGGGUUACCUGACGCAUCGAGGAAACUCCGGACCGAGGUGAUCUCAAAAUUGUACCCUUUUCAUCCUUUGGCAGGUGUUAUACGUCAACCGCUCAACUCUUCUGACUCAAAUUAUCAGGAAACUUCCCCCUCUUCCGGCGACUCUAUGCAGUCAAGCCUGCCGGCUUUCAAGACCGUGCCCGGGUAAUGAUAACCAUCUCAUGUUGUACUUUUGUCUUCACUUACCCUAUUGUGCUUAAUCUUUUUGUCCUUUCAGUGCCCAGGCCAAGAUCACCAAGAGGGCGAAGAAGUCCAAGCCGGCCGAUGAGCCGGACUUGCCUGAGCCAGAGGCAGCCGCUCAAGAGCCUCCAGCUGCCUCUGCACCUGAGGCCGCUGCCCCAACCACCAAGGCAACUACAGAAGCUGCUGUUAACCCGGAGGCCUCCAGCUCGGCUCCACCAGCAAAUGACCCGGACGUGGUAAUCACCCGGACGGAGUUCGUUGAGCCGGGGAGACCUACCGUGCUGGCCAAGUGCUCCGCCAAAGGGGAGCUGCUGGAGUCGCGCCGGGUUAACCUGGACCUCACCGACUACUCCAACUUGAACAUUGGAGAGAUCGUCUCCGGCUUCGUCAGCCAAGUGCACAAGAGCCGGGACGCAGAAAUUGCUAUGGUGACCCAGAUCCAGCAGAAAUCUGAGGUAAUAUCAUUCUGUCUUCUUACUUACUGCUUAGUUACCUGUACCAUGCUAGCCCCCAAGUCGACGACUUAUGAUUGAGUAUGUUGUAGACUUAGGUUUCGGCUUACUCCAUUGAACCGGCAAUGUGUAGAUAGAAACGUUCAAUAUGCAUUAGCCCCCAAGUGCCAAGUGUCUUUGCUUGGAAAACGCUUGGGACUUUAAAUUUGUAUAGUAACUGUUCAUGCCAUAACCCGGACAUUUAUACAGGCUGCUGGCAAGAAGCUUGAGGCUGACCUCGCUGAUCUCAAGAACCGGCUGAAGAUGCAAGAGAUGGAGACCCGGAAGGCAAAUGCCAAGUUUGUGUCCAGCAUCGCCGCGCAAGAGAAGCUGAAGACGGAGUUUGACGCUGAGCGGAAGGCGUGGGCCGAAGAAAAGGCCGCAUUGGUGAACCGGGCUGAACAGGCGGAGAAGGCUCUCUCCGAGAAGACCGCCGAGCUCUUCGGCCAAAAGUGCCAAGUGUCCCAGAUGGUGGCCGCAAUCUUCGGUAAGUCGUCUCCCCGGCUUUCAUCAAGUUUAGAAUUUACAUAUCCCAUAAUUCAUCCUUGUCGGCGGCUUAUCUGACUCUGUUAAACAGGUCCCAGAAGUGCCAACCUGAACCAGAGUGUGGUGACCAAGCUGAAGGCCGUAUACACCCUGGUGGAGCAGCUCUACACCGGGUCACAACGUGCCUUGGCUGUGGUGGCCCUCUCCAACGAGGUGCCGACUCACCUGGCGGAAGUCCUUCGCCGGCUCGCCGUUCUGCCUCAACGGAUCCAAGAGCUGCGACGGGCCUCUGCAAGAGCCGGAGCGAUCGCCGCGCUGAGCCGGGCCAAGGCGUUCCUGCCAGAGUUAGACCCGGCGGACAUCGCCCUUGGCUAUCCAUGUCUGAAGGAAGAUGGCACUGCCUUCGAUCAGAAGGAUUUCGCAGCUUGCGUGAAGGCCGUACGCCCAGUGGCCACUCUGAUUGGCAAUGAUACAGAUCUGUCUAAGUAUCAGCCGGGCUACGAUGCAGAAAAUCAGAGGAUCCCUACUCCGCGCUACGAUGCCCUCAACUUGAUCCCGCCGGCUCGUCAGCACACCUUCGCCCCGGAGAUUGACCCGGCGGGGUUAAUUGACGAGGAGGCCCAAUUCGAAGCUCUCAGCGGCAUCGACUGGAAGUCAUCCACUUUCCAGGUCUUGGGAUCAGCCGGAGGAGAAGAAAGGAACGAGCCGGAGACUUCAACCCAGCAAGCGUCAUAACUCGGCUGGCGGCUUAUCAAACAAUGCCUCACUCUUUUGGACUCGAUGAGUCUUGUAAUAGAGUAGGACCAAUACUGUAUCUUUGCCGUGCCAUCGUGCACGCCUUGAAUGCUGAAGUCUGUUGAAGUUGUCCCCUUUAUGUUUCUCCGGGUCGUAAUCAAUCAUUUGUUUUCCUUAAUCUCAAAAUAGUUGCCUUAAACUAUCCUGCAGAGAAGGACAAAUCACAAGUCUCGAGGCGGCUUACCGCCCUGAGAAUCAUAAGUUUUAGAUACAUAACCCGGAAUAUGAAUCAAAAAGGACUGGUCUCCAAUGAUAUCCUUAAUGCAGCCGUAAUAACAUACGUAGCGGCCUGCAAGCAUACUUCCGGUUUAGAUAACCCGGGUAAUAAGGUUGGCACCUCAAUUCCGGUUUACCUGACUUGAUAACACUCAUUGUGUCCAACUAACCCUGGAAAUCAAAGUCUAAACCGGCCAAGUGAAACCCGGCCGUACACACUUUGAAAUGAUCAGAAGAACCCUAUAAUGAAGCAGAAGAACUUAGGGGCUUCCGGUUCGAAUACGACCAGAGACCCGGCCCAAAGGGGUUAAGCUAAGAUUCGGAUACGAUCAUAUAGCCCCCAGUGGGUGUGGCGAUGCCAAUCAAGAGGGUACCGACAGCUAUGUUCUCUUUGGUUCAAAUACGACCUAUGUUUGAACAGGAAGCCCCCAAGUGAUUUUAAGAAUUGUUUAACGACGCUGAUUCGAAUACGAUCCACGUCGGUUCCCAAAGGGGUUAAACUAUGAUUCAAAUAUGAUCAAAGAAAACCUCCCAAUGAGCUCGGCACUUUGCCAAUCAAAUGGGUAUCAACAGCUAUGUUCUCUUUGGUUCGAAUAUGACCCAUGUUUGAACAGGAAGCCCCCAAGUGACCUUAUUACCUUCGGCUAGAUUCGAAUACGAUCACAAGCCGGAUCCUCCUUCAAGUUAUCAUGUUAAUCUUGCAAUGAAAACAACACGUGCACAUUUGGAGGAGAAAAAGGACAGAGGUCCUGCUUUAUUGCUUAUCAUAAUAUAUACAUGGCUGAAAGAAAUAUGUACAUUAUGACAGCCGGUGGCUCAAGUGUAGUAAGGCCGAAGCUGAGCUAUGUUCCAUGGCCGACGGGUCUCUUCUUCUAACUUACGUGAAUCUUUGUGCUCCCGAAUGUCAAUGAGGUAAUAUGACCCGUUGUGCAAGUUCUUGCUGACCACAAAGGGUCCUUCCCAAGGCGGGGAUAGCUUGUGCGCAUCUGUUUGAUCUUGGAUGAGCCGGAGCACGAGAUCCCCUUCCUGGAAGACCCGGGAUUUAACCCGGCGACUAUGAUAACGGCGCAGGUCUUGUUGGUAAAUCGCUGAGCGAGCUGCUGCCACAUCACGCUGUUCGUCCAACAAGUCAAGAGCGUCUUGGCGCACCUGUUCAUUGUCCGCCUCAACAUAAGCCGCCACUCGAGGCAAGUCAUGCCGGAUGUCACUGGGGAGGACUGCCUCUGCCCCAUAAACCAUGAAGAAAGGUGUGAAACCUAUAGAUCUGUUAGGAGUAGUGUUGAUGCUCCAUAACACGGAGGGCAACUCCUCCACCCAACAACCCGGCGUCCGUUGCAACGGGACCAAAAGCCGGGGCUUGAUGCCCUUCAGAAUCUCCUGAUUAGCUCUCUCAGCUUGACCAUUGGAUUGAGGAUGAGCAACUGAGGAGACAUCAAGUCGGAUAUGCUCUCGUUGACAAAACUCUUCCAUGGCGCCUUUGGAUAGAUUGGUGCCAUUGUCAGUUAUAAUGCUGUGCGGAAAGCCAAAGCGGAAAAUCACCUUUUUCAUAAAUUGAACCGCCGUGGCUGCAUCGCACUUGCUAACUGGCUCAGCUUCCACCCACUUUGUGAAUUUGUCAACUGCCACCAAGAGGUGGGUCUUCUUAUCCUUGGACCUUUUAAAAGGCCCAACCAUAUCAAGCCCCCAGACCGCAAAGGGCCAAGUGAUUGGGAUCAUCCUCAGCUCCUGAGCCGGCACAUGAGCCCGUCGUGAGAACCUCUGGCAACCAUCACAUUUACUGACCAAGUCCUCCGCAUCAGCAUGAGCCGUCAGCCAAUAAAAACCAUGGCAAAAAGCCUUGGCCACAAGAGACUUUGAACCGGCGUGAUGGCCACAAUCCCCUUCAUGAAUCUCACGCAAGAUCUCUUGACCUUCCUCAGGGGAGACACAACGCUGAAAUGCCCCUGUAACACUGCGAUGAUGCAACUCGCCAUUGAUAACAAUCAUUGACUUAGCCCGCCGGCUUAUUUGUCUGGCCAAAGUUUCAUCCUCAGGCAACUCACACCGGGUCAUGUAAGCCAAAUAGGGCAUUGUCCAAUCCGGUAUGAUGUGGAGAGCCGCCACCAGUCGUGCCUCCGGGUCAGGGACAGCCAAGUCUUCCUCUGUAGGCAGCUUAACAGAAGGUUUAUACAGGACAUCCAGGAAAGUAUUAGGUGGCACCGGCUUUCGCUGAGAGCCUAGCCGGCUUAAAGCAUCAGCUGCCUCGUUCUUCCUGCGAUCAAUGUGCUCUACUUGGUAACCCUGAAAGUGCCCAGCAAUGGCAUCAACUUCGCGGCGAUAAGCCGCCAUGAGAGGGUCCUUAGAGUCCCACUUGCCUGAUACUUGUUGAGCCACCAAGUCUGAGUCACCGAAACACCUUACCCGGCUCAAGCUCAUCUCCUUAGCCAUCCGAAGACCGUGGAGCAAGGCCUCGUACUCAGCCGCAUUGUUAGUGCAAGGAAACAUCAACCGUAACACAUAAUGGAACUUGUCACCUUUAGGGGAAGCCAAUACAACUCCAGCCCCCGAGCCCUCCAACUGCCUGGACCCAUCGAAGUGAAUAGUCCAAUAUGUGUUAUCCGGCUUUUUCUCGGGCACUUGUGACUCUGUCCAAUCAUUGAUGAAAUCCACCAAGGCCUGAGAUUUAACAGCAGUGCGUGGCACAUAUUUGAGACCGUGAGGUCCCAGCUCUAUAGCCCACUUAGCCACUCUCCCUGUGGCCUCUCUGUUUUGAAUGAUAUCACCAAGAGGGGCAGAACUGACCACUGUUAUAGGAUGACCCUGGAAAUAAUGCUUAAGCUUCCGGCUUGCCAUGAACACACCAUAAACAAGCUUCUGCCAAUGUGGAUACCGCUGUUUGGACUCGAUAAGCACUUCGCUGACACAAUAAACCGGCCGCUGAACCGGAUACUCCUUACCCUCUUCCUUGCGUUCCACCACCACAGCCACACUGACGGCUCGUGUGUUCGCCGCCACGUACAGUAAUAAGGGCUCCUUAUCAACCGGAGCAGCAAGGAUUGGGGGCUCUGCUAGCUGCUUCUUCAAAUCCUCAAAAGCGGUAUUAGCUGCAUCAUUCCAGACAAAGUUAUCAGUUUUCUUCAUCAACUGAUAUAAUGGCAUGGCCUUCUCACCCAAACGGCUUAUAAACUGGCUUAAAGCAGCUAUGCGACCCGCCAAGCGCUGAACGUCAUUUAUACAUGCCGGCUUAGCCAGGGAGGUGAUAGCUUUGAUUUUCUCCGGGUUAGCUUCAAUGCCUCUGUCAGAAACCAAAAAGCCCAAGAGUUUGCCUGCAGGAACACCAAAAACACACUUGGCCGGGUUAAGCAUCAUCUUGUAAACCCGGAGAUUAUCAAAGGUUUCUCUCAAGUCAUCUAUCAGGGUUUCCUCCUUUAUGGACUUAACCACAAUAUCGUCCACAUAAGCAUGAACAUUGCGCCCAAUCUGGUUAUGAAGACAGUUCUGCACGCAAUGCUGAUAAGUCGCCUGUGCACACUUGAGUCCAAAGGGCAUAGAUACAUAGCAGAAGGCUCCAAAGGGAGUGAUGAAUGCCGUCUUCUCCUGGUCCUUAACUGCCAUUUUAAUCUGAUGAUAUCCGGAAUAAGCAUCCAAGAAACUUAAGCGCGCACAACCCGCCGUAGCAUCAAUAAUUUGAUCAAUACGGGGAAGGGCAAAAGGACCAGCCGGACACGCCUUGUUUAUGUCCGUGUAGUCCACACACAUCCGCCAAGUGCCGUUCUUCUUGAGUACGAGCACCGGGUUAGCUAACCACUCUGGGUGAAAGACUUCAACAAUAAAUCCGGCCGCCAAGAGCCGGGCCACCUCUUCACCAAUAGCUUUCCGCCUCUCUUCAUUAAACCGCCGAAGGAACUGCCUGACCGGCUUAAACUUCGGAUCAACAUUGAGAGUGUGCUCAGCGAGUUCUCUAGGUACACCUGGCAUGUCAGAAGGUUUCCACGCGAAGAUGUCCCUAUUCUCACGGAUGAACUCGAUGAGCGCGCUUUCCUAUUUCGGAUCCAGAUUGCCACUGAUGCUAAACUGCUGAGAUGAAUCUCCUGGAACAAAAUCAACAAGCUUAGUUUCAUCAGCCGACUUUAAUUUCAUCGCCGGCUCAUUCUCCGUAGUUGGCUUUUUCAAAGAGGUCAUAUCCGUUGGGUCAACAUUAUCUUUGUAAAACUUCAACUCCUCUGUUGCACAAACAGAUUCUACAUAAGCCGCAUCGCCCUCCUCACACUCCAGAGCCACUUUCCGGCUGCCGUGAACCGUAAUGGUCCCGUUGUGACCCGGCAUCUUGAGCUGUAAGUACACAUAACAUGGCCGUGCCAUGAACUUGGCGUAAGCCGGCCGUCCAAAUACAGCAUGGUAUGGGCUUCUUAUCUUGACCACCUCAAAGGUCAAUUUCUCCACCCUAUAGUUGUUCUCAUCUCCAAAGGCCACUUCCAAUUCAAUCUUGCCGACUGGAUAAGCCAACUUACCAGGUACCACACCGUGGAAAAUAGUGUUGGACUGGCUGAGGUUUUUAUCAAUCAACCCCAUACGACGGAAAGUCUCAUAAUAGAGGAUGUUGAUGCUGCUGCCUCCAUCCAUGAGCACCUUAGUGAACUUAUAUCCUCCCACCUGAGGAGCCACCACUAGGGCCAAGUGACCCGGAUUAUCCACCCGUGGAGGGUGAUCCUCCCUACUCCACACUAUAGGCUGCUCAGACCACCGCAAGUAGCGUGGAACCGCCGGCUCAACAGCAUUCACAGCCCUCUUAUGAAGCUUCUGAUCUCGCUUACACAGACUGGUGGUAAACACAUGAUAUUGUCCACCGCUAAGCUGCUUUGGAUUGGUCUGAUAACCCCCCUGCUGCUGUUGAUGACCCUGACCAGACUGUUGAUUAAAGCCCCCUUGACCGUUCUGAGGACCAGAAUUUGAGCCGCCGCCCGGGCCAUGAAAGCCGCUGGCGCCUGAGCCGCCGCCCAGGCCAUUGUAAUUCUUAAAGGCCUUCAUGAUUGCACAAUCCUUCCAUAGAUGAGUCGCUGGCUUCUCUCUAGAGCCAUGCCUUGGACAAGGCUCAUUCAACAGUUGCUCCAGUGUCGGGCCUGACCCGCCGCCUCGGGGAGGGGGCCUCCCCUUGCGUCGCUGGUUAUUACCUUGCGAGCUGGCGUUGGCUACGAACUCUAGGCUGCCAUCGGCCUUGCGCUUACCUCCUCCUUGGUUCCCCGGGUUAUGCUGAGGACCCUUGCCAUUGCCAUUCUUCUUUCCCUUCCCUGCCCUUUCAUCAUCUGAAGGGGGAUCCUUGGUACCAUCAGAAUCGGCGUACUUGACAAGAGCCGCCAUUAGCAUACCCAUAUCACUGCAGUCGCGCUUAAGCCGCCCGAGCUUCAUCUUCAGGGGCACGAAACGACAAUUCUGUUCCAACAUUAAGACUGCAGAGCCGGCAUCCAUCUUAUCUGAUGAAUGUAUGAUCUCCUUGACCCGGCGAACCCAGUGAGUCGUGGAUUCACCCUCCUUCUGCUUACAGUUAGUCAAAUCCACAAUUGACAUAGACUGCCUACAGGUAUCUUUGAAGUUUUGGAUGAACUGGGCUUUCAGCUCAGCCCAAGACCCGAUGGAUUUUGGUGGUAGCCCUUUUAACCAAGUGCGGGCAGUCCCAUCCAACAUCAUGGUGAAGUACUUGUCCAUUGCCGCCUCACUGACCUCCAGUAGUUCCAUGGCCAUCUCGUAACUCUCGAUUCAGGCUGCGGGUUGUAAGUCAGCCGUGUAGUUGGGCACCUUCCUAGGGCCUUUGAAGUCCUUGGGUAAACGUUCAUUGCGGAUAACUGGCACUAAGCAAGGGACACCCCCAGUCCUGGUAGGGAUGCCCACAUCGACGGACGUCGUCGGAUAAGCCGGGGGAGUCUGGUAGGCCGUCAACUGAGGCACCCGCCUCUUGCCGCACUGUCUUGGUCCGCUGCGUGAAAGGCUCCGUUAUGAGCCGGGCCAUGGCCAGGGGGCGGGUCAUGGCGUCGGACGUUACUUGAGCCGGUCGCUGAGACCAUGUGCCGGCUGUAACUCGGGCUCCGGCCUGGACGAGGGGUCGAGUGGAUCCUGUCCCGGCUGUAGGAGUACGCCUCUUGCUGUGCCAGUGCUGUCUGAAGGAGUUCCCUGACCCGGCGGGUUUCAAUAGCCGUCGGAGAGUCGCCGUCCACUGGGAGAGCCGCCAGCCGUGCUGCCGCAGCGACCAUGUUCUCCAGCGGGUUAUUAUAAUGACCCGGUGGUAUUGGCACGUACUGAGGCAGGGCAGGGGGCACCUAGGGAGGCCCCAUCACUUGUGGCUGAAUAGGGGUCCCAGACCCGGGCAUUAUGACCCCUGGCGGGUUACUAGACCCUGCACCUGGCGUGUUGAAGAGGUUACGUGGAUCGUAAACCGGAGGGAGUCGAGAUUGGGCCUUUUGAUGCCUCCUUCUCAGGACCUCAUUGGACGCGUUUUGAUCCAUCGUGAGCCGGAAGGACUACGCUUGAAUCAACUGGGUUUGGGCAUCGAGAGCCGCCCACUCCACAGCCAUCCUGAUCCCUUCCGCUGCCAGAUCCUCCUUAGCCUUCACUAGAUCCAACUUUAACUGUGCCACCUCCGCAUCAUGCUGAGCUUGAUCCGCCGAGUCAACCGUGGCGGUUAACAGGGCCGUCAUCUUGUCCGUGAGAUCCAUUAGCACCUGAGCCGGCGAGGGCACCGGGUUUCCCGCUCCAGCAGCAGGGUUCUGAACAGGCUGUGCACCGGCCAUAAAGACCCCAACCUGACUUGGCGGCUCAAACGGGUCCGGAAUACUGUCACCAUCGGAAUAACCCAUGAGCCAGCCAUCUUGAAGUUGAUACAACGAGUUUGACUCAUCGGUGGACGACUCGCCGUCAGAGCCGGCGGCCGUCUCACCACCAGACCCAGAUCGAUCAGAGAGCCCUCCAUGGACGCAUCCCACAAAAGCAUGCCUUAUGGCAGGCCGGGCCCGGGCGGGUCGUGCACGCUGAGCCGUCUUGAUGAGAUCGGCGCAGAGAUCCGGCUCAGGCCCCGGCUCACCAAUCUUGCCGAUGAAAACAUGAAUUCCGCCGAAGGGAACCCGAUACCCGUACUCAAUUGAGCCGGCGUCGGGGCCCCAGUUUGCAUUGUCGAUGUAGAGCUUGCCGCGACGACUCUUGGUCAUCCGGCCCACAGCGUAUCCCUUGAGCCCUUCGAAGCUGCCCUUCAAGAACUCAAAUCCACCGCGCGCUAGCCCCACGGUGGGCGCCAACUGUCGUGGAAUUGUCACGGCAGAUGUCCUCGAGCUAGGACUUAGUCAUGGAGCCAUCGCAACUAGGAAGCUUGAAGGGGUUAAGUGGGACAAGGAACACGAGGGUUUAUACUGGUUCGGCCCCUUACGGUGAAGGUAAAAGCCUACGUCCAGUUUGAGGUGGUAUUGAUUAGGGUUUCGAUGACCAGGGAGCUUAACUGCUAUGCCUGGCUCUCGACGAGAUCUUUCUUGUCCCUAAACCGCUGCCGGGUCGUCCCUUUAUAUACGGAGGCUGACGCCCAGCAGCUCUCAGAGUCCCGGCCGGCUCAUAAGAGUGUCCAGCUCGGACUCUCAACUAUUCUUGCCUUACACUACAAGUUCUACCAUAAUAAUGAUGGUAACUACGGGCCUUAAGCCAUAUCCGGGUCUUAAGCCGAUCUCUGGCCCAUCGUCUUCAAGCUUGGCUCCGGGCUUCUGGCAAUGACCAUAUGAGUAACCCGGCCCCUCCUGGCGGGUGACUCUAAGGUCUAUAUCCUCAACACCUGGUGUUCGGAAGACCGUACGAGGGGCUCUAUGAGCGCCUGAUCGGAAGAAAACCAAUCCAUCGCACGCUGCAUUAGUUAUCGCAUAAUGCGGAAGAAAUCCUUAAAGAUUUUAUAACCUCUCGAACAGCCACCAGCUCUUGCCGCAUCAUGACAGUCAGUUUUCGGCUUUCUCUACUGAGGUGCUCAUCCGGAAGAACCGGGACACAAUCGCAGUAGUUCUCCCUGCGCUACCUUAGCCGAUAUAGCAGAACGUAAGGCACCAAAACAAGGGAGCCGGGCAAACCCAACUAUUGAUGCAAGACAUGAUUCGGAGCUGAUGCAUAUAAUGCUAUAAGUUCGGGGUGUCGAACGACCGUGAAGGUGUUCGGACUUUAUUGCCGUAUUAUGGGUACAAUGAAGCCCCUGGCAUAUUAAGGCGUAUCGCGAUAUGCAGACGCCAUUUGACAAAGAGUGUCAAUAAAAACAACAACAGAUAAGCGUCAUAUGAAGCCGCAUGUUUGGAAAAUAACACGUCGAUGCGUAUGAGUACAGAUAAUAUGAUAAAAAUAAAUAUGACUCCGGAACCUGCUGAGACUAUGUGGGAGGAGGCUGUGUGCGAAUCCGUAGUGUAGUCGGAUGGUCAUCAAGGGGCAUCUCUAAGGAUUCCCUUACGCAUUUGAGAUGUUUCCAUGUCGCCAGUCCCGACCUACACAAAGGUCGACCUGCAAAAAAAGUGUAAAAAAGAUAUUUAUGUGCCAUGGAGCGGUUAAUCCGCAUUGUGUGGCCUAUCCUAGCUGUGCCUCCGUUUACUGCCGGAGUGUUUUAAUUGAGCUCCGGACAAGCCGGGCUAUCCUGCCGCAGAGUAGUUCGGUCUUCCUUGACAGUGUCCGAGAGCUUGGCUGUCGACUCGAGGUUCGAUUGAAAGAUGCCUUUCGUUGCUUCUACUGUCAAGGAGACGGUACAUUCUUCGACAUAGAGGUGGAGUUCGGCCUUGCCGUUAACUGUUAUGACGCCACGUGGACCGGGCAUCUUGAGCUUACGGUAGGCAUAGUGUGGCACCGCGUUGAAUUGAGCAAACGCGGUUCAUCCGAGUAGUGCAUGAUAAUUACUGCGAAAAGGGGCGAUGUCGAAGGUUAACUCUUCGGUACGGUAAUUGUCCGGUGAUCCGAAGACUACCUUCAGAGUGGUGGAGCCUGUACAACGGGCCUCCACACCUGGUAUGACACCUUUGAAGGUGGUUUUAGUGGGUUUGAUCAUCGAAUGAUCGAUACCCAUCUUGCGCACUGUGUCCUGAUACAGCAGGUUUAGACUGCUGCCUCCGUCCAUAAGGACUCGCGUGAGGUGAAAUCCGUCAAUUAUUGGGUCAAGGACUAGUGCGGCUGAAUUGCUCUGAUUGGUAUUUGUCGGGCGAUCCGUACGGUCGAAAGUGAUCGGCCGUAGUGUAUAUUGUGGGGUGACUGACUUCAUCAAGUCGACAUCCGUAAGAGUGCACAUCCGUUCUAGCUUGGGAAUGUGGGUGGCGUUUAUCAUAUUCACCAUUUUGGUUUAUGGGGGGAAUUUCCUUUGCCCUCCCGUUUUCGGUGAUCGGGGCUCCUCAUCGUCGUCGUCACUUUGAGACCCCUUCUCCUUGUUGUCGGCACCUGACCUGCCGGCCUGUUUGAAGACCCAGCAUUCUCUGUUAGUAUGAUUGGCUGGUGUUCCUGGGGUGCCAUGAAUUUGGCAUGGACGAUCGAGUAUGCGGUCCAAACUGGACGGGCCCGAAUUGUUCUUUUGGGGUGGCUUUUUCCGCUGACCGGACUUAGAGCCACUGAAUCUGGCAUUGACUGCUGUGUCUUCGGUGUUAUCACCAUUUUUGCGACGCUUGUGUUUGUUGUGUCGGGGCUUGCCGCUGCUAGCUCUGGCCUCUGAUGUGCCAGGAUUGCUUGCUGUGUUGUUGCUACGAGCCAACCAGCUAUCCUCGCCCGCACAAAAGCGGGUCAUGAGUGUCGUGUGGGCUGCCAUGGACUUCGGCUUUUCUUGGCCGAGAUGUCGGGCGAGCCACUCGUCGCGGAUAUUGUGCUUAAAGGCCGCUAGGGCUUCGGCAUCCGGACAUUCGACAAUUUGGUUCUUUUUAGUUAGGAACCUAGUCCAGAAUUUCCUGGCUGACUCUCCGGGCUGUUGGGUUAUGUGACUUAAGUCAUCAGCAUCCGGUGGUCGCACAUAAGUGCCCUGGAAGUUAUCCAGGAAUGCGUCUGCCAGGUUCUCCCAACUUCCAAUGGAAUUUGCCUGCAAACUAUUCAGCCAAUGCCGGGCCGGCCCCUUGAGUUUUAGUGGGAGAUACUUGAUGGCGUGUAAAUCAUCCCAGCGGGCCAUGUGAAUGUGGAGAAAGAAAUCUUCUAUCCAUACCGCGGGGUCCGUAGUCCCAUCAUAGGGCUCGAUAUUUACGGGCUUAAACCCUUCUGGGAAUUCAUGAUCCAUUACUUUGUCAGUGAAGCAUAGGGGGUGUGCGGCGCCUCUAUGCCGGGCUAUGUCACGACGCAGUUCAAAUGAGUCUGGUCUGUUGUAUUCGGCCCGGCCGGAUUUGCUUUUAGUGUAUCCGGCGUGACGGUCAUCGUCGUGCGUUGGGGCGCGCCCCCGUGAUCCGUAGAUCGAUCUUGACUGUCCUGCUUUGUUUUCCAAUUUUUCUCGCAGGUCAUGUGUGGAGCCCCGGGCCUUCGUGUUUUUACUUGUUUGGCGACGGGGUGCGGGCUGGACUUCGGGCUGAUAUGCCUUGUCCCGGCCACGUGGUGGCGGAUCAGCUGCAUCUUGCGCUGGUAGUGUAGGCUCUAGUGCCUCCUCCUCGAAUUGAGGUAACAACUUGCGCUUUUGGUAACUUUUGGUUGGGCGCUCGAGUCCAUAUUCCUCGGCUGCCAGGACCUCAGUCCAACUAUCAGCUAGCAGAUCUUGAUCAGCUUGAAGUUGUUGCUGCUUUUUCUUCAGGCUUUUUGCAGUGGCUAUAAGCCAGCGCUUGAAGCGCUCCUGCUCGACGGGGUCCUCAGGCACGAUGAAUUCUUCGUCGCCAAGGCUCACCUCGUCUUCGGAGAGGGGCAUGUAAUUGUCAUCCUCCGAGUCUCCAUCCGUUACCUGUUCAUCGGGGUUCGCUUCCCCAUCCUCCCGUUCGGCCUGCUCGAAGUCUGGCUGGGCGGGAUUGUUUUCGUCUUCGGCAUUAUCCGGAGUGUUAUUGUCUCCUGUGCAGGUAUCGCUGUUUUUGCUAUGGCGGGGCUUAGAGCGGCGCCUAUGACGCCGGUGCUUAGACUGCUUCUCAAGGGGAUUAUUCUCCGUUGCCUCAUCGCCAUUGCCUUCUUUGGGUGUAUCCACCAUGUAUAUGUCAUAUGAUGAGGUGGCUGUCCAGCGCCCUGUGGGCGGUGGUUCCUGUUCUUCUCCGGCAUCGUCGUCCAUACCGUUGAUGUCUUCGGAGUCGAAAUCAAGCGUGUCGGUUAAGUCGUCGACAGUGGCUAUUAAGUGGGUGGUGGGUGGGUAACGAAUUUCUUCGUCGUCCGCUCCCCACUCGAGCCGGACAUAGUUCGGCCCGAAAUCCUCCGACAGGGAGAGAGAUUUCAAUGAAUUUAGCACAUCACCCAAGGGCGAGUGCUGAAAGAUAUCCGCGGAGGUAAACUCCAUGAUCGGUGCCCAAUCAGAUUCUAUAGGCACGGAUGCACGUGGUUCGAAGCCUAUGGCCGGAGAUGAGUCCGAGGGUCCGAUGACACAGACCUCAUUGGAAGUGAGAUCUGUGUUCGGCUCUAUCGCUGAUGAGUGUACGGCUUCCGUGGCGGGGUUCAUCCACCCAUCCUCGGAUGGCACGAUCUGCUCCGGAUUAAUAGCCGGGGCAACCGCAGGUGUGAUUUCCCGAACACCGUCCGAUGGCAGAUCUAAGUCGUGCUCAUCGUGACUGUUCUGCGCACCUGCCAUGGGCUCAAAUCCGUCGAAGAUCAAGUCUCCGCGGAUGUCGGCAGUAUAAUUCAAGCUUCCAAACCUGACCCGAUGGCUAGGGGCGUAGCUAUCGAUCUGCUCCAGAUGGCCAAGCGAGUUGGCCCGCAGUACGAAGCCACCGAAUACGAAGAUCUGUCCGGGGAGGAAAACCUCACCCUGGAUCGCAUUGUUACAGAUGAUUGAAGGAGCCAUCAAGCCUUAUCGUGACGACACAGUGGAACUCUCAAUGAAAGCACCAAUGUCGGUGUCAAAACCGGCGGAUCUCGGGUAGGGGGUCCCGAACUGUGCGUCUAAGGCUAAUGGUAACAGGAGGCGGGGGACACAAUGUUUACCCAGGUUCGGGCCCUCUCGAUGGAGGUAAUACUCUACUUCCUGCUUGAUUGAUCUUGAUGAUAUGAGUAUUACAAGAGUUGAUCUACCAUGAGAUCGUAGAGGCUAAACUGCGACAACCUGAUUUUUGGCCCUUUCUUUUUCUUUUGUUUUUCUGAGGUUUUUGCCUGAGUUUUCUUUUUCCGUGGCUUUGUGGUCUGGAAACUGAAGAAGAUGCCCUCUUCUUUGCUUCCAGAGUGGCUUGUCAUUCCCAAAUCUUUCCCUGGACCCUGUCAUUUCCAUCCUAGCCCAAAUCCCAAUAAUCUUUUUAUUGGGAAUAUUCCUUUUCUAUCAAAGGAAUAACUCCAAUUGCCCUAGGUUGUGAAGCAACCUAUAUUUCCUUCACUCCUAAAAUUCCAAUAUAAUUCUCAUAAAUUGUUUGGGUCAUAUCUUGAUCAAAUAUGGCAAAACUUUUCAUUGCCAUGUUCAAAAAUAAUCCUCCAAUAAUUCAUUUCCUAUUCUACCCCAAAUGGCACAUUGUGAAGAAAGUGCCAUUUCCCUGUGCCCAAUUGACCUCAAACUACUUUGACAUAUUUGCAUCUCCAUAUCAUUGUCCCAUGCCAAAAUGCAACCUCAUUUUCCUAGUAAUUAUUUAAUUAUGAUUUUCCAAAGUUUCUGUCCAGCAAGAAGCUUUGUGAAGGAGGUACAAGCUAGGCAUAUCAAAAUGAGUUGCCAUUUUGCAUGAUCCUUCAUAUCAUCAUAUCAUAGCCUUAAACCAAAGUAGAGCUCAUGUCAUGCCUCCAUGUGAGCUCAUCUUCAAAUCUUUGUUUCUGCCCAAAAUUUAAGUUUGUGAAGCAAAUAUAUUUUAUCUUGCUCCAUUAUGGCUGCCAAUGUUUCUAGGCCUUCUAUUAUCCAUAUAACCUCCCUCCACCAAGUUGUGGCUCAAUCCCUUUGACCAUUUGCCCUGUGGAAUUUUUCCAAGUUUCUGGUCAGAAUAAAUAUUUCUGAAGCAAGUGCUAUUUUGGUUCAUCCAAAUGGCAUGAAACUCCUUGGGCAUCUGUAUAUCUUCAAAUCAUUGGGCCAUAACCAAUUUGAGAUCAAGUUGAUGCUUCAUCAGAGUGCAUCAUCCUAAUCUAGUUUCUGGACCAGUUUAUGUGGUUGUUAAGCAACUACAUUAAAUCUUGAUCCUAAUCCACUCCAAGUUACCAGGGUGAAAGUCCUUCUUUACCUCAACCUCGCAGACAACUCCAUUGGAUCCAAAACCCUUCCUGUUGAUCACUAGUGCUCACCCAAGUUUACAGCAGUAAACUUCAGAGGGUUCUUACUGUUUAACCAGAUCACUUUUAACCGAGCUACCACCGUAGUUGAGACCUACCCUGGAGGAACUUACCACUAGACAACGUUUGCCAGCUGUUUGCCUCUCCCUCAUGCCAGCACUGGUGGUGACCACCAUUUUGGCAUGCCAUGAGCGCGCCCCGAAUGGCCUCUUGCUCGGGCCCCUCCUUUUCUCGUCGUCUUCGCGCUCGUGAGCGUGUCUACCAGCUGGCCUGCGUCGUUGCCGUCCUCCUGGACCUCUCUUCCCCUCCGCCCGCUUCCUCGUCGGCGCUCGUCGCCGCGCGCCCACGGGUGAGCAGUGCCGACCGAGCUUUAAUGGCGCCGUGGCCGUUUCCCCUCUGCGCCCUCGCCCCUCCUGCCCUGUGCAUAGUUGUAGCUCAUCCGCACCCCCCUCUCAUCGCGAUCCCGCGCCCUCCCGUGAUUGCUGGCCGUCGCCAGAGCCUCGGCCGGACGUGCCCGGCGGCACCUGAGCCCAUCUCUCUCGCCCGGCUAUAUAUAGCCAUCCCCCGAGCCCUCCGAGCUCACCUCUCGACUCCCAUCACUCCCAGGACCCCGCCCCACUUCUUCCCCGAGCCGGAGCUGCUCUCCUCGCCUCCCUAUGCCACCAUGGCCGCCGCCUCGGCUCGGCUAAAUUAGCCCGACACCGAGCCUCCCCCUUCGUUCGUCCACCACCACUGGAUUCCCCACUCGCCAAUGAUCCUCCCAGCCCCUUAUCUAGUCGCCGGAGUAGCUGUGGCCGUCGUUCCCAAGAUCAGCCGCCGCCACCCCAUCCUCUGUUGCCCCAAGCCGCGGCUGCCCUAGUCAUCCCCGGCGCUCCCUUCGCUGCGGGAUGGACGCGGCGCUUCCUCCCGAGCCCACCGGUGGCUGCGUCCUCGCCGGAGCCGGCCGGCCCGUCACCGGUGACGCGCCCUCCCCUGCCUCCUCUAUCCAGUGAGGGAGCAGGACGAGCAAGAAGAAGGCAGAGGCCAGGCGGGCCCUCUUCUCCUCGCAGGCCCCGCGUGGCAGCCUCAGCCCGUUGACCUGGUCUGCCCACGUGGAUAAGUGACGGGCCCCAUCCCGUGGGACCCACACACGUCAGCCCCUUCACUGUUCCAAAGGAUAAGGUGAAAGCGUAUUUUUCCAGAUUACAUUUUCACUUUUUCUGUUCAGACCCCUGGUUGAAAAGAUUUUCAUUACAGAUGGGUCCCUGGCAGAAAAACAUCCAUAUCUUUUUAUCCGUAAAUCCGUUUAAGGUGAAACCAACGCUCACUUCUUCGUCUCGUCGAGCCCGUUUUGUUGGUUUCAUUUUCACUAUGGUUUGACACUAUGAAAAUGACCUUUUUGCCCUUUCCCUUAUUCAGCCCUCUCCGAGAGAGAACGUUUUCCGGCGAUUCGUUCCGCGAGUUUCUCGCACUUUCUCCCGGUGAUUUCUUCCACCCCAGGCAAGCCACAAUACCCACUUGCAUGAUAGUCAUGCAGUAGCCAUGGUUUUUAACUUGAAUAUUUAUUAAAUGUUUGCUUGUUUAAAAUAUGGUUAUCGUUGUUUCGGUAAUGCUUCUGGACUAGUGCUUACUUUCUUGCUAUGUUGUUAUGCACCUGGUUGUCAUGCCCGGCUAGUUGCUAGUAUUCCUUUCAUAUUGCCAUGCUUGAUAGUAGUAUAUGCUGAUGAUGGUGAUGGUCUUCGGUGCAUGACUGUCGUUUGUCCCGAGUACCGUUGUUAUGCAUGUCCCUUUACAUCCAGUUGGUUAAAUGCUUGCAUGAUGGCAUCGUUGAUAUGUUCUUGCAUGACAUUUAUUGUUGAUGCUAGUGGUCAUGCUAUGUUUCGGAGAAGUAUGUACUGGUGAUGUUCAUGCUAGUCAGUACGCCAUGCCCAAUGGAUAUGAUUCAUUGUUGAUAUGGUGGAUAGUUAUGAGAUACCCUCAUGAUUGUGUUGAUAUCAUGUUCAUGCAUUUUUAUUAUGACUCAGCAUAUUUGCAUUCAAGUUAACCGGAUUAAAUUGAACUUGAACAACUGUUGGCUGAGUCAUGGUGCCGCUGAAUCGAUGCUGACCAGUGCAACCACGCUUACCGGUAUGGGACGGUCCUAACUGGGUCUAUUGUUGUGCCUCUCGCCGGUGCCUCCAACGAGGGAAGGUUAUGGGCGCGCGCUACCCUGAUCAGGUAGGCGGACAUAACCUUGUGUGCCCGUUGUUGAGUUUGAGUUUUUGGAUCCGUGUCCCCGUGUGGGACGGGCCACGACGGUGGUCGUUGUGUCUUUGGUAGACACGGGGCCACCCAUGAAUUAGCCCAGAGGGGAGUGAGUCGGAGUGGCCGGGGGAGUGUCAUGACAGUAGAUCGGUUUUGUCGGAACGCCGUUGGUCCACCCAAAUGGGAGUGCGAGGCCAUGGGUUCUGUAGUGUGGGUACAGUGUACUAACCUCUGCAGAGUAUAUAUUAAAUCUAUCGAUAGCCGCGCCCGCGGAUAAGGGCCCAGGUCGAAAGUAGGGUACACCAUGAGUCAACAGUAAUAAGAAUAACUUGAUUAAUGUCAACCCGUGGUUGUGGUCGCCGUAAGGAUCGCGAUGGUAUCGAGGAUACCGAGUUGUUGGAUAUUCGUGAUGUUGUGCGAGAGUCGUGGGUAAAGAUCAAGCUCCUUGUGGUCAUUUACUGAUCGCUACGGUAUUGUUUAUACCAAGCUUGAUUUGAUCCUGAGAUGAUCGUGUGAUGUCCGAGGUUGGUAAGUGAUGCAUGUGUUGGUUACGAGGUAACCCGAGCAGAAUAAGUAGUGCAUGAUAGUGUCAUCAUGUUGCAUGCUAGUAUUGUCGGAUUAAUAUGUUCAUGUUGUGUUAGCUGUAUCAUGUUUAUGUCGGUCAUGCCAUGUUAUUCUGAUGAUCUCAUGAUAAUUCCUGUUUAACUUGUAAUUGCCAUGCUGUUGUCUGUCUUGAAUGCUUCUGGUUAUUGUGAGCUUGCAAGUACAUUCAAUGUACUGACCUGGCGUGUCAUGCCAGUUUGCAGGUCAUGCCGGAUUUGAUUGCUUGCUUGUCGUUGUUCCCGUUCGUGCGAGCUAGGAUAAUCGUUCCAGCCAGAGUCCCUGCGGAGUGGAGUUCACCACCGUCGUCGUUGUUCCGCUGCUAGAGUUAUUCCGCUGCUUUAAGUUGUUCUGCUGCUUGCAUAGAGCAACUGAGGAUGGCGUAGUAUCGCCGUGCCGAUGUUAUUCAUUGUAAUAUCGGAGACCUUGUAUUCAUUUUCGUGUAAUAAUAGAGAGCUGGUUUGUUCUAUGCUAAGCAGUGACGUAUUCCAGAAGACUUCUCCUCGAUCUCUGGGCUGGAAUACGGGGCGUUCUGGUUUUCUCUGAGCCGGGGUGCCACAGCGCUUGGUAUCAGAGCAGGUCUAGCUAUAGGACGCCCUAGACCGCGCGAAUGUUAGAAAGCGGUAGUAUAGACCCAAGUUUGUUUGUUGCACUUGAUUGCUGCAUUUGUUUGCUGCAUAGCAUGCAUAUAGCCUUAGUAUUUGUACUAACGGUUUAUCUGGUGAGUGUAGCUGGCAUCGGUUCGGAUCCACUACAGCUCAACCUUUGCAUUUCUCCAGUUCCUUUUUCUUUUGGUGUUUGGUGUUAUUUCUGUCCCAGCAGAGUGAUGCCAAGUGAUCCCGACACUGUUUGCAAAAAUGGUGCUCAGUUAUCGCACCGAUGUCUUUCCUUCAGUCCCGUCUAUCAUUUUGGUGAUGAACAUGCAUCUAUCCCAGAUCGUUCUUCUAUUUUGUCGUGUUGGCAACCCUUAAUGAUCUUAGUUAUCAAGAAAGGGCAAUGUCAGCAGCCUCAGUUUUUGCCCGCUAUCCUAUUUCUUGGACGAGUACGGAUCUUUUUCCGUCUGCUUGAUAAUAAUGUGGUUGCGACCUUCGUGUCCCACUGCAUGAUUACCGAGUACGUCCUCGCCUCCGAGCUAGUUCAGGUUGCCCCUGGCUAAGCCAACACUUGGUGUAGCGCUGCUUACACCAAAUCUUCCACACAUUUAUUCGUCCUCGUGCACAUCGUCACAGCAUAUUAGAUCGUAGUACCGGAGAUUCCGCGAAAUUUGUGUGCUUAAGUAGGCAUGCAUAUUGUGUGACUAGCAGUAAUAUGUGAUGCUUGCUCGAUUAAUUAUACUAGUAGAAUGCUUGUGUGCUUUUGUUUUAGUCAUUUCUGUUGUUCCUUUCUUUGGGCCUUCGGUGUUACAAUUUUUUCCCCUAUUAAAGUUGCUCGUCAGCCGACACUGGACCCGAAGAGUCAGUAAGAAAUGCAUAUAUUUGGAAAGUCAGCUAAACAGAAUGGAAUUAUCAGCUGACUGCAGUGAAAUUGGGAAUAGCUUGUCUGGAUGCAAAAGAAAUCCUGGAUGGGCCGUCAGUAUCAAGUUUGCAUUAGCUUGCACUCAUCACAACAAAAUGAUUAAAUCAGCAAGAAGAUAAAUUGUGUGCAAGGUUGACAGAAUAUUAUCAAAGGUAUGGCUCAGAUACACGUUUAAUUUUCGUUGAGGAUGAUUUUGGAACUCGAUGUACCUGGAAGCAAACAAAAAUAUGGCAUAUACUCAAAAAGAAGGAUAGUCCAGUAAAACCCUGUUUCAUACAAGAAAUCAACAUCAGAAAUAUUAAGAUGGUAUGUAUAUGUGGUACUCGGUCCGCAUAUCACAAUAAGAAGUUUCUGGUGUAAGCAACCCACUUUUCCCUCGCAAGAUACCGGAGAAGCUUCCAAGGCAAGAUUCAUCUAUCUUCCUCAGUACGAUACAUGGAUGACUUCUCGCGCAAGGUACUCUGCCUUCUUCGGUAAGCAACCGCAAAAGCUUCCAGCAUAAGGUACUGAGUCUUUCCCCAGCGAAGUCUUUAAGGGGGUAAGCUUUUGAAGCACGAUACCCAGUCUUCUUCAGCAAGCUGUCCGAUGAAAGUUUCGAGCUCAAGCCAGCAAAUAUUCCUCAGUAAGACAUUGGUACAAGGUAGUACGCUGUGAAUUGACAGCAUAUGGCAGUGAAUCCUAAGAAUCAGAUCCGCAUCAUUUUGGUCAGAAUCAAGAAUCAGUCAGAAUACACGUCUGUCUCGGAAUCAGAUUCUCAUAUAUAUGCGGUGAGCAUACCACCGAGAUCUUACAAGUCACUCGGAGGAGGAUCUGAUAACCACGUGACGAUGAUUAAGAGAAGAAAGCCAGUAUACACCACAGUGUGACAAAGGAUUAUAAGGAUUGACGACAUCAAUGAGCUCAAUACAAGUAUCCGUGAACCUGGAAAAUGAUCCUGAUGAGCCUUUGUCCCCUUUUUCUCCAACGACGGCACCACGCCUGUGAUCUGAGCUGUUUCUACCUAUCCGGGGCGGAUGCGGAUUUUUUUAUUUCUCUCUUUCACGACUGUCACGAGUUCUGAGCUGCUUUUCGACCGUUUCGUACAGCUGUGAGUUUCUUUUUGUGACAGUGGCCCUAUAGCUGCUUUUUGGCUAUUCUAGGGAGCUGCCACCUUCUUCUUAUCGACCCGGUCUCAUGCUCUGAGCUGUUUUUUCGGCUGUCCUGAGCCGUGGUUGAGUUAUGUCAGUAAUGUCCCAGAUCUGAGUGGUAAAGACAGUUCUGGUGGCUACUGAUUUAUUUGCCGAUUUCUUGCAAGGGUUUCGGAUGAUCAUUUCCCAACGAUCAGAACUUGAGAGGUGUUGAACCUGCCAUUUAAUGGGUUACCCUGUCAGAAAAAUGAGGAUAAGCUAUGAUUGCCGAAAAAUUGCACCGACAGUACCUAUGGUCAUACAAAGAAACAAUAUGGCCCAGCUCUUUCAUCCAAAGAUCCAGACCAAGAAAACAAAAAUGAAGGAGCAAGACCAGCGAUGCAGGUAUGAAAAUUGUACACGACCCCCAUGGUGCAGAUCCCCUGGACAGUCUAAGUCAGUGUUGAUCCACAUGGAUAUGCCUACAGCAUGAGUAAUCGGCAUGAGGAAUCACAGUCUGGAAGCCUGAGUCCUCACCUAUAUGAAUGAUCAUGGAUAGCCCGUCGUGAACAAAAAAAUUUCCAUCAGAAACACCGUCAGUCAAGUCUGCAGAUAUUAUCAUAUAGGCCAAACCCUUUAUGCUGGCCGCGACAGGAGACAAUCAAAUAUUUGGUACGGAUCCGAUACUCACGACAAUGGAACCAGUUCAGAAACUUCUGCGAUGAGUCAGAAUCUGUCAGGAAACGGUUAUAUUUUAACUCACUGUUUGGAACCCAAAGGACCUGCAUUUAGUGGAGAAACCCAAUGCAAUGAGUCAGAGCUUGAGUUUUCAUCAUAAAAUUCUGAUCAUCAUUACAUGAAAGGUUGUCAGUGCCGGGUGACACACCCAGCGGAAAUCACUUUUGGAUUUGUGAGACGGACAUAUAUUUCAGUUGUGAAAAUUAAUCACAGUCAGCUAGUCAGCAGAUCUAAAAAGAAAUUGGAGCCUAUAUAAGCAUGAGCAAGCCAGGUAAGAUCUGUCAGAAUGUGGAUACAGUAAAGCAAACCACCCAGGGCCAGUAAGAUAAAAAAAUUAGUGGGAACAAAAAUAAGAAAAAAGAUACCCGAGUUGGAAACGGUUUCCUUAAGUCAGAAUAUUCAUACUUGUUCCCUGAGCAACCAAAUCUCGAGGACGAGAUUUCUUUAAGGGGGUAAGGUUUGUGACAGCCUGAUUUUUGGCCCUUUCUUUUUCUUUUGUUUUUCUGAGGUUUUUGCCUGAGUUUUCUUUUUCCGUGGCUUUGUGGUCUGGAAACUGAAGAAGAUGCCCUCUUCUUUGCUUCCAGAGUGGCUUGUCAUUCCCAAAUCUUUCCCUGGACCCUGUCAUUUCCAUCCUAGCCCAAGUCCCAAUAAUCUUUUUAUUGGGAAUAUUCCUUUUCUAUUGAAGGAAUAACUCCAAUUGCCCUAGGUUGUGAAGCAACCUAUAUUUCCCUCACUCCUAAAAUUCCCAAAUAAUUCUUAUAAAUCGUUUGGGUCAUAUCUUGAUCAAAUAUGGCAAAACUUUUCAUUGCCAUGUUCAAAAAUAAUCCUCCAAUAAUCCAUUUACUAUUCUGCCCCAAAUGGCACAUUGUGAAGCAAGUGCCAUUUUCCUUUGCCCAAUUGACCUCAAACUCCUUGGACAUCUUUUCAUGUCCAUAUCAUUGCCCCAUGCCAAAAUUCAACCUCAUUUGCCUAGUAAUUAUUGAAUUAUGAUUUUCCAAAGUUUCUGUCCAGAAAGAAGCUUUGUGAAGGAGGUACAAGCUAGGCAUAUCAAAAUGAGUUGAAAUUUUGCAUGAUCCUCCAUAUAAUCAUAUAAUAGCCUUAAAACAAAGUAGAGCUCAUAUCAUGCCUCCAUGUGAGCUCAUCUUCAAAUCUUUGUUUCUGCCCAAAAGUUCAGUUUGUGAAGCAAGUAUAUUUUAUCUUGCUCCAUUAUGGCUGCCAAAUUUUAUAGGCCUUAUAUUGUCCAUAUAACCUCCCUCGACCAAUUUGUGGCUCAAUACCUUUGACAAUUUGCCCUGUGGAAUACUUCCAAUUUCUGGUCAGAAUAAAUCUUUCUGAAGCAAGUGCUAUUUUGGUUCAUCCAAAUGGCAUGAAACUCCUUGGGCAUCUGUAUAUCUUCAAAUCAUUGGGCCAUAACCAAUUUGAGCUCAAGUUGAUGCUUCAUCAGAGUGCAUCAUCCUAAUCUAGUUUCUGGACCAGUUUAUGUGGUUGUUAAGCAACUACAUUAAAUCUUGAUCCUAAUCCACUCCAAGCUAUCAGGGUGAAAGUACUUCUUUACCUCAACCUCGCAGACAACUCCAUUGGAUCCAAAACCCUUCCUGUUGAUCACUAGUGCUCACCCAAGUUUACAGCAGUAAACUUCAGAGGGUUCUUACCGUUUAACCAGAUCACUUUUAACCGAGCUACCACCGUAGUUGAGACCUACCCUUGAGAAACUUACCACUAGACAACGUUUUCCAGCUGUUUGCCUCCCCCUCAUGCCAGCACUGGUGGUGACCACCGUUUUGGCAUGCCAUGAGCGCGCCCAGAAUGGCCUCUUGCUCGGGCCCCUCCUUCUCUCGUCGUCUUCGCGCUCGUGAGCGUGUCUACCAUUUGGCCUGCGUCGUCGCCGUCCUGCUGGACCUCUCUCCCCCUCCGUCCGCUUCCUCGUCAGCGCUCGUCGCCGCGCGCCCACGGGUGAGCAGUGCCGACCGAGCUUUAAUGGCGCCGUGGCCGUUUCCCCUCUGCGCCCUCGGCCCCUCCUGCCCUGUGCAUAGUUGUAGCUCGUCCGCACCCCCCUCUCGUCGCGAUCCCGCGCCCUCCCGUGAUCGCUGGCCGUCGCCAGAGCCUCGGCCGGACGUGCCCGGCGGCACCCGAGCCCAUCCCUCUCGCCCGGCUAUAUAUAGCCAUCCCCCGAGCCCUCCGAGCUCACCUCUCGCCUCCCAUCACUCCCAGGACCCCGCCCCACUUCUUCCCCGAGCCGGAGCUGCUCUCCUCGCCUCCCUAUGCAACCAUGGCCGCCGCCUCGGCUCGGCUAAAUUAGCCCGACACCGAGCCUCCCCCUCCGUUCGUCCACCACCACUGGAUUCCCCACUCGCCAGUGAUCCUCCCCAGCCCCUUAUCUAGUCUCCGGAGUAGCUGUGGCUGUCGUCCCCAAGAUCAGCCGCCGCCACCGCGUCCUCUGUUGCCCCAAGCCGCGGCUGCCCUAGUCAUCCCCGGCGCUCCCUUCACUGCGGGAUGGACGCGGCGCCUCCUCCCGAGCCCACCGGUGGCUGCGUCCUCGCCGGAGCCGGCCGGAGCCGGCCGGCCCGUCGCCGGUGACGCGCCCUCCCCUGCCUCCUCUGUCCCGUGCGGGAGCAGGACGAGGAAGAAGAAGACAGAGGCCAGGCGGGCCCUCUUCUCCUCGCGGGCCCCGCGUGGCAGCCUCAGCCCGUUGACCUGGUCUGACCACGUGGAUAAGUGACGGGCCCCACCCCGUGGGACCCGCACACGUCAGCCCCGCCACUGUUCCAAAGGAUAAGGUGAAAGCGUAUUUUUCCAGAUUACCUUUUCACUUUUUCUGUUCAGGCCCCUGGUUGAAAAGAUUUUCAUUACAGAUGGGUCCCUGGCAGAAAAACAUCCAUAUCUUUUUAUCCGUAACUCCGUUUAAGGUGAAAACAACGCUCACUUCUUCGUCUCAUCGAGCCCGUUCUGUUGGUUUCAUUUUCACUAUGGUUUGACACAGUGAAAAUGACCUUUUUGCCCUUGCCCUUAUUCAGCCCUCUCCGAGAGAGAAAGUUUUUCGGCGAUUCGUUCCGCGAGUUUCUCGCACUUUCUCCCGGUGAUUUCUUCCACCCCAGGCAAGCCACAAUACCCACUUGCAUGAUAGUCAUGCAGUAGCCAUGGUUUUCAACUUGAAUAUUUAUUAAAUGUUUGCUUGUUUAAAAUAUGGUUAUCGUUGUUUCGGUAAUGCUUCUGGACUAGUGCUUACUUUCUUGCUAUGUUGUUAUGCACCUGGUUGUCAUGCCCGGCUAGUUGCUAGUAUUCCUUUCAUAUUGCCAUGCUUGAUAGUAGUAUAUGCUGAUGAUGGUGAUGGUCUUCGGUGCAUGACUGUCGUCUGUCCCGAGUACCGUCGUUAUGCAUGUCCCUUUACAUCCAGUUGGUUAAAUGCUUGCAUGAUGGCAUCGUUGAUAUGUUCUUGCAUGACAUUUAUUGUUGAUGCUAGUGGUCAUGCUAUGUUUCGGAGAAGUAUGUACUGGUGAUGUUCAUGCUAGUCAGUACGCCAUGCCCAAUGGAUAUGAUUCAUUGUUGAUAUGGUGGACAGUUAUGAGAUACCCUCAUGAUUGUGUUGAUAUCAUGUUCAUGCAUUUUUAUCAUGACUCAGCAUAUUUGCAUUCAAUUUAACCGGAUUAAAUUGAACUUGAACAACUGUUGGCUGAGUCAUUGUGCCGCUGAAUCGAUGCUGACCAGUGCAACCACGCUUACUGGUAUGGGACGGUCCUAACUGGGUCUAUUGUUGUGCCUCUCGCCGGUGCCUCCAACGAGGGAAGGUUAUGGGCGCGCGCUACCCUGAUCAGGUAGGCGGACAUAACCUUGUGUGCCCGUUGUUGAGUUUGAGUUUUUGGAUCCGUGUCCCCGUGUGGGACGGGCCACGACGGUGGUCGUUGUGUCUUUGGUAGACACGGGGCCACCCAUGACUUAGCCCAGAGGGGAGUGAGUCGGAGUGGCUGGGAGAGUGUCAUGACAGUAGAUCGGUUUUGUCGGAACGCCGUUGGUCCGCCCGAAUGGGAGUGCGAGGCCAUGGGUUCCGUAGUGUGGGUACAGUAUACUAACCUCUGCAGAGUGUAUAUUAAAUCUAUCGAUAGCCGCGCCCGCGGAUAAGGGCCCAGGUCGAAAGUAGGGUACACCAUGAGUCAACAGUAAUAAGAAUAACUUGAUUAAUGACAACCCGUGGUUGUGGUCGGCGUAAGGAUCGCGAUGGUAUCGAGGAUACCGAGUUGUUGGAUAUUCGUGAUGUUGUGCGAGAGUCGUGGGUAAAGAUCAAGCUCCUUGUGGUCAUUUACUGAUCGCUACGGUAUUGUUUAUACCAAGCUUGAUUUGAUCCUGAGAUGAUCGUGUGAUGUCCGAGGUUGGUAAGUGAUGCAUGUGUUGGUUACGAGGUAACCCGAGCAGAAUAAGUAGUGCAUGAUAGUGUCAUCAUGUUGCAUGCUAGUAUUGUCGGAUUAAUAUGUUCAUGUUGUGUUAGCUGUAUCAUGUUUAUGUCGGUGAUGCCAUGUUAUUCUGAUGAUCUCAUGAUAAUUCCUGUUUAACUUGUAAUUGCCAUGCUGUUGUCUGUCUUGAAUGCUUCUGGUUAUUGUGAGCUUGCAAGUACAUUCAAUGUACUGACCUGACAUGUCAUGCCAGUUUGCAGGUCAUGCCGGAUUUGAUUGCUUGCUUGUCGUGGUUCCCGUUCGUGCGAGCUAGGAUAAUCGUUCCAGCCAGAGUCCCUGCGGAGUGGAGUUCACCACCGUCGCCGUUGUUCCGCUGCUAGAGUUAUUCGCUGCUUCGAGUUGUUCUGCUGCUUGCAUACAGCAACUGAGGAUGGCAUAGUGUCGCCGUGCCGAUGUUAUUCAUUGUAAUAUCGGAGACCUUGUAUUCAUUUUCGUGUAAUAAUAGGGAGCUGGUUUGUUCUAUGCUAAGCAGUGCCGUAUUCCAGAAGACUUCUCCUUGAUUUCUGGGCUGGAAUACGGGGCGUUCCGGUUUUCUCUGAGCCGGGGUGCCACAUAAACCCUAGAAGCUAGCCUAUGAUUCUGAUUGUUGUUGGUCCUACGGACUAAACCCUCCGGUUUAUAUAGACACCGGAGGGGGCUAGGGUUACACAGAGUCGGUUACAGAGAAGGAGAUCAACAUAUCCUAAUUGCCAAGCUUGCCUUCCACGCCAAGGAGAGUCCCCUCCAGACACGGGACGAAGUCUUCAAUCUUGUAUCUUCGUAGUCCAACAGUCCGGCCAAAGUAUAUAGUCUGGCAGUCCGAGUACCCCCUAAUCCAGGACUCCCUCACUGAUGACGCCAAGUGCUUGCGUUGACGUUUGGGGAGUGGGUCUGGUCCAGGUUCAGAGGCGGCAUGGUGGGCGAGCCAUUCGCGAUGAAGGAGAUAUCAAGCUUUCCCAUUGUGGUGAAAUGCUUGCGUCCUCUGCCUUGGCUAGCCGUCUAGCAGGGAGCACGACAUCCUACCGCGAGCCAUUGCGGCUCGUCGGCCUGGCGACCAGGUUCUUGGAGCCUUCAAUGCUCGUCCGGGGUGCAGGGCUCAGGGUCGUUGGUAAUCCCAGCACUGCCUCUUCCCUCGGAACCGGGGUUGAUGUUGAAGAGGAGGGCGCCUUCCUGCCUGCCAAGGUGGGAAGUGGUGCACCUCGAGCGCCCUGGUCGCUGUGAUUGCCCACCGUCUCCUCGGGGGAGAUGCCGGACCGAGAGGCCGACGUCUCCUUGCAGCGGCGUUGAUGAAGAUGAAGCUAGGGAAGAUGAAGAAGGCGGGAGGCAGGCCGUCAGGUCGGAGUACGAUGGCACCACCGCGUUCGUCUUGUACUGGCGACCUGCCGCCUCAUCUUUCUGUUCUUCCCCUCCCCCUGGAACCAUCAUCAUCGGCCUCCCGGUCGCCGGGGAGGGGGCCACUCUCUUGGUGCCUUCGCCUCCCUUCAGCAGUCUUCCAGCUGAGCUUUGGUGGUUUAUCCCACCAGUGCUCGAGAUGGGGCUUCUGGCUGGUCCUGGAGGUGGUAACCAGGGCGCCGCCAAGCUGCUCCUUCCGCCCUCCUCCUUCGCAGCCUCACCACUCUCGAUCUUGUCAGGCUACGCCCGGCAGGCCAUGACGGGACCGGGGUGGGCUCCUGCUUGAGCGCUCCUCCCGUCCCCUUCCCUUCCCACUGCAGUACCUGGGAUAAGAGGGACAUGGAGAGGAGUUUACGGGGCACUUAUGUUUUUUCAGUCGUAAAUGUAUAGGCACUUGCCAAUUUUAGUUCAAAUAAUGUAAUCUCUUGAAUCCAUGUUUGUGUCCUUUAAGGUCUGUACUUGUUUGAUCAGCAUAUAAAUUAAAAAGGAUAAACCUCGCCGGGGACUCGUGCAUGUAUAUGUCCAUGCAGAGGUGGGAUGUCUCUAUAUUUUUAAGUAACGAGUUUCCCCCAGCAGGCUAUCCUGUCAGUACCCUCUAUUUUGUUGUCGGGGAGUAGGCCUACUGGGCACAAACCGUAAAGAGGGACCAGCCCCCUGCCAGUCCUUAUCCAUCAAAGGCCACUGCGACCACCCCGAUCGAAGCAACGCUCGAGUCGAAGGGUGGGAGCACCUAAGUUUCAAAGGAUAGCAUGGUUUUCUCAUGCACAAGUCCUUACUUACAGAACAUGUAUGGAUAAGAGAAAAAACUUAUCUAUUUGGCUUGUCGGAGACCGCAGUGCUGGCUCGUCUUCUCAUUUCCUCUUGGGGACUGAGUCCACGGCAGGAGCCUGCAGUUUAUGCAGAUGAAAAUGAUGUCAGAUGCGAUCUUAUCUACAUGAACAUGCGAUGCUCAUGAUAUGCUUAUGCAUGCAUGCAACUUGUCUCCCCCCCAGCGCUUCAUUUAUUUCUUUGUUGCUCAGGGUCUGUGAUGUCUGCUAGAACUACGUCGAUAUUUCCCCAAAGAGGAAGGGAUGAUGCAGUAUAGCGAUAGUAGGUAUUUCCCUCAGUGAUGAGACCAAGGUUAUCGAACCAGUAGGAGAACCUCCUCACGCCACAUAAACAGCCCCUGCACACAAAUAACAAAUACUCGCAACCCGACGUGUUAAAGGGGUUGUGAAUCCCUUUCGGGUACGGCGCCUCAAGUAGGCAAGAUAACGUGAGAUAAAUGUGGUAGAUAGGAUAAAUAGAUCGCGGAACAAAUAAAUUGCAGAAAGAUAUUUUUGUAUUUUUGGUUUAAUAGAUCUGAAAAUAAAAUAAAAGGAAAAUAGAUCGCAAAGGCAAAUAUGAUGAAAAGAGACCCGAGGACUGUAGGUUUCACUAGUGGCUUCUCUCGAGAAAAAUAGCAAACGGUGGGAAAACAAUUACUGUUGGGCAAUUGAUAGAACUUCAAAUAAUCAUGACGAUAUCCAGGCAAUGAUCAUUAUAUAGGCAUCACGUCCAAGAUUAGUAGACCGACUCCUGCCUGCAUCUACUACUAUUACACCACACAUCGACCGCUAUCCAGCAUGCAUCUAGUGUAUUAAUUCAUGGAAAAACGGAGUAAUGCAAUAAGAAUGAUGACAUGAUGUAGACAAGAUCUAUUUAUGUAGAAAUAGACCCCAUCUUGUUAUCCUUAAUAGCAACGAUACAUAUGUGUCGUUUCCCUUUCUGUCACUGGGGUCAAGCACCGUAAGAUCGAACCCAUCACAAAACACCUCUUCCCAUUGCAAGAUAAAUAGAUCAAGUUGGCCAAACAAAACCCAAAUAUCGGAGAAGAAAUACGAGGCUAUAAUCAAUCAUGAAUAUAAGAGAUCAAAGAAGACUCAAAUAACUCUCAUGGAUAAAAACAUAGAUCUGAUCAUAAACUCAAAGUUCAUUGGAUCCCAACAAACACACCACAAAAAGACUUACAUCAUAUGGAUCUCCAAGAGACCAUUGUAUUGAUAAUCAAGAGAGAGAAAGAGGAAGCCAUCUAGCUACUAACUACGGACCCGUAGGUCUACAAAGAACUACUCACGCAUCAUUGGAGAGGCACCAAUGGACAUGAUGAACCCCUCCAAGAUGGUGUCUAGAUUGGAUCUGGUGUUUCUGGACUCUGCGGCGGCUGGAAUUGAUUUUCAUCGACUCCCCUAGGUUUUCUGGAAUAUUGGGGUAUUUAUAGAGCAAAUAGGCAGUGCGGGGGGCCAACGAGGAGGGCACAACCCACCGGGGCGCGCCUGGGCCCCCAGGCGCGCCCUGGUGGGUUGUGCUCCCCUCGGAGCUCCCCUCAGGUGCUUUCUUGGCCCACUGGAUGUCUUCUGGUCCAAAAAAUCCACAAAAAGUUUCGAUGCGUUUGGACUCCGUUUGGUAUUGAUUUCCUGCGAUGUAAAAAAUAUGCAGAAAACAACAAUUGGCACUGGGCACUAUUUCAAUAGGCUAGUACCAGAAAAUGAUAUAAAAUGAUUGUGAAACAUCCCAGAAUGAUAAUAUAACUGCAUGGAACAAUCAAAAAUUAUAGAUACGUUGCAGACGUAUCAGCAUCCCCAAAAGCUUAAUUCCUGCUCGUCCUCGAGUAGGUAAAUGAUAAAAAAAGAAUUUUUGAUGUGGAAUGCUGCCUAACAUGUUCAUCACAUUUUCUUUUCUUUAUAGCAUGGACAUUUGGACUUUUAUAUGGUUCAAAGCAAUAGUCUAGUUUUGACAUGAAGACUUUAAUACUCAAGCAUACCAACAAGCAACCAUGUAUUUCAAAAUAUCAACACCAAAGCAAGUUAUCCCUAGCCCAUUAUGGUCACCAUUGAUCCAUUCAUGAAAUACACUCGAAUAUUAGCUACACCCAAUGCUCAAAUACGAUCAUAGUGCCCCUUAGUUGGUGCUUUAUGAGAGAAGGUGGAGAAUCAAAAUUCAAAAUAAAAAUUGCAUAAAGUAAAAGAAGGGCCCUUCAUAGAGGGAAGUAGGGAUUUGUAGAGGUGCCAGAGCACAACGCGAAAAUUGAGAGAUAAAACAUUUUGGGAGGCAUACUUUUCCCACCAACGAAAAUGACUUAGAGCUCCCAACACUUUCCAUGCUAGAUACAUCAUAGGCGGUUCCCAAACAGAAAAUAAAGUUUAUUCCUUUUUCCACCAUUACUUUCACUUUCCAUGGCUAACCGUAUCCACGGGUGCCCUCCAUACCAACACUUCCAAGGAAUUUAUUAUUUGACAACAUAAAGUAAAUUCAUUUUUCAUUUCGGGACAAGGCAUCCCUAAUACCUUUGUCGUAAUCUCGUGCAACGACAAGUGAAUAAACACUCAUCGUGAGAAUAACACAUCUAGCAUGGAAAAUAUUGGCCACCCCUCACCGCCUGUAGAGCACACAAAAGAGAAAUUUAUUUUGAAAAUUAGAGAUGGCACAUGCAAAUUAGGUAGGUAUAGUGGACUAAUAUGGCAAAACUGGUUUAAAGGGUUUUGGAUGCACAAGUAGUGAUCAUACUUAGUGCAAAAUGAAGGCUAGCAAAAAGAUUGAGAAGCGACCAACCAAGAAACAAAAAAUCUCGUACCCAAGCAUUAAGCAUAAGUAACACCGAAUAAUGCACCACAAGUAAAUUUCAUUGCAUAACUAUUGACUUUCAUGCUUGCAUAGGGAAUCACAAACCUUAAGAUCAAUAUUCUUACUAAAGCACAAUUACUCAUCAACAUGACUCACAUAUCAUAUCGUCAUAUCUCAAAACCAUUACUAAGAACCAAGUUUAUUUUGUCCAAUGAUCUUCAUGAAAGUUUUUAUUAUAUCCUCCUUGGAUAUCUAUCACUUUGGGACUAUUUCCAUAUGUUGCUUUUAAUAAGCUCAAACAAAUUUAAGUGAAGAACAUGAGCAUAAAAUUUCUUUCUCUCAAAAUGAUCUAAGUGAAGCAAGAGAGAAUUUCUUAAAAAAAAUUACUAACUCCCAAAUAAAUCUAAGUGAAGCAUGAGAGCAUUUCUUCAAAAAUAACAAAGCACACCGUGCUCAAAAAGAUAUAAGUGAAGCACUAGAGCAAUUCCAUGGCUUUAAAACUUUAUGUGAAGCAUAGGAGCAAGCAUAGCAUAAUUUUUGGCUCUCUCAAAAGGGUGCAUCCAACAAGGAUUCAAGACUUAAAACAUAAAGCAAAACAAGAAAAGACUCAUAUCAUACAAGACGCUCCAAGCAAAACUCAUAAUAUGUGACGAAUAAAAAUAUAGUUCCAAGUAAAAUACCGAUGGUUGUUAGAAGAAAGAGGGGAUGCCAUUCAGGGGCAUCCCCAAGCUUAGUUGCUUUCUACUUCUUGAAUAUUAUCUUGGGGUGCCUCGGGCAUCCCCAAGCUUAGUCUUUUGCUAAUCCUUAUUCCUUCAUCCAUCGUAAGGUCACCCAAAACUUGAAAACUUCAAUCACACAAAACUCAACAAAACCUUCCUGUGAUCUGUUAGUAUACGAAAGCAAACCACUACUAUAAUUACUAUUGCAAACCCAUUCAUAUUUUAUUUUUGCAUUAUAUCUACUGUAUUCCAACUUUUCUAUGGCAAAAACUCUUCAAAGAAAACCAUAGAAUCAUCAAAACAAGCACAUGAUAACCCACAAGUGUAGGGGAUCGCAACAGCUUUCGAGGGUAGAGUAUUCAACCCAAAUUUAUUGAUUCGACACAAGGGGAGCCAAAGAAUAUUCUCAAGUAUUAGCAGUUGAGUUGUCAAUUCAACCACACCUGGAUAACUUAGUAUCUGCAGCAAAGUAUUUAGUAGCAAAGUAAUAUGAUAGUAAUGGUAACGAUAGCAAAAGUAAUAUUUUUGGGUUUUGUAGUGAUUGUAACAGUAGCAACGGAAAAGUAAAUAAGCAAAGAACAAUAUGUGAAAAGCUCGUAGGCAUUGGAUCAAUGAUGGAUAAUUAUGUCGCAUGCGAUUCCUCGUGUAAUAGUUAUAACCUAGGGUGACACAGAACUAGCUCCAGUUCAUCAAUGUAAUGUAGGCAUGUAUUCCGAAUUUAGUCAUACGUGCUUAUGGAAAAGAACUUGCAUGACAUCUUUUGUCCUACCCUCCCGUGGCAGCGGGGUCCUAAUGGAAACUAAGGGAUAUUAAGGCCUCCUUUUAAUAGAGUACCGGAACAAAGCAUUAGCACUUAGUGAAUACAUGAACUCCUCAAACUACGGUCAUCACCGAGAAGUAUCCCGAUUAUUGUCACUUCGGGGUUGUCGGAUCUUGACACAUAAUAGGUGACUAUAGACUUGCAAGAUAGGAUCAAGAACUCACAUAUAUUCAUGAAAACAUAAUAGGUUCAGAUCUGAAAUCAUGGCACUCGGGCCCUAGUGACAAGCAUUAAGCAUAGCAAAGUCAUAGCAACAUCAAUCUCAGAACAUAGUGGAUACUAGGGAUCAAACCCUAACAAAACUAACUCAAUUACAUGAUAAAUCUCAUCCAACCCAUCACCGUCCAGCAAGCCUACGAUGGAAUUACUCACGCACGGCGGUGAGCAUCAUGAAAUUGGUGAUGGAGGAUGGUUGAUGAUGACGACGGCGAGGAAUCCCCCUCUCCGGAGCCCCGAACGGACUCCAGAUCAGCCCUCCCAAGAGAUAUUAGGGCUUGGUGGCGGCUCCGUAUCGUAAAACGCGAUGAAACUUUCUCUUUGAUUUUUUUUCUCUGCAAAACAUAAUAUAUGGAGUUGGAGUUGAGGUCGGUGGAGCAUCAGGGGGCCCACGAGACAGGGGGGCGCGCCCAGGGGGAGGGAGCGCGCCCCCCACCCUCAUGGACAGGGUGUGGGCCCCCUGGCCUUGAUUCUUUCGCCAGUAUUUUUCUUAUUUUCCAAAAAUAAUCUCCGUGGAUUUCCAGGUCAUUCCGAGAACUUUUGUUUCUGCACAAAGAUAACAUCAUGGCAAUUCUGCUGAAAACAGCAUCUGUCCGGGUUAGUUUCAUUCAAAUCAUGCAAAUUAGAGUCCAAAACAAGGGCAAAAGUGUUUGGAAAAGUAGAUACGUUGGAGACGUAUCAACUCCCCCAAGCUUAAACCUUUGCUUGUCCUCAAGCAAUUCAGUUGAUAAACUGAAAGUGAUAAAGAAAAACUUUUACAAACUCUGUUUGCUCUUGUUGUUGUAAAUAUGCAAAGCCAGCAUUCAAGUUUUUAGCAAAGAUUAUGACUAACCAUAUUCACAAUAACACUUAGGUCUCAUGUUUACUCAUAUCAAUGGCAUAAUCAACUAGCGAGCAAUAAUAAUAAAACUCGGAUGACAACACUUUCUCAAAACAAUCAUAAUAUGAUAUGACAAGAUGGUAUCUCGCUAGCCCUUUCUGAGACCGCAAAACAUAAAUGCAGAGCACCUUUAAAGAUCAAGGACUGACUAAACAUUGUAAUUCAUGGUAAAAGAGAUCUAGUCAAGUCAUACCCAAUAUACACUAAUAGUAAUGCAUGCAAAUGACAGCGGUGCUCUCCAGCGGGUGCUUUUUAAUAAGAAGGUGAUGACUCAACAUAAAAGUAAAUAGAUAGGCCCUUCGCAGAGGGAAGCAGGGAUUUGUAGAGGUGCCAGAGCUCGAUUUUAAAGUAGAGAUAAAUAAUAUUUUGAGCGGUAUACUUUCAUUGUCAACAUAAUAACCAAGAGAUGGCGAUAUCUUCCAUGCUACACACAUUAUAGGCGGUUCCCAAACAGAAUGGUAAAGUUUAUACUCCCCCUCCACCAACAAGCAUCAAUCCAUGGCUUGCUCGAAACAACGAGUGCCUCCAACUAACAAGAGUCCUGGGGGAGUUUUGUUUGCAAUUAUUUUGAUUUGAUUUGCUUAAAGCAUGGGACUAGGCAUCUCGGUUACCAGCCAUUUUCUCGCGAAUGAGGAGCGGAGUCCACUCCUCUUGAGAAUAACCCACCUAGCAUGGAAGAUACAGACAGCCCUAGUUGAUAGAUGAGCUAUUCGAGCAUACAAAAUAGAAUUUCAUUUGAAGGUUUGGAGUUUGGCACAUACAAAAUUACAUGGAACGGCAGGUAGAUACCGCAUAUAGGAAGGUAUGGUGGACUCAUAUGGAAUAACUUUGGGGUUUAUGGAGUUUGGAUGCACAAGCAGUAUUCCCGCUUAGUACAGGUGAAGGCUAGCAAAAGACCGGGAAGCGACCAACUGAGAGAGCGACAAUAGUCAUGAACAUGCAUAAAAAUUAAUCAACACUGAGUGUAAGCAUGAGUAGGAUAUAAUCCACCAUGAACAUAAAUAUCGUGAACGCUAUGUUGAUUUUGUUUCAGCUACAUGCGUGAACAUGUGCCAAGUCGGGUCACUCAGUUCAUUCAAAGGAGGAUACCACCCUAUCAUACCACAUCGCAACCAUUUUAAUACAUGUUGGCACGCAAGGUAGACCAUUAUAACUCAUAGGUAAUUAAGCAUGGCAUAAGCAACUAUAAUCUCUAACUGUCAUUGCAAACAUGUUUAUUCAUAAUAAGCUGAAUUAGGAACGAUGAACUCAUCAUAUUUACAAAAACAAGAGACGUCGAGUUCAUACCAGCUUCUCUCAUCUCGACCAGUCCAUCAUAUAUUGUCAUUAUUUCCUUUCACUCGCAUGACCGAAUGGUGUGUAUAAUAAUAAUAGUGCACGUGCAUUGGACUAAGAUGGAAUCUGCAAGCAUUCAAUUCAAGAGAGAAGACAAAGUAAUAUGGGCUCUAAGUUAAAUCAACAAUCAUGCAUAUGAGAGCCACUAAACAUUUUCAUUAUGGUAUUCUCCUCUCGACCCCCAAAAUAAAGAAAAGAAAUAAUACUAUUUACACGGGAAAGCUCCCAACAAGCAAAAGAAGAAUGAGAAAUCUUUUUGGGUUUUCAUUUAAUUCUAUUACAAGCAUGGAAAUUAAACUAACUAAUUUUUUGGUUUUUCUAGAGUUUAUCAAACACACAAGAAGAAAGCUAGAAAAAUAAAUUAAACUAGCAUGGAUAGUACAAUGAAAGAGUAUGAGCACCGACAACUAGAAUAGUGUGUGAACAUGAAUGUAAAGUCGGUGAGAAAUACGUACUCCCCCAAGCUUAGGCUUUUGGCCUAAGUUGGUCUAUUGCCAAGGAUAGCCUAGCUGAUAUCCAAAGUUAUAACCGGGGUCGUACUGAGAUGCAGCAGCCAAUGCCUCCUGAGCUGCGGCAUGCUGGCGAGCUGCCUCCGCUCCCCUCUCGUGUUCGGUUGCCUCCUCCCUGGUGACAACAUAUCUUCGCUUUGCCUGGUAAUCAAAAAGGGAAGGAGCAGGGAGAGUAACAUGGACAGAGCAACGUAUGUCGAAGAUUAGUCGAUACUGGAGGAAUUGUUCAUUCCUCACAAGAAAAUGGUGCCUGACCAUAGCAUCAAAAUCUAAAUAAGCGGCAGGCAACUCUAUAUCUCCCUCACGUGGGGAUAUACCAAGAUAAUUAGCAACACGGGUCGCAUAAAUUCCUCCAAAUCAAUCUCCAGAUAUACCAUUAUUAUGCAACCUACGUGCAACUAUUGCCCCCAAGUUGUAAUCUUUAUUACCUAAAACAGUACUCUUGAGGACACAGAGAUCAGGGACACGCAUGUGACAUGCUUAAUCUUUACCGUUAAUGCAUAUGCCAAUGAAGAGAGCAAAAUAAUGUAUAGCGGGGAAAUGAAUGCUCCCUAUGGUAGCUUGUGCUAUAUCCCUAGAUUCUCCCACUGUUAUACUAGCAAGAAAGUCUUUAUAUUCAGAUUUACGGGGUUCAUUAACACUACCCCACUGUGGGAGUUUGCAAGCAGUAGUGAAAUCUUCUAAGUCCAUGGUGUAGGAUUGAUCAUAUAUAUCAAACAGGACACUUUGAGAAUUACGUGAAGAUGAAAAUUUAAACCUUCUCACGAAUGAAUCAGUUAAAUAGUAGUACUGAGGACACUUAUCUUGAAUGAAGUCCUCAAGAUCGGCGUUACGCACAUAUGCGUCAAAUUCAUCCUUAAUGUCCGCAUUGACCAUAAACUCUUCUGACGGCCAUUCACAAGGCCGCACGUCAGCUUCCCUUGGUGGUUCAUUGUCUUGCUCACGCAUAGUGCGCCCGGGUGCUUGCUUUCUUGAAGAACCACCUUGGUACGAUUUCCUGGACAUAUUUCUUCCUCUGAAAAAUUUCUGAAAUUUUUAGUAACUUCAAAAUAAAAGUGAAUCAAACUAAAAAAGAUUGAUAGCAACUACUCCUACAAGUGCCUAGAGCCUAUAUCAUGCAUUAGAAUUACUUGGGACCUCAUAAAUUUGUCAUGCAAGCUCAAGAACAGGGUCACCUAUGCAGAAAAAAAUUGCAAUGAAUAAAGCACUAGAACAAAAACUAAUUGGACCAAUGGAGGAGUCACAUACCAAGCAACAAUCUCCCAAAGCAGUUUUGUGAAUGGAGCUUUGAGCAAGGAGAUCGAAAAUCGCAGCAAAAUGAGCUAGAACUCGUGCUUGAGCUGGAUGGGGAUUUUUUGGGAGGAAGAUGGAGUGUGUGGGUGCAGGAAUAAGUGGAGGGGGGCCACCAUGGGCCCACGAGACAGGGGGCGCGCCCUGGACCCUCGUGGCCAGGUGCUUGCCCCCCCUGCUGUGUUCUCAGUGCCUAAAAUCCUCAAAUAUUCCAUAAAAAAUCAUACGAAAUUGGCAGGGCAUUUGGAGAACUAUUAUUUUCGGGAUAUUUUUUAUUGCAUGGAUAAUUCAGAAAACAGACAGAUAAUAUUUUUUUGCUUUAUUUAUUCUAAAUAACAGAAAGUAAAAAGAGGGAACAGAAGGUUGUGCCUUCUAGUUUCAUCCAUCCCAUGAUCAUCAAAAUGAAUCCACUAACAAGGUUGAUCAAGUCUUGUUAACAAACUCAUUCCGAAUAACAUGGAACCGGAGAAAUUUCGAAUAACACUAGGUUACCUGAACGGGGAUAUGAACAUCCCCUAUAAUAAGAAUAUCAUUUUUUUUACAGUAGGAAGAGGAAAUUCAAAACCUCCGAUAGUAAUAGUUGGACUUUUUCCAAUAGAAUUGAUGCUAUGAACUUGAGGUUGCUUCCUCGGAAAGUGUACCGUAUGCUCAUUUCCGUUAACAUGAAAAGUGACAUUGCCUUUGUUGCAAUCAAUAACAGCCCCUGCAGUAUUCAAAAACGGUCUACCAAGGAUAAUCGACAUACUAUCGUCCUCGGGAAUAUCAAGAAUAACAUAGUCCGUUAAGAUAGUGACAUUUGCAACCACAACAGGCACAUGCUCACAAAUACCGACAGGUAUAGCAGUUGAUUUAUCAGCCAUUUGCAAAGAUAUUUCAGUAGGUGCCAACUUAUUCAAUUCAAGUCUACGAUAUAAAGAGAGAGGCAUAACACUAACACCGGCUCCAAGAUCACAUAAAGUAGUUUUAACAUAAUUUCUUUCAAUGGAGCAUGGUAUAGUUGGUACUCCUGGAUCUCCAAGUUUCUUUGGUAUUCCACCCUCAAAAGUGUAAUUAGCAAGCAUGGUGGAAAUUUCAGCUUCCGGUAUCUUUCUUUUAUUUGUAAUGAUAUCCUUCAUAUAUUUGGCAUAAGGAUUUACUUUAAGCAUAUCAGUUAAGCGCAUAUGUAAGAAGAUAGGUCUAAUCAUUUCAGCAAAGCGCUCAAAAUCCUCAUCAUCCUUUGUCUUGGAUGGUUUAGGAGGAAAAGGCAUGGGUUUCUGAACCCAUGGUUCUCUUUCUUUACCGUGCUUCCUAGCAACAAAGUCUCUCUUAUCAUAACGUCGAUUCUUUGAUUGUGGGUUAUCAAGAUCAACAGCAGGUUCAAUCUCUACAUCAUUAUUAUUGCUAGGUUGAGCAUCAACAUGAACAUUAUCAUUAAUAUUAUCACUAGGUUCAUGUUCAUCACCUGAUUGUGUUUCAGCAUCAGAAAUAGAAAUAUCAUUGGGAUUCUCAGGUGUGUCUACAACAGGUUCACUAGAAGCAUGCAAAGUCCUAUUGUUUUUCUUUUUUUUCUUUUUAGAAGGACUAGGUGCAUCUAAAUUAUUUCUCUGAGAAUCUUGCUCGAUUCUCUUAGGGUGGCCUUCAAGAUACAAAGGUUCCUGAGUCAUUCUACCAGUUCUAGUAGCCACUAUAACAGCAAAAUCAUGUUUAUUAUUCAAUUCAUCGAGCAAAUCAUUUUGAGCUUUAAGUACUUGUUCAGCUUGAGUGGUAACCAUAGAAGCAUAUUUGCUAAUGAGUUUGAGUUCACCUUUAAUACUAGCCAUAUAAUCACUCAAGUGUCCAAUCAUGUAAGCAUUACUCUUUAAUUCUCCACUAACAUAAGCAUUAAAACUUUCUUGCCUAGCCAUAAAGUCAUCAAAUUCAUGUAAACAUUGGCUAGGAAAUUUAAUAGGCGGGAUUUCAACUUUAUCAUAUAUAUAGAGAGAAUUUACCUUUAUUGCCUGUGUCGGGUUAUCAAGACCAUGUGUUUCUUCAACAGGCGGUAUAUUAAGACCAUGUAUUUCUUCUGUCGGAGUAAAUGGCCACGGGUAGCCUAACCGACUGCCCCCGGUUCUUCUGAAAAAUUAUCAGGCCUUUGGGCCUCCAAGCACUCCAAGCAUUGGACCACCUCCCCUGGCCGGCUACCCCCGAAGCCGACUCACGGGAGGCGGCCCAGCCUCAGCAACCUCCCCCCCCAGGAUAUCCGCGGGGUGGCCGACUCCAGGAAGCCGACCUCGAAGAGCGCCGACUCCAAGAAGCCGGCCGAGACCACAACCACCAAAGCUACACCCACAUAACGGUGACAAGACGGGGUGUGGCCACAGUGCGGCCCACUACCCCCGAAGCCCGAGGCAGGCAUGGCCACAGGAGGCCGUACGGGACGGCCGUAUCCCGUUCGGCUCGGCACUGUAGCCAUGCUAGCCUCAACGUCAUCCACGACAGACUCCCGUACGGCCCACGGGCGGCAGGUCCCCUCGGCCAGAGAGAAGCGCGGAGGCGGCCCGGCCUCCCCAGUCGGCCAAGGGCAUAGCCGGCCCCCAGAAGCCGGCUACCCCCUCCCUCGAAGCAUGCGCCCCAUUAAGGAGACAAGACGAGGUAAGGCUACAGUGAGGACCCUCGAGGCGGCCCACUGUAGCCAUGAUUACCUCAACAACGCCCUCGUCAUCAGGGGUGAGGCUACAGUAAGCAGCCGCCGACAAGAUCCUAGGCGGUGGGGCCGGCCUGUCGACCAAGAGGCCGGCAGCCGGCAGGACCCACUAGUCGGCGGGCCCCAACAACCGGCGGAGAAGCCGGCGAGCGUAGACACUGAUGGCUGGGACCAGAGCCCAGCCGGAUUACAAUUGAACCCCCGGGGGGUAGGCCUAUAUAAACCCCCCCGGAGCACCCAUGCAAAGGGUUGGCUUCUGAGCAUAGCACACACACCAUAGAGAGAGAGAGAAGUGAGAGCUAGCCUUGUUCUUCUUCUCCCUUGAACCCAACAGCUCUAGGAGCGAUUGUAGCUACUUUUACUGAUCUAGUGAUCAUGCGGAGACCCCGCAGAGCAGGACUAGGGGUGUUAUCUCCUCGGAGAGCCCCGAACCUGGGUAAGAUCCGCCGGUGUGCAUGUCUUCGCCUCAUCCCGUUUCCAGGCACCGGCGACGUCUUAUUGGCACCCACAAUGAUAAGCCACCCGUUGGCAUAUGUCGCACCAACCAUCCGACAUUUGGCGCCCACCGUGGGGCCAGGUGCACCGUCGUCCGGAGACCUGUUCUGGACGGGAACCCUCUUCCUCCCCCGCGAGCGCAGCCAACCUACUGCGCCCGAUGGCGUUUGCCUCGACGCGCUGCAAGGCGUCGACGAUGCCUGCGCAGCGAGCUGCCUCGCCGAUCUGCUCGGCAAGACUCGCAUCUCGGACGAGCCUGCGUCCAACGCAGGCACGGACUACCCCGAGAGCUGCCUCGUCAGCCUCCUCGACCAGCUUCACGUCUCCAGCGAGCCUGCUGCAGAUGUGGAGUCGGUCGGCUCCACCGACCCGAUGCUUGUCGACUCCGACACGGCAUCGCUCGACGCAUACCCCUCCGACGUGGUGGUCUUCGACGAUCCUCUCCCUCGAGCUGAUAGCGGCAGCAGCGCUGUCACCGAAGUGCUGGUCAUCAGCCACGUCACCAACUCGGGCGAGAACGCCCACGACGCCCUGCAAGCGGCGAUGCACGACCUCUCCGUCCCCAUCCCGGCCGAUGCCGACGCCGAGACCCUGGAGGCACGCCGCCUCGCCCUCAUCGCGGAAGGCCAGAAGAUAGCCUCCAUGAGACGCCUCACCGAGGCCCACCAGCGCGAAGUCGACCGCGCCGCCUUCGGUACGCCGCCGCCUAGCGGCCCGAGCCGAGCCGGCUUCGUCCAGAAGCGCGGCGCGGCCGUCGCCAGCAUGCUGGGGGCGGAUCGCCCCGUCUACGCCACCCCGCUCGAGAAUCUGCGAGCCGCUCUGGCAGCCGCAGAAGAGCUCAAUGGGCUGGAAGCCGAUGAGCUCCCCUACAUGACAAGACGGAUCCAGCAGCUGAUCGACGCGGCUGCAGAAUGGCACGAAGCCGGCGCCCGUGCUGAUAGUCAUCCCCCGCGCCGGGAGCACGCCGCGACGUCCCGCUCGCCGACUGCGAGCGGCGCUCGCAAGAAGAAAGACAAGGAGCCGGCUGCUAGCCGCAGCCGGACUUGCAUCACCAUCGAGCGCGACGCGGAAGGCCGCCCACGAGCGGUGGAGCACCAAGGAAAUCUACCUCCCCCCCGCCUCGAAGAGAGCGACGUCUCACCCCGCCGCCUAUCACGCACCCGACUCUUGGCGACCGACUCAGCCGCCGAGAAGGAGUCGGCGAGAACGACGCCCGCCACCGGAUCGACCGCCUUGCUCGAUCCUUGGCGUUAGAAGAAGAAGACGAUGUCGGCCCGCCAUGCUUUGGCCCCCGCAUCCGCGACGAGCCCUUCCCCAAAGGGUUCUCGCUCCCCAGAGACACGCCCAAGUACAACGGCUCAGUGAAGCCGGAAGACUGGCUCAUCGACUACUCCACGGCUGUCAGCAUAGCCAACGGCAAUCGGCGCGUCGCCGUGAAGUACGUCCUCCUCAUGCUGCAAGGCACGGCAUGCACAUGGCUCAACAGCCUUAAGCCCUACAGCAUCAACAGUUGGCUGGACUUCACAGAAGUCUUCGUCCGCAACUUCACCAGCACCUACAAGCGGCCUCCCAAGCCUCGCCAGCUCUCCCUCUGCGUCCAAGGGCCCAACGAGUCGACCCGCGACUACCUCACGCGGUGGGCCGAGCUCCGCAACUCCUGCGAGGGGGUGCAUGAGGUCCAGGCCAUCGAGUACUUCACCGCCGGGUGCCGAGAGGGCACCCUCCUCAAGCACCAACUCCUCUGCGACGAGCCGGCUACCCUCGACGAGUUGCUGGUCAUCGCGGACAAGUACGCCACGGCCGACUCCUCAAUGAAGACCGAGCUCCGAGUAGACGCCUCGGGGAAGGUGAUUGCUCCGGCUCCUAAGACGCCGGCUGGCGACCCUAAUUGGCGCCCCUACCAGAACGACCACAAGCGCAAGGCCCCCAUGCUGACUUCCACCAGUCGGCAGGUGGCCACCGUUGAAGAUGAGCAGCCCGAAGAACGGCCCGCUCCCAAGAAGAAGGGUGGCAGGCCGGCUUGGCAGCCGGCUUUCUCCUACGAACAGGCUCUUGAUGCCCCCUGCAAAUUCCACAGCGGCGCGAAGCCGUCCAACCACACAACCCGGAAAUGCCAUUGGCUCACCCGCAUCACCAAGGGCGAGGGGAUGUUGCCGCCUCCGCCUCCCGGUCUGCCGCCUCCAGCCCCCCAGCAGCCGGCGGCUCGGCCGGCAGUCGGCGCCAUCCAAGACGAAUUCCCCGAAGAGCACGCCGCCUACGUCGUCUUCACCAGUCAAACCGACGACAAGCGCAGUCGACGCCGACAGCAUCAAGAAGUUAAUGCAGUCACCUCUAGCACCCCCGAGUUCAUGCACUGGUCAGAGAAGCCAGUCAGCUGGAGCCAGGCCGACCACCAAGAGGUGAUGCCCUCUCCUGGCUCCUAUGCAAUGGUCUUGGAUGUCACCCUCGCGACGGAGAGGCGAGCUGCCCGAUUCUCCCGCGUCCUGAUAGAUGGCGGAAGCAGUAUCAACAUACUGUACCGCGAUACCAUGGAGAAGCUGAACAUCAAAGCGAAGCAGCUCAUGCCGAGCCGCACCGUCUUCCAUGGUAUCGUCCCCGGCUUGUCUUGCUCCCCAAUCGGCAAGAUUAAAAUGGAUGUUCUCUUCGGAGACAAAGAUCAUUUUCGCCGAGAAGCAAUCUGGUUCGAGGUAGUGGAUUUGGAGAGCCCCUAUCAUGCUCUGCUUGGCCGACCUGCUCUGGCCAAGUUCAUGGCUGUGCCCCACUACGCCUACCUGAAGAUGAAGAUGCUGAGCUCGAAGGGGAUCAUCACGGUAGCCGGCGACUACAAGAAGUCCAUCGAGUGCGCCAUGGCCAGCAGCCGGCUGGCCGAGUCCCUCGUGGUGGCAGAAGAGAAGAAGAUGCUGGAACGGGUUGUGGCCAUGGCCGGCAAGCAGCCGGCCCUGUCCCCCAACCCCAAAGAUUGUGAUGCGCAGGGCUCCUUCCAGCCUGCCAAAGAGACGAAGAAGAUACCUCUGGACCCGGAGAACCCGGAGAGGUUCGCUGUCAUUGGGGCGAACUUGGACAGUAAAUAGGAAGGCGAGCUCGUCGACUUCCUCCGUGAGAAUCGAGACAUUUUUGCAUGGUCCCAAAAGGACAUGCGGGUGUCCCGAAGGAUUUCGCCGAGCACAAAUUACAUGUCGGCGCUGACGCAAAGCCCGUCAAGCAACCCCUCCGCCGACUAUCAGAAGAGAAGCGAAGAAUCGUGGGAGAAGAGAUAGCCCGGCUCCUUGCCGCUGGCUUUAUCAUGGAAGUGUUCUUUCCAGAUUGGCUUGCCAACCCAGUUCUGGUUCUGAAGAAGAAUAACAAGUGGCGUAUGUGUAUAGACUACACCAGCCUGAACAAGGCCUGCCCAAAGGAUCCGUUUGCUCUGCCACGGAUUGACCAAGUGAUAGACUCCACAGCCGGAUGCGAGCUGUUAAGUUUUUUGGAUGCGUACUCAGGGUACCAUCAUAUCAAGUUGGACCCAGCUGACCGCCUGAAGACUGCCUUCAUCACACCCUUUGGAGCUUUCUGCUACCUGACUAUGACAUUCGGCUUGAGGAAUGCCGGUGCCACUUUUCAGCGUUGCAUGCAGAAAUGCCUCUUGAAACAACUCGGCAGAAAUGCCCACGUCUAUGUAGACGAUAUUGUGGUGAAGACAGAGAAGCGCGGUACCUUGCUGGAAGACCUGAAAGAAACAUUCGCCAACUUGUGCCGAUUCCAAAUCAAGCUCAACCCCGAGAAGUGCGUGUUCGGAGUGCCAGCCGGCCAGUUGCUAGGCUUCCUGGUCUCCGAACGCGGCAUCGAAUGCAACCCUGUCAAGAUCAAGGCCAUCGAGAGGAUUGAGAUUCCCACCAAACUGCGAGAUGUGCAGAAGUUCACUGGCUGCUUAGCCUCCCUGAAUCGUUUUAUCAGCUGACUAGGAGAGAAGGCUCUCCCCCUGUACCGACUCAUGAAGAAGUCCACUCACUUCGAGUGGAACGACCAAGCCGACCAAGCCUUCCAUGAGUUGAAGAAAAUGCUGACCACUCCGCCUGUCCUGGCGGCGCCGACUGAGAAGGAGCCCAUGCUCCUCUACAUCGCCGCGACUAGCCGAGUCGUCAGUACUGUUGUUGUGGUCCAGCGCCCGGAAGAAGGCCGAGCCCAGCUAGUCCAGAGGCCGGUGUACUAUCUGAGCGAAGUGCUAUCCAGCUCAAAGCAAAACUACCCGCACUACCAGAAGAUGUGCUAUGGGGUGUACUUCGCUGCCAAGAAACUGAAGCCCUACUUCCAAGAGCACCCCAUCACGGUCGUGUGCACCGCCCCGUUCGCCGAGAUCAUAGGCAGCCGGGAUGCAUCCGGCCGGGUGGCUAAAUGGGCCAUUGCACUGGCGCCCUACACGAUCUUCUACCAACCCCGCACCGCCAUCAAGUCCCAAGCAUUGGCCGACUUCCUCGUCGACUGGGCCGAGACCCAGUACCUACCGCCGGCUCCCGACUCUACCCAUUGGCGGAUGCACUUUGACGGGUCCAAGAUGCGCACCGGCUUGGGAGCCGGCAUCGUCCUCACCUCUCCCAAAGGCAACAAGCUCAAGUACACGCUGCAGAUCCACUUCGCCGCCUCCAACAACGUGGCCGAGUAUGAGGCGCUCGUACAUGGGCUCCGGCUAGCCAAAGAGCUCGGCAUACGCCGGAUCCUGUGUUACGGCGACUUAGACUUGGUGGUCCAGCAGUCGUCUGGCGACUGGGACGCCAAGGACGCGAACAUGGCGAGCUAUCGAUUCCUCGUCCAGCAGAUCAGCGGAUACUUUGAAGGGUGCGAGUUCCUUCACGUGCCAAGGGCCGACAACGACCAAGCAGAUGCCCUGGCACGAAUCGGCUCCACCCGACAAGCCAUACCGACUGGCGUCUCCCUCCAGCGCCUCCUCAAGCCGUCCAUCAAGCCAUCUCCAGAGUCGGACUCUAUCUUCGUACCGCCUGCGCCAGAUGCAGCCGGAUCCGACUGGAGAAAACCCGCAGGCGGCACGGGGACUUCGACAACUGGCCCGGGGACUGCCGUAGUCGCACCCGGCCUGGAGACUUCAGAACCCGGCCCAGGGACUGCAGCAGUCGGCCCGGGGACUGCAACGACACAAGAAGCGGUGGCCGACUCCAAUUCCACGCCACCCAACCCACCCACCCGAGUCAUGGUGGCUACAUUAACAGAAGAAGAAGUCACAGCUCCGUCAUGGGCUUAGCCCAUCCUCAAGUUCCUAGUCAGCAGAGAGCUGCCGGCUGAUGAGAUCUCAGCAAGACUAGUGCAACGACGAGCCGCAGCAUACGCAAUAAUCAACAGAGAGCUUGUGAAGCGCAGCGUCACUGGAGUCUUCCAGCGUUGUGUCGAGCCAGAAAAAGGAGUGGCAAUCCUCAAGGACAUCCACCAAGGCGAAUGCGGCCACCACGCAGCCUCAAGAUCACUUGUGGCCAAGGCUUUCCGCCAUGGUUUCUUCUGGCCGACUGCCUUGGAGGAUGCUAAAGAAAUAGUCAAGAGCUGCAGAGGAUGCCAAGUUUUUAGUUCCAAGCAACACCUGCCGGCUUCUGCACUCAAGACCAUUCCCCUCACCUGGCCUUUUGCCGUCUGGGGACUAGACAUGGUGGGCCCUUUCAAGACAGCCCGCGGCGGCUUGACACAUCUACUGGUCGCUGUGGACAAGUUCACAAAGUGGAUCGAAGCAAAGCCGAUUAAGAAGUUGAACGGGCCGACUGCCAUGACAUUCAUCACUGACAUCACUACUCGGUACGGCGUGCCGCACAGCAUCAUCACCGACAACGGCACGAACUUCGCCAAAGGAGCACUGGCACGUUUCUGCGCGACGCAGGGCAUCCGACUGGACUUAGCGUCCGUUGCCCACCCGCAGUCAAACGGCCAGGUCGAGUGAGCAAAUGGACUCAUCCUCUCCGGCAUCAAGCCCCGACUGGUUGUACCACUGGAGCGAUCGGCCGGCUGCUGGCUCGAUGAGCUGCCGGCUGUCCUCUGGAGCCUGUGCACUACACCCAACAAGUCAACCGGCUUCACUCCAUUUUUCCUCGUGUACGGUGCCGAGGCUGUCAUCCCAACAGACAUCGAGUUCGACUCACCUCGGAUCACCAUGUACACGGAGGAGGAGGCCAAGGAAGCAAGAGAAGACGGCGUCGACCUACUAGAAGAAGGCCGGCUGUUAGCACUCAGCCGGUCCGCCAUCUACCAGCAAGGGCUGCGCCGCUACUACAACCGCAAGGUCAAGCCAAGAUCCUUCCAAGAGGGCAACCUUGUGCUCCGGCUAAUCCAGCGAACAGCCGGCCAGCACAAGCUCUCGGCCCCUUGGGAAGGCCCCUUCGUCAUCAGCAAGGCACUAGGCAACGACUCCUACUACCUGAUCGACGCGCAAAAACCAAGAGCACGCAAGAGAGACGACUCCGGCAAGGAGUCGGAGCGACCAUGGAACGCAAACCUCCUGAGACGAUUUUACAGUUGAAAGCAGUAUGUAUCACGCUACCCUUUUGUAUUAAGUACAAACCAACAGGCCCCCCGAACAGUACUCGGGGACUGCCUUUGUUUAUCUAUGAAUGACAAGUGUCAUAUCCAUGAAUGUAUUAUUACAUUUGAUUUCUUGUCUGGCACCGGGUUCGACUAGUCGGCCCGGGGACUGGCCGCCUUGAGCUAUAUUAAAAGUUCUACCUGAAGUCAGAAAAGUAGUGUGCCGGCUCCCGAGUCCUCUCUUGUUGAAAGUCGCAGCUCGAAGAACCGACUGUCCGACUAGCAAGAGGCAAGGCAGAAAGGAUGCCCACACGAAAAAUGGCUAAGGAACAACGAACCUAUAUAGCAAAAAGACGGCCUCCAAACAUGCCUGCCGGCUGUCAGAACAGCCGGCUGGCCGGCUUCCUCAACACUUAGCUUUAGUCCAGCAAAGCUAGAGUACUCCCCCCCCCCAAUUGGCCAAGCCCUCCUCCAGCUACAGAUUGCAGAGCAACUGUCCGACUGGGGAGGCGGCAACCAAGGGAGGGCGGCAAAGGAAACAGCAGAAGGAUAAAAAGCAAAGUACGAGGAAAAGCCAAAUGCAUGCAUAAGUUAUAUAUACAUAUAAAGCCCCCAACAGGCCGGCAAUCAACAUGGUUCGAAUACACCCCCACUGGGUGGAAUUGUGCAGACUUAACAGAGUAUUGUUCCAAAAGUAACAGGACAGAAAAACAAAAGACGGCAGACUAGACUAAGGCGCGGUGCGGAGGCCGAGCUGGUCGGUGAAGGCGGCCUGGCCGGCUGAAGGAGUGGCCGCCUAGCGGGUCUCGGCUUGGUCACCACCAGCGGCAGGCGACGCACUCGCGCGCAACGUGGUGCUGGAGGCGCGGUCAGGCUGAGGCUGGUCGGCUGCUCCAGCAGCCGACUCGGCGUCUUCACCCUCCUCCUCCUCCUCUUCACCCUCGUCGCUGGAGUCGAUCUCCUCCGCCGAGGCUUCACCGUCUGCCGGGUUCAGCCCGAACCACUCCUCCGGCUGGGCGACACCGUUGUCGUCUACCUCGGGGGCGAAGACGCUGGUGUCGGUGUAGUCGGCGAUCGCCGAAGCCCGCCGGAUGAUAGCCGGCAGCGCCGGCUCCAGCUCCGUGUCGGCUUGCUGCCACCAGGUAGCCAGCUGAUCCAGGCUCAGGCCUUGACAAACUCCAGCGCCCGCCUGGCGCCGGAGCGAGCUGCCGAGGCCUUCCAGGCUUUGAAGCGGCCGACUGCCACCUCCAGCCAGUCGGCAGUCCGACUGGGGGUGCGAGGAACCACUUGGCCGGGCCAGAGGGCGGCCAAGACUUGCGCCCCGGCACGCUGAAGCCGGCGGAGCAGUCGGUGAGCCGGCUGGAUGCGGGCCUGGAUCGCUCAGAGCUGCUCCUCCAGCGAACGGUCGGCGGUUGGCGAAAUCUCGAAGCCAGCCAGCCUCCGCGCCUGGCGGCGGGCCUCGAUGGUCUGGUUGGCGGCGGUAGAAUAGCCAGGGAAAUAUUCUGCGCAAGAAAGAAGAAGAAAAGAAGAAAAGAGCACCAAGUCAGAAAACGAGCCAAAAGUGGCAGAUGGCAAGAAAGGACGAAGAGGUAGGCGGCUUACCGUCAACCAGAUCUUCGAUCUGACCAUAGCCAGAGAUCAGAGUUUGCCUGGCCUCAACCCAGCCAGCCGCCUCCGUCUCGUACUCAGCCUGGAGGGCGGCUUCGCGGUCCUGCACCGCCUUCAGAGCCGCCUUGUGGCCUUCCUCCUGGUCGGCCAACUUCUUGGCCAGGCGGUCGCGUUCCUGCACCAAGGCGGCGAGCUCGGCAUCCUUGGCACGAAGGGCAGUCUGAGACUCCCCCAGCUGUGCCCUCAGACCGGCGUUGGCCGCUGCAGAGACGGCAGAAAAAGAAAGAACAGUAAGAGGAAGUUGUCAAGGAAGAUCCGACCCGACUGCUCAGCAGUCGGCCCGAAUCUCGGGGACUACACCCAGUGGGUGCGCUGACGCGCCCCCACAUGAGAUAAAGAACAAAGCACGUACCUCGGCUCUCAGUAAGGUCGGCGGUCUUCUGGGUCAGCUCCCGAGCCUGGGAGUUGAAGGCGGCCGCACGAAGAUUGUGGUAGUCCUGCAAGAUAGACAGAAGAUCGAAGUAAGAACAAGAAUAGCAAAGACAAAUCCACUAAGAAGUUCCAAGCCGCCUGCUCAGCAGCCGACUCGGAACUCGGGGACUACACCCAGUGGGUGCGCUGACGCGCCCCCACGGAAGAAAUCAAGAUCAAGAAGAAGCAAGAUGGGAAGACUAACCCGGAUGGCCGCCCGCGUCGCAAGGAACUCGUCGGUGAACUGCCUCAAUGCCAUAGCCUGGGCCUGAAGCCUGGUCCGGACGUCCUGCGCGGCCACGUUCAUCACGGCUGUCCCUCCGCCUGGCGUCCACCCCGAGGUAGCGCUGGCCACCUCCACAUCCCGGGCCGAUGAGCUGGAGCCCGCGGCCGGCUGCGGCUCCGACGCGGCCUUCUGUGGCUCCGACGCAGCCUUCCCCGCACGACGGCUCGGCGGCAUUCGGACCGCCAUCUCAGUCCUCGCGGCCGGCUUGCCCCCCACCGACUGCGCAGGCGGCAGAUCAGGCCGGCCGCCUUGAGCCGCCCUAGUUGGCGGGGUCGGCACCGGUGCCCUCUCCAGGACGACGACGUCGUCGUCCCUCUCCAGUCCUGAUAGGAAGCUGAUCGAGCUUCUCAACUCCUACCCAACCUCGAAGCCCAAUCAGCUUCGGGGACUACUGUCGAAGUAAAUGGCCACGGGUAGCCUAACCGACAGCCCCUGGUUCUUCUGAAAAAUUAUCAGGCCUUUGGGCCUCCAAGCACUCCAAGCAUUGGACCACCUCCCCUGGCCGGCUACCCCCAAAGCCGACUCACGGGAGGCGGCCCAGCCUCAGCAACCUCCCCCCCAGGAUAUCCGCGGGGUGGCCGACUCCAGGAAGCCGGCCUCGAAGAGCGCCGACUCCAAGAAGCCGGCCGAGACCACAACCACCAAAGCUACACCCACAUAACGGUGACAAGACGGGGUGUGGCCACAGUGCGGCCCACUACCCCCGAAGCCCGAGGCAGGCAUGGCCACAGGAGGCCGUACGGGACGGCCGUCUCCCGUUCGGCUCGACACUGUAGCCAUGCUAGCCUCAACGUCAUCCAUGACAGACUCCUGUACGGCCCACGGGCGGCGGGUCCCCUCGGCCAGAGAGAAGCGCGGAGGCGGCCCAGCCUCCCCCAGUCGGCCAAGGGCAUAGCCGGCCCCCAGAAGCCGGCUACCCCUCCCUCGAAGCAUGCGCUGAAGGAAAUAUGCCCUAGAGGCAAUAAUAAAGUAUUAUAUAUUUCCUUAUAUCAUGAUAAAUGUUUAUUAUUCAUGCUAGAAUUGUAUUAACCGGAAACAUAAUACAUGUGUGAAUACAUAGACAAACAGAGUGUCACUAGUAUGCCUCUACUUGACUAGCUCGUUAAUCAAAGAUGGUUAUGUUUCCUAGCCAUAGACAUGAGUUGUCAUUUGAUUAACAAGAUCACCUCAUUAGGAGAAUGACGUGAUUGACUUGACCCAUUCCGUUAGCUUAGCACCCGAUCGUUUAGUAUGUUGCUAUUGCUUUCUUCAUGACUUAUACAUGUUCCUAUGACUAUGAGAUUAUGCAACUCCCGUUUACCAGAGGAACACUUUGUGUGCUACCAAACGUCACAACGUAAAUGGGUGAUUAUAAAGGUGCUCUACAGGUGUCUCCAAAGGUACUUGUUGGGUUGGCGUAUUUCGAGAUUAGGAUUUGUCACUCCGAUUGUCGGAGAGGUAUCUCUGGGCCCACUCGGUAAUGCACAUCACUAUAUGCCUUGCAAGCAUUGUGACUAAUGGGUUAGUUGCGGGAUGAUGUAUUACGGAACGAGUAAAGAGACUUGCCGGUAACGAGAUUGAACUAGGUAUCGAGAUACCGACGAUCGAAUCUCGGGCAAGUAACAUACCGAUGACAAAGGGAACAACGUAUGUUGUUAUGCGGUCUGACCGAUAAAGAUCUUCGUAGAAUAUGUGGGAGCCAAUAUGGGCAUCCAGGUCCCACUAUUGGUUAUUGACCGGAGAGGUGUCUCGGUCAUGUCUACAUAGUUCUCGAACCCAAAGGGUCCGCACGCUUAAAGUUACGAUGACAGUUUUAUUAUGAGUUUAUGUAUGUUGAUGUACCGAAGGAGUUCGGAGUCCCGGAUGAGAUCGGGGACAUGACGAGGAGUCUCGAAAUGGUCGAGACGUAAAGAUCAAUAUAUUGGACGACUAUAUUCGGACUUCGGAAAGGUUCGAGUGAUUCGGGUAUUUUUCGGAGUACCGGAGAGUUACGGGAAUACGUAUUGGGCCUUAUUGGGCCAUACGGGAAAGAAGGAAAAGGGCCUCAAGGGUGGCCGCACCCCUCCCCUUGGUCUGGUCCGAAUUGGACUAGGGAAGGGGGGCGCCCCCUUCCUUCCUUCUCUUUUUCCCUUCCUCUUUUCCUAUUCCAUAUGGGAGGUGGAAUCCUACUAGGACUAGGGAGUCCUAGUAGGACUCCACACUUGGUGCGCCCCCUCCUAGGGCCGGCCUCCUCCUCCCUUGCUCCUUUAUAUACGGGGGCAGGGGGGCACCUAAGAACACACUUUUUGAUAUACGAUAUUUUAGCCGUGUGCGGUGCCCCCCUCCACCAGAUUACACCUCGAUAAUACCGUCGCGGAGCUUAGGCGAAGCCCUGCGUCGGUGGAACAUCAUCAUCGUCACCACACCGUCGUGCUGACGAAACUCUCCCUCAACACUCGGCUGGAUCGGAGUUCGAGGGACGUCAUCAAGCUGAACGUGUGUAGAACUUGGAGGUGCCGUACGUUCGGUACUUGAUCGGUCGGAUUGUGAAGACGUACGACUACAUCAACCGCGUUGUGAUAACGCUUCCGCUGUCGGUCUACGAGGGUACGUGGACAACACUCUCCCCUCUCGUUGCUAUGCAUCACCAUGAUCUAGCGUGUGCGUAGGAUUUUUUUUUGAAAUUACUGCGUUCCCCAACAGUGGCAUCUGAGCCUGGUUUUAUGCGUUGAUGCUAUGCACGAGUAGAACACAAGUGAGUUGUGGGCGAUAUAAGUCAUACUGCUUACCAGCAUGUCAUACUUUGGUUCAGCGGUAUUGUGAGAUGAAGCGGCCCGGACCGACAUUACGCGUACGCUUACCCGAGACUGGUUUCACCGUUGCGAGCACUCAUUGCUUAAAGGUGACCGGCGGGUGUCUGUCUCUCUCACUUUAGUUGAACCGAGUGUGGCUACGCCCGGUCCUUGCGAAGGUUAAAACAGCACCAACUUGACAAACUAUCGUUGUGGUUUUGAUGCGUAGGUAAGAACGGUUCUUGCUAAGCCCGUAGCAGCCACGUAAAAUAUGCAACAACAAAGUAGACGACGUCUAACUUGUUUUUGCAGGGCAUGUUGUGAUGUGAUAUGGUCAAGACAUGAUGUGAUAUAAUGUGUUGUAUGAGAUGAUCAUGUUUUGUAACCGAGUUAUCGGCAACUGGCAGGAGCCAUAUGGUUGUCGCUUUAUUGUAUGAGAUGCAAUCGCCAUGUAAUAGUUUUACUUUAUCACUAAGAGGUAGCGAUAGUCGUAAAAGCAAUAAGUUGGCGAGACGACAACGAUGCUACGAUGGAGAUCAAGGUGUCGCGCCGGUGACGAUGGUGAUCAUGACGGUGCUUCGGAGAUGGAGAUCACAAGCACGGUGCUUCGGGGAUGGAGAUCACAAGCACAAGAUGACGAUGGCCAUAUCAUAUCACUUAUAUUGAUUGCAUGUGAUGUUAAUCCUUUAUGCAUCUUAUCUUGCUUUGAUUGACGGUAGCAUUAUAAGAUGAUCCCUCACUAAAAUUUCAAGAUAAAAGUGUUCUCCCUGAGUAUGCACCGUUGCGAAAGUUCUUCGUGCUGAGACACCACGUGAUGAUUGGGUGUGAUAAGCUCUACGUUCAAAUACAACGGGUGCAAAACAGUUGCACACGUGGAAUACUCAGGUUAAACUUGACGAGCCUAGCAUAUGUACAGAUAUGGCCUCGGAACACAGAGACCGAAAGGUCGAGCGUGAAUCAUAUAGUAGAUACGAUCAACAUAGUGAUGUUCACCAUUGAAACUACUCCAUCUCACGUGAUGAUCGGACAUGGUUUAGUUGAUUUGGAUCACGUAAUCACUUAGAUGAUUAGAGGGAUAUCUAUCUAAGUGGGAGUUCUUAAGUAAUAUGAUUAAUUGAACUUAAAUUUAUCAUGAACUUAGUCCUGAUAGUAUUUUGCAAAUUAUGUUGUAGAUCAAUAGCUCGCGUUGUUGCUUCCCUGUGUUUAUUUUUGAUAUGUUCCUAGAGAAAAAUUAUGUUGAAAGAUGUUAGUAGCAAAGAUGCGGAUUGGAUCUGUGAUCUGAGGAUUAUCCUCAUUGCUGCACAGAAAAAUUAUGUCCUUGAUGCACCGCUAGGUGACAGACCUAUUGCAGGAGCAGAUGCAGACGUUAUGAACGUUUGGCUAGCUCAAUAUGAUGACUACUUGAUAGUUUAGUGCACCAUGCUUAACGGCUUAGAAUCGGGACUUCAAAGACGUUUUGAACGUCAUGGACCAUAUAAGAUGUUCCAGGAGUUGAAGUUAAUAUUUCAAGCAAAUACCCGAGUUGAGAGAUAUGAAGUCUCCAACAAGUUCUAUAGCUAAAAGAUGGAGGAGAAUCGCUCAACUAGUGAGCAUAUGCUCAGAUUGUCUGGGUACUACAAUCGCUUGAAUCAAGUGGGAGUUUAUCUUCCAGAUAAAAUAGUGAUUGACAGAAUUCUCUAGUCACCAUCACCAAGUUAGUAGAACUUUGUGAUGAACUAUAGUAUGCAAGGGAUGACGAAAGUAAUUCCCGAGCUCUUCGUGAUGCUGAAAUAGACGAAGGUAGAAAUCAAGAAAAACAUCAAGUGUUGAUGGUUGACGAGACCACUAGUUUCAAGAAAAGGGCAAAGGGAAGAAAGGGAACUUCAAAAAGAACGGCAAGCAAAUUGCUACUCAAGUGAAGAAGCCCAAGUCUGUACCUAAGCCUGAGACUAAGUGCUUCUACUGCAAAGGGACUGGUCACUGGAGGCAGAACUGCCCCAAGUAUUUGGUGGAUAAGAAGGAUGGCAAGGUGAACAAAGGUAUAUUGGAUAUACAUGUUAUUGAUGUGUACUUACUAGUGUUUAUAGCAACCCCUCAGUAUUUGAUACUGGUUCAGUUGCUAAAGAGUAGUAACUCGAAAAACGGGAGUUGCAGAAUAAACAGAGACUAAUAAAAGGCGAGGUGACGAUGUGUGUUGGGAGUAGUUCCAAGAUUGAUAUGAUCAUCAUCGCACACUCCCUAUACUUUCGGGAUUAGUGUUAAAACUAAAUAAAUGUUAUUUAGUGUUUGCGUUGAGCAUGAAUAUGAUUUGAUCAUGUUUGUUGCAAUACGGUUAUUCAUUUAAGUUAGAGAACAAUUGUUGUUCUGUUUACAUGAAUAAAAACCUUUUAUGGUCAUACACACCAACAAAAAUGGUUUGUUGGAUCUCGAUCGUAGUGAUACACAUAUUCAUAAUAAUGAAGCCAAAAGAUGCAAAGUUAAUAAUGAUAGUGCAACUUAUUUGUGGCACUGCUGUUUAGGUCAUAUUGGUGUAAAGUGCAUGAAGAAACUCCAUACUGAUGGGAUUUUGGAAUCACUUGAUUAUGAAUCACUUGAUGCUUGCGAACCAUGCCUCAUGGGCAAGAUGACUAAAACGUCGUUCUCCAGAACUAUAGAGAGAGCAACAGAUUUGUUGGAAAUCAUACAUACAGAUGUAUGUGGUCCGAUGAGUAUUGAGGCUCGUAGCAGGUAUCAUUAUUUUCUGACCUUCACAGAUGAUUUGAGCAGAUAUGGGUAUAUCUACUUAAUGAAACAGAAGUCUGAAACAUUUGAAAAGUUCAUAUAAUUUCAGAGUGAAGCGGAAAAUCAUCGUAACAAGAAAAUAAAGUUUCUACGAUCUGAUCGUGGAGAAGAGUAUUUGAGUUACGAGUUUGGCCUUCAGUUAAAACAAUGUGAAAUUGUUUCACUACUCACGCCACCUGGAACACCACAGUGUAAUGGUGUGUCCGAACAUCGUAACCAUACUUUAUUAGAUAUGGUGCAAUAUAUGAUGUCUCUUACCGAUCUACCACUAUCGUUUUGGGGUUAUGCAUUAGAGACAGCUACAUUCACGUUAAAUAGGGCACCAUCAAAAUCCAUUGAGACGACGCCUUAUGAACUGUGGUUUGGCAAGAAACCAAAGUUGUCGUUUCUUAAAGUUUGGGGUUGCAAUGCUUAUGUGAAAAAGUUUCAUCCUGAUAAGCUCAAACCCAAAUCGGAGAAAUGUGUCUUCAUAGGAUACCCAAAGGAGACAGUUGGGUACACCUUCUAUCACAGAUCCGAAGGCAAGACAUUCGUUGCUUAGUAUGGAUCCUUUCUAGAGAAGGAGUUUCUCUCGAAAGAAGUGAGCGGAGAGGAAAGUAGAACUUGAUAAGGUAACUGUACCUGCUCCCUUAUUGGAAAAUAGUUCAUCACAAGAAACGGUUCCUGUGACGUCUAUACCAAUGAGUGAGGAAGUUAAUGAUGAUGAUCAUGACACUUCAGAUCAAGUUGUUACUAAACCUUGUAGGUCAACCAGAGUAAGAUCCGCACCAGAGUGGUACGGUAAUCCUGUUCUGGAGGUUAUGUUACUAGACCAUGACAAACCUACGAACUAUGAAGAAGCAAUGGUGAGCCCAAAUUCCGCAAAAUGGCUUGAGGCCAUGAAAUCUGAGAUGAGAUCCAUGUAUGAGAACAAAGUGUGGACUUUGGUUGAAUUGCCCGAUGAUCGGCAAGCAAUUGAGAAUAAAUGGAUCGUCAAGAGGAAGACGGACGCUGAUAGUAGUAUCACUAUCUAAAAAGCUAGAAUUGUCGCAAAAAGGUUUUCGACAAGUUCAAGAUGUUGACUACGAUGAGAGUUUCUCACUCGUAUCUAUGCUUAAGUCUGUCUGAAUCAUGUUAGCAAUUGCCGCAUUUUAUGAAAUAUGGCAAAUGGAUAAACAAAACUGCAUUCCUUAAUGGAUUUAUUAAAGAAAAAUUGUAUAUGAUGCAACCAGGAGGUUUUGUCAAUCCUAAAGGUGCUAACAAAAUAUGCAAGCUCCAGCGAUCCAUCUAUGGACUGGUGCAAGCAUCUCGGAGUUGGAAUAUACACUUUGAUAAGUUGAUCAAAGGAUAUAGUUUUAUACAUACUUGCGGUGAAGCCUGUAUUUACAAGAAAGUGAGUGGGAGCACUACCGCAUUUCUGAUAAGUAUAUGUGAAUGACAUAUUGUUGAUCGGAAAUAAUGUAGAAUUAUUCUGCAAAGCAUAAAGGAGUGUUUGAAAGGAGUUUUUUCAAAGAAAGACCUCAGUGAAGCUGCUUACAUAUUGAGCAUCAAGAUCUAUAGAGAUAGAUGAAGACGCUUGAUAAGUCUUUUCAAUGAGUACAUACCUUAACAAGAUUUUGAAGUGGUUCAAAAUGGAACAGUCAAAGAAAGAGUUUCUUGCCUGUGUUGCAAGGUGUGAAAUUGAGUAAGACUCAAUGCCCGACCACGGCAGAAGAUAGAAAAAGAAUGAAAGUCAUUCCCUAUGCCUUGGCCAUAGGUUCUAUAAAGUAUGCCAUGCUGUGUACCAGAUCUAUUGUAUACCCUACACUGAUUUUGGCAAGGGAGUACAAUAGUGAUCUAGGAGUAGAUCACUCGACAGCGGUCAAAAUUUAUCCUUAGUGGAAUAAGGAAAUGUUUCUCGAUUAUGGAAGUGACAAAAGGUUCGUCGUAAAGGGUUACGUCGAUGCAAGUUUUGACACUAAAUCUAGAUGACUCUAAGUCUCGGUCUAGAUACAUAUUGAAAGUGGGAGCAAUUAGCUAGAGUAGCUCCGUGCAGAGCAUUGUAGACAUAGGAAUUUGCAAAAUCCUUACGGAUCUGAAUGUGACAGACCCGUUGACUAAAAUUAUCUCACAAUCAAAACAUGAUCACACCUUAGUACUCUUUGGGUGUUAAUCACAUAGCGAUGUGAACUAGAUUAUUGACUCUAGUAAACCCUUUGAGUGUUAGUCACAUAGAGAUGUGAACUAUGGGUGUUAAUAACAUGGUGAUGUGAAUAUUUGAUGUUAAAUCACAUGGUGAUGUGAACUAGAUUAUUGACUCUAGUGCAAGUGGGAGACUGAAGGAAAUAUGCCCUAGAGGCAAUAAUAAAGUAUUAUAUAUUUCCUUAUAUCAUGAUAAAUGUUUAUUAUUCAUGCUAGAAUUGUAUUAACCGGAAACAUAAUACAUGUGUGAAUACAUAGACAAACAGAGUGUCACUAGUAUGCCUCUACUUGACUAGCUCGUUAAUCAAAGAUGGUUAUGUUUCCUAGCCAUAGACAUGAGUUGUCAUUUGAUUAACAAGAUCACCUCAUUAGGAGAAUGACGUGAUUGACUUGACCCAUUCCGUUAGCUUAGCACCCGAUCGUUUAGUAUGUUGUUAUUGCUUUCUUCAUGACUUAUACAUGUUCCUAUGACUAUGAGAUUAUGCAACUCCCGUUUACCAGAGGAACACUUUGUGUGCUACCAAACGUCACAACAUAAAUGGGUGAUUAUAAAGGUGCUCUACAGGUGUCUCCAAAGGUACUUGUUGGGUUGGCGUAUUUCGAGAUUAGGAUUUGUCACUCCGAUUGUCGGAGAGGUAUCUCUGGGCCCACUCGGUAAUGCACAUCACUAUAAGCCUUGCAAGCAUUGUGACUAAUGAGUUAGUUGCGGGAUGAUGUAUUACGGAACGAGUAAAGAGACUUGCCGGUAACGAGAUUGAACUAGGUAUCGAGAUACCGACGAUCGAAUCUCGGGCAAGUAACAUACCGAUGACAAAGGGAACAACGUAUGUUGUUAUGCGGUCUGACCGAUAAAGAUCUUCAUAGAAUAUGUGGGAGCCAAUAUGGGCAUCCAGGUCCCGCUAUUGGUUAUUGACCGGAGAGGUGUCUCGGUCAUGUCUACAUAGUUCUCGAACCCAAAGGGUCCGCACGCUUAAAGUUACGAUGACAGUUUUAUUAUGAGUUUAUGUAUGUUGAUGUACCGAAGGAGUUCGGAGUCCCGGAUGAGAUCGGGGUCAUGACGAGGAGUCUCGAAAUGGUCGAGACAUAAAGAUCGAUAUAUUGGACGACUAUAUUCGGACUUCGGAAAGGUUCCGAGUGAUUCGGGUAUUUUUCGGAGUACCGGAGAGUUACGGGAAUACGUAUUGGGCCUUAUUGGGCCAUACGGGAAAGAAGGAAAAGGGCCUCAAGGGUGGCCGCACCCCUCCCCUUGGUCUGGUCCGAAUUGGACUAGGGAAGGGGGGCGCCCCCUUCCUUCCUUCUCUUUUUCCCUUCCUCUUUUCCUAUUCCAUAUGGGAGGUGGAAUCCUACUAGGACUAGGGAGCCCUAGUAGGACUCCACACUUGGUGCGCCCCCUCCUAGGGCCGGCCUCCUCCUCCCUUGCUCCUUUAUAUACGGGGGCAGGGGGGCACCUAAGAACACACUUUUUGAUAUACGAUAUUUUAGCCAUGUGCGGUGCCCCCUCCACCAGAUUACACCUCGAUAAUACCGUCCCGGAGCUUAGGCGAAGCCCUGCGUCGGUGGAACAUCAUCAUCGUCACCACGCCGUCGUGCUGACGAAACUCUCCCUCAACACUCGGCUGGAUCGGAGUUUGAGGGACGUCAUCGAGCUGAACGUGUGUAGAACUUGGAGGUGCCGUACGUUCGGUACUUGAUCGGUCGGAUCGUGAAGACGUACGACUACAUCAACCGCGUUGUGAUAACGCUUCCGCUGUCGGUCUACGAGGGUACGUGGACAACACUCUCCCCUCUCGUUGCUAUGCAUCACCAUGAUCUUGCGUGUGCGUAGGAAUUUUUUUUUGAAAUUACUAUGUUCCCCAACAUGCGCCCCAUUAAGGAGACAAGACGAGGUAAGGCUACAGUGAGGACCCUCGAGGCGGCCCACUGUAGCCACGAUUACCUCAACAACGCCUUCGUCAUCAGGGGCGAGGCUACAGUAAGCAGCCGCCGACAAGAUCCUAGGCGGUGGGGCCGUCCUGUCGACCAAGAGGCCGGCAGCCGGCAGGACCCACUAGUCGGCGGGCCCCAACAACCGGCGGAGAAGCCGGCGAGCGUAGACACUGAUGGCUGGGACCAGAGCCCAGCCGGAUUACAAUUGUACCCCCGGGGGGUAGGCCUAUAUAAACCCGCCGGAGCACCCAUGCAAAGGGUUGGCUUCUGAGCAUAGCACACACACCAUAGAGAGAGAGAGAGAAGUGAGAGCUAGCCUUGUUCUUCUUCUCCCUUGAACCCAACAGCUCUAGGAGCGAUUGUAGCUACUUUUACUGAUCUAGUGAUCAUGCGGAGACCCCGCAGAGCAGGACUAGGGGUGUUAUCUCCUCGGAGAGCCUCGAACCUGGGUAAGAUCCGCCGGCGUGCAUGUCUUCGCCUCAUCCCGUUUCCAGGCACCGGCGACGUCUUAUUAGCACCCACAAUGAUAAGCCACCCGUUGGCAUAUGUCGCACCAACCACCCGACAUCUUCAAUAGGAGGUAAAUUCUUAACAUCUUCAGCUUUAAUACCUUUUUCUUUCAUUGAUUUCUUUGCCUCUUGCAUAUCUUCAGGACUGGGAAAUAGAACACCUCUCUUCUUCGGAGUAGGUUUAGGAAUAGGCUCAGGAGUUGGCUUAAUUGGCUCAGGAAUUGGCUCAGGAAGAGUCCAAUUAUUUUCAUUAGUAAACAUAUUAUUCAAUAACAAUUCAGCUUGGUCGACUGUUCUUUCCCUGAAAACACAACCAGCACAACUAUCCAAGUGGUCUUUGGAAGCAUCGGUUAGUCCAUUAUAAAAGAUAUCAAGUAUUUCAUUUUUCUUAAGAGGAUGAUCAGGUAAAGCAUUAAGUAAUCGGAGAAGCCUCCCCCACGCUUGUGGGAGACUCUCUUCUUCAAUUUGCACAAAAUUAUAUAUUUCCCUCAAGGCAGCUUGUUUCUUAUGAGCAGGGAAAUAUUUAGCAGAGAAGUAAUAAAUCAUAUCCUGGGGACUACGCACACAACCAAGAUCAAGAGAAUUAAACCAAGUUUUAGCAUCACCCUUUAAUGAGAACGGAAAUAUCUUAAGGAUAUAAUAAUAGCGGGAUUUCUCAUCAUUAGUAAAUAGGGUGGCUAUAUCAUUUAACUUAGUAAGAUGUGCCACAACAGUUUCAGAUUCGUAGCCAUAAAAAGGAUCAGAUUCAACCAAAGUAAUUAUCUCAGGAUCAACUGAGAAUUCAUAAUCCUUAUCAGUAACAAAGAUAGGUGAAGUAGCAAAAGCAGGGUCAUAUUUCAUUCUAGCAUUCAGAGUUUUCUGUUUAAGUUUAGCUAGUAAUUUCUUAAGAUCAGAUCUAUCAUUGCAAGAAAAAAGAUCUCUAGCAGUUUCUUCAUCCAUAACAUAAACCUCAGGAACAACAGGCAAUUCAUAAUUAGGGGGAGAACCUUCAUCAUCACUAUCUUCAAUAAUUUCAUUUUCAGUAAUUUCAUUCUCUCUAACCCUAGCAGGUUGUUCAUCAAGAAAUUCACCAAGUGGCACAGUAGUAUCAAGCAUAGAAGUAGUUUCAUCAUAAGUAUCAUGCAUAGCAGAAGUGGCAUCAUCAAUAACAUGCGACAUAUCAGAAUUCAUAGCAGUAGCAGGUUUAGGUGUCGCAAGCUUACUCAUAACAGAAGGAGAAUCUAGUGCAGAGCUAGAUGGAAGUUCCUUACCUCCCCUCGUAGUUGAGGGAAAAAUCUUAGUUCUUGCGUCUUUCAAGUUCUUCAUAGUUAUUAGCAGAUAUAAAUCCCAAGUGGCUCAAAGAAUAGAGCUAUGCUCCCCGGCAACGUCGCCAGAAAUUAGUCCUGAUAACCCACAAGUGUAGGGGAUCGCAACAGCUUUCGAGGGUAGGGUAUUCAACCCAAAUUUAUUGAUUCGACACAAGGGGAGCCAAAGAAUAUUCUCAAGUAUUAGCAAUUGAGUUGUCAAUUCAACCACACCUGGAUAACUUAGUAUCUGCAGCAAAGUAAUAUGAUAGUAAUGGUAACGAUAGCAAAAGUAAUAUUUUUGGGUUUUGUAGUGAUUGUAACAGUAGCAACGGAAAAGUAAAUAAGCAAAGAACAAUAUGUGAAAAGCUCGUAGGCAUUGGAUCAAUGAUGGAUAAUUAUGUCGGAUGCGAUUCCUCAUGUAAUAGUUAUAACCUAGGGUGACACAGAACUAGCUCCAGUUCAUCAAUGUAAUGUAGGCAUGUAUUCCGAAUAUAGUCAUACGUGCUUAUGGAAAAGAACUUGCAUGACAUCUUUUGUCCUACCCUCCCGUGGCAGCGGGGUCCUAAUGGAAACUAAGGGAUAUUAAGGCCUCCUUUUAAUAGAGUACCGGAACAAAGCAUUAGCACUUAGUGAAUACAUGAACUCCUCAAACUACGGUCAUCACCGAGAAGUAUCCCGAUUAUUGUCACUUCGGGGUUGUCGGAUCAUAACACAUAAUAGGUGACUAUAGACUUGCAAGAUAGGAUCAAUAACUCACAUAUAUUCAUGAAAACAUAAUAGGUUCAGAUCUGAAAUCAUGGCACUCGGGCCCUAGUGACAAGCAUUAAGCAUAGCAAAGUCAUAGCAACAUCAAUCUCAGAACAUAGUGGAUACUAGGGAUCAAACCCUAACAAAACUAACUCGAUUACAUGAUAAAUCUCAUCCAACCCAUCACCGUUCAGCAAGCCUAUGAUGGAAUUACUCACGCACGGCGGUGAGCAUCAUGAAAUUGGUGAUGGAGGAUGGUUGAUGAUGACGACGGCGACGAAUCCCCCUCUCCGGAGCCCCGAACGGACUCCAGAUCAGCCCUCCCGAGAGAGAUUAGGGCUUGGCGGUGGCUCCGUAUCGUAAAAUGCGAUGAAACUUUCUCUGUUUUUUUCUCCGCGAAACGGAAUAUAUGGAGUUGGAGUUGAGGUCGGUGGAGCAUCAGGGGGCCCACGAGACAGGGGGCGUGCCCAGGGGGAGGGGGCGCGCCCCCCACCCACGUGGACAGGGUGUGGGCCCCCUGGCCUUGCUUCUUUCGCCAGUAUUUUUCUUAUUUUCCAAAAAUAAUCGCCGUGGAUUUCCAGGUCAUUCCGAGAACUUUUGUUUCUGCACAAAGAUAACAUCAUGGCAAUUCUGCUGAAAACAGCGUCAGUCCGGGUUAGUUUCAUUCAAAUCAUGCAAAUUAGAGUCCAAAACAAGGGCAAAAGUGUUUGGAAAGUUGAUACGUUGGAGACGUAUCAGCACACAACACAAAGAAAACAGAAUCUGUCAAAAACAGAACAGUUUGUAGCAAUCUGACUACUUCGAAUACUUCUAUAACUCCAAAAAUUCUGAAAAAUUAGGACAACGUGAAUAAUUUGUUUAUUAAUAUUCUACAAAAGAAUCAACUCAAAAUAACUCUUAUUAUAAAAAUGAAAAAUAAUUUAGUGAGCGCAAAAGUUUUUGUUUUUCAGCAAGAUCAAAUCAACUUUCACCCAAAUCAUCCCAAGGGCCUUGCUUGGCACAAACACUAAUUUAAACCACAAAAACACAUCUAACCAGAGGCAUAAUUGUGCAUUUUAUUGAAAACAUCAAGAAAACCAAAAAGCAAAAAGAUACAAUUUGGGUUGCCUCCCAACGAGCGCUAUCGUUUUACGCCCCUAGCUAGGCAUAACGCGUAGGAUCUAAGUUUUGUCAUCCUUAUCGUUGUUUUCCUUGGAGGUAUUUGUGUCAAAAGUUUUGCAAAUAAAACAUAGAACACAUUAUCCAUGGAAACCUUAGCACUAUCAAGUUGCUUUUUAUCAUAACCACUUUAGUUUCCGGCAGUGAUCCAAGAAUAGUGUUGAUUAACAUCAUUAAAAACUUGUUGGAUCAUAUCUAAAACGGGGACUUGAUUUUUAAGAUUCUCAUCAAAGAUUUGGUUAUCUCCAAGCAAAUGUCUCAAAGCAUAAUCACUAUUAUAAAUAAUUUCAUCAAUCACGGGCUUUUCACAAUUCAUGCCAUAAAAAUCAAAGAUUUCCCUAGCUUCCCGUAUUAUGUAGUCAAAUUCAUUCAUCAGAACAAGAGUGGCUAACUUUUUAGCUUUAGGAUUCUUUAUAAUGGGCAACUCAUAGAACAAUCUUUGCAAGGUAGGAUGAGUAUGGAUAAAUCUAGUUUCACGUUUCAGAACAAGUGCUGAAAUAGCUUCCACAUAAGAUUUAGUCCUUUUAAUUAUAGGAAUAUCAUCAAGACUUACUUUCCCAACACAAUUGAAAAAUUCAUGGAUAUGUUCUUUUCCCAUAAAAUUCCCUUGCCCCAAGACAAAAGUUUUGGUAUCUAGAUUACCCGUACGCUCCCUUUUAGGAGUUAGGCCAUCAUCUAUUUCUGCCAUACCAAAAUCAGUCAUGGUGACUACGCAACAAGAUUGCACUCAAAAACAGAUCUGACGAGAAAACGGCGAACGAAUAAGAGGGUGAAUAAAACGGUAAAUUUUUGUGAAGUGGGGGAGAGGAAAAUGAGAGGCAAAUGGCAAAUAAUGUAAAUUGUGAGGAGAUGAGAUUUUUGAUUAGGAACCUGGUUGAUUUUGAAGAUCUUCCCCGACAACGGCGCUAGAAAUUCCUUUUGAUGCCUGCUUGAACUACGUCGGUAUUUCCCCAAAGAGGAAGGGAUGAUGCAACACAGCAACGGUAGGUAUUUCCCUCAGUGAUGAGACCAAGGUUAUCGAACCAGUAGGAGAACCAAGCAACACAACAUAAACAGCCCCUUCACACAAAUAAUAAAUACUCGCAACCCGACAUGUUAAAGGCGUUGUCAAUCCCUUUCGGGUAACGAUGCCUCGAAUUGGCGAGAAGACGUGAUGAAGUUGUGAUAGAUAGGAUAAAUGGAUUGCAAAAUAAAUAAUGUGUAGCAAGGUAUUUUUGUAUUUUUGGUUUAAUAGAUCUGAAAAUAAAAGCAAAGGAAAAUAGAUUGCAAAGGCAAAUAUGAUGAAAAGAGACCCGGGGCCGUAGGUUUCACUAGUGGCUUCUCUCGAGAAAAUAGCAAACGUUGGGAAAACAAUUACUAUUGGGAAAUUGAUAGAACUUCAAAUAAUCAUGACGAUAUCUAGGCAAUGAUCAUUAUAUAGGCAUCACGUCCAAGAUUAGUAGACCGACUCCUGCCUGCAUCUACUACUAUUACUCCACACAUCGACCGCUAUCCAGCAUGGAUCUAGUGUAUUAAGUUCAUGGAAAAACGGAGUAAUGCAAUAAGAACGAUGACAUGAUGUAGACAAGAUCUAUUUAUGUAGAAAUAGACCCCAUCCUGUUAUCCUUAAUAGCAACGAUACGUACGUGUCGUUUCCCUUUCUGUCACUGGGAUCAAGCACCGUAAGAUCGAACCCAUCACAAAGCACCUCUUCCCAUUGCAAGAUAACUAGAUCAAGUUGGCCAAAUAAAACCCAAAUAUCGGAGAAGAAAUACAAGGCUAUAAUCAAUCAUGCAUAUAAGAGAUCAAAGAAGACUCAAAUAACUUUCAUGGAUAAAAACAUAGAUCUGAUCAUAAACUCAAAGUUCAUCGGAAACCAACAAACACACCGCAAAAAGAGUUACAUCAUAUGGAUCUCCAAAAGAGCAUUGUAUUGGUAAUCAAGAGAGAGAGAGGAAGCCAUCUAGCUACUAACUACGGACCCGUAGGUCUACAAAGAACUACUCACGCAUCAUCGGAGAUGCACCAAUGGACAUGAUGAACCCCUUCGAGAUGGUGUCUAGAUUGGAUCUGGUGUUUCUGGAACUUGCGGCGGCUGGAAUUGAUUUUCGUCGCCUACCCUAGGGUUUCUGGAAUAUUGGGGUAUUUAUAGAGCAAAGAGGCAGUGCGGGAGGCCACCGAGGUGGGCAGGCGUGCCUGGGCUCCUAGGAGCGCCUUGGUGGGUUGUGCUCCCCUCGGAGCUCCCCUCAGGUGCUUUCUUGGUCCACUGGAUGUCUUCUGGUCAAAAAAAAUCCACAAAAAGUUUUGCUGCGUUUGGACUCUGUUUGGUAUUGAUUUCCUGCAAUGUAAAAAACAAGCAGAAAACAGCAACUGGCACUGGGCACUAUGUCAAUAGUUAGUACCAAAAAUGAUAUAAAAUGACUAUAAAAUAAUUGUAAAACAUCCAAGAAUUAUAAUAUAACAACAUGGAACAAUCAAAAAUUGUAGAUACGUUGGAGAUGUAGCACGCCUCACGGCAGCCCGAACCUGGGUAAAACUGCCCGUGUGAUCUCUGUCGCGUUGUGUUACGCCUCUCCGCUCUGUGUGCAACGUUUCCAUCCCCCCGCCGAACCAAAAGUGGCUCAUGGCCCCAUAGGUGGCCGUGGUUUCCCACGGCAGCUGGCAAUGACGCGUUCCCGGCGGUGACGCCGUGCGGGCGGUGGGUGGUGUUCUGGUCGGGUCGGGCGGGCCAUAAGAACCUCUACAUCAUCAACACAGCACCCAGGGAAGAGAUGGUAUGGAGGGUCACGGACGACCAUUGGAUCGACACGAUGCCGAGCUGGUCGCCGGACGGGAAGCUGGUUGCGCCCAUCUCGGGGCCGACGGGGAGGGCCUUGAGCUUCAUGAGUUCCCAGUAGACGAGCAACGAGUGGAGGUGGAGCGUGUCCGAUGGUGUCCGCGGUGAACUAGUCCGACGCCAGUGUGCUGAACUAGUCCGAGUAACUAUGUGUUAUGUGUAGAUGUUAGCUCUUAAUCAUAUCCCAUGUAUACAACCAAACACCGUGUAGUUGCAUGUGCCGAGCCAAUGCAGGACACCAAACACCGUGCGAAAACCGAUCCCCUAGUGCAGGUAGUCUCGAUGCAGGCAACCAAACUAAGUGUAGAUGUUGGUUUUUUGCCUGUUUAGCCUCAGCCAGGCUGAGGUGGGACAAGUAUGAAAUGCAGGCAUUCUCGGAGAUGUCAACCAAACACGCCAUAAGAGCAUGCAUGAAUAGGGGUGGUGAGAUGAGCAAGCAUGAAAAGGGAACAACUAUGCUGAGAUGAGAAUGCAACCAAACACACCCUUACGGAUUGAACCUUUGUAGGCUUGAAAGAACUUAGCAUCUCUUCUUUGGAAUAUUACAGAUUGAACCUUUGUAGGCUUGAAAGAAUAUUCGCAUGAUUCUCAAGCUCAGUCACUUCUCUUAGACCUCUUCCAAUGCACCGGUGCUAACAUGAGGUGCUAAGCACAUUAAAAAGUUUAGCAACUAAAGCCUCCAAUGCAUAGGUGCUUAAGUUGUUGUAGCUAAGUAUCCUUUAUUUAGUGACUUGGUAACUAAAUUUCUUCAUACAUUGGUGGGCUUCUUUCAUUUAAAUGUUUUGCCUAGGUUUGCGCGCUUGGCAUUGUUUCUUCUGGGUCACCACACUCAUCUUUCUCAUCUUAGUUAUCUCAUCACAUCAGAUUUUUUGCCUACAUGGCACCCUUAGCACCUGUACAAGGUGGAGCAUUGGGAGGAGCCUUAUUCCAGGGUUGUAGCAAUAUUGAGUUGUGAGUUUGCAACAGUACCUUAAAGUGGUGAUUUAUUUUCUUAUACUAACGGAGCUCAUGAGAUUUUUUGUUGAGCUUUGUGUUAUGAAGUUUUCAAGUUUUGGGUAAAGAUUUGAUGGACUAUAGAAUAAGGAGUGGCAAGAGCCUAAGCUUGGGGAUGCCCAAGGCACCCCAAGGUAAUACUCAAGUACAACCAAAAGCCUAAGCUUGGGGAUGCCCCAGAAGGCAUCCCCUCUUUCGUCUUCGUCUAUCGGUAACUUUACUUGAGGGUAUAUUUUUAUUCACCACAUGAUAUAUGUUUUGCUUGGAGAGUCUUGUUUACCACAAUCAUCCUUUAUGUACACACCUUUUGGGAGAGACACGCAUGAAUCGUGAUUUAUUAGAAUACUCCAUGUGUUUCACUUAUAUCUUUUGAGCUAGGCAAUAUUGCUCUAGUACUUCACUUAUAUCUUUUUAGAGCACGGCGGUGGUUUUAUUUUAUAGAAAUUUGUGAACUCUUAUGCUUCACUUAUAUUAUUUUGAGAGUCUUUUAGAACAUCAUGGUAAUUUACUUUGGUUAUAAAUUUAGUCCUAAUAUGAUAGGCAUCCAAGAGGGAUAUAAUAAAAACUUUCAUAUAAAGUGCAUUGAAUACUAUGAGAAGUUUGAUUCUUUAUUAUUGUUUUGAGAUAUGAAGAUGGUGAUAUUAGAGUCAUGCUAGUGAGUAGUUGAGAAUUUGAGAGAUACUUGUGUUAAAGUUUGUGAUUCCCGUAGCAUGCACGUCUGCUAACUAACUAAUUCAAUUAGAUUUUUUUGCAGUAAUUAGCCCGAGUCACUUACAGGUGGGCCCUGUCCACUAUUCCAGCCGGUAAGGUUGAUCCAGUUAGCCUGCUGACUGGGCACUUGCCCACCAGUCAGCCUAUGCUGACUAGGCUGUUGACCCAGUCAACAUUGCCACCAGUCAGCCACUGUGUGUGCUGACUAGAUAUAUCUCUGGGUGUAUUAGUAUUUAUGAUUUAGUUAAUUCAAAUUUAAAUAUUUAAAACAAAUCCAAAAAAGUAAACUUUGAAAAUUAAUAUAAAAUAAUCUGCAACUCAGAUGAAAAUAAUUUAUACAUGAAAGUUGAUCAGAAAAAUCCAACGAAUCAGAAUAUGCAAUCUGUUCAUCUGUCACAUGCCCUAUCAUGCUGGACAUGGACCCGUUCCCCUCUUUUCAUCUGUCCGAAAAAGGCUGAACUCUGUGAAAACAUUCCUAGAUGUUUUCCCUCACCGUUUGCAAUGUGGAGUACCGCGUUAGAAUGCUACUUCUUGAGCUUGCGUUGAUUUUUCCUUGAAGAGGAAAGGGUGAUGCAACAAAGUAGAGAUAAGUAUUUCCCUCAGUUGAGAACCAAGGUAUCAAUCCAGUAGGAGGCACAAGCAAGUCUUCAAUCUAUGCACCUGCACGAACUAAGAAACACUUGCACACAACACGGACCAGGGGUUGUCAAUCCCUUCACGGUUACUUGCAAGAGUGAGAUCUGAUAGAGAUAGAUUUAAAAUAAAAGUAAAAGGAAAAAUAAAGUAAACACAAAGUAAUUGCAGCAAGGUAUUUUUGGGUUUUUGGUUUUAUAGAUCUGAAAGUAUAUGAUGUAAAAUAGACCCGGGGGCCAUAGGUUUCACUAGAGGCUUCUCUCUCGAAGAAAGCAUACGUUUGGUAAACAAAUUACUGUUGAGCAAUUGAUAGAAAAGCGCAAAGUUAUGACGACAUCCAAGCCAAUGAUCAUGAAUAUAGGCAUCACGUCUAUGACAAGUAGACCGACUCCUGCCUGCAUCUACUACUAUUACUCCACUCAUCGACUGCUAUCCAGCAUGCAUCUGGAGUAUUAAGUUAAAAACAGAGUAACGCCUUAAGAAAGAUGACAUGACGUAGAGGGAUAAACUCAAGCAAUAUGAUGUAAACCCCAUCUUGUUAUCCUUAAUGGCAACAACACAAUACGUGCCUUGCUACCCCUUCUGUCACUGGGUGAGGACACCGCAAGGCUGAACCCAUCACAAAGCACCUCUCCCAUUGCAAGAAAAACCAAUCUAGUUGGCCAAACCAAAUCGAUAGAUUGAAGAGAAAUACAGAGCUAUCUUAAUCAUGCAUAAAAGAGUUCAGAGAAGACUCAAAUAAUAUUCAUAGAUGAUCUGAUCAUAAAUCCACAAUUCAUCGGAUCUCAACAAACACACCGCAAAAGAAGAUUACAUCGAAUAGAUCUCCAAGAACAUAGAGAAGAACAUUGUAUUGAAGAUCAAAGAGAGAGAAGAAGCCAUCUACCUACUAGCUAUGGACCCGUAGGUCUGUGGUAAACUACUCAUGCAUCAUCGGAGGGGCAGCCAGGUUGAUGUAGAUGCCCUCCGUGAUCGAAUCCCCCUCCGGCGGAGUACCAAAAAAGUCCCCAAGAUGGGAUCUCACGGGAACAGAAACUUGUGGUGGUGGGAAAGUAUUUUUAGCGACUCCUCUAGGGUUUCUGGAAUAUUUGGGAAUUUAUAGGCCAAAGAGGUGGUGCAGGGGACUCCCGAGGGGGCCACAAGCCCAGUGGGCGCUCCCCCUAGUGCGCGCCCCUAUGACUUGUCGUCGCCUCGUGGGUCCCUUGGCCCCCACUCCAAGUCUCGUAGGUGUCUUCUGGUCCAGGAAAAAUCAUCGUAAAGUUUUAUUCCAUUUGGACUCCAUUUGAUAUUCCUUUUCUGCGAAAGCCAAAAACAAGGAAAAUAAUAGAAACCGGCACUAGGCACUGGGUUAAUAAGUUAGUCCCAAAAAUAAUAUAAAAUAUCAUAUUAAUGCAUAUAAAACAUCCAAAGUUGAUAAUAUAAUAGCAUGGAAUAGUAAAAAAUUAUAGAUACGGUUGAGACGUAUCAUAGAACGCCCCUAGCACUGCGUGUUGUCAGGUCGUGCAUCUGUGUUACACCUGUUUUCUUUAUAUUUACUGUUUCUUCCCCCUCUCCUCUCAGGUAGACCCGAGACCGAUGCUGCCCCUGUGGUCGACUACGUCACUGACGACUCUUCUUUCGUUUUAGUAGAGCUUCCAGGCAGGCAAACCCCCUGCUACCUCUUGAGCUUGCGUUGGUUUUUCCCUUGAAGAGGAAAGGGUGAUGAAACAAAGUAGAGUAAGUAUUUCCCUCAGUUUGAGAACCAAGGUAUCAAUCCAGUAGGAGAUUACGCACAAGUCACCGAAUGCCUGCACAAACAAUCAACAAACUUGCACCCAACGCGGUAAGGGGUUGUCAAUCCCUUCACGGUUAUUUGCAAAAGUGAGACUGAUAGAGAUGGAUAAACGGUAAAGUAAAUAUUUUUGGUAUUUUUGGUUUAUAGAUUGGAAAGUAAAGAUUGCAAAGUAAAGAAACGACGACAGAAAUUGGCAAGUUGACGGGAAACUAAUAUGAUGUAAAAUAGACCUGGGGGCCAUAGGUUUCACUAGUGGCUUCUCUCAAGAUAGUAAAUCUUAUGGUGGGUGAACAAAUUACUGCCGAGUAAUUGAUAGAAGAGCGCAUAAUUAUGACGACAUCUAAGGCAAUACUCAUGAAUAUAGGCAUCACGUCUGUGUCAAGUAGACCGAAACGAUUCUGCAUCUACUACUAUUACUCCACACAUCGACCGCAAUCCAACAUGCAUCUAGAGUAUUAAGUUCAUAAAGAACGGAGUAACGCAUUAAGUAAGAUGACAUGAUGUACAUGAAUUAACUCAAGCAAUAUGAUGAAAACCCCAUCUUUUUAUCCUUGAUGGCAACAAUACAAUAUGUGCCUUGAUGCCCCUACUGUCACCGGGAAAGGACACCGCAAGAUUGAACCCAAAGCUAAGCACUUCUCCCAUUGCAAGAAAAACCAAUCUAGUAGGCCAAACUAAACCGAUAAUUCGAAGAGACUUGCAAAGAUAUCAAAUCAUGCAUAUAAGAAUUCAGAGAAGACUCAAAUAAUAUUCUUAGAUAAUCUGAUCAUAAAUCCACAAUUCAUUGGAUCUCGGCAAACACACCGCAAAAGAAUAUUACAUCGAAUAGAUCUCCAAGAACAUCGAGGAGAACAUGGUAUUGAGAAUCAAAGAGAGAGAAGAAGCCAUCUAGCUACUAGCUAUGGACCCAUAGGUCUGAGGUAAACUACUCACGCUUCAUCGGAAGGGCGAUGGUGUUGAUGUAGAAGCCCUCAUCGAAUCCCCCUCCGGCAGGACGCCAGAAAAGGCCCCUAGAUGGGAUCUCACGUGUACAGAAGGUUGCGGCGGUGGAAAAGUGUUUUCGUGGCUCUCUCUCUGAUGUUUUUGGGAUAUAAGAGUAUAUAUAGGCGAAGGAACUAGGUCAGGAGACCCACGAGGGGCCCACGAGGUAGGGGACGCACCUUACCCCCCUGGGCGCGCCCUCCACCCUCGUGGCCGCCUCGUUGUGUCUCCUACUUCAUCUCCAAGUCUCCUUGUUUGCUUAUGGUCCAAGAAAGAUCAUCGCAAAAGUUUCAUUCCAUUUGAACUCCGUUUGGUAUUCCUUUUAGGCGAAACUCUAAAACAGGCAAAAAAUAGAAACUUGCACUGGGCCCUGGAUUAAUAGGUUAGUCCCAUAAAAUAGCAUAUAAAUGCAUAUUAAACAUCCAAAAUAGAUAAUAUAAUAGUAUGGAACAAUAAAAAAUUAUAGAUACGUUGGAGAUGUAUCAAGCAUCCCCAAACUUAAUUCCUGCUCGUCCUCGGGUAGGUAAAUGAUAAAAAUAGAAUUUUUUAUGUGGAAUGCUACCCAACAUAUUUAUCCAUGUAAUUCUAUUUAUCGUGGCAUGAAUGUUCAGAUCCGUAAGAUUCAAAACAAAAGUUUAAUAUUGACAUGAAAACAAUAAUACUUCAAGCAUACUAAUAAAGCAAUCAUGUCUUCUCAAAAUAACAUGGCCAAAUAAAGCUAUCCCUACAAAAUCAUAUAGUCUGACUAUGCUCUAUCUUCAUCACACAAAAUAUUUAAAUCAUGCAUAACCCCGAUGACAAGCCAGGCAAUUGUUUCAUACUUUUGAUGUUCUCAAACUUUUUCAAUCUUCACGCAAUACAUGAGCAUGAGCCAUGGAUAUAGCACUAUGGUGGAAGAGAAUAUGGUGGUUGUGGAGAAGACAAAAAGGAGGAAGAUAGUCUCACAUCAACUAGGCGUAUCAACGGGCUAUGGAGAUGCCCAUCAAUAGAUAUCAAGGUGAGUGAGUAGCGAUUGCCAUGCAACGGAUGCACUAGAGUUAUAAGUGUAUGAAAGCUCAAAAAGAAACUAAGUGGGUGUGCAUCCAACUUGCUUGCUCACGAAGACCUAGGGCAAUUUGACGAAGCCCAUCAUUGGAAUAUACAAGGCAAGUUCUAUAAUGAAAAAUUCCCACUAGUAUAUGAAAGUGACAAAAUAGGAUAUUCUCUAUCAUGGAGAUCAUGGUGCUACUUUGAAGCACAAGUGUGGAAAAAGGAUAGUAACAUUGCCCCUUCUCUCUUUUUAUCUCAUUUUUUCUUUUUCCUUUUUUUCUUUUUUCUCUCUCUUUUUUUCUUUUUUUAUUUUUUGUCCGGAGUCUCAUCCCGACUUGUGGGGGAACCAUAGCCUCCAUCAUCCUUUCCUCACAUGGGUCAAUGCUCUAAUAAUGAAGAUCAUCACACUUUUAUUUACUUACAACUCAAAAAUUACAACUCAAUGCUUAGAACAAAAUAUGACUCUAUGUGAAUGCCUCCGGCGGUGUACCGGGAUGUGCAAUGAAUCAAGAGACAUGUAUGAAAGAAUUAUGAAAGGUGGCUUUGCCACAAAUACAAUGUCAACUACAUGAUCAUGACAAUGAUGAAGCGUGUCAUAAUAAACGGAACGGUGGAAAGUUGCAUGGCAAUAUAUCUCAGAAUGGCUAUGGAAAUACCAUAAUAGGUAGGUUGGUGGCUGUUUUGAGGAAGGUAUAUGGUGGGUGUAUGGUACCGGCGAAAGUUGAGCGGCACAAGAGAGGCUAGCGAUGGUGGAAGGGUGAGAGUGCGUAUAAUCCAUGGACUCAACAUUAGUCAUAAAGAACUCACAUACUUAUUGCAAAAAUCUAUUAGUCAUCGAACGAAGUACUACGCGCAUGCUCCUAGGGGGAUAUAUUGGUAGGAAAAGACCAUCGCUCGUCCCCGACCGACUCAUAAGGAAGACAAUCAAAAAAUAAAUCAUGCUCCGACUUCAUCACAUAACGGUUCACCAGGGCCCACAGGUCAGUGUAAUAAAUGAUUAAACUAAUCUAAUUUAAUUAAAUUUUUGAUUAAUUAGUAGGGGGUGAGCCCCAUAUGUGAGUGACUGGGUGCUGCCUAGUCAUCAUUGACCGGGGUCAACAAGUCAAAGGGGGCCCUAGGGCCACUAGUCAGUGACCCUGGUGGUGGCCCUAGGCCGGCCACGUCGGCUGGCGGCAGUGGCGUGUAACUCACAAGUAUAGGGGAUCAUUUGUAGCCUUCUUCGGUAAAUAAGAGUGUCGAACCCAACGAGGAGCUAAAGGUAGAACAAAUAUUCCCUCAAGUUCUAUCAACCACCGAUACAACUCUAUGCACACUUAACGUUUGCUUUACCUAGAACAAGUAUGAAACUAUUUUGCAAGAAUGAAACUAUGAGUACUUUGCGAGAAUAAAACUAUGAAUAAAUUGCAAGCUAAUAAAAGUGUAUAUCUUUUGUCAACAAGAAAGUUUGUCCCUAGGCAAUCGAUAACAAGUACCGGUAAUCAUUCUUGCAAUUUUAUAUGAUGGAGAGGCAUGAGCUAACAUACUUUCUCUACUCGGAUCAUAUGCACUUAUGAUUGGACCCCUAGCAAGCAUCCGCAACUACUAAAGAUCAUUAAGGUCGUGAAACCCAACCAUAGCAUUAAGUAUCAAGUCCUCUUUAUCCCAUACGCAACAACCCACCUACUCGGGUUUAAACUUCUGUCACUCUCGCAACCCACCAUAAGCGAAUCAUGAACGUAUUGCAACACCCUACAGCGGGGAUCCCUCACGUUUGAGCGAGAUGGAGGACAUCGUAGGACAGCACCAUAAAUAAAAUAUACAAUCAUACCAACCAAGAUCACGAUUAACCCAUAGGACAAAACGGAUCUACUCAAACAUCAUAGGAUAGCCAAAUAUCAUUGGGAAAUAAUAUAUGCAGUUGAGUACCAUGUUUAAGUAGAGAUUACAGCAGGGAGAAGAGGUGUUACACCGCUGCAUAGAGGGGGAGAAAGUUGGUGUUGACGAUAGCAAGAUUGUUGAUGUAGAUCGCCGUCUUGAUCCUUGCCCUAGUGGUACUCCGACGCCACUGGGAGAGAGGGGGAGAGAGCCCCCCUCCUUCUUCUUCUUCCAUGGCCUCCCCCCUAGAUGGGAGGAGAGUUCCCCCUCUGGUCCAUGGCCUCCAUAGCGGCGGAGGGGCGGGAACCCCUCCGAGAUUGGAUCUCCCUCUCUGUUCUCUUUUGUUUCGCGUUCCCCAGAUCUGGCCCUUCACGGUUUCUUAAAUUCCCAGAGAUCCGUAACUCUGAUUGCGCUGAAAUUUUUACACGAUUUUUUCCAUAAAUUAUCUUUCUUGGGCCCGAAGAAGGGCCCCAACCAACGUUCGAGGAGAGCAUAAGACACCUGGGCAUGCCCGGCCCCCCAGGCGCGCCCUGGUGGGUUGUGGUCACUGUGGGCCCCCUCUUCUGAUGAUUCCAACUCCCAAAAAUCACAAAUAUUCCAAAAUAAUUCUCUGUAAAAUUUUACUGCAUUUGCACUUCGUUUGAUAUGGAUUUUCUGCUAAACAAAAAACAUGCAACAAACAGGAACUGGCACUGGGCACUGGAUCAAUAGGUUAGUCCAAUAAAUCAUAUAAAAAGUUGCCAAAAAUAUGUGAAAGUUGUAUAAUAUUGGCAUGAAACAAUCAAAAAUUAUAGAUACGACGGAGACGUAACAGCAUCCCCAAGCUUAAUUCAUGCUCGUCCUCGAGUAGGUAAAUGAUAAAAAGACAUUUUUUAUGUGGAAUGCUACCUAGCAUAAACUUGAUCAUAUGUCUAAUCAUGGCAUGAAUAUUAAGACAUAAGUGAUUUGAAGCAAUAGUCUAUAAUUUGACAUAAAGACAUCAAUACUCAGGCAUCCCAACAAACAAUCAUGUCUUUCAAAAUAUCAAUGCUAAACAACAUUAUCCCUACAAAAUCAUAUAGCCUUGUCAUGCUCUGUCUUCUUAGCACAAAGUAUAAAUCAUGUACUACCCCGGUGUCAUCCAAGCAAUUGGUUCAUACUUUUUAACGCACUUCAGCAUUUUCACUCUCACGCAAUACAUGAGCGCAAGCCAUGGAUAUAGCACUAUCGGUGGGAUAGAGUAUGAUGAUAGGGGUAAAUAUAGAAUACAAAAAAGUAAUAAAGUCUCACAUCGACGCGGCUAACCAACGGGCUAUGGAGAUGCCCAUCAAUUGAUAUCAAUGCGAGGAGUAGGGAUUGCCAUGCAACGAAUGCACUAAGAGCUAUAAGUGUAUGAAAGCUCCACAUGAAAACUAAGUGGGUGUGCAUUAUGAAAGUUCCAUAUGAAAACUAAGUGGGUGUCAUUAUGAAAGCUCCAUAUGAAAACUAAGUGGGUGUGCAUCUAAUCCUAUAAUGAAAAAAUCCCACUAGUAUAUGAAAGUGACAACAUAGGAGACUCUCCAUAUGAAAAACAUGGUGCUACUUUGAAGCACAAGUGUGGAACUAGCAUGCCCCUUCUCUCUUUUUCUUUUUUUCUUUUUCUUUUUUCUUUCUUUUCUUUCUUUUUUAUUUUUCUUUCUUUUUUUUAUUUUUUUUCUUUUUUAUAUAUUUUUUCUCUCAUUGUCCGGAGUCUCAUCCCGACUUGUGGGGGAAUCAUAAUCUCCAUCAUCCUUUCCUCACUGGGGCAAUGCUCUAAUAAUGAAAGUUGAUGAUCAUCACACUUCUAUUUACUUAUAACUCAAAAGAAAUAAAAAUUACAACUUGAUACCUAUAACGAGAUAUGACUCUAUAUGAAUGCAUCUGGCAAUACCAGGAUGUGCAAUGAUUUAGCGUAACAUGCAUAAAAAUGAUGAAUAGUGGUUGAGCCACAAAUACUAUGUCAGCUAUAUGAUCAUGCAAAGCAAUAUGACAAUGAAUGCUCAAGUCAUCAACGGAAGCGUUGGAAGUUGCAUGGCAAUAUAUCUCGGAAUGGCUAUGGAAAGGCCAUAAUAGGUAGGUAUGGUGGCUGUUUUGAGGAAGAUAUAAUAAGGCUUAUGUGUGAUAGAGCGUAUCAUAUCACGGGAUUUGGAUGCACCGGCGAGGUUUGCACCACGUCUCGAGGUGAGAAAGGGCAAUGCACGGUACCGUAGAGGCUAGCAAAUUGCAGAAAGGUAAGAGUGCGUAUAAUCCAUGGACUCACAUUAGUCAUAAAGAACUCAUAUACUUAUUGCAAAAGUUUAUUAGCCCUCGAAGCAAAGUACUACUAUGCAUGCCCCUAGGGGGAGGUUGGUAGGAGUUAACCAUCACGUGCCCCCGACCUUCACACAAAAAUAGACAAUCAAGGAUAAAUUGUGCUCCAACACUACAAAAAAAUACACAUCCGUGAUGAUACGUGUUUGUCACAGGUCACGUUUUCUGUCAUGCGUGUACAUCCAUGACAAUUUUAUGAUAGAAUCAAGAUAGUCAUACCUGUGUUGUCGUAGAAGUGUUCCAUGACAUUACCAAAAUUAUCAUCACGGAAGUGUCCACUUCCAUGAUGAUAAAUCACGCGUCAUAGAAGUGCUUUCGUCAAGGGUGACCGACACGUGGCAUCCACCGUAACGGCUCGCCAUUAAGCUAUCGGGUCCGAUUUUGGAUCCGAUAACCCAUUAACAGCCCCAAUGAAUGGGGAUUUCCAUGUGUAAAAUCAUCAUUGGCUGGAGGAAACACGUGUCGGCUCACCGUUGGGACAGAUGUCAUCCACUCAUUGGACAGAAGGUGCCUAUGAUACGUCGACACGUGGCACUUCCCAACAGAGGCCCAUUCCUGUGAAAAGGCCAGCCCGUUUGACUUGGUCAAAAGGUGGCGGCCCGGCCCAUGGAAAGCCUAUUAACGGCCUGUUAGCAUAUAGCCCAUUUACAGCCCGCUAACCCAGGGCCCGUUACGACCUAUCCGAAUUAGGCCCAGUAGCAUCAUUUGGGCCGUCCAAUAAGAUUCCAGCCCGUUUUAACUUCCGGCCCAUGUAUGGCCCAUGACGUCUUUCGGCCCAUAUGUGGCCCUUUGUAACUCCUUGCCCAUUAACGACCCGUGGUGAAUCUGGCCCGUAAUGAAUAGUGUAUCACUUUAUACCCAUUAACGGCCCGUGGUGAAACUGGCCCGUAAUGAACAGUGUAUCACUUUAUACCCAUUAACGGCAUGUGCUGAAACUGGCCCGUAAUGAACAGUGUAUCAUUUUAUACCCAUUAAUGGCCCAUUAUUCCAUUAGACCGUUUCCAUCCCAUGUUAUCUUUCGGCCUUCACAGGGCCCAUUUAUUCUUGGGCUCAUUUCCAGCAUUCGUUUACUUACGGCCCGUUAUUGUCAUUUUCUGCUUGUGGGCCAAAUUCAGCCCGUGGUUACAGUCGUCCCAUUUGUGGCCCGUUAAUACGUUGGGCCGUUUUCAUAGCGUCAUCAAAUACUGUCGAUUAACGACGGCCCGUUAUGGUCGGCCCAUGAACAGACGAUUCCAACUCAAGCCCGUUUACAGUCAUAAUGCGGUCUGUUAUUGGCCCAUGUUUGGCCAAAUUACGGCCCGUAGAAGGCCCAUUGUGUCUACGGCCCGUAGAAGGCCCAUUGUUUCUACGCCCCAUAGAAGGCCCAUUGUUUCUACAAACCUUAGAAGGCCCAUUGUUUCUACGGCCCGUAGGAGGCCCAUGGUAACUAUAGUAAAUAUGUAGCCCAUGGUUAUUGUGGCCUAGUUUUAAAAAAUGGGUUAUUGCGGCCACUAGCAAACCGCGGAAAAAGAACUGCACUGACUACAAGCAAACAAAUAAACAAGACAAUUAGGAAAUAAAUAAGCAAGCAACUUACGCUAGGCUAUCACGGCUAUUACACAUAUUACAUCCACUGGGCAUCAAAGUUCGCCACCAGUGCAAAUAUAGGGAACAAAGCAGCAUAUCAUAUACACUGGUUGUCAAAGUUGGCGACCAGUGCAAAUAAACACCGCAGCAAAACAAGCCCAGAACUGAAACCACUUUAGAAGAGCUCAAGAAACAAUAUCCUGGGUACCCAUAAUGCUGGCAAGAUGCUUAGCAAGCUUAUUAACUUUCUCUUGUUUGGCGCUUAAAUCCUCCAGCACUUGCUGUUGCACCAGAAAGUAUGCAUCUGAAUUCUGCAAGGACUUCCUCAGUCCUUCGGCUUCCUGUCGCAUAACAUCUGAUCGAUGUCUUUCAACUUGAAGUCGAGACUCAAGAAGCCGAACUAAUUUAGGAAACGAGUUCGAAGAGCUGGUGCCGGUAGUAGUAGCCAGUAACUCGAACACUGCAUCAAGACAGGACUUUGGGGUUGUCUCAGUGUCUUCAAUAUAGUUUUUAUCAGCUUUCUUGGAGACCAACAGGGAUGCUCAUUAUCUUGAACCUUAUCUGCAUUACUUCCUUUACCAUUGCAUAACGGGGUACUCUUCUCCAAUAUUUUAUCCGCGUUCUAAAAGAGAAACAAACAAACACAUCACAGGUUUACAAUGUAGUAUAUGAACAUUUUGGUAAACCAGUUCAGUAGUAAGGUGGACAGGAUCACAACAUGAAACAAACAUAUAUCUAUGUAGUAUGGUCACUGUAUGGUCUAUAUCAUUGUAGUUUAUGUUGCCAAAUCAAGAUAGAUAAGGUUCGAAUCAUAUCUAUUUAAGACAAAGCAGCAUAGACAGAAUAUAAGCGUGGGAAACUACACUGCAAUCUUUUGCUCCAGUGUUUCUUCUUUUGCUUUGGUGUUUCGCCGCACGUGUCAUGUUCUCUACAAGGCAUGAAUAGAACAAUUCUAACAAUGAGAUGGCUAGCAAAUUAGAUCAUUUUUUAUCGCCAAAUGGCACUGGGCUGCCGUGUUUCAUGCUCCUCCGUCGUAGUACUACUCCAGUGGAAAACUUGAGUAUACCGCAUGGUUCUUUGCUCCUCCUCAGGUCGUCAGCACAUUUAUACGAGCAUUCAAAUCACAAGGCCCCGCCUUCUAGCAGUAAUGAGCCGUCAAAUCACAAAGGCCCUCGCCUCUCGUGAAACCGACCAAGCUAGACUGCCCCGCCCUCUAGCCUUUUAAAAGAUGUAUACUUUUGUACAGUAGUAGUAUCGAUGGAUUGCGCCAUGGAGCAAAACUAACAAGAUGGAAUUAAAGAAAAAAGGUGGUACAUAUAGAGAGCGCUCGUCGCCAAAUUAUGCAUAUAGUACUAUUAAAAAAGCUAGUACGUGCUUAAAUGGGGUGCUGAAUUCUAUUAAAGAAAUUAGCAUACCUAUUUAAUUCUUGGGUUCUUAUUAUUUAUGCCACUAGUUGUGUAUCACUACUCAGUUUUGCCAUUAGAAGUUACAACUACUCAAAAAUGCCAUCGAUUCGUGAGAUGCCUGCUCAAAAAUGCAAUUAGAUAUCUCAAAAAUGCCAUCGUUAAGUUAGAUGUUUGCUAAAAAAUGCCAUUAGACAUUGUUAUUUCCACGCAAACCCGUUGACCAUGUUACUGUUGGGGAACGUAGUAAUUUCAAAAAAAUUCCUACGCACACGCAAUAUCAUGGUGAUGCAUAGCAAUGAGAGGGGAGAGUGUUGUCCACGUACCCUCGUAGACCGAAAGCGGAAGCGUUAACACAACACGGUUGAUGUAGUCGUACGUCUUCACGAUCCGACCGAUCAAGUAUCGAACGCACGGCACCUCCGAGUUCAGCACACGUUCAGCUCGAUGACGUCCCUCGAACUCCGAUCCAGCCGAGUGUUGAGGGAGAGUUUCGUCAGCACGACGGCGUGGUGACGAUGAUGAUGUUCUACCGACGCAGGGCUUCGCCUAAGCUCCGCUACGAUAUUAUCGAGGUGUAAUAUGGUGGAUGGGAGCACCGCACACGGCUAAAAUAUCGUAUAUCAAUUGUGUGUUCAGAGGUGCCCCCCUGCCCCCGUAUAUAAAGGAGCAAGGGGGGAGGCCGGCCGGCCCUUGGGGCGCGCCAAGGAGGGGGGGAGUCCUCCUCCUAGUAGGAGUAGGACUCCCCUUUCCUAGUCCAACUAGGAAGAGAGAAGGGGGAAGGAAAGAGAGGGAGAGGGAGAGGGAAAGAGGGGCCGCGCCCCCCUCCCCUAGUCCAAUUCGGACUCCCCAUGGGAGGGGGCGCGCCACCUCCUGGGCUGCUGCCCUCUCUCUCCCCUCAGGCCCACUAAGGCCCAAUACUUCCCCGGGGGGUUCCGGUAACCCCUCCGGCACUCCAGUUUUAUCCGAAACUUCUCCGGAACACUUCCUGUGUCCGAAUAUAGUCGUCCAAUAUAUCAAUCUUUAUGUCUCGACCAUUUCGAGACUCCUCGUCAUGUCCGUGAUCACAUCCGGGACUCCGAACAACCUUCGGUACAUCAAAACAUAUAAACUCAUAAUAUAACUGUCAUCGUAACUUUAAGCGUGCGGACCCUACGGGUUCGAGAAAUAUGUAGACAUGACCGAGACACCUCUCCGGUCAAUAACCAAUAGCGGAACCUGGAUGCUCAUAUUGGUUCCCACAUAUUCUACGAAGAUCUUUAUCGGUCAGACUGCAUAACAACAUACGUUGUUCCCUUUGUCAUCGGUAUGUUACUUGCCCGAGAUUCGAUCGUCGGUAUCUCGAUACCUAGUUCAAUCUCGUUACCGGCAAGUCUCUUUACUCGUUCCGUAAUACAUCAUCCCGCAACUAACUCAUUAGUCACAAUGCUUGCAAGGCUUAUAGUGAUGUGCAUUACCGAGUGGGCCCAGAGAUACCUCUCCGACAAUCGGAGUGACAAAUCCUAAUCUCGAAAUACGCCAACCCAACAAGUACCUUUGGAGACACCUGUAGAGCACCUUUAUAAUCACCCAGUUACGUUGUGACGUUUGGUAGCACACAAAGUGUUCCUCCGGUAAACGGGAGUUGCAUAAUCUCAUAGUCAUAGGAACAUGUAUAAGUCAUGAAGAAAGCAAUAGCAACAUACUAAAUGAUCGAGUGCUAAGCUAACGGAAUGGGUCAAGUCAAUCACGUCAUUCUCCUAAUGAAGUGAUCCCGUUAAUCAAAUGACAACUCAUGUCUAUGGCUAGGAAACAUAACCAUCUUUGAUCAACGAGCUAGUCAAGUAGAGGCAUACUAGUGACACUCUGUUUGUCUAUGUAUUCACACAUGUAUUAUGUUUCCGAUUAAUACAAUUCUAGCAUGAAUAAUAAACAUUUAUCAUGAUAUAAGGAAAUAAAUAAUACUUUAUUAUUGCCUCUAGGGCAUAUUUCCUUCAGUCUCCCACUUGCACUAGAGUCAAUAAUCUAGUUCACAUCGCCAUGUGAUUUAACAUCGAUAGUUCACAUCACCAUGUGAUUAACACCCAUAGUUCACAUCGUCAUGUGACCAACACCCAAAGGGUUUACUAGUCAGUAAUCUAGUUCACAUCGCUAUGUGAUUAACACCCAAAGAGUACUACGGUGUGAUCAUGUUUUGCUUGUGAGAUAAUUUUAGUCAACGGGUCUGUCACAUUCUGAUCCGUAAGUAUUUUGCAAAUUUCUAUGUCUACAAUGCUCUGCACGGAGCUACUCUAGCUAAUUGCUCCCACUUUCAAUAUGUAUCCAGACCGAGACUUAGAGUCAUCUAGAUUAGUGUCAAAACUUGCAUCGACGUAACCCUUUACGACGAACCUUUUGUCACUUCCAUAAUCGAGAAACAUAUCCUUAUUCCACUAAGGAUAAUUUUGACCGCUGUCCAGUGAUCUACUCCUAGAUCACUAUUGUACGCCCUUGCCAAAAUCAGUGUAGGGUAUACAAUAGAUUUGGUACACAGCAUGGCAUACUUUAUAGAACCUAUGGCCAAGGCAUAGGGAAUGACUUUCAUUCUCUUUCUAUCUUCUGCCGUGGUCGGGCUUUGAGUCUUACUCAAUUUCACACCUUGUAACAGAGGCAAGAACUCUUUCUUUGACUGUUCUAUUUCGAACUACUUCAAAAUCUUAUUAAGGUAUGUACUCAUUGAAAAAACUUAUCAAGCGUCUUGAUCUAUCUCUAUAGAUCUUGAUGCUCAAUAUGUAAGCAGCUUCACUGAGGUCUUUCUUUGAAAAACUCCUUUCAAACACUCCUUUAUGCUUUGCAGAAUAAUUCUACAUUAUUUCCGAUCAACAAUAUGUCAUUCACAUAUACUUAUCAGAAAUGCUGUAGUGCUCCCACUCACUUUCUUGUAAAUACAGGCUUCACCGCAAGUCUGUAUAAAACUAUAUCCUUUGAUCAACUUAUCAAAGCGUAUAUUCCAACUCCGAGAUGCUUGCACCAGUCCAUAGAUGGAUCGCUGGAGCUUGCAUAUUUUGUUAGAACUUUUAGGAUUGACAAAACCUCCUGGUUGCAUCAUAUACAACUCUUCUUUAAUGAAUCCAUUUAAGGAAUGCAGUUUUGUUUAUCCAUUUGCCAGAUUUCAUAAAAUGUGGCAAUUGCUAACAUGAUUCGGACAGACUUAAGCAUCGCUGCGAGUGAGAAAAUCUCAUCGUAUUCAACACUUUGAACUUUGUCAAAAACCUUUUUCUGACAAGUCUAGCUUUGUAGAUAGUAACACUACUAUCAGCGUCCAUCUUCCUCUUGAAGAUCCAUUUAAUCUCAAUGGCUCGCCGAUCAUUGGGCAAGUCAAUCAAAGUCCAUACUUUGUUCUCAUAUAUGGAUCUUGUCUCAGAUUUCAUGGCCUCAAGCCAUUUCGCGGAAUCUGGGCUCAUCAUCGCUUCCUCAUAGUUCGUAGGUUCGUCAUGGUCAAAUAACAUGACCUCCAAAACAGGAUUACCGUACCACUCUGGUGUGGAUCUCACUCUGGUUUACCUACGAGGUUUGGUAGUAACUUGAUAUGAAGUUACAUGAUCAUCAUCAUUAACUUCCUCACUAAUUGGUGUAGGAGUCACAGGAACAGAUUUCUGUGAUGAACUACUUUCCAAUAAGGGAGCAGGUACAGUUACCUCAUCAAGUUCUACUUUCCUCCCACUCACUUCUUUCGAGAGAAACUCCUUCUCUAGAAAGGAUCCAUUCUUAGCAACGAAUGUCUUGCCUUCGGAUCUGUGAUAGAAGGUGUACCCAACUGUCUCCUUUGGGUAUCCUAUGAAGACACAUUUCUCCGAUUUGGGUUUGAGCUUAUCAGGAUGAAACCUUUUCACAUAAGCAUCGCAACCCCAAACUUUAAGAAACGACAACUUUGGUUUCUUGCCAAACCAUAGUUCAUAAGAUGUCGUCUCAACGGAUUUAGAUGGUACCCUAUUUAACGUGAAUGCAGCUGUCUCUAAUGCAUAACCCCAAAAUGAUAGUGGUAGAUCGGUAAGAGACAUCAUAUAUCGCACCAUAUCUAAUAAAGUACGGUUACGAUGUUCGGACACACCAUUACACCGUGGUGUUCCAGGUGGCGUGAGUAGUGAAACUAUUUCACAUUGUUUUACCUGAAGGCCAAACUCGUAACUCAAAUACUCUUCUCCAUGAUCAGAUCGUAGAAACUUUAUUUUCUUGUUACGAUGAUUUUCCGCUUCACUCUGAAAUUAUAUGAACUUUUCAAAUGUUUCAGACUUCUGUUUCAUUAAGUAGAUAUACCCAUAUCUGCUCAAAUCAUCUGUGAAGGUCAGAAAAUAAUGAUACCUGCUACGAGCCUCAAUAUUCAUCGGACCACAUACAUCUGUAUGUAUGAUUUCCAACAAAUCUGUUGCUCUCUCCAUAGUUCCGAAGAACGGCGUUUUAGUCAUCUUGCCCAUGAGGCACGGUUCGCAAGCAUCAAGUGAUUCCAAAAUCCCAUCAGUAUGGAGUUUCUUCAUGCGCUUUACACCAAUAUGACCUAAACGGCAGUGCCACAAAUAAGUUGCACUAUCAUUAUUAACUUUGCAUCUUUUGGCUUCAUUAUUAUGAAUAUGUGUAUCACUACGAUCGAGAUCCAACAAACUAUUUUAUUGGGUGUAUGACCAUAGAAGGUUUUAUUCAUGUAAACAGAACAACAAUUAUUCUCUAAUUUAAAUGAAUAACUGUAUUGCAACAAACAUGAUCAAAUCAUAUUCAUGCUCAACGCAAACACCAAAUAACACUUAUUUAGUUUCAACACUAAUCCCGAAAGUAUAGGGAGUGUGCGAUGAUGAUCAUAUCAAUCUUGGAACUACUUCCAACACACAUCGUCACCUCGGCUUUUACUAGUCUCUGUUUAUUCUGCAACUCCCGUUUCGAGUUACUACUCUUAGCAACUGAACCAGUAUCAAAUACCGAGGGGUUGCUAUAAACACUAGUAAAGUACACAUCAAUAACAUGUAUAUCCAAUAUACCUUUGUUCACUUUGCCAUCCUUCUUAUCCACCAAAUAGUUGGGGUAGUUCCGCUUCCAGUGACCAGUCCCUUUGCAGUAGAAGCACUUAGUCUCAGGCUUAGGACCAGACUUAGGCUUCUUCACUUGAGCAGCAACUUGCUUGCCGUUCUUCUUGAAGUUCCCCUUCUUCCCUUUGCCCUUUUCUUGAAACUAGUGGUCUCGUCAACCAUCAACACUCGAUGUUUUUCUUGAUUUCUACCUUCGUCGAUUUCAGCAUCACGAAGAGCUCGGGAAUUACUUUCGUCAUCCCUUGCAUACUAUAGUUCAUCACGAAGUUCUACUAACUUGGUGAUGGUGACUAGAGAAUUCUGUCAAUCACUAUUUUAUCUGGAAGAUUAACUCCCACUUGAUUCAAGCGAUUGUAGUACCCAGACAAUCUGAGCACAUGCUCACUGCUUGAGCUAUUCUCCUCCAUCUUUUAGCUAUAGAACUUGUUGGAGACUUCAUAUCUCUCAACUCGGGUAUUUGCUUGAAAUAUUAACUUCAACUCCUGGAACAUCUCAUAUGGUCCAUGACGUUCAAAACGUCUUUGAAGUCCCGAUUCUAAGCCGUUAAGCAUGGUGCACUAAACUAUCAAGUAGUCAUCAUAUUGAGCUAGCCAAACGUUCAUAACGUCCGCAUCUGCUCCUGCAAUAGGUCUGUCACCUAGCGGUGCAUCAAGGACAUAAUUUUUCUGUGCAGCAAUGAGGAUAAUCCUCAGAUCACGGAUCCAAUCCGCAUCUUUGCUACUAACAUCUUUCAACAUAAUUUUUCUCUAGGAACAUAUCAAAAAUAAACACAGGGAAGCAACAACACGAGCUAUUGAUCUACAACAUAAUUUGCAAAAUACUAUCAGGACUAAGUUCAUGAUAAAUUUAAGUUCAAUUAAUCAUAUUACUUAAGAACUCCCACUUAGAUAGAUAUCCCUCUAAUCAUCUAAGUGAUUACGUGAUCCAAAUCAACUAAACCAUAACCGAUCAUCACGUGAAAUGGAGUAGUUUUCAAUGGUGAACAUCACUAUGUUGAUCAUAUCUACUAUAUGAUUCACGCUCGACCUUUCGGUCUCCGUGUUCCGAGGCCAUAUCUGCAUAUGCUAGGCUCGUCAAGUUUAACCUGAGUAUUCCGCGUGUGCAACUGUUUUGCACCCGUUGUAUUUGAACGUAGAGCCUAUCACACCCGAUCAUCACGUGGUGUCUCAGCACGAAGAACUUUCGCAACGGUGCAUACUCAGGGAGAACACUUUUAUCUUGAAAUUUUAGUGAGGGAUCAUCUUAUAAUGCUACCGUCAAUCAAAGCAAGAUAAGAUGCAUAAAGGAUUAACAUCACAUGCAAUCAAUAUAAGUGAUAUGAUAUGGCCAUCGUCAUCUUGUGCUUGUGAUCUCCAUCCCCGAAGCACCGUGCUUGUGAUCUCCAUCUCCGAAGCACCGUCAUGAUCACCAUCGUCACCGGCGCGACACCUUGAUCUCCAUCGUAGCAUCGUUGUCGUCUCGCCAACUAUUGCUUUUACGACUAUCGCUACCGCUUAGUGAUAAAGUAAAACAAUUACAUGGCGAUUGCAUUUCAUACAAUAAAGCGACAACCAUAUGGCUCCUGCCAGUUGCCAAUAACUCGGUUACAAAACAUGAUCAUCUCAUACAAUAAAAUAUAGCAUCAUGUCUUGACCAUAUCACAUCACAACAUGCCCUGCAAAAACAAGUUAGACGCCCUCUACUUUGUUGUUGCAAGUUUUACGUGGCUGCUACGGGCUUAGCAAGAACCGUUCUUACCUACGCAUAAAAACCACAACGAUAGUUUGUCAAGUUGGUGCUGUUUUAACCUUCGCAAGGACCGGGCGUAGCCACACUCGGUUCAACUAAAGUGAGAGAGACAGACACCCGCCAGUCACCUUUAAGCAACGAGUGCUCGCAACGGUGAAACCAGUCUCGCGUAAGCGUACGCGUAAUGUCGGUCCGGGCCGCUUCAUCUCACAAUACCGCCGAACCAAAGUAUGACAUGCUGGUAAGCAGUAUGACUUAUAUCGCCCACAACUCACUUGUGUUCUACUCGUGCAUAGCAUCAACGCAUAAAACCAGGCUCGGAUGCCACUGUUGGGGAACGUAGUAAUUUCAAAAAAAUUCCUACGCACACGCAAGAUCAUGGUGAUGCAUAGCAACGAGAGGGGAGAGUGUUGUCCACGUACCCUCGUAGACCGAAAGCGGAAGCGUUAACACAACGCGGUUGAUGUAGUCGUACGUCUUCACGAUCCGACCGAUCAAGUACCGAACGCACGGCACCUCCGAGUUCAGCACACGUUCAGCUCGAUGACGUCCCUCGAACUCCGAUCCAGCCGAGUGUUGAGGGAGAGUUUCGUCAGCACGACGGCGUGGUGUUGAUGAUGAUGUUCUACCGACGCAGGGCUUCGCCUAAGCUCCGCUACGAUAUUAUCGAGGUGUAAUAUGGUGGAGGGGAGCACCGCACACGGCUAAAAUAUCGUAUAUCAAUUGUGUGUUCAGAGGUGCCCCCCUGCCCCCGUAUAUAAAGGAGCAAGGGGGGAGGCCGGCCGGCCCUUGGGGCGCGCCAAGGAGGGGGGAGUCCUCCUCCUAGUAGGAGUAGGACUCCCCUUUCCUAGUCCAACUAGGAAGACAGAAGGGGGAAGGAAAGAAAGGGAGAGGGAAAGAGGGGCCGCGCCCCCCUCCCCUAGUCCAAUUCAGACUCCCCAUGGGAAGGGGGGCGCCACCUCCUGAGCUGCUGCCCCCUCUCUCCCCUCAGGCCCACUAAGGUCCAAUACUUCCCCGGGGGGUUCCGGUAACCCCUCUGGCACUCCGGUUUUAUCCGAAACUUCUCCGGAACACUUCCGGUGUCCGAAUAUAGUCGUCCAAUAUAUCAAUCUUUAUGUCUCGACCAUUUCGAGACUCCUCGUCAUGUCCGUGAUCACAUCCGGGACUCCGAACAACCUUCGGUACAUCAAAACAUAUAAACUCAUAAUAUAACUGUCAUCGUAACUUUAAGCGUGCGGACCCUACGGGUUCGAGAACUAUGUAGACAUGACCGAGACACCUCUCCGGUAAAUAACCAAUAGCGGAACCUAGAUGCUCAUAUUGGUCCCACAUAUUCUACGAAGAUCUUUAUCGGUCAGACCGCAUAACAACAUACGUUGUUCCCUUUGUCAUCGGUAUGUUACUUGCCCGAGAUUCGAUCGUCGGUAUCUCGAUACCUAGUUCAAUCUCGUUACCGGCAAGUCUCUUUACUCGUUCCGUAAUACAUCAUCCCGCAACUAACUCAUUAGUCACAAUGCUUGCAAGGCUUAUAGUGAUGUGCAUUACCGAGUGGGCCCAGAGAUACCUCUCCGACAAUCGGAGUGACAAAUCCUAAUCUCGAAAUACGCCAACCCAACAAGUACCUUUGGAGACACCUGUAGAGCACCUUUAUAAUCACCCAGUUACGUUGUGACGUUUGGUAGCACACAAAGUGUUCCUCCGGUAAACGGGAGUUGCAUAAUCUCAUAGUCAUAGGAACAUGUAUAAGUCAUGAAGAAAGCAAUAGCAACAUACUAAACGAUCGAGUGCUAAGCUAACGGAAUGGGUCAAGUCAAUCACGUCAUUCUCCUAAUGAAGUGAUCCCAAUAAUCAAAUGACAACUCAUGUCUAUGGCUAGGAAACAUAACCAUCUUUGAUCAACGAGCUAGUCAAGUAGAGGCAUACUAGUGACACUCUGUUUGUCUAUGUAUUCACACAUGUAUUAUGUUUCCGAUUAAUACAAUUCUAGCAUGAAUAAUAAACAUUUAUCAUGAUAUAAGGAAAUAAAUAAUACUUUAUUAUUGCCUCUAGGGCAUAUUUCCUUCAGUUACAUGACAAAAAUAAGCCGAUUCUCACAAUGAUAAGUGUGGCCCCGCUUGUCAGGAGUAACCAAGCGAUUAAUUUUACAGGAAAAUAAGAACGUUGUUGGGAUCAAGUAGGCCCCACACUUUAUUUUACUGUAGUGAGAUAGAGGGAGAGCCGGCAUGUUGGUCCAUCGGUAUUUAUGUCAUUAUAACACGGCAAAAGAGAUUUGAGUCACAAUAAUGGUGUCCAGCACAACACACCCCUCAAAUAAAACUAAGCACCCUGAAAUUCUUUGACAAAACUAAGCACCCUGAAAUUCUUUGACAACUAAACUGCUGGCUAUAUGAUGUUGGCCAUAUAUAUUGUACGUAUAUAAUGUGAAGAAAUGAGUGGUAGUACUAUACCAACUAAAAGAUGAAAUGUAAGAAAUAUAACGAGAAGAAACAUAACAUAGUUCUGCUGGGGGCUUAGCACAACACACCCCUCGAAUAAAACUAAGCACACCUGAAAUUAAACUAAGCAAUUAAUCUGGUAGACACUGCAUUAGAACCACCAUGAGCAACGACACUGCCACCUUACUCGGAGUCCUCGUCCACGUCCUCGACUUCGUCCUUGUCCCUCUUCCUCUUGGUCGAUACUUCUUUGCUUGAAUCGCACACUUGGAUCUUGCUCUUCAUCCAACCCUUGUAGAUAUUGAAACAAGGUAGCCAUCCAUUGCAGCGUACUGGAUGUGGUCUAUAUCUAGUACAUUCCACUGCCAUGCAUGACGAUGAAACGUGUGCGGAGGUUUCUUCAGUUUACCGUACAAAGGAUGAACCAUGGCUCCUGCUAGGGUCAGCAUUGAAGGCUGAUCACGGGAGGGCAGCAGCCCAUUCUUCUGGAGGUCGAAGGGGUUGCCGACGACGAGGCCUAUUCGACCCAGGACUUUUCUAUUGUUCUUAAAGUCUACCGUAACGAAUUUGACUAGGCCGUCCUUGAGGAAGUUCUUAAAAUCCUGGCACUCAACGUCGGCAUGGUAUAUGUGGUAGACCAAGCAUAAGUCAUGCACGCAAACCUGGAUCACGGCAGACAUCAUCUUCUCUUCCUCCUUUAGAUUCUUCUCUUUGUCCAGGGUUGUGGUGUACUCAACAUCUAGCCUAGCGACCCACUCAUCAUUUGAGUUUUUGAACAUGCGUCUGAAGUGAGCAAGGCAUCCUUUCACCGUCGCGGAAGAACGGGUGUAGAUGAUGUUGAAAUCAUCGCCGGUGAUGGAUCUAACCUUGUACUCACCGCCGAUCAUGGAGAUUUGGGCCGCCAUGGAUUUGGGAGGAAGGUUAGGAUUAAUGGAACUGCCAUAAUGUGAAAGGAUGGGACGACUAGGAGCGAACAGCCGUAAUGUUAAGGAAGUCCGAGGACGAGUAGGAGCGAACUGCCAGCGGUUUUUCGAUUGUAAAAAUGCUGAGUGGGGCGUGCGAAUGGCAGGGUAGUGGCUUGCCUGGUGGAUAAAUGGAUUCAUGCACAGUACUAUGGGGGCCCAAUUAGAUGUCAUGUCUACUCGACGCCCAAUUAAAUGGCUUUCGAUGUCAUGUCAAGCGUCGAGAAAAUUAGAGGUGAUACGAAGCUUUCCAUUCUCCCAUGAUACAGGCUUUCGAGAGCCCUUGGAUCUGAGAUCGAACGGUUGCAUGGUGUGAUUCUAGACCUAUGGGUGAAUAUCCUAUCCUGGAGGGUUAUUCUGCAAAUUUUCAGCAACUUAGCAUGCGACCAUUCGAUCUCAGAUCCAAGGGUUGCCAGCAGCCCGUAUCAUGGUCGCGCCUACCACAACCGUCGCCUCGCUCGCGCGGUCGCGCCCUUGGAGAUUUAACAUGGUGCGUUAGGCUAUCUGAUAUUGGCAUGUCAUACAUAGUCAUCACUUAGUCACUCAUACUACAACAAGGUUAGCUAUAAGGUUGGAUAUAAGAGUAUUUUUUACUUCUCUCUAUCUCUUUCUUCGUAGUAUUUAUUGCAUUUGCCAAGGAGUGACCUCUUCCAAUGAAAUGGUGCUUAGAUGAGGUGCUAAGGGCAUUAAAUGGCUUAGCAAUCAAGUCCCCAAUGCAUAGGUGCUUAGUUUUUUGUUGCUAAGUUUGCUUCAUUUAAUUAGCUAUAGAUUCAAAAUUGUCUUUUCACCUAGGUACACGCGCUUAGCACCGUUUCUUCCUUGGGUCACCAAACUAGUCUCUCUCUUCUUAAUUAACUUUCCACAUCAGACUUUAUGCCUAUGUGGCAGGCUUAGCACCUGUAGGAGCAAGUAAGUAGUACAAUAGUGGGCUAUAAGCCCGCUUUACAUGGCAUUUUUGCAUAUGUGGAGAAAAGAGGCAAGGAAAAAGUGGAGGAGUGGGCUCUCAUGCAAGAGCUAGCCUCUACAUGGUGGAGCAUUGGGAGAGGCACCUGUAUGGAGGUGGUCAGGAAUCGGGAGACUCACGCCGGUCGUAGCGCCGCAGUUAAAAUGAUAAUGGCAAGUCAAAUCACGGGGCCUACCUGUCCAGCAGUAACUCGCUAUCAAAUCACACAGCCCUACGUUUGCAGCAGCCUACUCCCUCAUCUUCUCGCAUCUCUGUCGAAUCGACUAGGGAGAACUGCCCCGCCUACCGCGCAGGAAAAGCCCCGCCCUCGACUUUUAAAUAGUACAGUAUACUAAUUUUGUAUCCAUGGAUUGCGCCAUGGAGCAAAGCCUCAAUAAAAUGGCGGUACACAUGUACAGAGUAUACAGCACGCCUGUCGCGUUCGCAUCGCACCCCAGAUGGUCGGCCGGUCUGACACGCCGCUCUCCGAAUGGAACGCGUGUCAUAUUGCGUUUGCACACACAUGUGGGACCGCAAUUGAGAACCGACCAUAGGCACACUCCCCGGCCCCACAAGUCGGGUGAGUUAAUAGAAGAGAGAGACGAGCAAUAGUACUACUAGAGAAGUGUUGUACAUAUGUUGGUGCCUGGACGAUCCCUACAAGACACGGAAGAUCAGUUCGUCCAUGCAUGUGAUCAGACUCUAGCAGACACGCCUGGAUUGGCUAUCGUCUACAUAUCGUGCAGGCUGUGUUGUACAGGGUUGUAGUUCUGGUGAGAAAUCUAAAAAAAGGUUUCUUGUCAUCUCACAAAAUUAGGUGUCAUGUGCUUCGGAUCACUGCGAGGGUUAAACAGCGACAACUGAGUUCCUCCAAGGGGCUAGUCAUUGGGGGCACAUGCACGAAGACUACUCGACUACCAUCUAGGUUAAGUCGACUAUGUUAAUUAGGACAUCUAUCGAUGGACCCCUUUUCUACGAGUUUAUCUUUAAUUUGAGCUUUAAUCCUCGUCUAGUUUCUCCGUCGGGAUUCAUGUUGUCUCCUUUGGGCAGUGAGGUUAUGAUUUCUUGUCAUGUGGCAUUUUUUCGUGUUAUAUGUUAUAAUCUGGUGCUUCAGAUCAAAAUGACGACAACUGCACCUCCAGGGCACGUGCAUGAAGACUUCUCGACACUCAUUGACGAGGUCAAGCCGGCUCCGGUAGACAAAAGAAAACUAGUACUCCACUAUGGCCCUGUUUGGAUCCAUGGGUUAGAGUUAGUUUGAGCUAGUUGGGGCUCAAAUAUCCCUAAAGUAUCCAAGCAUGAGUGUUAAAUUGGAGCAAGUUGCACCGAACCCACCAAAAAAAUAUCCCACCCAAGAGGUGCUAAUUGGAGAUAGUUCUCAUUGGGCCCACUGAAAAAUCACUUUCUCUCUCCAUCAAGUGCAUUUAUUGUCAAUCUAACCCUGUCACCCAAACACCUCUUUGGCUAUAGUUAGCUCAGGGUUAGCCAUGAGUUAGUCUAACCUCUAGCUAAGUUAGAGUAUCCAAACAGGAACAGUAUAGGACAUGCAAGUUACUCAAAGCAUACAGUCAAAUUCGUACGUGAAAAGAUCUUUUUUUUACGAAACAUGAAAGAAUCUUCGAAUGAUAUAAUUUUCAAAUUAUAUAAAAUCUUAUCAAUAGUCAAAGGCAUCCUCGAAGAAUACAUUAGGCCCUAUAUAAAAUCUUAUCAAUAGUCAAAACCAAGUGUUCUAAAUGAGUUCAAAAUGAGAAACUGGACCCACUCACGGCACGGCAUGCCUGUCUCGUUUGGUCUGUUGGUCAAAGCGCUUCCUCUUCUUGGCAUAACAAUAGAGUACAAUAUAUUUUUUUAGAAUGCUCUUGGCAUGUCGCUAACAUGUGAUGAAUUAACCGACCUCAAUAGACGGCAAAAACGCCAGCCCGCUGCACUUUGAGAGAGACGAGGAGCGAUAAGAGAUACGGGCUGCUGGAUUACUAGAGCUAGGUGUCGCACGGAAGCCAAGAAAUAUGGUGAUAGCGUGGGUUAGCCAUGUAGUAUGAUGUAACCACACUGGACUGCCGUGUUUCGUACUCUUCCAGUCCACUGUGGAGAUGAUUGGUUGAUUUUAUAUCGCUGAAUGAUAUAAAAUAUUAUGAGUGCAGACGCUCCACCACGGGGUUCCUUGCUCCUUCUCAGUCGUCGGGAAUCUAUGUUCUCCCACUCUCUUUUUUUGAUGUGAGCUUUCUUCAUCCUUUUGCCAACACGCGACACAUCUAGCAUCAAGGUGCACGUGUCAUGCAAGAAAAUGGAGAUAAUAAGAUAAGCAGUGCGUAAGUGAGUCGUGCACUUCGAUGGCACCUACUACGCAAUAUUUUUUCUCCUCGAUGGCACAUGAAUAGUGCACGUACUCAACGACGGAGCACGGGAUGGUAGCCAUGACAUGGUCAGCCCUUUUUUGGAGAGAGUACGUACUCCCUCUGUUUCUUUUUAGUCUGCAUAUAAGAUUUGGUCAAAGUCGAACUUUGUUAACUUUGACUAAGUUUAUAGAAAAGAAUAACAAGGUUCAUAAUAUGAAAUCAAUAAUGUUAGAUGCAUCAUGAAAUUAAUUUUCAUACCAUAUAGCUUUAGUAUUGUAGAUGUUGAUAUUUUUUUCUAUAAAGUUGGUCAAACUUUACUAGGUUUGACUUUGACCAAAUCUUAUAUGCAGACUAAAAAGAAAUGGAGGGAGUACUAAAUAACUUUGAUGUGUCUCGUCAACUCGCAAAACAACGAGAAGCUUGCUUACUACGCCUUCUCCCUCGCCAACGUGUGCGCGGUGGCCCGCGGCACGAGGAGAAAAUUUUGCUUACAAGCCGCCUGCCCACCUAUAGAACCGCCUUGCGCUGGCCAAUUCCUCUCCAAACACCUAGGGAGGCGGUUGAACCGAACAAGUCUAACUUGCUCCAAUUUAACCCUCAUGUUGGAUACUUUAGGGCUAUUUGAGCCCCAACUAGCUCAAACUAACUCUAACCCAUGGGUCCAAACAGGGCCUAUAUAGGUAGGAGCCUCCGCGCUUGCUUGCUAGUGUUGCUCUCUUCACACUGUCUCGUCCUCUCCAGAUCUAAACACGACAGCGGUGGCCACACUCUCUCUCUCUGCUCACCGUUGGUCACAGAUCCAGCCAGAUCCUCUCCGCCGGGGAAGGUGAGAAGGUGCAACAUUCACGCGGUCGUCCUCGGCGAUGGCUCUUACCCACUGCCGGCGCGUCCCGAUCAGCGUGCCUUGCCGUUCUCUCCCAAGCACCGCUGGCUAGGGAGGGCCUCCGACCCCUUCUUCCUCGCUGCCGUAGUGUGGGUAGAUCUGGCCUCCCACCGCCCACCUAGCGACAGCCCGGCGACCCUCGGGUAUAACUUCCUUCGAAAUCGGCCUUGCUAUACUUCCCGAGCUCCUGACGUCGCUGCAUUUGUAUCUUUUACUAUUUCUCAGGCCCCCUCAUAGAUAGGAUCGAUCGGCUUUUCAAAAACCACCUAAAUUUUUACUGUUAAGAGGUAAAACUAGUUCACGCACUCAAAUCUAGUACUACUUGGUUCAAACAAGGAAGAAAUGGGGUGGGGGUGGGGGAGAUUUGUUACCUGAAUCUAGGACUUGGUCGAAAGAGGAAAUAAUGGGGGCGAAAAGUAGCAGAGACUGGCUGUCCAACUGGUCUCUAUCUAAUAGGGAAAUAAAGGGAAAUGCAGUACAAACUCAAUAUAAACCCGAUCUAUUGGUUGAAAAAGGAAAGAAAGUGGGGACUGGGGGACAAGUCAACAGAGUAAGUCCAGCACUAGAUUUGCUAGCCUCACACAGUAUAAGGUGGCUAUACCGAACAAAAAUGGGACCAACCCAGAUAUCCUGGUCUGAUGUUUGUUGCCCAGAGCCACUCUUAUGUAAUGCCACUGGUAAAAUGUAGCAAUCGCACUGUUAAAAGUAAGGACACGUUAAACCAAUGUUGUUUUCAAUGUAAUGCCUCCAGUAAUAUGAAUCAAUGGCACUUUUUUCAUGUCCUGCUAAAUUUCCCAUUAAGAUAAGUUGCUUCUUUUCUUUAGAAAUGCAACUGUCCUGGUCCGCCUACUCUCCCGUGCCCAAAUACCGACUCUGUAGCAGCUGUUAAUGUAAUCUUGCUGGUAAAAUGAAGCAAUGGCACUGUUAAAGUAAUGUCGUAUUUAACGGUUGUCAUAGUUAAUCCUAAUGCCCACACUAAUAUCUAGCAAUGCUGCUGCUUUAGAAAUUGCUACUGUCCUUGUAGGAUUGCCAUUCAGAUAAGGAACAUGCUUCUUUUCAUUUGAUGCAUGCUUCAUCACUUGUUAGUCACCCUCCUUUCCACCUUUUUUUUGCAAACAGAGAUAUACAUUUCACGCUUGAUCUUAGUUGAACUGCACAAAUGAUAUCCAAAUUAUAGUUGAAUAUUCCAGGAGCUUCGCAACCAACCUUGAUGUUGCUCAAUUUUAUUGCAACUAAUGAAGAAGAAGCUCUGUGGGUUUCGUUUUCUGAUGGACCGGGGCUGGAGCCCUUUUCUUAAAAAAAGAAGAAGCUGCUAGCUUAUGGGACAUUGCUUCAUUUUAGGUGAACUGCACCAAAAGGUCCCAUGAAUUGAAUCAUCCAUGUUGGUGACUGGUAUCAUCCCUUCUACGAUGGCGUUGACUACAGAUAUGGUUCCCAUCACGAGGUAUGUUCCUUUUUGGUCUGACCAUUUGCCAAAGAUCCUGCAUGUUGAGUCUGCUCUUGUGCUACUGUUUUGGCACUGCCAUGAUAAAGAAGUAAUGUUAUUCUUUUGCAUCUUAAUCUAGUGGCACUAUUAAUUUGAGGCAAUGUUUUGGCACCGCUAGUGCCACUGAUUUUUUUUACAUAUAUUGAAAGAGGGGGUUUCCUCCGAUUUCAUUAAAGAAACCCAACCAUAGAGAACCAUUAUCCGACAACAUCUCAGUGUAAACAGGCAGUUAUGCAACUACUACUAGAACGGACUGAGUACUAGCAGGAGACAAGUUCGCCACAUAAGCUAGGUAGGUAGGGGGGCGCAGCACCAGCUCGACCAAGUUUGGAUUACAACCCAAAUGCUACCACAGAAACAUCAGGGGGGAGAUAGGGACUGAAAGAGCCAGCUUCAGCAUCCCAGUCUAAGCACCCCCGGCCUCCAUCCUUGCGACGCACAAUACACCUCGUUUACCACCUGCUCGACCCUAGUGUCACUGAUAAAAUGAAGUAAUAAUACAGUUAAAAUAGAGCGAGUGUCCUCUCUAUCAUUUCAUUUCUAAUGUAGAUAAAGAAAGUGCUUCUCUUUGUUAGUGUAUGUUUCAUCAACUAGUACCAUUGUUAAUGUUUAAGCGUUUCUGCAAACUGGGGUGCUUAAUUUUAGUUGAUCUGCACAAAAAUAGAGAUUGGAAUGUCUCAAGGCCCCUCCUUGUACUACCGUUGUACACUGAUGUUCAUCACUGGCAGAAGGUGUAUCAGGGAGACUUGGGUCGAUUUCCAGUAUGAGGCGUACCGUAUGAGGCGUCGCAGGGCCCAUCUCGCCCUCGCAGCAUGGCAUACUAUGAUACUAUCGCAAUAUUUUCUUCUAUUUAUUAGUGUGUGUUUCAUCAACUAGUGCCACUAUAAUGUAAUCACGCUUUUUCAUUAUCUGUGCAAGCAGGGUUAUUCAGCUACAUUUUGGUGGAACUGCACAAAUGUAUGGAUGGAACCGGCAUAUAUGCAGAGUGCGAGGUGUGCCAAGUAAAAAUUACCGACACCAACCAUGUGCCAUGCACACAUUGGCAUCCACCACCACCAGUGGGAUGUGUGGCGCUCUCUGUGGACGGAUCUUUCUCAGCAGCAAAUCCUCUAACCAAAUACUAGUAGCUUAUAUUGGCAGUUUUCUAGGGAGUACUCUUUUCUGAAAGAAGCACCAAUCUAUUUUUCUUUAUUUGUACACAGUGUCACAAUUUUGACCCAAAGGUCCAGAGCUAUUUUAGGGUGAUUGGCGUAGUACUCAGAGACUGAUUGUGAGCAUGAUUUUCAUUAGCUGUCGCACUGAUUAUAAGCAUGAGCAGAUGGAAGAUUAGCUUAGUGUGAAGCUUACCUUAAACCCUACCGCCACCGUUGAAACGAGGCGAACGUCGAGGGAACUGUGGAGAACGGCGGGGAAGCGACGUCGCGCCAUCCGGCCUCCUCUUGCGGUGGGAGAACAAAUACUCCUGUGGCUCCAGCUAUUUCUGCACCCUCACAAAUGGCACACCGUACUCGACCAAUUCGUUAUCCUCUGGGUGCUCGACCUUCGACCUGUACGCCCACCACCUCCGCCUGACUUUCGCCUCGGGCGAAUCUGUUUGCUCCAUCGCCCAGAGGAGAUACUCGAUGAACUCGAAGGACUGCGGCGUGACUACCAUCAAGGAGUACAUCGCCGCCCUCAUCGCCGUCGUCUCGCUCUUUCGCAUACAUUGCCACAUGGCCCUCACCGUCCUCGAAAUCUCCCACUCAUUGUCAAACCAAGUAAUGAUCUCCUUCGACCUAGCUAACUUUUCCUGGUCGCCGCCGGUGAUCUGCCUGAUUCACUGCUGCAUCCUCUCCAUAAAUGUCCUCCUGAGUGGUCCGGUGCUAGCUUUGGAAGAUGGGAGGAGAGACGGUGGUCUUGCAAUAGAGAAGAGGGAGAGGCGAGACGGUGGUUUUGGAAUGGAGAUGAUGGAGAGGAGAGGAGGUGGUUUUGCAAUGGAGAAGAGGGAGAGGUGAGACGGUGGUUUUGGAAUGGAGAUGAUGGAGAGGAGAGGAGGUGGUUUUGCAAUGGAGAAGAGGGAGAGGAGCGUGCGGCAGCGAUUUAGGAUUGGACGAGAGGGCUGGCGCGCUGUCACUGGGUCAAAAUCAAAAUCAAUUUAUCCUUCAAUUAAGAAAGCGACCCCACAUUAACUAGUCUCCCUUUUAUUCUGGGUCAUAAUUGACCAUGAUUUUCACAAAUAAAAUAUAUGUUAUACAUUGCAAAAAUAAUAUAAUUUGAAAGUACAUUCAGAUACGAACCAAACGAUACAAUUUUUGGUGACAUGCAUUCACAUUUUGCUUGUCAAAUACAAUGGUCAAACUUUGACCCAAAAUACGCAAAACAAAAAAAUAGUUCCAAAACCAGCGCCGCUCUUCUGCUCUUCUCCUCUUAAACCACCGUCGCUCCUCUCCUGUUUCAAUCAAAAUCUAGCGCCACUCCUCUCCUCUUCCAUUUCAAAACCUCCGCCCCUCCUCUCAUGUUCCAAUCCAAAACCAGCGUCUCUCCUCUCCCGUUCUAAUCCAAAACCAGCGCUGCUCUUCUCCUCUUCCAUUCAAAAACCACCGCUGGCGAGUGAAGGUGUUGUGGAGAAGUAGAUCGAUGGAGGAGUACAACCGAUACAUGAGGAUCGCAGACGGAGACCCUGUGAAGCUAGCUAGGAUGUUGGAGAUACAGUCUUGGUUUGACAACAAGGACCAACUAGCGGCGACGGCGACAUCCAUGGCCAAAUAUCUGCAACAGAGCGAAAAGGUGGCGAUACUCCCAAAGGGAGUCACGCGGGAGUACAUAGAGCUGCUCCUCUGAGCCAUGGAGCAAACAAAUUCACCGAAUCCGAUCGUGAGGGUGCGGUAGUGGGAGUAUCGAUCCCAGAUGGAGCAUCCACCAGAGAUUGAAGGAUCGAGCAUCUACAGGGUGCCGUUUGUGAGGGUGUCGUGCCAGAGCGAUCUGGUGGAGUCUUCAUCGACCGAACCCAACUGCAAGAGGUGAAAAGCAGUUGGCCCGACGAUGCUUCCCCGCCAUCCUCUCCCUCGCCAUUCACAUCGUCUCACGGGGCGGCUGUCUGCCGCCGAGGAAUAGGAGGGGACUGCCCCCCCCAGCCCAAUAGUCGGGCAGGUUGUGAAUUGUCAGGAGGAGCUUAGGGUUGUCAGUAUUUGCAGGUUGUGAAUUGUGUUUUGUGUUGUGAAUUUUGAGAGUACUUUCAUAUAUGAAUGUAUUUUGAAUUUCAGAUUUGCAGUAUUGAGCAUAUGAAGUAUUUUAUGAAUUCUAGAGAUCUAUUUUUAGCACUUCAAAAAAUGUAGUUUCAUAGGAGUAUAAAAUUGCAGACAAUGUGAUUCUCAGAGAAGAAACUGCAAGUUUCAGUUUCAGAUAAGAAACUGCAACUUUCAGAGGCAGAGCAUUUAUAUUUACACGGCUUUUUCAAACAGGGUUAACAUCAUGUUGGAAGUUUUAUUCAUGGUUGAAAAUGGAACUACCAGUCAGUUAACAUCAUGUUGAUCAACAUUCAAGCAUAGCACAUCUUCAUAUGAUGCAUAGUCAAAAAGAUAUGCUAUUUUCAAAAUGCCCACACAAUGUCGAGUGUGCGAAAAACAGAGAAAACGAGGGACGAAGUUUUGGCAAGUGUUGGACGUGGUGUGCGUAGAUGAUAAUUGGGACCCACAUGUCAAUAAUGGCAGAGGAAAAAAAUUGGAGAUAUUUUCCCUGCAUCAGGUGGAAUCGAACCCGGGCGGAACAGCUGUGGGUAGUGUCACUUGGCCACUGGGCUAGUUCAGUACUUUCGUUACAAAUAAGGCACUUCCUCAGGUGGUCGGAUCUCCUCCUGCGCCUUUGUGCGCUCGCCGCGGCGCCACUGUCUGCCGCUGUGAACAUGCUGAACAAACAAGAGGAAUCUGGAGAGGACUGUACGUGGAAAAGCGGACAGUCGGGACCCACUAGGUCUAUGGCCGUACGCAAGCAAGUGCCUCAUCGAAAAAAUACUUCCUCCUAAUGCUAUUCUAACAUUGGGCCCCACGGGUUUGUCAACAUAGUUACAUUUUUUUAGGUGCCUCAACGUAGUUACUAUAGGAGAUAAAUUCACAACGAAGCCGGAGAGCUGGCAGGUAUCAUUUAUUAUCACUGGGGCAGCAAGAAUCAGCUGGGUUUUGGGCUGCCCCGUCUAGGCUUUCUUUUUUAACAUGCGCAGCCCACGACAUGCCGGUUUGUAUUUUCUUGAGGGCCGUCAUGUAUCGAUCGGCCUAUGAACCUCUCAUCUGAGGUUUUAUUUUUCCUGAAACAUCGGCAGCCCAAUUUAUGUAUUUUUUUUGAAGAAAACAUAGAGGUCUGUUCUAUUUUUCUAUAUAAGAAUAGGAACGCCUGGUCCAACUUAUGUUUCCCUUCUAACUAUAUUAUAUAUAUUUAAAUUAUUUUAUAUGUUAUUAUAUAUUAUUGUUAUUGUCAUCAUAUAUUUAACAGAUACUUAGAUAUUUAAGAAAACAAUAUCCCACAUCUUAUUAACUUAUAAAAAUAAUUUCUUAACAAUAAAUCCUGGAUUUUUUUGGCAACAAAAAUCCUGGUGAUUGUGUACAAAAGCUUGGUAAGAUUUAAGGACCAAUGUAAUAAUAAAUCACUUAUUAUUUAAAUAUAUUUAUAAAAAAAGCUCAGCCCCUGUUUAUUUUUUGAUAACAUUGUUGUGCCCAACCCAACAUUAUAAUUAGAAUCAGCCCAGCAAAAUCGUGUGUUUCGAAAAGUGCAAAUGGCCUGUAAUUUUUUAGGAAAAAUUAAAUGGGCCGCAUGGACGCUACAUUAUUUGUUCACCCAGCCCAGCUAAUGGACUGUAAUUCUAAAAAAAGACUAAAUUGACUGUAAAUUCUACCCCACAAAAAAACUGUAAAUUUUGAAAAAAUGGGUUGAAUACGUGCCACAUUUUUGGAGGCUGAAAUGUGGGAAUAGGUCGAAGCCAACGCAAGUCGUUGUUAACUUAGUCAACAAAUGAUUCUGACAUCGUUAGCCAUUGGAUUUACAUCCAACGACCGGCAUCCAUCUUCAAUCUCACCAUAGUGGGAGGCUGACUUGUGGCCCUACUAAGUUGACGGGGACGGAGGGCUUUGUCAACUUAGUCAAUAUGAACGAUUCUAGCUCCAGUGAACGUACGAUGUUCAUCCAACGGCCGUAGUGCUUCUUCAACCUCUGGUCUUCUUGCUCCAGCCGCUCAAACCAGCACCGGUCGUGCUGCGUGCUCCUGCCUCCUAUGGCCGGCUGUGAUGCGGCGGAGGCCUCACCGCCCCCUACUACUACCACCGCUGGCCAUGCCAUCCAUCUACUCACCCACACCCCCUGUUAUUCUGCGGCGACGACAGCCUCACACCACAGCCGAACCAGUGAACCCUCAUACUCCUCUCCGCGUGGGCAUCCACUGCCGCGUCUUCCCCGGCUCCGCGUCGUCCCCUUCCUAGGCCUCGUCGUCGUCCACCGCCCUGGUGCUCUCAGCACGGCGUGGUCAACGUGGUCAAGGAACGACUUCCAUCAGAAGAGUACUGUACGUGGAGAGGCUGACAGCUGGGUCCACGGCAGCCGCAAGGAAGUGCCUCCUUAUUACGUGCAAAAUAAUUAUUCCUCCACCUGACAGCAGGGACCCACCAGACGGGCCACCGUAUUUCACAAAAAAAAACAUUUCCCCCGACUGCCAGGACCCACCAGCUACAUCUUUGCACGCAAGGAAGUGCGUCCGGGCAAAAAAAUUAUUCCCCCCUGACUGCUGGGACCCACCAGCUACAUCUUCGCACGCAAGGAAAUGCCUGACAGUCGGGACCCACAUGGUCGAAGCGUACGUAGCGCUGUCAUUCUGGUCGCGAACAUGUACGUACAUACUGGUCGAUGUAGAGGCGCGCACGUGUCGUAGUAGAGGCGCGCACGUAGCAUGUACACGUACGUACAGCGGCCAGGGUGCAAGAAAGUAAAUAUGGCCACGUACGUACAUACGGGCGGGGUCUCAAACGCCUAAUCGCGCAUACAUAUGGCCAGGGCUCGUGUACAUGGUUGGGUCGGAACGGAGAAACUGCGUCGUCGUCGUGUUCAUGGGGAGCCAACCGGCUAGGUCGGAACGGAAUGCGUCGUCGUGUUCAUCGGGAGGACUUGGACGGAACAGCCAAUGGAAACGAGGCCUAGCGUACCGCAGCACGGAGGAAACGGCCUUGUGUUCGACCGGCCACAGUCGAAACGGGAUCCUAUUCAUCGGGAGGGGUCUAGCGUACCACAAAACGGAGGAAACGAACUUCUGUUGGACCUCCUACGGUCGAAACGGGGUCCUGUUGAUCGGGAGUGGUGUGGCGUACCGCAAAACGGAGGAAACGAACUUGUGUUGGAGCGCUACGGUCGAAACGGGGGUCCUGUUCAUCGGGAGGGGUGUGACGUACCGCAAAACGGGACUCUGAUACGUCUCCAACGUAUCUAUAAUUUUGAUUGUUCCAUGCUAUUAUAUUACUUGUUUUGGAUGUUUAUGGGCUUUACUUUACACAUUUAUAUCAUUUUUGGGACUAACCUACUAACCGGAGGCCCAGCCCGUAUUGCUGUUUUUUUUGCCUAUUUCAGUAUUUCAAAGAAAAGGAAUAUCAAACGGAGUCCAAACGAAUGAAACCUUCGGGAGCGUGAUUUUUGGAACGAACGUGGUCCAGAGGACUUGGAGUGCACGUCAAGAAGCAAUCGAGGAGACCACGAGGGUGGAGGGCGCGCCCUUCCCUGGUGGGCGCGCCCCCUGUCUCGUGGGCCCCUCGGGCAUCCACCGACCUACUUCUUCCUCCUAUAUAUACCCACGUACCCCGAAAACAUCAGAGGCGACCACGAAAAACUAUUUCCACCACCGUAACCUUCUGUAUCCGCGAGAUCCCAUCUUGGAGCCUUCGUCGGCGCUCCGCCGGAGGGGGAAUCGACCACGGAGGGCUUCUACCUCAACACCAUAGCCCCUCCGAUGAGUUGUGAGUAGUUUACCACAGACCUUCGGGUCCAUAGUUAUUAGCUAGAUGGCUUCUUCUCUCUCUUUGAAUCUCAAUACAAAGUUCUCCUCGAUUUUCUUGGAGAUAUAUUCGAUGUAACUCUUUUUGUGGUGUGUUUGUCGAGAUCCGAUGAAUUGUGGGUUUAUGAUCAAGUUUAUCUAUGAGAAAUAUUUGAAUCUCCUCUGAAUUCUUUUAUGUGUGAUUAAGUUAUCUUUGCAAGUCUCUUCGAAUUAUCAGUUUGGUUUGGCCUACUAGAUUGAUCUUUCUUGCAAUGGGAGAAGUGCUUAGCUUUGGGUUCAAUCUUGCGGUGUCCUUUCCCAGUGAUAGCAGGGGCAGUAAGGCACGUAUUGUAUUGUUGCCAUCGAGGAUAAAAAGAUGGGGUUUAUAUCAUAUUGCAUGAGUUUAUCCCUCUACAUCAUGUCAUCUUUCUUAAUGCGUUACUCUGUUCUUUAUGAACUUAAUACUCUAGAUGCAUGCUGGAUAGCGGUCGAUGUGUGGAGUAAUAGUAGUAGAUGCAGAAUCGUUUCGGUCUACUUGUCACGGACGUGAUGCCUAUAUACAUGAUCAUGCCUAGAUAAUCUUAUAAUUAUUCGCUUUUCUAUCAAUUGCUCGACAGUAAUUUGUUCACCCACCGUAAUACUCAUGCUAUCUUGAGAGAAGCCACUAGUGAAACCUAUGGCCCCCGGGUGUAUCUUUUAUCAUAUAAGUUUGCUAUUUACUUUUUUCGUAUCUUUACUUUUCCAAUCUAUAUUAUAAAAUACCAAAAAUAUAUUUAUCUUAUCAUAUUGUCUCUAUCAGAUCUCACUUUUGCAAGUGGCCGUGAAGGGAUUGACAACCCCUUUAUUGCGUUGGUUGUGAGUUCUUUGUUUGUUUGUGUAGGUGCGUGGGACUUUUGAGGAGCCUCCUACUAGAUUGAUACCUUGGUUCUCAAAAACUGAGGGAAAUGCUUACGCUACUGUGCUGCAUCACCCUUUCCUCUUCAAGGAAAACCAAUGCAAGCUCAAGACGUAGCAAGAAGGAUUUCUGGCGCCGUUGCCGGGGAGGUCUUCGCUCAAGUCAAGACAUACCAAGUACCCAUCACAAACUCAUCUCCCUCGCAUUUACAUUAUUUGCCAUUUGCCUCUCGUUUUCCUCUCCCCCACUUCACCCUUGCCGUUUUAUUCGCCCUCUCUUUCCCAAUCUUCUUCGCUCUCUUUCGCUUGCCUUUUGUUUGCUCGUUGUCAUGGCUAGUCCCCUAUCUGCUCCUAUGUCUCCCGAGUUUGAAGUUCUUCACUUCAAGCAAAGGCAAGGAGAAAACUUAAAAGAUGCUUGGUAUAGGAUGAUGGAAUCUUAUCGUAAUUGCACCCUAGAGGUGAAUUUUAGAAUCUUGCUUCGCAAUUUUUAUGUUGGGUUAAAUAUGUCCCAUAGACAACUCUUGGAUUGCAUUGCCAAAGGAAAUUUUAUUGAAAUUGACCCAAGUAUUGCGCAUGAGAUUAUAGAGGGAAUAGUGGGAACACUACCUCAAAAAGGGGGAUCACAUCCUACCCAAGAAGAAACACAAGUGUUUGAAAAGAUUUGCGAAGUAACAAAAAUCUUACAAAAGUCUCUUGAACCUCUUAAAAGUGUUAGCGGAAAUCUUCACCGCAUGAAUAUGUUGAUUACUCUUUGCAAUAAGCGGUUGGAUUCUUUAGAUCUAAAAAUUUCCGAGUAUGAAGGGAAGCGUAAAGAACCUCCCGGAUUUGAGCAUGACUCCGCUAAAAAACUGAAAAUUAAGGAUGGCACCACUUAGAUCUAUCCUUGUAUUUAUGCCUAGCUAGGGGCGUUAAACGAUAGCGCUAGUUGGGAGGCAACCCAAUUUUCUUUGUGUUUUUUGUUUUUGUUUCUGUUUAGUAAUAAAUUUAUCAUCUACUUUCUGUUUAGAUGUGUUUUUAUGUUUUAAUUAGUGUUUGUGCCAAGUAGAACCUAUAGGAUUUUCUUGGAUGAUAACUAUUUGAUCUUGCUGAAAAUACCAGAAACUUUCUGUUCACGAAAACAAUUGUUUAAAAUCACCAGAACGUGAUAAAAUACUGAUUCCAAUUGCAGUAGAUCAAUAAACAAAUUAUCUAGGUCGUCCUAUUUUUGUAGAAUUUUUGGAGUUCCAAAAGUUUGCGUUAGUUACAGAUUACUUCAGACUGUUCUGUUUUUGACAGAUUCUGUUUUCCGUGUGUUGUUUGCUUAUUUUGAUGCAUCUAUGGCUAGUAAAAUAGUUUAUAAACCAUAUAGAAGUUGGAAUACAGUAGGUUUAACACCAAUAUAAAUAAAGAAUGAGUUCAUUACAGUACCUUGAAGUGGUGUUUUGUUUUCUUUCGCUAACGGAGCUUACGAGAUUUCUGUUGAGUUUUGUGUUGUGAAGUUUUCAAGUUUUGGGUAAAGAUUUGAUGGACUAUGGAAUAAGGAGUGGCAAGAGACUAAGCUUGGGGAUGCCAAUGGCACCCCAAGAUAUUCAAGAAUAGCCAAAAGCCUAAGCUUGGAGAUGCCCCGGGAAGGCAUGCCCUCUUUCGUCUUCGUUUAUCAGUAACUUUACUUGGAGCUAUAUUUUUAUUCACCACAUGAUAUGUGUUUUGCUUGGAGCGUAUUUUAUGAUAUUAGUCCUUGCUUUUUAGUUUGCCACAAUCAUCCUUGCUGUACACACCUUUUGGGAGAAACCCACAUGAUUAGAAUUUAUUAGAAUACUCUAUGAGCUUCACUUAUAUCUUUUGAGCAAGAUAGUUUUUGCUCUAGUGCUUCACUUAUAUUUUUUAGAGCACGGUGGUGGCUUAAUUUUGUAGAAAUUGUUAGUCUCUCAUGCUUCACUUAUAUUAUUUUGAGAGUCUCUUAGAACAUCAUGGUAUUUUCUAUGGUUAUAAAAUUGGUCCUAGAAUGGUAGGCAUCCAAGUUGGGUAUAAUAAAAACUAUCAUAGAAAGUGAAUUGGAUGCUAUGAUCAAUUUGAUACUUGAUAAUUGUUUUGAGAUAUGGAGGUAGUGAUAUUAAAGUUAUGCUAGUUGGGUGAUUAUGAAUUUAAAGAAUGCUUGUGUUGAAGUUAGCAAGUCCCGUAGCAUGCACGUAUGGUAAAAGUUGUGUAACAAAUUUGAAACAUGAGGUGUUCUUAGAUUGUGCAUCCUUAUGAGUGGCGGUCGGGGAUGAGCGAUGGUCUUUUCCUACCAAUCUAUCCCCCUAGGAGCAUGCGCGUAGUGCUUGGUUUUUCAUGACUUGUAGAUUUUUGCAAUAAGUAUAUGAGUUCUUUUGACUAAUGUUGAGUCCAUGGAUUAUACGCACUUUUACCUUUCCAUCAUUGCUAGCCUCUUCGGUACCGUGCAUUUCGCUUUCUCACCUUGAGAGUUGGUGCAAACUUCGCCGGUGCAUCCAAUCCCCGUGAUACGAUACGCUCUAUCACACAUAAACCUCCUUAUAUCUUCCUCAAAACAGCCACCAUACCUACCUAUUAUGGCAUUUCCAUAGCCAUUACGAGAUAUAUUGCCAUGCAACUUUCCACCGUUCCGUUUAUCAUCAUGACACGUAUCAUCAUUGUCAUAUUGCCUUGCAUGAUCAUGUAGUUGACAUCGUAUUUGUGGCAAAGCCACCAUGCAUAAUUUUUCAUACAUGUCACUCUUGAUUCAUGCCCAUCCCGGUACACCGCCGGAGGCAUUCAUAUAGAGUCAUAUCUUGUUCUAGUUUUUGAGUUGUAAUUCAUGAGUUGUAAAUAAAUAGAAGUGUGAUGAUCAUCAUUAUUAGAGCAUUGUCCCCAAAGAAAAAAAAUGAAAGGCCAAAAAAUAGGGAAAGGCAAAAAAAAGGGGGCAAUGUUACUAUCUUUUUUCCACACUUGUGCUUCAAAGUAGCACCAUGUUCUUCAUAUAGAGUAUCAUAUGUUGUCACUUUCAUAUACUAGUGGGAAUUUUUCAUUAUAGAACUUGGCUUGUAUAUUCCUACGAUGGGCUUCCUCAAAUGCCCUAGGUCUUCGUGAGCAAGCAAGUUGGAUGCACACCCACUUAGUUUCUUUUGUUGAGCUUUCAUACAUUUUUAGCUCUAGUGCAUCCGUUGCAUGGCAAUCCCUACUCCUCAUGUUGACAUAAAUUGAUGGGCAUCUCCAUAGCCCGUUGAUUAUCCUCGUCAAUAUGAGACUUUCUCUCUUUUUUGUCUUCUCCCCACAAUCCCCAUCAUUAUAUUCUAUUCCACCCAUAGUGCUAUAUCCAUGGCUCACGCUCAUGUAUUGCGUGAAGGUUGAAAAAGUUUGAGAUUAUUGAAGUACAAAACAAUUGCUUGGCUUGUCAUCGGGGGUGUACAAGAUGGGAGCAUUUUUGUGUGACGAAAAUGAAGCAUGACCUAACUAUAUGAUUUUGUAGGGAUGAACUUUCUUUAGCCAUGUUAUUUUGAGAAGACAUGAUUACUUUGAUUAGUAUGCUUGAAGUAUUAUUAUUUCUUAUGUCAAUGUGAACUUUUAUUUUGAAUCAUUUGGAUCUGAACAUUCAUGCCACAAUAAAGAAAAUUACAUUGAGAAUUAUGCUAGGUAGCAUUCCACAUCAAAAAUCCUGUUUUUAUCAUUUACCUACUCGAGGACGAGCAGGAAUUAAGCUUGGGGAUGCUUGAUACGUCUCCAACGUAUCUAUAAUUUUUGAUUGUUCCAUGCUAUUAUAUUACUUGUUUUGGAUGUUUAUGGGCUUUACUUUACACAUUUAUAUCAUUUUUGGGACUAACCUACUAAACGGAGGCCCAGCCCGUAUUGCUAAUUUUUUGCCUAUUUCAGUAUUUUGAAGAAAAGGAAUAUCAAACGGAGUCCAAACGGAAUGAAACCUUCGGGAGCGUGAUUUUUGGAACGAACGUGAUCCAGAGGACUUGGAGUGCAUGUCAAGAAGCAAUCGAGGAGGCCACCAGGGUGGAGGGCGCGCCCUUCCCUGGUGGGCGCGCCCCCCUGUCUCAUGGGCCCCUCGGGCGUACACCGACCUACUUCUUCCUCCUAUAUAUAUACCCAUGUACCCCGAAAACAUCAGAGGCGACCACGAAAAACUAUUUCCACCACCGUAACCUUCUGUAUCCGCGAGAUCCCAUCUUGGAGCCUUCGUCGGCGCUCCGCCGGAGGGGGAAUCGACCACGGAGGGCUUCUACAUCAACACCAUAGCCCCUCCGAUGAGUUGUGAGUAGUUUACCACAGACCUUCGGUUCACAGUUAUUAGCUAGAUGUCUUCUUCUCUCUCUUUGAAUCUCAAUACAAAGUUCUCCUCGAUUUUCUUGGAGAUCUAUUCGAUGUAACUCUUUUUGCGGUGUGUUUGUCGAGAUCCGAUGAAUUGUGGGUUUAUGAUCAAGUUUAUCUAUGAGAAAUAUUUGAAUCUCCUCUGAAUUCUUUUAUGUGUGAUUAAGUUAUCUUUGCAAGUCUCUUUGAAUUAUCAGUUUGGUUUGGCCUACUAGAUUGAUCUUUCUUGCAAUGGGAGAAGUGCUUAGCUUUGGGUUCAAUCUUGCGGUGUCCUUUCCCAGUGACAGCAGGGGCAGCAAGGCACGUAUUGUAUUGUUGCCAUCGAGGAUAAAAAGAUGGGGUUUAUACCAUAUUGCAUGAGUUUAUCCCUCUACAUCAUGUCAUCUUUCUUAAUGCGUUACUCUAUUCUUUAUGAACUUAAUACUCUAGAUGCAUGCUGGAUAGCGGUCGAUGUGUGGAGUAAUAGUAGUAGAUGCAGAAUCGUUUCGGUCUACUUGUCACGGACGUGAUGCCUAUAUACAUGAUCAUGCCUAGAUAAUCUCAUAAUUAUUCGCUUUUCUAUCAAUUGCUCGACAGUAAUUUGUUCACCCACCGUAAUACUCAUGCUAUCUUGAGAGAAGCCACUAGUGAAACCUAUGGCCCCGGGGUCUAUCUUUUAUCAUAUAAGUUUGCUAUUUACUUUUAUUCGCAUCUUUACUUUUCCAAUCUAUAUUAUAAAAUACCAAAAAUAUAUUUAUCUUAUCAUAUUAUCUCUAUCAGAUCUCACUUUCGCAAGUGGCCGUGAAGGGAUUGACAACCCCUUUAUUGCGUUGGUUGCGAGUUCUUUGUUUGUUUGUGUAGGUGCGUGGGACUUUUGAGGAGCCUCCUACUGGAUUGAUACCUUGGUUCUCAAAAACUGAGGGAAAUACUUACGCUACUGUGUUGCAUCACCCUUUCCUCUUCAAGGAAAACCAACGCAAGCUCAAGACGUAGUAGACUCCACGGGAUACUGUUCAUCUCCAUCGUCGACCUCCUCCAGCCUCCACGGGCUACUGUUCAUCCACCAUCGACCUCCUCCAGCCUCCACCUGCGACUGUGUAGGGGAACGUAGCAGAAAUUCCAAAUUUUCUAUGCAUCACCAAGAUCAAUCUAUGGAGUAAUCUAGCAACGAGGGGAAGGGGAGUGCAUCUACAUACCGUUGUAGAUCGAGACGCGGAAGCGUUGCAAGAACGCGGAUGAAGGAGUCAUACUCGUAGCGAUUCAGAUCGCGGUUGAUUCCGAUCUAAGCGCCGAACCACGGCGCCUCCGCGUUCAACACACGUGCAGCCCGGUGACGUCUCCCAUGCCUUGAUCCAGCAAGGAGAGAGGGAGAGGUUGGGGAAGAGUCCGUCCAGCAGCAGCACGACGGCGUGGUGGUGGUGGAGGAGCGUGGCACUCCAGCAGGGCUUCGCCAAGCGCUGCGAUAGACGAGGAGGGAGAGGGGUAGGGCUGCGCCAAGAGAGAGGAAUUCUCAUGUGUAUGGCAGCCCCAAAACCCCCACUAUAUAUAGGGGAGGGGGAGGGGCUGCACCCCCAUCUAGGGCUUCCCCCCCAAGGGGUGCGGCCAGCCCUAGAUCCAUCUAGGGGGGCGGCCAAGGGGGGAGAGAGGGGGGCGCACCACUAGGUGGGCCUUAGGCCCAUCUGAGCCUAGGGUUUCCCCCUCCCCCCUUCCUGCGCCCUGGGCCCCUUGUGGGAGGCGCACCAGCCCACCUAGGGGCUGGUCCCUUCCCACACUUGGCCCAUGCAGCCCUCUGGGGCCGGUGGCCCCACCUGGUGGACCCCGGGGACCCUCCCGGUGGUCCCGGUACGUUACCGAUAGCACCCGAAACUUUUCCGGUGACCAAAACAGGACUUCCCAUAUAUAAAUCUUUACCUCCGGACCAUUCCGGAACUCCUCGUGACGUCCGGUAUCUCAUCCGGGACUCCGAACAGCAUUCGGUAACCACGUAUAUCUAUUCCCUAUAACCCUAGCGUCAUCGAACCUUAAGUGUGUAGACCCUACGGGUUCGGGAACCAUGCAGACAUGACCGAGACGUUCUCCGGCCAAUAACCAACAGCGGGAUCUGGAUACCCAUGUUGGCUCCCACAUGUUCCACGAUGAUCUCAUCGGAUGAACCACGAUGUCGGGGAUUCAAUCAAUCCCGUAUACAAUUCCCUUUGUCUAUCGGUAUGUUACUUGCCCGAGAUUCGAUCGUCGGUAUCCCGAUACCUUGUUCAAUCUCAUUACCAGCAAGUCUCUUUACUCGUUCCAUAACACAUCAUCCCGUGAUCAACUCCUUGGUCACAUUGUGCACAUUAUGAUGAUGUCCUACCGAGUGGGCCCAGAGAUACCUCUCCGUUUACACGGAGUGACAAAUCCCAGUCUCGAUUCGUGCCAACCCAACAAACACUUUCGGAGAUACCUGUAGUGCACCUUUAUAGCCACCCAGUUACGUUGUGACGUUUGGUACACCCAAAGCAUUCCUACGGUAUCCGGGAGUUGCACAAUCUCAUGGUCUAAGGAAAUGAUACUUGACAUUAGAAAAGCUCUUAGCAAACGAACUACACGAUCUUGUGCUAGGCUUAGGAUUGGGUCUUGUCCAUCACAUCAUUCUCCUAAUGAUGUGAUCCCGUUAUCAACGGCAUCCAAUGUCCAUGGUCAGGAAACCGUAACCAUCUAUUGAUCAACGAGCUAGUCAACUAGAGGCUUACUAGGGUCAUGGUGUUGUCUAUGUAUCCACACAUGUAUCUGAGUUUCCUAUCAAUACAAUUCUAGCAUGGAUAAUAAACGAUUAUCAUGAACAAGGAAAUAUAAUAAUAACCAAUUUAUUAUUGCCUCUAGGGCAUAUUUCCAAUAGUCUCCCACUUGCACUAGAGUCAAUAAUCUAGUUCACAUCACCAUGUGAUUAACACUCACAGGUCACAUCACCAUGUGACCAACAUCUAAAGAGUUUACUAGAGUCAACAAUCUAGUUCACAUCACUAUGUGAUUAACACUCAAUGAGUUCUGGUUUGAUCAUGUUAUGCUUGUGAGAGAGGUUAUUAGUCAAUGGGUCUGAACCUUUCAGAUCCGUGUGUGCUUUACGAAUAUCUAUGUCAUCUUUUGGAUGCUACCACGCGCUACUUGGAGCCAUUUCAAAUAACUGCUCUACUAUACGAAUCCGGUUUACUACUCAGAGUCAUCCGGAUUAGUGUCAAAGUUCGCAUCGACGUAACCCUUUACGACGAACUCCUUUUCACCUCCAUAAUCGAGAAAAUUCCUUAGUCCACUAGAUACUAAGGACAAGUUCGACCGCUGUCAUGUGAUCCAUUCCCGGAUCACUAUUGUACCCCUUGACCAACUCAUGGCAAGGCACACUUCAUGUGCGGUACACAGCAUAGCAUACUGUAGAGCCUACGUCUAAAGCAUAGGGGACGACCUUUGUCCUUUCUCUCUCUUCUGCUGUGGUCAGGUCUUGAGUCUUACUCAAUACUCACACCUUGUAACACAGCCAAGAACUCCUUCUUUGCUGAUCUAUUUUGAACUCUUUCAAAAUCAUGUCAAGGUGUGCGUCCUUUGAAAGUAUCAUCAGGCGUCUUGAUCUAUCUCCAUAGAUCUUGAUGCCCAAUAUGUAAGCAGCUUUAUCCAGGUCUUCCUUUGAAAAACUCCUUUCAAACAACCCUUUAUGCUUUCCAGAAAUUUUACAUCAUUUCGGAUCAACAAUAUGUCAUUCACAUAUACUUAUCAGAAAUGUUGUAGCGCUCCCACUCACUUUAUUGUAAAUACAAGUUUCUAACAAACUUUGUAUAAACCCAAAAACUUUGAUCACUCCAUCAAAGCGUAUAUUCUGACUCCGAGAUGCUUGCUCUAGUCCAUGGAAGGAUCGCUGGAGCUAGCAUACCUUUUAGCAUCCUUAGGAUCGACAAAACCUUUCUGAUUGUAUCACAUACAACCUUUCCUUACGAAAACUGGUAAGGAAACUUGUUUUGACAUCCAUCUGCCAGAUUUCACAAAUGCAGCUAAUGCUAACAUGAUUCCGACGGACUUAAGCAUCGCUACGGAUGAGAAAACCUCAUCGUAGUCAACUCCUUGAACUUGUGAAAAUACUCUUUGCCACAAGUCGAGCUUCAUAGACGGUAACAUUACCGUCCAUGUCCGUCUUCUUCUUAAAGAUCCAUUUAUCUCAAUGGCUUGCCGAUCAUCGGGCAAGUUCACCAAAGUCCAUGCUUUGUGCUGAUACAUGGAUCCUAUCUCGGAUUUCAUGGCUUCUAACCAUUUGUCGGAAUAUGGGCCCACCAUCGCUUCUCCAUAGCUCGUAGGUUCAUUGUUGUCUAGCAACAUGACUUCCAAGACAGGAUUACGUACCACUCUGAAGUAGUACGCAUCCUCGUCGUCCUACGAGGUUUGGUAGUGACUUGAUCCGAAGUUUCAUGAUCACUAUCAUAAGCUUCCACUUCAAUUGGUGUAGGUGCCACAGGAACAACUUCUUGUGUCCUGCUACACACUAGUUGAAGUUAUGGUUCAAUAACCUCAUCAAGUCUCCACCAUCCUCCCACUCAAUUCUUUCGAGAGAAACUUUUCCUCGAGAAAGGACUCAUUUCUAGAAGCAAUUACUUUUGCUUCCAGAUCUGAAAUAGGAGGUAUACCCAACUGUUUUGGGUGUUCUAUGAAGAUGCAUUUAUCCGCUUUGGGUUCGAGCUUAUCAGCCUGAAACUUUUUCACAUAAGCAUCGCAGCCCCAAACUUUUAAGAAACGACAACUUAGGUUUCUCUAAACGGUGUCGUCUCAACGGAAUUGCGUGGUGCCCCUUUUAAAGUGAAUGCGGUUAUCUCUAAUGCCUAACCCAUAAACGAUAGUGGUAAUUUGAUAAGAGACAUCAUGGUAUGCACCAUAUCCGUAGGGUGCAGUUAUGAUGUUCGGACACACCAUCACACUGUGGUGUUCCAGGUGGUAUUAAUUGUGAAACACUUUCCACAAUGUCUUAAUUGUGUGCCAAACUCGUAACUCAGAUACUCAUCUCUAUGAUCAUAUCACAGACAUUUUAUCCUCUUGUCACGACGAUCUUCAACUUCACUCUGAAAUUACUUGAACCUUUCAAUAAUUCAGACCUGUGUUUCAUCAAGUAAAUACACUCAGCAUCUACUCAAAUCAUCUGUGAAAUAAGAACAUAACGAUAUCCACUGCAUGCCUCAGCACUCAUUGGACUGCAUACAUCAAAAUGUAUUACUUCCAACAAGUUGCUCUCUUGUUCCAUCUUACUGAAAAUGAGGCCUUUCAGUCAUCUUGCCCAUGUGGUAUGAUUUGCAUGUCUCAAGUGAUUCAAAGUCAAGUGAGUCCAAACGAUCCAUCUGCAUGGAGUUUCUUCAUGCAUAUAUACCAAUAGACAUGGUUCGCAUGUCUCAAUCUUUUCAAAAAUGAGUGAGUCCAAAGAUCCAUCUACAUGGAGCUUCUUCAUGCGUUCUAUACCGAUAUGACUCAAAUGGCAGUGCCACAAGUAUGUGGUACUAUCAUUACUAUUUUAUAUCUUUUGGCAUGAACAUGUGUAUCACUGCGAUCGAGAUUCAUUUUAGGUGCAAGACCAUUGAAGGUAUUAUUCAAAUAAACAGAGUAACUAUUAUUUUCCUUAAAUGAAUAACCGUAUUGCGAUAAACAUAAUCCAAUCAUGUUUAUGGUCAACGCAAACACCAAAUAACAAUUAUUUAGGUUUAACACCAAUCUCGAUGGUAGAGGGAGCAUGCGAUGCUUGAUCACAUCAACCUUGGAAACACUUCCAACACAUAUCGUCAUCUCACCUUUAGCUAGUCUCCGUUUAUUUCGCAGCUUUUAUUUCGAGCUACUAACACUUAGCAACUGAACUGGUAUCUAAUACCCUGGUGCUGCUAGGAGUACUAGUAAAGUACACAUUCAUAUAAUGUAUAUCCAAUAUACUUCUGUCGACCUUGCCUGCCUUCUCAUCUGCCAAGCAUCUAGGGUAGUUCUGCUUCAGUGACCGUUCCCCUCAUUACAGGAGCACUUAGUCUCGGGUUUGGGUUUAACCUUGGGAUUCUUCACUAGAACAGCAAAUGAUUUGUGUUUCAUGAAGUGUCCCUUUUGCCCUUGCCCUUCUUGAAACUAGUGGUUUUAUUAACCAUCAACUUUCGCGGUGUCAAACAUCGCGAAUAGCUCAAGGAUCAUCAUAUCUAUCCCUGAUAUGUUAUAGUUCAUCACGAAGCUCUAAUAGCUUGGUGGCAGUGACUAUGGAGAACCAUCACUAUCUCAUCUGGAAGAUUAACUCCCACCCGAUUCAAGCGAUUGUGGCACUCAGACAAUCUGAGCACAUGCUCAACGAUUGAGCUUUUCUCCCUUAGUCUGCAGGCUUAAGAAACUUGUCAGAGGUCUCAUACCUCUUGACGUGGGCACUAGUCUGAAAUCCCAAUUUCAGUCUUCGGAACAUCUCAUAUGUUCUACGACGUUUCAAAAACGUCUUUGGUGCCACAAUUCUAAACCGUUAGCAUUACGCACCGAACUAUCACGUAGUCAUCAAAACGUGUAUGUCAGAUGUUUCGCAACAUCUACAGAUGACGCUGAGGUUCAGCACACCGAGCGGUGCAUUAAGGACAUAAGCCUUCUGUGCAGCAAUGAGGACAAUCCUCAGUUUACAGACCCAGUCCGCAUAAUUGCUACUACCAACUUUCAACUAAAUUUUCUCUAGGAACAUAUCUUAAACAGUAGAACUAAAGCGCAAGCUAUGACAUAAUUUGCAAAGACCUUUUGACUAUGUUCAUGAUAAUUAAGUUCAUCUGAUUAUUUAAUGAACUCCCACUCAGAUGGACAUCCCUCUAGUCAUCUAAGUGAUACAUGAUCCGAGUCAAACUAGGCCGUGUCCGAUCAUCACGUGAGACGGACUAGUCAUCAUCGGUGAACAUCUCCAUGUUGAUCGUAUCUACUAUACGACUCAUGUUCGACCUUUCGGUCUCUUGUGUUCCGAGGCCAUGUCUGUACAUGCUAGGCUCGUCAAGUCAACCUAAGUGUUUCGCAUGUGUUCCGAGGCCAUGUCUGUACAUGCUAGGCUCGUCAACACCCGUUGUAUUCGAACGUUAGAAUCUAUCACACCCGAUCAUCACGUGGUGCUUCGAAACAACGAACCUUCGCAACGGUGCACAGUUAGGGGGAACACGUCUCUUGAAAUUUUAGUGAGGGAUCAUCUUAUUUAUGCUACCGUCGUUCUAAGCAAAUAAGAUGUAAACAUGACAAACAUCACAUGCAAAUCAUAAGGUGACAUGAUAUGGCCAAUAUCAUCUUGCGCCUUUUGAUCUCCAUCUUCGAGGCGCGGCAUGAUCACCUUCGUCACCGGCAUGACACCAUGAUCUCCAUCAUCGUGUCUUCAUGAAGUUGUCUCGCCAACUAUUACUUCUACUACUAUGGCUAACGGUUAGCAAUAAAGUAAAGUAAUUACAUGGCGUUUUUCAUUGACACGCAGGUCAUAUAAUAAAUUAAGACAACUCCUAUGGCUCCUGCCGGUUGUCAUACUCAUCGACAUGCAAGUCGUGAUUCCUAUUACAAGAACAUGAUCAAUCUCAUACAUCACAUAUAUCAUUCAUCACAUCCUUUUGACCAUAUCACAUCACAUAGCAUACCCUGCAAAAACAAGUUAGACGUCCUCUAAUUGUUGUUGCAUGUUUUACGUGGCUGCUAUGGGUUUCUAGCAAGAACGUUUCUUACCUACGCAAAAGCCACAACGUGAUAUGCCAAUUUCUAUUUACCCUUCAUAAGGACCCUUUUCAUCGAAUCAGAUCCGACUAAAGUGGGAGAGACAGACACCCGCUAGCCACCUUAUGCAACUAGUGCAUGUCAGUCGGUGGAACCUGUCUCACGUAAGUGUACGUGUAAGGUCGGUCCGGGCCGCUUCAUCCCACGAUGCCGCCGAAUCAAGAUAAGACUAGUAACGGCAAGUAAAUUGACAAAAUCGACGCCCACAACUACUUUGUGUUCUACUCGUGCAUAGAAACUACACAUAGACCUAGCUCUGAUACCACUUUAGGGGAACGUAGCAAAAAUUCAAAAUUUUCUACGCAUCACCAAGAUCAAUCUAUGGAGUAAUCUAGCAACGAGGGGAAGGGGAGUGCAUCUACAUACCAUUGUAUAUCGUGAUGCGGAAGCGUUGCAAGAACGCGGACGAAGGAUUCGUACUCGUAGCGAUUCAGAUCACGAUUGAUUCCGAUCUAAGCGCCGAACCACGGCGCCUCCGCGUUCAACACACGUGCAGCCCGGUGACGUCUCCCACGCCUUGAUCCAGCAAGGAGAGAGGGAGAGGUUGGGGAAGAGUCCGUCCAGCAGCAGCACGACGGCGUGGUGGUGGUGGAGGAGCAUGGCACUCCAGCAGGGCUUCGCCAAGCGCUGCGAGAGACGAGGAGGGAGAGGGGUAGGGCUGCGCCAAGAGAGAGGAAUUCUCAUGUGUAUGGCAGCCCCAAAACCCCCACUAUAUAUAGGGGAGGGGGAGGGGCUGCACCCCCAUCUAGGGUUUCCCCCCCCCCCAAGGGGUGCGGCCAGCCCUAGAUCCAUCUAGGGGGCGGCCAAGGGGGGAGAGAGGGGGGGUGCACCACUAGGUGGGCCUUAGGCCCAUCUGAGCCUAGGGUUUCCCCCUUCCCACCCCCCCUUCCUACGCCCUGGGCCCCUUGUGGGAGGCGCACCAGCCCACCUAGGGGCUGGUCCCUUCCCACACUUGGCCCACGCAGCCCUCUGGGGCCGGUGGCCCCACCUGGUGGACUCCCGGGACCCUCCCGGUGGUCCCGGUACGUUACCGAUAGCACCUGAAACUUUUCCGGUGACCAAAACAGGACUUCCCGUAUAUAAAUCUUUACCUCCGGACCAUUCCGGAACUCCUCGUGAUGUCCGGGAUCUCAUCCGGGACUCCGAACAGCAUUCGGUAACCACGUAUAUCUAUUCCCUAUAACCCUAGCGUCAUCGAACCUUAAGUGUGUAGACCCUACGGGUUCGGGAACCAUGCAGACAUGACCGAGACGUUCUCCGGCCAAUAACCAACAGCGGGAUCUGGAUACCCAUGUUGGCUCCCACAUGUUCCACGAUGAUCUCAUCGGAUGAACCACGAUGUCGGGGAUUCAAUCAAUCCCGUAUACAAUUCCCUUUGUCUAUCGGUAUGUUACUUGCCCGAGAUUCGAUCGUCGGUAUCCCGAUACCUUGUUCAAUCUCGUUACCAGCAAGUCUCUUUACUCGUUCCGUAACACAUCAUCCCAUGAUCAACUCCUUGGUCACAUUGUGCACAUUAUGAUGAUGUCCUACCGAGUGGGCCCAGAGAUACCUCUCCGUUUACAUGGAGUGACAAAUCCCAGUCUCGAUUCGUGCCAACCCAACAGACACUUUCGGAGAUACCUGUAGUGCACCUUUAUAGCCACCCAGUUACGUUGUGACGUUUGGUACACCCAAAGCAUUCCUACGGUAUCCGGGAGUUGCACAAUCUCAUGGUCUAAGGAAAUGAUACCUGACAUUAGAAAAGCUCUUAGCAAACGAACUACACGAUCUUGUGCUAGGCUUAGGAUUGGGUCUUGUCCAUCACAUCAUUCUCCUAAUGAUGUGAUCCCGUUAUCAACGACAUCCAAUGUCCAUGGUCAGGAAACCGUAACCAUCUAUUGAUCAACGAGCUAGUCAACUAGAGGCUUACUAGGGACAUGGUGUUGUCUAUGUAUCCACACAUGUAUCUGAGUUUCCUAUCAAUACAAUUCUAGCAUGGAUAAUAAACGAUUAUCAUGAACAAGGAAAUAUAAUAAUAACCAAUUUAUUAUUGCCUCUAGGGCAUAUUUCCAACAGACUGUUCAUCCAUAGGCUCUUGUUCAUCCAGCCUCCACCGCGCGCUCCUCCAUCGGCUACUGUUCAACCAGCCCUCUCCACGGGGUCCCGUUAAACCACCCCUCCACGGGCUACUGUUCGUCCGGCCCUCCACCGACUACUGUUCAACCAGCCCUCCACGGGGUCGUCCUAUUCAUCCAGCCCUCCACGGGGUCUUGUUCAUCCACCCCAACCGGCUCGAUCGGGGUCCUGUUCAUCCAGAGGCAACACCACGGGGUCCUGUUCAUCCACCCCCACCGAGAAUUGUUCAUCCAAACCCCCCCCCAACAACGCUCAUUGUUCAUCAAGGGAAGGAGGCAGCAGGGUUCGAUCGGCUUCAGUUAGCAGCAGUAGCGAAGGAAUCACUCGGUUUCAGUAACGUAGUUAGUGCAAUCGCUCGGGUUCGGUUAUAGCCCAACGCCUCGCUCGGGUUCAGUUAGAGCCCAACGCCUCGCACACACGCGCUUAUGUGUACGAGAGAAAUGCGCAUCGCUCGGCCCCCGACCACCCACCGUAACCGGGAACUCCCGAAAUUUUCCUCGCCUCGCUUCUACCACGGUUUUUUCCAUCAUGGACGGCCCAAAGAAUGUCAUGCAGCUACGUCUCCGGCCCGCCCAGGAUGAAAAGCCCAUUUUCUAUCAUGAUUUUUUGUCAUAGAAGUAGGAGCCGACCACAUCUAUGAUGAUACCUGGUUUUGUCACAAUUAUCGUCAUAUAAGUGUCAUAAGCAUGACAGAAAAAAAAUUCGUUCGGCCCAAAAUGUCACGGAUGUGUCUUUUCUUGUAGUGCAACUUCCUGGCAUAACGAGAGUCUAUACGAACCUUAACACCAAUAUCUUAUUAAACACGAUCAUCCACUAGUACCUCCCACAUAUUAUCAUCUCUAUAUCACAAAACUAUUGCAAGGAAUCAAACAUAUCAUAUUCAGUGAUCCACAAGUUUUAUGUAGGAUUUUUAUGACUAACCUUCAAUUGACCAAUUCCAUUUGUCUCUCUAAAUAGAUAAAAGUGAAGCAUGAGAGUUUAAUCCUUUCUACAAAAUAUCAUGAUCUAAUAAAAAUAAGUGAGGCAAAAGAGCAUUCUACAAAUAACGGGUUUUUAUGUGAAGAGAAACAGGCAAUCCAAACUUCAAAUGAUAUAAGUGAAGCACAUGAAGCAUUCUAGAUAUAAGUGAAGUGCAAUGAGCAUUCUAUAAAUCAACCAUGGACUAUCUCAUACCAGCAUGGUGCAUAAAAGAAAAAAAUGAAAGCUAAACAUAAAAGACGCUCCAAGAUUUGCACAUAUCACAUGAACGAAACGAAGACGAAAACAUAUCGAUACUUGUUGAAGAAAGAUGGGAUGCCUUCCGGGGCAUCCCCAAGCUUAGACGCUUGAGUAUCCUUGAAUAUUCACUUGGGGUGCCUUGGGCAUCCCCAAGCUUGAGCUCUUGCCUCUCCUCCUUCUCCUCAUAUCGAGACCUCCUCGAUCUUUGAUCACUUCAUCCACACAAAACUCAACAAAAACUAGGUAAGAUUCAUUAGUAUAAUAAAGAAAAUCACUACUCUAAGUAUUGUUGCAAACCAACUCAUAUUUUGUUUUUGCAUUGUAGCUAUUGUAAUAUAACUUCUCCAUGGCUUAUACCAUCGAUAAAACUCGAUAUUCAUCAAAACAAGCAAAACAAUGCAUCAAAAACAGAAUCUGUCUUAAACAGGACAGUCUGUAGCAAUCUGAACAUCUACCAUACUUCUGGUACUCCAAAAAUUCUGAAAAUUAGGCCAAAAUAAACAAAUUGUAUAGAAUGACUUUGCAAAAAGUUUCAGAAACGUUUGACGUUCCAGUAAAAAAUGAAAAUUCACGCGCUACAGUCAAAGUUUUUGUGAAGUUUCUGUAAUUAAGAUUCACACAUACCAACAAGCAAUCUAAUCAUCCUAAUGGCAAAUCUUGGCACAAUAGUUUUACAAUAAAAAGGAUUUGUACAAGGGGAUAGUUAUUUUUGUUGAAAAGUUUCUGUAAUUAAGAUUCACAAAGUUUCCAUGGGCAUGAACAAAGUUCAAGGCUAGCUCCCACUUUCACAAUGCUCGUCCCUCUCACUUUCACUUUUCUUUUUGUGAAGUUUAAGUUCCCCUCUAUAUUUUUUUGUUUUUAAACUUUAUAAAAGCACUCAACAGAAAUAAAUGACCCUCUAAAACUUCUGGGUUGUCUCCCUGGCAGCGCUUUCUUUAAAGCCAUUAAGCUAGGCAUAAAGUGCUCAAGUAAUGGAUCCACCUGGGUCCCAAGGUAUACUAAAGCCAAUGUUAAUUAGUAAUGAUUUGGCAUUUAUUAGUGAGCACAAAGCAACAUAUAUCAAGCAAUGACGAAGUCUAACUCUCUUCCUAUGCAUCGGCAUGUCAUAUAAGAACAAUUCAUGCACAUCAAGUAAAGGCCAAUACAUAGCAUAAGCAGUUUCUUGCAAUUUUAUCGUGUUGGAAACAUAAAGAGGUGGAGAUGUAGUUCCUCUCUCAUAAUAAUUGCAAGUAGGAGCAGAAAGCACAUGCAUAUUAUAUUCAUCAAAAUUAUCAUGUGCAACGGUAAAAGGCAACCCAUCAAUAUAAUCCUUAAUAAGAACAAACUUCUUCGAUAUAUUGUAGUUUGGAGAAUUCAAAAAGAUAGUAGGACUAUCAUGUGUGGGUGCAAUAGCAACAAUUUCAUUCUUAAUAUAAGGAACCAUAGCAAUUUCAUAUCCAUAAGCAUAAUUCAUAUUGGCAUCUUGGCCACAAGCAUCAAGUUCGUCAAAAAGGGAUAUCUAUAAGCAUGAAGGGAAAUUAAAUAAUGUAUGAGUUGAAGAGUUACUCUCAUUAGAAGGUGGGCACGGGUAGCUAAUCCGCUCUUCCUCCUUUUGUUCUUCGCUCUCCUCAUCAUCUCUUUCAUCCAAUGAGCACACAGUUAAAUCAAUUUCUUCUUCCAUAGACUCCUGCAAAAUGUUAGUCUCUUCUUGGACAGCGGAGAAGUCCUCAAUAUAUGGUUCAAUAUAAGCAUUAGAAGAAUAAUUUUCAUAGCAAUAUUUAAGUAUGGCAAAAUUUUCAGAUUUGUAAAGAGUAGCAUCAUACUUUUCAAUCAAAGAAGCAACUUCAUAGGCACCCUUAAAAGCAACAAAUUCUUCAAUUUGUUCAAUAUCAAAGUAAUUAUAAACUCCCUUGGCAUAAGAAGAUAAGAUUCCAUUAUCCUUAAACUCACAUUGAAAGAAAAGGUGUUUCUUAGAGUCUUCGGAACAACAAGUAAAAUCAUGUAUUUCACAUAAAUUUAAAGCAUAGCAAUACAAACUAUUAAUAUUAUGCCACAAAAGUUUCCCUUUUUGAGAUAAGAGGUGUCGCACAAAAUAAGCAUGCUCGUUUGAUGAUUUUCCCUCAACUAAGCUAGUUGGGUUUUCAGCACGAGCACAACUGGAUCAAAGAUGAUCUAAAUAGAAAGCUUAGGUAGUAUGAUAGAUUUUGGGUGGUUCUUGAUAACCCACAAGUAUACGGGGUCAGUUGUAGCCUUCUUUUAUAAAUAAGAGUGUCGACCCCAACGAGGAGCUAAAGGUAGAACAAAUAUUCCCUCAAGUUCUAUCGACCACUGAUACAAAUCUAUGCACACUUAACAUUUUCUUUACCUAGAACAAGUAUGAAACUAUUUCGCAAGAAUAAAACUAUGAGUACUUUGCGAGAAUAAAACUACGAAUGAAUUGCAAGGUAUAAAAGUGGAUAGCUUUUGUCAACAAGAAAGUCAUUUGUCCCUAGGCAAUCGAUAACAAGUACCGGUAAUCAUUCUUGCAAUUUUAUAUGAGGGAGACGCAUGAGCUAACAUACUUUGUCUACUUGGAUCAUAUGCACUUAUGAUUGGACCCCUAGCAAGCAUCCGCAACUACUAAAGAUCAUUAAGGUUGUGAAACCCAACCAUAGCAUUAAGUACCAAGUCCUAUUUAUCCCAUACGCAACAACUCACCUACUCGGGUUUAAGCUUCUGUCACUCUCGCAACCCAUCAUAAGCGAAUCAUGAACGUAUUGCAACACCCUACAGCGGUGAUCCCUCAUGUUUGCGCGAGACGGAGGGCACCGUAGGACAGCACCAUAAAUAAAAUAUACAAUCAUACCAACCAAGAUCACGAUUAACCCAUAGGACAAAACAGAUCUACUCAAAUAUCAUAGGAUAGCCAAAUAUCAUUGGGAAAUAAUAUAUGGAGUUGAGCACCAUGUUUAAGUAGAGAUUACAGCGGGGAGAAGAGGUGUUACACCGCUGCAUAGAGGGGGAGAAAGUUGGUGUUGACGGUAGCAAGAUUGGUGAUGUAGAUCGUUGUCACGAUCCUUGCCCCGGCGACACUCCGGCGCCACCGGGAUAGAGGGGAGAGAGCCCCCUCCUCCUUCUUCUUCUUCCUUGCCCCCCCCCCCUAGAUGGGAGGAGAGUUCCCCCUCUGGUCCAUGGCCUCCAUGGUGGCGGAGGGGCGGGAGCCCCUCCGAGAUUGGAUCUCCCUCUCUGUUCUCUUAUGUUUCGCGUUCCCUAGAUCUGGCCCUUCACGGUUUCUUAAAUUUCCGGAGAUUUGUAACUCCGAUUGCGCUGAAAUUUUUACACGAUUUUUUCUCCAUAAAUUAUCUUUCUUGGGCCCGAAGAAGGGCCCCAACCGAUGUCCGAGGAGAGCAUAAGACACCUGGGCGCGCCUGGGCCCCUAGGCGCGCCCUGGUGGGUUGUGGUCACUGUGGGCCCCCUCUUCUGAUGAUUCCAACUCCCAAAAAUCACAAAUAUUCCAAAAUAAUUCUCUGUAAAAUUUUAUUGCAUUUGGACUUCGUUUGAUAUGGAUUUUCUGCGAAACAAAAACAUGCAACAAACAGGAACUGGCAUUGAGCAUUGGAUCAAUAGGUUAGUCCAACAAAUCAUAUAAAAAUUUGCCAAAAAUAUGUGAAAGUUGUAUAAUAUUGGCAUGAAACAAUUAAAAAUUAUAGAUACGACGGAGACGUAUCAUGGCGCGCCGGCGGCGACCUUCCAAAUGGCUGCGCGCCACGGACAUGGUCGGAAAACAGCCACCGGGGGCCGUUUGAACCGCCGCGAGCUGCAGCAGCAGCAGUGCGGGGGCUGGCCGGAGUGGCACCGGCGACGAGCGUAGGCGGCGGUUGGCUUCGGGGCUCGUGGGGGACUGCGCCCCGGGCCACCAUUCGGAUGACCGCGACUACCUACGAGAUGCAUGGGCUUGUGCGCGUCCAACGGAGCAAGCAGCGGAGGCGGAGGCGACCUACAUCGACGGCAGCGGCGACUGGGGAGUUCGGUGAAACUCGGGUCCAGCGCUACGGAGCACGGUUGGACGUGCGGGUGUGUGUGUUUGGUCGCUGCGAACAUGCUGAGCAUGCCAGCGAGCACACACACAAGCUACGGGGGCUCUGUCCACGGUGGCGACAAAGAACGGCGGCAACGAGCUCGGCCAUGAUGGCGGCCGCAGCUAGAAGCACGAGAACGUGGCACGAGGAGAGGGGAGAUGCGAAUGCUCACCGUGGUCCUGCAGAUGUGCCUAAAUGGGCUCGGGGGAGGCAUGGCGGCACGGCGAUCUCCGGCACCCGGUGACGGAGACGAAGGAGAGGGCGACGCUGUGGGGCGUCCCGGCUCGAUCUAGCCGACCGCGGCGACGCUUCAAGGCAAGCUGGUGAGACGAGGGGUGGCCGAUGGCCGCGGUGGCGCGAGGUAGAUGGUGGCGAAUGCGUCGGGCGAGGAGAGGGAAGGGGAUCCGGGGCAGAGGAAGGGAGGACGAAAGGGCGAGGGGAGCAAGCGGGGUGAGUGGGAGGGUGUCUAGGGUUACGGUUGGUCGGGGCAGCCUUAUCCUCCUCGUCGCUCGCCGGCGAGGUGGUGUGGCGGGGCGCGCUCGGGCAGGAACCCGGUCGGAGGAACAUGAGGGGAGGGAGACGACCUAGGGAAGGCAGGCUGGCACUACAAAAAAAUACACUUCCGUGAUGAUACCUGUUUGUCACAGUAGGUCGCGUUUUUUGUCCUGCAUGUACAUCCAUGACGAUUUUAUGACAGAAUCAAGAUAGUCAUACCUGUGCUGUCAUAGAAGUGUUCCAUGACAUUACCAAAAUUAUCAUCACGGAAGUGUCCACUUCCAUGACGAUAAAUCGCGCAUCACAGAAGUGCUUUCGUCAAGGGUGACCGACACGUGGCAUCCACCGUAACGGAACGCCGUUAAGCUAUCGGGUCCGGUUUUGGAUCCGAUAACCCGUUAACAGCCCGAACCAAUGGGGAUUUUCCACGUGUAAAAUCAUCAUUGGCCGAAGGAAACACGUGUUGCCUCACCGUUGGGACAGAUGUCAUCCACUCAUUGGACAGGAGGCGCCUAUGAUAGGUCGACACGUGGCACAACCCAACAGUGGCCCAUUCCGGUGAAAAAGGCCGGCCCAGUAAAAAUUAGCAGGCUGGCCCAUAUAAGGCCUACUUGUGUCAGGUCCAUUUAAGCCCACGGCCCAUACGAGAUGUGCCAAUUCGGCCCGUCAACGGCCCGUUAAAGAUUUGACACCAUUGCAGCCCAUCGUCAGUUGGAGCCCGUUAACAGCCCGCUAUAUAUUUGGGCUCAAUAUCGGCCCGAUGAGAUUUCGGCCUGUUAACGGCCCAUUCAAUGGAUGGGCCAAUUUUCAGGAUGUACAUCUUUCGGCCUUUUAGCAACCCAUUUAAAUGUUGGGCUAAUUUACGGCCCAGUGUGUCUUUCAGCCUGUUGACGGCCCAUAAAUCUGAUGGGCCAUUUGUAGUCGGACCAGAGUUUCGGCCUUUUAGCGGCCCAUUUAAGUGUUGGGCCAAUUUACGGCCCGGUGUCACUUUCAGCCUGUUGACAGCCCAUAAAUCAGUUGGGCCAUUUGUAGUCGGACCUGAGUUUUGGCCUUUUAGCGACCCAUUUAAGUGUUGGGCCAAUUCCCGGCCCUGUGUGCCUUUCGGCCUGUUAACGGACCAUAAAUGAGUUGGGCCAUUUGUAGUCGGACCUUAGUUUUGGCCUUUUAAUGGCCCAUGCCCUUCAUGGUCCAAUACCAGCCCGGUUUCUCUUUCGGCCUGCUAAAGGCCCACAACACAGUUGGGCCAUUUACAAUACGACCUGACUUUCGGCCUCUUAGCGGCCCAUGCUCUUCAUGGUCCAGUACAAGCCCGCUGUCUCUUUCGGCCUGCUAAAGGCCUACAGUAUAGUUGGUCCAUAUGUAGCCCAAACUUAGUAACGGCCUAUUAACGGCCCGUGAAAUAAAUUGGGCCCACCUGUUGCCCACUUCAAUGUCGGCCUGUAACGACCCGGGAGGUAAGAGGGCCAACCAUUAACUCCCGGCCUAGUAACGGCCCAUUAACUUAAUGGGCCCACUAAAGUUCGUACAUGUCUUUAGGCCAAAUUAGAUAAUUUGAGCCCAUUACGACGAGCAAUUAUGCACAGGACCAAAACCGAUCAAGCAAAGGUACGGCAUACAGGGAAUAACGUUGCACAUCCAGCAUAUAUUACAGGAAAUUAAAUCCACUGGGCAAUCAAAGAUUGAUGCCAGUGCAAAUAAAUGAGCAGAACCUAACCAUCUACAACGUCACAAUCUGCAACCUCAGCACAGAUGACGCCCAUAAGCAUGUGGGCAAGUUCUUGCUGCUUUGCUACACUGUCUCUGAAAACAUUGAUCAGUUGUUGUGUCGCACGACUCUGCACCUCUGAUUCAUCCACCAUUUCCAUCAUUGCUUCAGCCAUUAAUUGGUUCAUAAACAUACAUUUAUUCCGUUGCAUUCGAGACAGAGGAUACUGAACAGAUUCAGAUGGCGAUUUUGGCAGGCUUGUAUUAUUGAUAGUGGAGAGUGUCUCGACCACUGCAUCAUAACAUAAAUUAGGACGGGAACCAAACAGAUUAAUCAUGAGUUAUUGCCAUAUUACCUGGCCUAGAUUUACUGGAAAGAAACAAUGGGGGUUGCCUUGCUGUUUUUAGAGUUUGUCUUCUUAUCUUCAGCAGCCUGCACAAAAUUAACACACUAGCAUUGCUAUCAUUGGCCAAGUUAGAUAAUAGGAAAGCAACAUUGACACAACGAACGUUUGGGCAACUAGCCUACACCAAAUUAACACAAUAUGGCACAACUAUCAUCAGCCAGGUAAGGUAAUACAAAAGCAACAUUGACACAAUGAAUGAAUGGGCAACCAGAGAAGCACUACAAUUCAGUAAUGUGCGUGAUAUGAGAUUGUACAUUCAUGCAGCUCAGUAUGCAAAACUACCAGGCAGUUUUCCUUACAAAAAUCAACAUUGGCGCCUUUAACAUUUUGCUACAACUAAUUUUAGAUCAGAUAAAGGUUAGAUUCACGCCGAUUAACAAAAUACAUGCUGAUGUAAAAAUAUAGUGAUAUACAACAGGUACUUACAUCAGCAUUGGAGCACAGAGAAUUCCCGCAAGAUAUUUUCCUCGAAUACGAUCCCAAUGGAGGAAGUCUUCUAUCGUUUAACCUUAUUUUCUAAAAGAGAGAUGGGUAAGAAACAUGUAGAAAAUAUGAUCAGAAUGCUAUAAAAUUUCAUGAUGCGAGGAUACGCACAUGCUUCUUAGAAUGGAGUUGACAUUCUUUUGCUGGACUGGAGCGGACUAGUUCUUUGGCCACUGGAAUCUGCUUAUUAUCCGUGGGAGUUGGGUUUCUCUGUGCUGGAGAAGUAUCUAUGAAAAAUGGAGUUGGUUUAUUAUCUCCUGGCGUUUGGAUCUUUUGCAAAGACCUGGUUUCUAACCCUUCAGAUUCUAACAUAGCCGUCUUCCCCUUGCAUGCCUUAUAUAGAAGAAUGGUGAUUCAGUUAUAAAACAUGCUACAGCAGAGAUGGAAUAGGUACUGAAGAAUAGAAAGGCAUGACAUAUUGACAUGUAUUCCCUCCAUCCAGAAAUAAAUGGAUGGGUCUAGCCGUAUUUCAGUUCUAGAUACAUCCAGUUUUAUCCAUUUCUGCGACAUGUAAUCCGGACGGAGGGAGUAUGAUGUAAGAGCUAGGGAUACGACAGGACAACACAGUAAAAAAACACUGAAAAACCCACUGUAGAACCAAAGUAUUCAAACCCACUGAUAUGAGAUAGUACACUCAUGCAGCUCAGGAUGCAAAACUACCAGGCAGUUUUCCUUACAAAAAUCAACAUUGUGGCCUUUAAUCAUACAUUUUGCUACAACUAAAUUUAGAUCAGAUAAAGGUUGGAUUCACGCCGAUUAACAAAAUACAUGCUGAUGUAAAAAUAUAGUGAUAUACAACAGGUACUUACAUCUACAUUGGAGCAUAGAGAAUUCCUGCAAGAAUCUUUCCUCAUAAACGAUACCAUUGCAGAAAUUCUUCUAUCUGUUAAGCUUAUUUUCUAAAAGAGAGAUGGGUAAGAAACAUGUAGAAAAUAUGAUCAGCAUGCUAUAAAAUUUCAUGAUGCAAGGAUACGCACACGCUUCUUAGAAUGGAGUUGACAUAUUUUUGCUGGACUGGAGCGGACUAGUUCUUUGGCCACUGGAAUCUGCUUAUUAUCAAUAGGAGUUGGGUUUCUCUGUGCUGGAGCAGUAUCUAUAAAAACUGGAGUUGGUUUAUUAUCUCCUGGCGUUUGGAUCUUUUGCAAAGGCCUUGUUUGUAACCCUUCAGAUUCUAACAUAGUCGUCUUCCCCUUGCAUGCCUUGUAUAGAAGAAUGGUGCUUUAAUUAUAAAACAUGCUACAGCAGAGAGAUGGAAUAGGUACUGAAGAAUAGAAAGGCAUGACAUAUUGACAUGUAUUCCCUCCAUCCAGAAAUAAAUGGAUGGGUCUAGCCGUAUUUCAGUUCUAGAUACAUCCAGUUUUAUCCAUUUCUGCGACAUGUAAUCCGGACGGAGGGAGUAUGAUGUAAGAGCUAGGGAUACGACAGGACAACACAGUAAAAAAAACACUGAAAAACCCACUGUAGAACCAAAGUAUUCAAACCCACUGAUAUGAGAUAGUACACUCAUGCAGCUCAGGAUGCAAAACUACCAGGCAGUUUUCCUUACAAAAAUCAACAUUGUGGCCUUUAAUCAUACAUUUUGCUACAACUAAAUUUAGAUCAGAUAAAGGUUGGAUUCACGCCGAUUAACAAAAUACAUGCUGAUGUAAAAAUAUAGUGAUAUACAACAGGUACUUACAUCUACAUUGGAGCAUAGAGAAUUCCUGCAAGAAUCUUUCCUCAUAAACGAUACCAUUGCAGAAAUUCUUCUAUCUGUUAAGCUUAUUUUCUAAAAGAGAGAUGGGUAAGAAACAUGUAGAAAAUAUGAUCAGCAUGCUAUAAAAUUUCAUGAUGCAAGGAUACGCACACGCUUCUUAGAAUGGAGUUGACAUAUUUUUGCUGGACUGGAGCGGACUAGUUCUUUGGCCACUGGAAUCUGCUUAUUAUCAAUAGGAGUUGGGUUUCUCUGUGCUGGAGCAGUAUCUAUAAAAACUGGAGUUGGUUUAUUAUCUCCUGGCGUUUGGAUCUUUUGCAAAGGCCUUGUUUGUAACCCUUCAGAUUCUAACAUAGUCGUCUUCCCCUUGCAUGCCUUGUAUAGAAGAAUGGUGCUUUGAUUAUAAAACAUGCUACAGCAGAGAGAUGGAAUAGGUACUAAAGAAUAGAAAGGCAUGACAUAUUGACAUGUAUUCCGUCCAUCCAGAAAUAAAUGGAUGGGUCUAGCCGUAUUUCAGUUCUAGAUACCUCCAGUUUUAUCCAUUUCUGCGACAUGUAAUCCGGACGGAGGGAGUAUGAUGUAAGAGCUAGGGAUACGACAGGACAACACAGUAAAAGAAACACUGAAAAACCCACUGUAGAACCAAAGUAUUCAAACCCACUGAUAUGAGAUAGUACACUCAUGCAGCUCAGGAUGCAAAACUACCAGGCAGUUUUCCUUACAAAAAUCAACAUUGUGGCCUUUAAUCAUACAUUUUGCUACAACUAAAUUUAGAUCAGAUAAAGGUUGGAUUCACGCCGAUUAACAAAAUACAUGCUGAUGUAAAAAUAUAGUGAUAUACAACAGGUACUUACAUCUACAUUGGAGCAUAGAGAAUUCCUGCAAGAAUCUUUCCUCAUAAACGAUACCAUUGCAGAAAUUCUUCUAUCUAUUAAGCUUAUUUUCUAAAAGAGAGAUGGGUAAGAAACAUGUAGAAAAUAUGAUCAGCAUGCUAUAAAAUUUCAUGUUGCAAGGAUACGCACACGCUUCUUAGAAUGGAGUUGACAUAUUUUUGCUGGACUGGAGCGGACUAGUUCUUUGGCCACUGGAAUCUGCUUAUUAUCAAUAGGAGUUGGGUUUCUCUGUGCUGGAGCAGUAUCUAUAAAAACUGGAGUUGGUUUAUUAUCUCCUGGCGUUUGGAUCUUUUGCAAAGGCCUUGUUUGUAACCCUUCAGAUUCUAACAUAGUCGUCUUCCCCUUGCAUGCCUUGUAUAGAAGAAUGGUGCUUUAAUUAUAAAACAUGCUACAGCAGAGAGAUGGAAUAGGUACUGAAGAAUAGAAAGGCAUGACAUAUUGACAUGUAUUCCCUCCAUCCAAAAAAAAUGGAUGGGUCUAGGCGUAUUUUAGUUCUAGAUACAUCCUUUUUUAUCUAUUUCGGCAACAUGUAAUCCGGACGGUGGGAGUAUGGUGUAAGAGAUAGGGAUACGACAGGACAACACAGCAAAAAAACACUAGUUGAAUGUAAAACUGUAUGCUAGCGGAAUACAUACAUAAAUAACUAAGGCAACAUACACGUGUAUGAUUGGGAAACUAAGAUGGCAUUGCAACAGAGCACUAGAACAGCAGUUCAAUGUAAAAAACAUGGUAUGGUAGACAGAUGAAGUACAUACUGAUGAAUAACAAUGUAUAAGAUAUUCAGAAGCAUGAUGUCCAAAUUAAGCAGAUGGCAUUGCGAUAGAGUAGAAUGACAGUACUUGAAUUUGAAAACAUGUUAUCAUGAAUGGAAUAUGUACUGAAAAACAGGAAGGCAUGACAUAUUUACAUGCAUGAUCAGCAUGCUAAGCACAUGGCAUUGCAACAGAGUAGAUACACUCCAGGACAUUAUAUGCAUGUUGUACCCAUAUCACAGGCCAAGUUAGAGCAAGGACCUUGUGGGGUGAAGAGGAUUCAUCAUCUUUCUGCAAGUCUUCUGAAGAAUUGCCUUUACAUGUUCCAUCAUAUUGGGUAUCAUUGACAUCAAGUUUAUUGGCCUUUACAUUGCUCCGUGAGGUUCUUGUGGAUAUAUCAGUGUGUGCAAUUAUAUCUGACAUGCAUGGAAGACAACUAAUAGUUAGAUUUAUGUAACGAGUGCCUGUAGGAGACGACAUAAAUAGUAGGACUGGGGCUAACUAGCAGCAACAGGUCUCAUAAACUAAAGGGAGAACACAGAUGAAAGCUACAGAAUAUGUAUCGUUUGUACUCGAGAUUAACUAGAUGGCACACAAAAGUAUUAAAGAACAACAUAGGUAAUACUAGAAGUGGUAUAAUACUAUAAUCACCAGCCUGUGGGAUAGCAUUGGCUGAUGGAUGAUAACUAUGGAACAAUGUUACCUAAAGAACAAGUAUCUUAGCUGAACUAUGGAACAACGUUAACUCCUGAACAAGACCCGUAAGAGAUCAGCAUGAAUAUACAGUGAAAUGUGAUGAUCUAUUUUCCAUGCUUAGAUGAAUAACAAAGCCAUAAAUGUUGCACACAAGUAAGAUGAGGGUACAACCUAUCUGGCUGCCAUCCAUAGGAGUGAGCAUCAUAUGCUGACUUGUCGAUGGCCCUGCAGUUGUUGUGGCUGUCCAUGUCGGGCACGCGCAUUUGAUGCAGGGAACUGUUGAGUGGGGACUAUAGCUCCCUUUUGGUGUAUGCUUCCCUUGUUGGAGCAGAUGCGGUGAGUCGGAAGACGGUGUGUCUGAAGAUGCAGAUAACGCAUAAUGUUAAGAACGACAUAUCUCUUUGAUCUGAAGAAAUACACUAAGAGAUCAAUAGCAAGGUACGAGAGUGGUCACACGUCUGUUGACUGAAGACUAAAUUGGGGUCACAUGAUUUUAUUUUAUUUUGGUACUGUCCGAUCUACGCCGGAUGGCUUGAUGGCCGUCUUGUGCCUCCCGGCUGACACUGUUCGGAAUCUUCCCCGAAAAGCCAGCGACCAACGGCAGAGCAGCCUGCCUCCGUCGUCCGUGGCUCCGGCCAAAACCCCGCUCCCCGCCCCACCGCACUCCGUGGUUGCGCCACCCCGGGCCAAUCCACAAAGACUCCCCGUCAUCCAGAUCCGGCGGCGGCAGUACCUUCAACCCACGCAACUCUAAAAGAUAGCCAUCUAAGCGCUGCUUCCGCGGCGAACUUGCGGCCCCGCGCCCUUACGUUAGACACCAGCCAACCGACAGCCUAGGAGCUCCGCCGCCUCGAGGGGUGCUGCUUCCCAUUGGGAAUCGAUUGGCCCAGAAUAAAAAUUCAGACAACUGACGCCUAAAUAAAGUGAUUUGAGAUGAGGGUGCGACCUAUUUGGCGGCAUGGUGAAGUAGGCAGGUCCAGCUGCUGAGUCGGUGAGGCCGACGCGGUUGCGGUGGCGACCGGCGGCAGGGAAACAGCGAUGUCGCGACGGUCGACGACUACGGGGAAGCAACGCCGGGACUCUGGACGGAUCCGAAGUUGGAGCCGCUCCGGCGCCAUGAACAACGGAGGGGGUGAAUCGGCUCCGGUACGGUUCACGCGACCGUCGUCGAGGCACAUGGCCCAGUGCACGACGGCAAAUGGACAGCGUCUCCGGCAUUAGGGAGGAGGGCGGCUGUGAAAUUGGUGCGGUGGGGGCGCCAUGGAGAAGGGGCUGAGGUUUUGCGGCUCGGGAGAAGGGAGCUUCCCGGGGAGUAGGUGAUUUGGCGCCCACGAGGUAUGAAUGGGGGGGCGGGGGAGGGGGGAAUUGGGAGGGGAGUGGAACCAUGUCUUACGGACGCAUUUGUCUGAAAUGUGAGGGGGAGUUAUAGUUCUACCCUGCCUUUAGGCUUCUCGGCUUGGGUCUGUGUACUGAGGGUUGGGGAUGGUAGAGUAACUUUGCUUCUCCCCAAAUAGUGGGCGGGAGCGAUUUCAGGCGAGGAGGGCGUGUUUUGAACUAUAGUGGGCGCGAGUGAUUUCGAGCGAGGAGAGCGUGUUUUGAAAUAGUGGGCGCGAGCUAUUUCGGGCGAGGAGAGCGUGUUUUGCCGACCAUGGUUUAUGAAUUAUUCGGCACAUGUCAUUUCGGUCGAGGAGAAGGCGCGCUUGGAUGAAGUUACGAACCUACCCUCGAUGUACAACGGACCAAUUGAUGCGUGUCCCACAUAGGACGGUAAUUUCGCGUCUCCCAUUUAUUUGCUCGGGCGAAUUCCACCGAGCAGAGAGGAUGUUUAACGGUUCGUUCAAAUUUUGGGAGAACGAGCAUCCACGUCUACCUUACCAAGUCGAUUCGAAUCAAAUUUUGAAAUAUUAGCUUGCCACUUCUUUUUUAGAUGGAGAGAUGAUGCUCGGGAGUAAUGUGUUUUUACAUGCUCGUUGCUAGCGAUUUACUAUAUGACAAAUAGUUGACCCACUCAAAAACACGAAUCAAACCCAAAAUGAAAUAUCUCGAUUCAAUGAAAUAGCUCGUUCAGUAGGUCAAAAUAGUGAACUAAAUCCAAAAUUGAACACCUCAAUCGAGUAGCAUGUUGUACAGUAUUAUAGUACUCCAUGAACAUGUUGAAAGUCAAAUUAAUGAACUUGUUUGAUAUACGCAUAUAUCAGUUCAUGUGUGGAUUGCAGACAACAUGCUCUUCAAUUUAAAUAUUUGAAUGCAAGUUUAUAUCGAAACAUGGUUUAUAUCAGUCUUUGAUGCAUAAAACGCGACCUCCCCCUCUCCCGGACUCCUGUUCUCUCUCUCUCUCUCUCUCUCUCUCUCUCUCUCUCUCUCUCUUGCCGACAAUCUUCAAUUCUGUCACACGCAUCCGACACAAAAACCUUGUUGGUCCCUCUCCCUUUCUCUCCAUCUCUCUCUCUCUCUUUGUGUGUGUGUGUGGGGGGGUCUUUCUAGUUCGCAUGCAUAUAUACACCAUCUAUAGGUCUCUCUCGCACACUAUGUAUGAUACUCUAGCUAGUCCAAGCUAGAUAUCUUGGGUGCACUCAUUGUACGCACACAAAUUCCUUGGCUCUUUGCCCGUAACUCUCUCACGCACCACUCUGUCGUCUUGGAGCUCUUCCCCCCCCCUCUCUCUCAAACUCUCCAUCCACCUGGGUCACACAUACACAUGCAUAUCUCACUCGCACUCGAUAGGCCCAUCUAAAACUCUAUCUCUCUCCCUCAUUCUCUCUCCAUCUCACGCGCACACACACACAAUCUCAUGCCUAGCUAGCCAAGUACGAUGGUCUCUCACUCAAUUGUAGGCACACGCAGUCCCCCCUAUAUGUAUAUGACUAGCUAAUCUUAGUCUCCAUCACAAACAUGUGCAUGGUCUAUCUCGAUUUCUCUCGGGGCAUCUUUCUAUCACGCACACACUCCCUCGAUCUCCCACCCAUAUAGUCCCCUCACGAUCUCGAGGGGAUCUCUCUAUCACAAACACACCCUCUCUCCCUCCCCAUGCGUCCAUGCCAUCCAUGUGUCCCUCUCGACCUUUGUUCCUUGUUGGCCAGACCUCUAUUGGACAUGUGCUACAGGGGUGUCUCUCUCCGUUGCAAACAAUCACACACUAGUUAUCUUCGUGUAUCUCCUUGCCUCGCUUUUCCAUCUCAGAGAUGCAUGCGUGAUAUGUUCGCAUAAGAAACGAAAACACACACACUCUCUCUAAUUUAUCGUUUGUUGUCACUUUCUCUUUCACACACAUACUCUUUUUGCACACUCACUCAUUCUCCUUCACACGCACUUGAUUUGUCUCGACUUAGGCACUCUCCUCGGUCCAUAGCAUAUAGAUUUAUUGAAAAGUCAAACAUCACAAAGUUUGACCAUGUACGUGGAGAAAAACAAUUACAUCUAGUAUGGCAAACAUAUACCAUUAGAUUCACCAUGAGAUGUAGUUUUGUAUGAUGUAUCUUUGGUAUUGUAGAUAUAAAUAACGUUUGCGUAAACCUGAUUAAAGUUUCCAAAGUUUGACUUCUAAAAAAUUUACAUGCACUGCAUUAUCGAGUGGAUGGAAUAUCUCUUUCCCCCUCUCAGCUAUCUGACGCACCACUCAGCCUUAUCGGGGCUCCUCAAUCUCUCUCAAACUUUAUUGGUCAGUUUGGUUCGUGACCUGACCCUCAUGCCUUGAUGGCCAGUACUGCCUGGUGCGGACGUGAGAUGUAAAAUAUUUCUGCCUGGCCAGGCUUUUAUGGUGCUAAAGCGUUUGGUUCAUGCCUGGGCCAGGCAAAGCAUCAACGUCCCAUCAAUCAAUCCAUGCAGCAAUUAUUUGAUGCUAAUAUCCAUCCAUGUUGUUGUUAGCCUUGUGGCCGCACGACCAGGCACGGCCAGGCGUUCGAAAUCAGUCGCCUGGGCCAGGCUACUUGCAGUGUCUGGAGUCCAGCCAGGCUAAUUAAAGUGCAAGGGAACCCAGCCCAGGCGGGCUUUCUUUUUCACAGGGUAGCAACCAAACAAGCGUGCCUGAAAUCCAGCCACAACCCCAGGCCAGGCAAAAGAUGCUCAAGACGCAAGCCAAACUGACCUUAUAUCUCCCUGGUUCACACAUACACAUGUCUCGCUCGCGCUAUACAUAUAGACCCAUCCAACACUCUCCGCCCUUGUUCUCUCUCCAUGUGACACGCACCCCCCUAAGUACCAUAAUCCCUCACUCCAUCAUAGGCGCAAGCACUCCCCCCCUUCCUAAGUAUGAUUAUCUCUUACUAGCCAUCAGGAACACACGUAUUGUCUCCUUCCAUCCAUACGUCUAUCUCGAUAUCUCUCGGGGCAUCUUCUAUCGCGCACACACCUUGUCACUCGAUCUCCCACCCAUGUAGUCCCAUCACGAUCUCCAGGGGAUCUCUCUAUGACAAACAUACACUCUCUCCUCCCCAUGUCUGCAUUUUCUCCGUACGUCUCUCUCGACCUCUCUCCCUUGUUUGUCAGACCCCUCUUGGCCACAUGCUAGGGGUCUUGCUCUCUCGGUUCCAAACAACCACACACUAUCUCCUCACCUUGCCUCCAUUGUCGAAGAUGCAUGUGUGAUAUGUUUGCAUAAGACACGCACGCUUUUUCUCUACUUUUAUCGUGUGUUGUCCAUGUCUCUUUCACACACGCACACACACUUUUUUCACUCUCUCUCUCUCUCUAGUUAGGGACUCUGUCACGUCCAUAAGCAUAUGGAUGUUUUGAAAAGUCAAACCUCAGAAAAGUUUGACCAGGUAUAUGUGGAGAAAAACAUUUACAUCUGGAACGAUCAUUAGAUUCAUCACAACAUGUACUUACUUCAUACUAUCAUUUAUCUUUGUUAUUGUAGAUAUAAGUAAUUUCUUUAUAAACUUGGUCAAAGUUUCAAAAGUUUGACUUAAAAAAAUGUUGGAACUACAUUAUCGAACGGAGGGAGUAGCUCUUUCUCUCUCUCUGCUAUCUCUCACGGGCCUCCCCUCUCACUCGAACUCUCUAUACCGACGGAUUAUACGCUCACUGUGUCAGCGUAUAGCUCCGUAUAUUGUUUAGUUGACCGGUCAACCAAUCCACAUGCUGCCUUGUCAGCUCGUGUUCUGUAUCUUCGUGUGCUGGCCCAUGUGGCAGUGGGUGAAAAUAAGUAAACUAGAGGCCCAUCUGACACGCGGUGAAGUAAACAAAGUUGAAACCACUCGGGGUAGCACCCCGCACGCUGGUAAAUUCUUGCGCGCAAAGGACGCACUCGCGCACAAUUCACCACUGCGCGGCGGCAUGCACAGAAGGACGCACUCGCGCACACCCAGCACACAACACACACCAGCACUUGUACACCGACGUCACCGCCGGUUGAGAUGGAUGGCGAGGCAGCCAACAAGCAGGGCGGCUCGAGCCAAAACCGCAUCCGGCGAGCCUGGACUUCAUCAGCAGCCUCCCCGACGACAUGCUGCUCGUCAUCAUCGGCCUCCUCCCCACCAAAUCUGCCGUGCGGACCGCCCUGCUCUCCCGGCGGUGGCGCCCCCUCUGGCGCUGCGUCCCCCUCAACCUCACCGCCGGCAACUGCCUCUGCGAUGGGGAUUGCAAACGCAUGGCCGCAGUCUCCAAGAUCCUUUCAUCGCACCCUGGGCCAGCCAGACGCCUUGACAUCCGCAUGUUCAGUACCAACUGCAAGGUCCAACCCAAGUUCGACGAGUGGUUCUUAUCCCCCGCCCUAGAUCAGCUCGAGGAGCUCAGCUUUGAAGCUGGACGAUGUCGCUCUCUGCCGCCGUCCGCGCUCCGCCUCACGCCAACGCUGCGCCACGCCAGCUUCAGCUCCUGCUAUCUUCCCCAGAUUAAUGCUGCGCCCGCCCUUCUUCUCCCUCAACUCAAGCAGCUCGACCUCUUCGACGUUGUCAUCUCGAAGAAGGCUAUGGAGCACUGCUCCGCAGCUGUACUGCGCUCGAGUACCUUCGUCUUGAGCAGAUCCACGGGUUCAUUAGCCUCCACAUCGCCUCGACGAAUCUCCGAUGGAUUUAUGUGUCUUGUUGGCCCCGCAACAAGACAUCAAUUGGGAAGAGAUCACUCCAGCUGUUCCACGUUAUGGUCAUUGAGAAUGCGCCUUUCCUUGAGAGAUUGCUUGUAUCGGAUCUAGAAGGUCCAACAAAAAUCAGGGUCAUUGACGCGCCGAAAUUGACAGCGUUGGUGUACUCGUCUACCAAAUUCUCCGAACUCUUUAUUGCAUCCGUAAUCGUUCAGGUACAGCACUCAUCUUCUUCUCCGUCUUCUUGAAAUUCAAAUUUUUAAAUUUCUUCUUGAUGUAUUUACGACCGUCUUCCAGAAAAUGAUUCCCACAAGCUUGACCCAGUCCAUGCGCACAGUGAAGAUCUUAGCACUAAAAUCUAUCGGCCCCAAUCUGGAUCAAGUUGUUGGAUUCCUUACAUGCUUUCCGUGCACGGAGAAGCUACUCAUCGAGGUGAAACUUCUUUCCUAUAAGUAAACGAUAAUCACAACAUAGCUCAAUAUUUUCAUAAUUUUCCCAAAUUACGAUGACAAGUUUAGUGUUCAAAACUGUAUCUACGCACUGCACCGAAAGAAAUGUUUUUAGUAUUUUUUUCUCACGUGAUCACCUGCAUCGUUUUUAUGCUGUACUACUAUAGUAGCCUAGGCUAGUCAUAGUGGAAAGUAACUUAGACUACUCCAGUAACUCUAUGGUUACCCUAAGAGCAAGUACUACCUCCGUCCUGGUUUACUCUUCCAAUUUUUUAGUAUCAAAAUUUGACCAUAGAUUUAACUGACAAAAUGUUAAUGCAUGUCACUAAGAACUAUAUCGUUGGAUUCGUAUUUGAACAUAAUUUCAAAUGGUGUAAUUUUUAGUGACAUGCAUUGGCAUUGUCUUAGGUAAAUCUAUGGUCAAAAUUUUAUACUAAAUACGAGGUAGUAUUCCCUCCGUCCCAAAAUUCUUGUCUUACAUUUGUUUAGAUACGGAUGUAUCUAACACUAGAAUGUAACUAGAUACAUCCAUAUUUAGACAAAUUUAAGACAAGAAUUUUGGGACGGAGGGAGUACAAAAGUGGGCUAUGUAGGCCAAAAAUGUGCCAAAUUCACUUGUGAUGCAUUUGGCAUCGAUGCCCCUCCAUUGCUCACCCGGUGCCCCAAUCUGGAUCACCUACUUUGCUCCGGUGCCAAAUUAACUCACGCGUGGGAGAGAGAGGACUGAGGCAAUAAAAAACACUUGUUUGGGAGAGUGAGAGGCUGGUGUAGUUGGUUUGAUUGAUUUGUUUAUACAUGUGGGUCUGUGUGCACAGCGGUGCCAACUCUCUCACAUCGCGAGAGCGGUGCCAAAAUCUUUUGAUUUGACAUCGAUGCGUAUUAUGUGGCAUACUUUUGCGAAAUAUGGCAUCGGCCACAUAGUGGAAGGAAACAAAUGCCCAAGCUCUUCACGUGCUCCUAGUUAAAUGAGAGGAAACAGAGAGAGGGAGAGAGAGAGAGAGAGAGGGAGAGUGAAAGAAUAUCACUAGCCAGCCAAUCCUAUCGUAUGAGCGAAUGAUAUUGGUACCUCUUGAUGACACGGCAAUCUUAUACAGCCAGCUGCUCUAAUAUGUUCUCUUCUUUUGCAGAAAAAAAAGACCCGAAAGUGAAAAAUGUGCUGCACUAUAACAAUCUCAUCGAAUGCCUUGAUCUCCAUAUUACAGAAAUUGAUUUGAUCGACUACCGAGGCAGCACAUCUGAGAUUAAAUUGGCCAGGUUCUUUGUUCUAGAGGCAAGUGUGCUCAAGGUAAUGAGGUUUGGCAUUCUCUGGCGCAACAAUGAAUGGCGUGCUGAUCACCGCAAGCGUCUAAGCCUAAAUGACAAAGUCUCCGCAGAAGCUGAAUUUGUUUUUGAAACAUCAAGUGGCCAGAGACUCGAAAACUUAUUUGCCCAUUAGUGACUUGUCAGGGCGGUGGAUUUUAGUUUGUACGAUAAUGCUGCAUCCACCUAAAGUAACGAAAGUUCUUACGUAAACUUCCUAGUAAUUCCCUCUUCGUAGGUGCAGCAUUACUCCUAACAUUUGUAAUACCAGUUUGAAACUUGUAAUAUUGUCGUGUCCUAUUCCUGCGUUUUCAAAAUCCUGCGAAUCAAACAGGUCCCGAGUUGGUGAUGAUGUUGUGCCUCCCAUCUUUCACCAAUAGCCGUCGGAUCUAGAUCUGACGCAUACAAACCAAGCUUCUCCAUUUUUGCAAAAAGAUGCCCGCACUUGUUCCCUAUUUACAAACAACGCCUUGUCUCUCACAAUCAGCCUUAUCUCCUCCCCACCACAUCUAGAAGGCCGUGGAAAAAUCCGGCGCGAUGGCCGCUGCCGGCGCCGUCCACCCCCAAUCUUGGUGUUCCGUGCAAUGCACGGGCAUCUACGCACGGGAAAUUAUGUCGAAUAGGGCUAGUUAUAAGCAGGCUAGCUCUACAGCCAUGAUGAUAGUGACUGCAGACGGUGAGGCUGACUAUGGUAUGCCGAACACGGCGCCUAUACUCAGGUGUCAUCUCCGGCGCAGAGUCUUGUCACUUCACUGUGAGGAGCAGCACCUAAUAAUUUGACCAACGGGUAGUACAGUGCUAGUACUCCUACUACUACAUUUGUAGUACUACUACUAGUACUAGUAGCACCAUUGUCUGGAUUUAGGAGUACUACCACGUCCAUCUGGAUUUUAGUAUUUGACUAGCAAUAUCUAGUAAUGCAUGUCACAAAAAAUGUACUACUCCCUCUGUAAAUAAAUACAUGGUGUUUUAUUCCUAUCGGCGAGAGAACUUAAUGUCUUUUUGCUAACUAGAGUACUAAUAGGAUUACAUGCAAUGAACUAAACACUGCAUGUCAUGUUUGGUAGUUAUGUCACGAAAUAAGAAACAAGGAGGGAGUUAAUGCACCGUGCCUAAGUGUUUUGGGAUUAUUUGGUUUUCAUAAGGUGACUUACACAACAUUUUUGUUUACAUGCAUUAACAUUUUAUUAGUUAAAUCAAAGGUCAAAACUUGGCGCAAAAUGCAAAGGGGACCAAUAAACCAGUAAACAUCAAACUUCUCUCGUUUGGCCCCAACUAGAGGUCCGGUGAGAUGACUAUACUGCACCAGCACGGAGGGGGACGCAGCUUCAUUGACUUACGGCAACUGCCUUUGGGUGAAUGACACGUGGGCCCAAGGGGUGGCUGGCCCACCUAUCAUACAGCCAAAGGCAGGUGCAGUAGAGCAUGGUUAAUAGUAUAGCCAGCUGCUGGCUAUAAGCCAGUGCCAUGUCAUCUAUAGCCCAUCUUAUAGUCAACAUGUACAAUAGUAGAUCAAAAGAGUGUACUACUUUUUUAUUAUGUGGCCCACCUUUCAUUCUCACAAAGUGCCUAGGACCGCGUGCUAGAGCUGGCUCUUCACGAAGAGCCCGCUUACCUUCUCUCUUCUCUUUCCUCCAACUAAGCAGAAAUAUACUACUCCCUCCGUCUAGGUGAGUAAGUCAUCUUAGGCUGUGCACCGUGACCAAGGAGGAGGGGAAAACGAGAGACACUAAUGUUUAUUUGCUAAUUAAUAGUAUUGCAUGCAAUGAACUAACCACUGAAUGUCAUGUUUGAUAGUCUCAAGUCAUUAAAAGCAUGCACACCCUCAUCUCUUAUUGGUUGAUAUGUCAAGAAACAAGAAAUGAGGUAGAAGUUAAUGCACCGCGCCUACAUGUUUUGGGAUUAUUUGGUUUUCGUAAGAUGACUUACACACCUAGACGGAGGGAGUAGUUUAUUUCUUAUAGCCCGCUGACUCAACUCUAUUGUACUUGCUCGUAGAGAGCCGAGGAGUAGUACGAAAUCCUACGCACCUACGCACGCUAACCAAGGGCAAGAGUGAUCACUCGAAUCGCAAGAUCAGUUGACUAGAAGCUAAGCUAGACCCAUGGAGGCGAUGAGCGCGAGCAUCAGCCGGUUGUGCCAGAUGGUCCACGACGCCGGCCUGUGGCCCGGCACCGAGGAACGUCUCCAGGUAGUAUUGCUUGAGGCCGCCAGGGCGAGGGGCCGCUUGGACGACAGCUUCGUCUCCUUGUUCGACGAGGUCCUCGUCGGUUUCCUCGACAAGUUCACCGUCGUCAAGAAGCUCGCGGACGACUUUGACGUACGCCUCCAGCCGACGCGCCCAGGCUCUGUGAUGCCCGCCACCCUCAACGUCCACUAUGGUGACAACCUCUUCGACGCACUGGUGGCCCUGCGAUUGCCCGCCGUCGCGCCGGAGAAUGUCCACCUCGAGGUCACGCUCGCCGCGCAGCGCCUGGCGCAGCAAUACACCAUUGACAUAAUCACCCACGUCUACGCGUAAAUCGUCCACAAGGACUACUACAUGCAAGAGGAGGACGAUAGGACGCUGGCCUUCUUGGACCGCAGGGCAACCUUGGACGGCAUUGUUCAGAAGCACGUUGAGCUCGCCGCCAACGCCGCUGCUCCUCCCAUGUCGGUUGGUGACCCGGCGCACUAGGGCGUGAGGAUGUCGUUGAUGGAUCCGUAUGUAUUUUUAUCUUUCCGUCAAAUCCAUGUAGUAGUAUAUUAUACUACUAGUAAUUAUCUUACCUUUCGCAUCAACUUCAUAAUUUUCGUACGUACUCCAUGCAUGAACAGCGCCAGAACCAAACUUCUCAUUACUCUAGGCAAAAUCGUUAUUUUCUAUCUAUCGGUCGCGCCAUGGAGCAGAACCAAAUUUUACAAGUUACGAGUUCAAAAGGAAAAGCCUGCCGUGUUCGGGUCGCACCCCCACACGGUUGGUCCGGCACGCCGCUCAAGCGGGAAUGCGUGCGGUGUUGCAUUUUCACUUACAAGUGGGACCGCAGUUGAGCAAACCGACUAUCGGCAAACCCCCACCCCGCCCACCGUGCGAUGGCUGAGAAAACAGGAGGGAGAAGAGAUGGCUGUAGCACGGACUCCAAGAAAAUUGGUGUUGGAUGGGACUCGUGUGGGUGGCGUGUGCCGUACUACUAGACGUGAAUGCUACUUAUGGCCCAUGCCACCCCACUAUAUCGAGCCUAUAUCGAGGUACGUAGAACAAAUUUCCUGCAGUCCGUGCUCAGCCCUCCUCUAUCUCUCUUCUCAGCCAGACAACGGACGCGUGGAGCCCAUCGUCUGUUUGCUCACAUGCGGUCCCACAUGUCAGUGAAAACGCAAGAGGACCCACUGAACCUGCACAUCUUUCACCUCGACGUGCUGGUGAUGAAAAACAAAUCCAAUAAAGAUCUUCGGUGGCCGCUUUUGGAGUUACUCAAGAGUAGUAAGAUUCUAUUUACAGUUUAACCCAAGAUGCACAUCUCGUGGCUUCAACUACCACUCUAUUUUCUUUCAUGACACGACCUGGAUGCUGGAUGUCCCACGUGUCGGCAAAAGGAGGAAGAACCCGACCAAAUCUUCUGUUGUGCUCUCGGAUUAGACUAGUUGUGCUAACUUAAAAAAUUUAUUGUGUACUCCCUCCGUUCCAAAAUACUUGACUUCCAUUUGUCCAAAAAUGGAUGUACCUAUAUACUAAAACAUGUCUAGAUACAUAUAUAUUUUGACAAAUAGAAGGCAUGUAUUGUGCAACGGAGGGAGUAGAAUGGAUGCAAGUCUUGGUAUUGGGAAGAAGAGUACAUCCAUAUAUUGAUAGAGCGCAAUUUAGUAGAUGUUCUAGCACUUUUAGCUAGCAUAGAGGCUAGAGAUGAGACUAGUGCACUUGUUUAUACUCCUACUAGAAUAGAGGCUAGACAUGAGACUAGAUGCGAGGAAGCAACGUCUACUUCUUUACACUCGAAGAAGAAAGAAGCACGCAAGAUCGAGCCUCCGCAGAUCAACAAUGAAUGCAUCGAGAAGGCACUAAUCCAACUUACAGGAGUAGUAAAAUGUAUUCUUGUGGUUCUUGUUUUCUUUGGUCUUGCUUGUCUAGUCAAAAUUAUCGUUGGAGUUCGUGCAAAAUGAAGGUCCGUUUGGGGUCGUGUGUUGGAGUUGGCCUUACAAGUGGGACCGCAGUAGAGGAAACCGACUAUCGGCAAACCCCCACCUCGCCCGCCGCGCGAUGGCUGAAGUUAGAGAAACGACGAGGUUGAAGAGAUUGCUCUAACACGGACUCCAAGAAAUAAUAUGGUGUCAGAUGGAUGUCGUGGUGGUGGCGUGUGUCGUACUCCUGGACGUGAAUGCUUGUUCUGGCCCAUGCCACCCUACUACUCCUACUACUUACUAUAUACUACUAGUAUCGAGGAUUCGAGGUGCUGGUUACGUACAGCGAACACAGUAUUAACAUAUGGCUACAGUGAAAACACCCGCCCGACACGCGAAGCAUGUGAAGCUAGUACAAAUAGUGUACUACUAUUGUUGAUUGGCCUCAUCCGAUAACCUGUUGCAAUGCACGUACAAUUAUGUAUUGGGAAAAUAUUCUUUUGCCUCGUCGCACCACUCACUCAGAGAAGCGACUCGAAAGCCAUUCAUAAAUUUAGUAAGUUUAUCACAGGCAUAUCAUUUUAUUACAUACAACAGGUCAUCAACCCACAUCGACAACGAGGAUACAUUAUAAAUACUAAAGUUUUCACCACACAACAAAUAACAAGCAAUGAAAUGAACUUCAACUCAACCAUUCCUCGGCGUUGGAAAUGCUUGCUUUGAACCACAAGUGAUUCUCUGGGACGGGCCAUCCAUUGUCGAUCUGGAGACCAACGCAGGACUGAUCAUCCAGGCUGAAGCGGCCUACUAUAUCAGUACCAGGGUAGGGAACCACCCAAAUGUCCGAGGUAUAGACACAGUUGCUUCUCAUAAAUGGUAGUAACAUUGUGUCAACAGCAGUUGGAUCGCCUUUCACCAUCAUUGGAUAGUUUUGUCCAAGGAAGAGCGAGUUUUCUCCAAGACUAUCAAUUCUGUACCAGGGAGAAGGAGUUGGCGCUAGAACACUAGUAUCCAUCCCGAAUACCAUGCAACGGGUGUUGGAAUAGGUCCGGAGAGUGCGACCAUGGGAGACUACACCUGCUUCCUUAGUAGUAACAUCAUCAGUGGGCUGUAUACACACAAGAAGAGGUGAUCCAUCGUAAUUAGUUGCCAGGCGCCACAGAGUAUAUGGGUGCUGCUCGUCCUCAUGCUCGUGAUCAUCACCAUCGUCAUCUCCCCCUUGGUUAUAAAAAAAUUCAAGUAUAGGUGGUGGAAUGUUCACAGGACCUUGGAAAACACAAGAAGAAGGUUAAUUAGUAAAGGGAAACUUGCUAACCCGCAUGCAUGUGGAUGAAACAAUUAUAAUUACGGUGGAAGACAAACGUACCGAAAUCAUAAGGAUUCCAUGCAAAAACAGUGCCACGAGUGGUGGCAGCAAACACAAGGCCCUCGUAUUGAAUUGCAUCACAGUACUCAUCCGUGUACAGAAAGUGAUUUUUGAGCAAUAUCCAUCCAGUCAAACCACGAAGGACGGCAACAAGCUUGUCGAAGAUAGCAACAACUUCAUAGUUGUUGUAAUUCCAAGAGCGGUUGGGAACUCGACAAAUUGCUAUCUUCCGUAGAAGACAGUCACCAUGAUCGUAUUUGAACGUGCGUACAAUAUCGGUGUGCUCAACCUCUGGGCAGUAUGCUGAGAUUUUUGGAAGUGGAACCCGGUCACGAGUGUACACAUUCACAAGUUCCCACUCGCAGUUGGACCCAAUGUAAACAACCCAAUCUCCAUUUGCGCCUGCCCAAGCCUUACCCUCAAGCGAUGGCAUCUUAACAUCGUUAACAUCAUACGUAUCAUUAUCAAGCGGCAUUAACUUGCACAGGGCGAGGCCUCCGUCGUCCCGGCGCCAGUCAUCAGGGUCACGGCGAAGAAGAUAGGGGAGAUCAAACCGCUCCUUGACUCUUGGGUUCCUUGUAAUGAUGUUAUUAGUCGAGUCGAGAAUGGGCUUGAACGAACCUUCCAUGCUAGCCGAGGUGAUGAUGUCGCACCAAUCAAUGAGUUCCUCCACCACGUCAUCUUUCAGAUCGGGGCAAGAAUAAUGGGGUCGUUUCCGGCCUGUUCCCUCCAUGGAGAAGACGAUCGAACAAUGGCAGAAGAAAGGGUGAAAGGCUGAAGGAAAAUGGAGGAGGGAGAGGAAGAGCAUGCGACAACAGUUCCAAAUCGAGAGGGAAAGGCGAAGAGUCGGUGGACGGUUGCCAGUUUGCCACGGUUCACGAAGAGGCGCCCCGGCCUACACGUCCAUUCGGAAAUACUACUACUCGCCGUCGUCUCACUGAUAUGUCAGAACGGGACCACAUGUCAACGAAACAUGGUGUGUAAUUUCUCGUGCAAAAUGCGAUCUGGCCGCGUUAGCUCGAGGUGCCGCAUUAGUUAUCGACCUUUAUUUUUUUAAUGGCGUGCCGUUCAGUUUUGAAGCACGGCUAACUGGUAUUGUAUGCAGAGAAAAUAUAAACUACUCUAUCACUACUCCACCUCCAGUACUAGUAGUAUAAAAAAGAUAUAUAGGCUGGAGCUUCAGCGCUUUCUUGCUAAGGGCUGCCCACUUGCUUCUCACACUACCACCCUCUCUCCAGAUCUAAAAAGACGGCCUCUCUCUCCCUCCUCACUGGUGGUCACAGAUCCGCCGGGGAAGAAAAGACGUGCAGCGUUAACGCACUCGUCGUCGGCGAGCGAGGUCACGCACUGACGACAAGGCCAUCCUCUCAGACCUAGCGCCCGCGCGGGAUGGCCUCCGUUCCCAAGCUUGCUGCCGUAGUGUGUGCGGAGGACGACGACCACGAGCGAAGCCACUUCCCGCCGACCCUCAGGUAUGCUACCUCUUUUCGAACCAUACCCUUGUUCUAUUGCCCCAUCUGCCGCGUCGUUGCAUGUGGAUCUUUUUCCACUCCACCAUCUUCCCAAUUUGCUAUCCUCUGCUCUGCUGGCCACGCAGACGAAAACCAUAAUUUGCACUAUUAAAGGAAACCCUACUUCAUGCAGACUAAUCCAUGUCUGGGUUGAAUAAGGAAAGGAAGGGAGACUGUACUGUCCAAGAGAGUAGGCAUCGAACCCGCAUCUAGGUUGAAAAGGGGAAAUCAGUAGCUAAGGAACGAGUCUCAUGUCUCUUGGUUGAAGAAGGGUAGAAAGGCAUGACAACGCAAUAGAGAAUGAGCAGGUCGAUCAGUUUGUUGUCCUCACAUAGGAAAAAGGUGGCUAAAGAGAACAAAAAUGGGACGUAAUCCACAUAUGCUGCCUGGAUAUUUGUUGCUCUGGGUAACCAUACCUUCCUCACCACUCUGCGUCCGUGGAGGUACAUCGUACUGGUGCGCCCACUGUCCGAAUGGGCCUCCCAUGCUCUUAUUGCCACUUUUUUUGCUGUUAGUAUAACGCCAGCAGUCAAGUCAAGCAAUGCUACUGCUAAAGUGAUGCCACAUUUAACUAAUGCCGCUCUCAGUCUAAUGCCACCGAUAAAUUUAUGCAAUGCCAUUUAAUGUCACUGGAUUAUUUCAGGGUUAGCUGUUGAUUGUGGAUGUAUUAAAGAUUUUUCAGCUAAGGCAUUCUAAUGAUGUUGCACAGCCAGUAUACCAAUGAUGAAACUUGUUACUACCUUCAGAUUUUUGCACUGUUAAUGCUUAUAGAUUACAUACCUCACUUUCAUGAGAUAAGUUGAUUUUUUGUAGAGUGUCACCAAAAUGCCAAGGCGCUGAUGUCAUUUUAUUUUGGUUAAACUGCACAAACAAUUAUGAAGACAAGAGGAAAGGUCAAGAGUGGGCACUUCCUCCUCCGGCUGUUCUCUUGAUCCGUUCGAUCAAGUUUUUAUGUUUGAUCGAUUAUCAAGAUUGGGAUAGCAAUUUUUAAGGUCCCCCGAGUUCGAAAUGAUAUUUACCUUGGAGGUACAUGGUUUGCAAUUUUUUUAUACUGUCAUUAGUUAAUAAUGCUAGUUACCUUCAGACUUUUGUAUUUGGUUUAAUGCUCAUGCACAGCUAGUAUACCAAUGCUGAAACUUGUUACCUUUACAUUUUGUAUUGUUAAUUCUUAUAGAAACCUUUCAGUGCUAGAGUUUAUUGAAAUCUGUUCAGUAAAACCAUUGUAUUGUACCCUGUAAUAAACUAACUACUCUACUGUUGCACUAGCCACUGGAUUAGUGUAUAUUUGUAGUAUCCGAAUGGUGUUGCAUUAGAGUAUGGGCAUAAAUAAAGUGUGGCAAGCUUUCCCAGAUAUGUGCUCAAGAAAACUACUACCUGUUUUUCUAAACACUAGGCGUUUGGGUACUUUAAAUUGAACCGCGAAAAUGUCUUAUAUUAAGGAACAGAGGGUGUAGAGUUCACUCAAAUUAUCCCGGUAAAGCUAGUCACACCUUUGUUAAAAUUAAUGUUCAUUAUGUUAUCGGAGGAGGUCUGUAUGUUUGUCUCUAAUGUCUGUCGACUACAUACCUGACAUCAUGAUGUAAUGUUAAGUCAUUUCCUUUUGUACAGUGUCACUGAAUUGUCAAGGCGGUGAUGGCAUUUUAUUUUAGUAGAACUGCACAAAAUUUGCUUAAAAGAAGAGUAAAUGUCAGGAAUGGCUCAGUUUUUCAAAAAAAACUAUGUAUGCCUUCCUGACAUCAGCCGUUGUUGCUUUAUUUAUUCCUUCAAACAGGUGGUUAGAAACAGUCUUGCUACCUUUUCCCAUUAAGAAAUUGGAAUGCUUAUAUUUGUGAGUCUAUGCUUCAACUAGUGCCACUUUUAUAGUAAUCACACUUUCAAUAUCUAUGCAAACAGGGAUGCUCGAUUUUAGUGUAACUGCACAAAAAGUCCAACUGGUUCAACAUUAGGAGCAUGUUUUUUUCCAAACCUUUAUAUCCAAUUGGUGGCACUAUGAGCUGUUCAUUACGAAGGUACAUGGUUUGCUACUAUCUUGCUACUCUUUUUGUACUGUCAUUAGAUAGUAAUACUAGUGGUUUGCAUGUGAAUUUAUUGGUAGGGUGGACCUACAUUGGAGGUGCAGGAUAGGAUUCAAUGAUUGGAUGCUCAAUUUCGGUUGUAUCGAUUUCACCUCUUCCAUCACUGCGAACAUGGAUAUCCUUGGUCUGAUGAAGAAUAGGCGCUAUAUUUCUGCUCUGAACCAGCAAAUCAAUUCAGUAUGAAAUUGUCCAGGGCAAAACAUAACUGUAUCAGAUUGUCCAGUGCAGAACAUGACAGAUGCUAAGCGGAAGAGACAUGUUUAAACCGAAAAUACAUGGUGUGGUAUAUGUCUACUAGCUGCUUGAUAUUUGUGCAGACAGAGAUGUCUGCCCGUUGCUAUUUGGCAAACAAACAAAGUGUCCGCAAUUUUGGUUGAACUGCACAAGAGAAUAGUAUAGUCACUGCAUGCAGUGCCAUUUGAAAAUAGACACAGAAAGAUUGGAUAGUCACUUCAUGGACUGCAGAAAAGUAGUACUGUACUAUUUAUUGGCCAACACUAGGUGCUUCAUUGCUUUGGUCUGGUUAUACAAUGGGCAUCAUUUUGCCUAAGUUAAAGUUUGUAUUCCGACAAUAGUCUCGAGGUGUGAUCGAGAGAAGACCAAAUCAUAUUGCAGUGGAUGUUCCUCCAUCAUGUGUGGUUCAUUCUCAUGGUUCCAGCUGUUGGUGAAACCACUUACGUUUGCAAGAGGAAUUGUAGACUUCACAAACAAAUUUGUCUUUCAGUCUGUACUGAAUGUUGGCCAAGAGAAGCAUCCAUGUUAGUAGGAAGAACAGAUGUUUUUUUCUAGAUCUUUGCUUUUGGAGCUACAUAUUUGUAUAUGAUCUGUGAAUCAUUGAGAUGCAUUAACAUGUUGAUCUUAUGUAUGGGAAUCGUACUAGUUAGUUUUAGUUGCGACGCAAGAUCCGAAGUGACUAAUCUUUGCUUUUGGAGCUACAUAUUUGUAUAUGAUCUGUGAAUCAUUGAGAUGCAUUAACCAUUACUUAUUUCUGUUCGCUCAGUGUUUACAAGUUACUGAUCGAUCACUAGCUAGCCUAGAAAUGCGCUCCUGGCAGUUUUAUUUGCGACGCAAGAUGCGAAGUGGCAGUUUUUUGAAUAAAAAUGCCUACCUCUGAAGAAACUGACAAGCUACACUAUCGAUCCUACACGGAUAAAUAGCGGAUCACGCACGUACUACCUCCUUUCCGGUUUGUAGGGCUCAAUUCAAGAAACGACCUACUCGAUCCUACAUGAAUAAAUAGCGGAUCACGCACGUACUAUUACCUCAUUUCCAGUUUGCAGGGCUUAAUUCAAACCUCUCACCAACCAAGGUACUCCCUCCGUCCGGGUUUAUUAGUCCCGUGAGCAAAGCAGCAAGACCAAGGCAUGGCAAUAAUUAACGGCAUGCAGAAGUUUAAGCCUAAUUAAUUCCAGCGAUUUAAGUGGCUGCAUGCGUGCCCUCGGCUGCUCGUUGCAUGCUGCUUCGCGUACUGGCUGCGAGCGAUUCUGAGUGCCUGCAUGCAGCCGGCCGUAAUUAAGGCAGCUAACUGAUGCAAAAAAAGAUGCGCUUUAAUUGUUGCGGGCUUUUUAAAUCCGUGGAAUCAUUAUUGACAAGGAGGGAGAUGAUUCGAGUGCACUCGUUUGACCGUCAUGCCGGCGUGCGACCCAGACAGGACGGGACGGCACAGUCAUAAUUUCAGUUUCUCUAGUUUCCACGGCAAGCUGGCGCGCUAAGCCAUUAUGCAUUGAAUUCCGAUGACCGUCGCGCUACCUUCCGCCUAUAAGUACUGUUUCCCGGCCUUCUCCGGUGGCACCGUGACCCAACUUGCCAUAUCCUCAUAAGCCCCUACUGGCCCGACGUCGCUCGCCACGUCCGCCAUGCCCCCGCCCGUCCGUGGUAGGCGACACCGGAGGCGGUCACCGCCGGAACUAGUGUUCGGUUUUUCACCGGAAGGCAGACGGAGAGAGGAGGCAUUCUAUCUGUCUUUAGAUGGCAAUGCGGAGAUCGAGGAGUUGUUGGAGCGCGACCGCCUGGCGGAGGAGCAGGAGUUGUUGGAGCGCGACCGCCUGGCGGAGGAGCAGCAUAUCGCCAAUUUGCGCCGCCAGUGGGACAUGGAGCAGCAGCGCACCGACGCUCUGAGUCGCGAGCAGAGCGCCCGCAACUGGGCCGACUACGUGGAGGCCGGCGCCCGGCAAAUAGCCCUGGAGGCUGUCGGGCACGCACGCGUUCGCGACGCCGAUUUUUACUACCAGCUCGCCAAGUGGGUUUCUCGAUUGGAAGCCGAAGCUUCGGUGGACCACGCCGGCAUGGAAAGGGCCAACGCGCGCGAGCAACGCGCCCUAUCGCACCUCUUGCAAGUCCGAGGCGAGGCGCAGGACGCCGGUGCCGGCGUUUAGCGUGUACCACAGAUGGCGGCCGGCAUCGUCUAGUUAGCUAAGAGUAAGUUAGUACUUGUAUGCUACUAGAGUAUUAGUGGGAGUAGAUAGUUAACUUGGCUAUGAUGGUUGUCAAUGUGGAAGUUCAGUACUCUAUAUGUGGAUCAGACCUGUUACUUUGCUCUGAAUGUUGAACUUUUCGUUUGAACGUAUGGAAUGGGCUGUUAUUUUUUUAAAUGGGUUGUUUUGUCCUCCACGGGUUUAGAGGCUGACUUGUGGGCCUACCAAGUUGUCCCGUACACAAUCAGGAGAUGAUUGUACGUGGAGAGGAUGACAGCAGGGACCCGCCAAGGUCAUGGCUGUACGCAAGCAAGUGCCUCCUUAUUUCAAGCCAAUAAAAAAAUGGCUCCUCCUAGUGGAUUUCUGACAUCUGGGUCCCAUGCCAUUGUCAACAUAGUCAAUAAACGAGAGAAUUGCACAACGAGCGGCUGACACCAGGGACCCAGCAGCUCGCCCAGUUAUUUUUGUUUUGGGUUAAUUUGAUAAAUACCACUCCGAAUCUGGUGUAUCCGAGAAAUGCCGCUGCAAUUUCCAAACUUUGAAAAAUGCCAUUUCAUAACAUUUCUAGUGGCAUUUUUUGAAGUCUGGAGUGGCGUUUUUAAAAGUUUGCAAACUGCAGUGGCGUUUUUCAAAGUUUGCAAAAAUUGCAGUGCCAUUUUUCAAAGUUUGGAAACUGCAGUGGCAUUUUUAUGAAUCGCCAUAAUUGGAGUGGCAUUUAUCUAAUUUGUUUUUGAGACGGAAGCAGGGUGUCAACUGGGCUGUGCGGGACACUCUGGCCUGUCUAGACAGCCUUUUCUUUUAUGUUUACCACAGACCAGCCCCGUAGUUUUUUUUCUUUUUGAAAAUGGCUAGCCCAAUUUUUUUGUGAUUUGUCAAGUAAGUCGCUUUAUCAGGCCUGUUGGGCUGCAAAUCUUUCAAGACGAGGAGAGCUUCAUUCGGCUGGCCGAGAAAAUGGCUUAUCAGUAAUGAGAAAUGGGUUGUACAUUUUUAAAACACAUCAAACCGGCAAUUAGUUUCAAAUAUCUUUUUUUCAUUUCGAGAUUUUAAAUUGCAUUGAUUUUUAUGCGUGGACAAUUUAUUGGAUUUUAUAUUGAUAUACAUUUAUUUUUAAAAUCAGUCUGAAUGUGACUCGAAAUUUCGAGAUUAAAAAUAGUUCAGACCGCACCGACAUAUGCAAAAUUUCGUAUAAUUUUUUAACCGUGGCCACAAUAUGGGCUGUGAUGCUAACAAAAAGAAUAUGGGCUCCAAAAAACCCGUAAGAAUUAGCAAAUGGGCUGUAAAUUAUUUAAAAUAAUGGCAGAUGGCCUGUAUGGUGUUUUCCACAGAUUUGAGGCUUUCCACAGAUGGCCUGUAUACUGUUGGAUGUCCAUCCAACGGCCGUCGUGCUUCUUCAAUCUCUACUCUUCCUGCUCCAGCCGCUCAAACAAGCAUCGGCGGGACUGCCUGCUCCCUCCUCCCCGCGGCUGGCUGUGCUGCCGCGCAGGCCUCACCACCCCACCGUACUCCCAUCGCUGGCCUAGCCAUCCCUCUACUCACCCACAGUCCCACACCUGCUGUUAUUCUCCGGCGACGGCAGACGAACCAGUAAACCCUCGUACAGUCGUACUCCCCUCCGCAUGGGAAACAACUGUCGAGUCUUCCCUGCCUCCGUGUUGUUCCCUUCCUAGGCCUCAUCGUCGUCCACCGCCCUGGUGCUCUCGGCAUGGCGUGGUCAACGUGGUCAACGACCGACAUGCAUCUGAAGUGGACUGUACGUGGAGAGGCUGACAGCUGGGUCCACGGCCGCACGCAAGGAAAUGCCUCCUUAUUACGCGCAAGAUAAUGAUUCCUCCACCUGACAUCUGGGACCCACCGAAAGGGCCUCUGUAUUUCGCGAAAAAACGUUACCGCCGCUGACAGCUCGGACCCACCAGCUAUAUCUUCGCACGCAAGGAAGUGCCUCCUUAUUACGCACAAAAAAUGAAUACUCCCCCUGCUAGCUGGGACCCAGUAUAGUGGGCCUACUAAGUUGACGGGGACAAAGGGCUUUGUCAACUUAGUCAAUAUGCACGAUUCUAGCUCGACUGACCGUACGAUGUCCAUCCAACGGCCGUAGUGCUUCUUCAACCUCUGGUCUUCUUGCUCCAGCCGCCCAAAGCAGCGCCGGUCGUGCCGCCUGCUCCUGCCUCCCGUGGCCGGCUGUGCUGCCGCGGAGGCCUCACCGCCCCCAUACUACUCCCACCGCUGGCCAGGCCAUCCCUCCACUCCACUCACCCACACCCCCUGUUAUUCUGCGGCGACGGCAGCCUCACGCCGCAGCAAACCAGUGAACCCUCGUAGUCCUCUACGCGUGGGCAUCCACUGCCGCGUCUUCACCGGCUCCGCGUCGUCCCCUUCCUAGGCCUCGCCGUCGUCCACCGCCCUGGUGCUCUCGGCGCGGCGUGGUCAACAUGGUCAAGGAACGGCUUCCAACGGACGUGGACUGUACGUGGAGAGGCUGACAGCUGGGUCCACGGCCGCAGCAAGGAAGUGCCUCCUUAUUACGCGGAAAAUAAUGAUUCCUCCACCUGACAGCUGGGACCCAUCGGACGGGCCACUGUAUUUCGCGAAAAAACGUUUCCCCCUGACUGCUGGGACCCACCAGCUACAUCUUCGCACGCAAGGAAGUGCGUCCGGGCAAAAAAAAUGAUUCGCCCCCCUGACUGCUGGGACCCACCAGCUACAUCUUCGCAGGCAAGGAAGUGCCUGACAGUCGGGACCCACCUGGUCAAAGCGUACGUUGUCAUUCUGGUCGCGAAUGUGUACGUACAUACUGGUCGAUGUAGAGGCGCGCACGUAGCAUGUACACGUACGUACAACGGCCAGGGUGAGAAAAUACGGCCACGUACGUACAUACGGGCGGGGUCUCGAACGCCUACUCGCUACGUACGGCCAGGGCUCGUGUACAUGGCUGGGUCGGAACAGAGAAACAGCGUCGUCGUCGUAUUCAUGGGGAGCCAACCGGCUGGGUCGGAACGGAAUGCGUGGUGGUGUUCAUCGGGAGGGCUUGGACGGAACAGGCGAUGGAAACGAGGCCUGACGUACCGCACAAUGCAGGAAAUGGCCUUGUGUUCGACCGGCCACGUUCGAAACGGGAUCCUGUUGAUCGGGAGGGGUGUGGCGUACCGCAAAACGGAGGAAACGGACCUCCUACGGUCGAAACGGGGGUCCUGUUGAUCGGGAGGGGUGUGGCGUACCGCAAAACGGAGGAAACGGACCUCCUACGGUCGAAACGGGGGUCCUGUUGAUCGGGNNNNNNNNNNNNNNNNNNNNNNNNNNNNNNNNNNNNNNNNNNNNNNNNNNNNNNNNNNNNNNNNNNNNNNNNNNNNNNNNNNNNNNNNNNNNNNNNNNNNNNNNNNNNNNNNNNNNNNNNNNNNNNNNNNNNNNNNNNNNNNNNNNNNNNNNNNNNNNNNNNNNNNNNNNNNNNNNNNNNNNNNNNNNNNNNNNNNNNNNNNNNNNNNNNNNNNNNNNNNNNNNNNNNNNNNNNNNNNNNNNNNNNNNNNNNNNNNNNNNNNNNNNNNNNNNNNNNNNNNNNNNNNNNNNNNNNNNNNNNNNNNNNNNNNNNNNNNNNNNNNNNNNNNNNNNNNNNNNNNNNNNNNNNNNNNNNNNNNNNNNNNNNNNNNNNNNNNNNNNNNNNNNNNNNNNNNNNNNNNNNNNNNNNNNNNNNNNNNNNNNNNNNNNNNNNNNNNNNNNNNNNNNNNNNNNNNNNNNNNNNNNNNNNNNNNNNNNNNNNNNNNNNNNNNNNNNNNNNNNNNNNNNNNNNNNNNNNNNNNNNNNNNNNNNNNNNNNNNNCACUGUUCAUCCAAUCGAUCGGCUUCAGUUAGCAGCAGUAGCGAAGGAAUUGCUCGAUCGGGUUUAGUUAACAGCCAUCGAUCGGUCGCUCGGGUUCAGUAACGCGUAGCCUGCAGUGCAAUCGCUCGGGUUCAGUUAGAGCCCAACGCCUCGCUCGGGUUUAGUUAGAGCCAACGCCUCGCACACACGCGCGUACGUGUACGAGAGAAACGCGCAUCGCUCGGCCCCCGACCUCCCACCGUAACCGGGAACUCCCCGAAAUUUUCCUCGCCCUUGCUUCUACCACGGUUUUUUUCCGUCAUGGACGGCCCAAAGAAUGUCAUGCAGCUGCGUCUCCGGCCCGCCCAGGACGAAAAGCCCAUUUUCUGUCAUAAUUUUGUCAUAGAAGUAGGAGCCCACCACAUUUAUGAUGAUACCGGGUUUGUCACAAUUAUCGUCAUAGAAGUGUCAUAUGUAUGACAGAAUUUUUUUUCGUUCGGCCCAAAAUGUCACGGAUGUGUCUUUUUUUUGUAGUGUGGGCUGGCUAGCUGGGUUGCGCCGGCUGGCUGAGGCCCGGGGGGCAGGGGGUUGUGGCCUUUUUUACUUUUGUUUUGUUUUUCUUUUGAAAAAGUUUUCUGUUUUGUUUUAUUUCCUAUUUAUUGUGACCUUAUAAAAUAUACAAUUAGCUCCUACAUUAGUGAUCCUAAAUAUACCACAGCCACUAAAAGUUUUGUGCAAAUUAAAAUAAUUUGCAUAUUUUUAUCAUUUUAAAAGGCAUUUAAAUAUUUGUUUUAGCCAUUGAUUUAUUUAUUUUAGUGCAUUUAAAUACUUUAUAAAAAUGUUGGUUCACCACCAUUAUUAACAAAUGAUUAUUUACCACAAUUUGAACAUUUUAGUAUUGACUUUGGAUUUUUUUUAUUGUUUGACUUUAUUUUAAAUUUGAAUUUUGGUUUGGUUUGGAUCAACCUGGGACCUAGCAAUAACAAAAGUGAUGACAUGACAUCAUUAGCAUGGGAUUACUGUAGUUUAAUUAUCUGGCCGUUACAUAUGUAUCAUAAAACGCGAUGAUUUCUUCUCUUUGAUGUUAUUUCUGAACGAAUAGGUACUUAUGGACUUGGAGUUAGGGUUGCAGGAGCUGCCAGGGACCCACAAGCCUGUCAGGCGCGGCAUGGGGGGUGGGCGCGCCCCCUGGGCUUGUGGAGCCCUGGUGGCUCUCCUCUGGUAAUUUCCUUCGCCGAUAUUUUAUAUAUAUUAUGAAAUAAUUCUCAGUAAAUUUUCAGCUCAAUCUGAGAACUUUUAUUUCUGCACAAAAAAUAACACCAUGGCAAUUCUGCUGAAAACAACGUCAGUCUGGAUUAGUUACAUUCAAAUCAUGUAAAUUAGAGUCCAAAAUAAGAGAAAAAAUGAUUGGAAAAGUAGAUACGUUUGGGACGUAUCAUGAACCAUGACUUUGUUCAAAUGAAAUUCUAAGAAAAAUUUAGGGGCUUGAAGUUUUGAGAGAACAAGUGAUACGCCUUAAACGUAUCUUAUUUUCUAAACACUUUUGCUCUUAUUUUUUACUCUAAUUUUCAUGAUUUGAAUGAAACUAACCCGGACUGAUGUUAUUUUCAGCAGAACUACCAUAGUGUUAUUUUUGUGCAGAAAUAAAGUUUCGGAUGGAGCAGAAAUUUGACAUAUAAUUUUUCUGGAAUAUAUAAAAAUACUGGUGUGAAGAUAUACCCGAGGGGGGCACCAUAGAGCCACAAGCUCCCGUGGCGCCCCUUAGGGCGCGCCACCCAGGCUUGUGGGACCCUCAGGACUCUGUUCGCCCUACCUCCAACUCCAUAAAUACAAUCUUGUGGAGAAACAAAUAAGAGAAAAUGUUUCAUCGCGUCUUACAAUAUGGAGCCGUCGCCACCUCCCGAUCUUCAUCAGGAGGGCUAUUUUGGAGGCCGUUUAGGGCUCCGGAGAGGGGAUUCGUCGUCAUCAUCAUCACCAACCCAUUUUCACCAUCAAUUUCAUGAUGCUCGCCGCCAGGAGUGAGUAAUUCCUUCGUAGGUUUGCUGGACGGUGAUGGAGUUGGAAGGGCUUGAUCCCUAGUAUCGACUAUAUUUUGAGAUUAAUGUUGCUAUGACUUUUCUAUACUCAAUGCUUAUCGCUAGCCCAACCGCCCUGAUUUCAGAUCUGAACACUCUAUGUUUUCAUGAAUAUAUUUGAGUUCUUGAUCCUAUCUAGUUAUAUGCACUUGUUAUUGUUAUGAUCCAUAAACCCCAAAGUGACAACAGUUGGGAUACUCUCCGGGGAUGACUGUGAUUCGAGGAGUUCAUGUGUAUUCAUCAUAUGUUGAUGCUUUGUUCUGGUUUUUUAUUAAAAGAAGGCUUUAAUAUCUCUUAGCUUCCUUAUGAACCCCGCUGCCACGGGAGGGUACGACAACAGAUGACAUGCAAGUUCUUAUAAUAAGCAUGUAUGACUAUAUACGAAAUACAUGCCUAUAUUAAAUUGAUGAAUUGGAGUUGUUGUGUAUCACUCUAGGUUGUGACUGUUAUAUGAUGAAUGUCAUCCAACACAAAUAUCCAUCGCUGAUCCAAUGCCUAUGCUUUGCUCAUAUUGAUUUUGCUAAGUUACUAUUAUUAUCGUUGCUGUUAGAAUCACUUCAAAACUGUUAUUGUUACUCUUCCUGCGACUACUACUAAUAUCAAAACUAUCAAACUACUGUGCCACUAAAUACUUUGCUGCAGAUAUUUAGCUCUCGAGGUGUGGUUGAAUUUACAACUCAACUGCUAAGACUUAUAAAUAUUGUUUGGAUCCCCUUGUGUUGAACCAAUAAAUUGGGUAAAAUACUACCCGCGAAGACUGUCGCGACCCCUUAUACCAUUGUAUUUCCCCCUUGUUUUACUAUUCCUGCAUUUUCAUUAGGGGGAGAAAAAAUCAUGUCCUUGUAUAAACAUGAUUUUUUGAAUAGUUUGGUAUAAUUUUGUUCACUUUCCCUUGUUUUAUUAUUCUUGCAUUUUCACCCGGCAGAGUCGCUCAUUUUUUUGGACGCCUAUAACGAAUGAGUCAUUCAUUUAGGAGGGGAGAUCAAUGCGAACGAAUUCGUUCGGGGGGAGAACCACCCCCGGCGGGAAGGCACCUCCGCGUGACUCUACAGCCUGGUAGUGAAAAAGCCGAACUAUUUUUUUGUUGUGCUAGACUAAAGCUCAGAUUUUGCUAUGCUACGAAACAAUAAUGUCAACAACUUUAAAAGCACAAAAUAUGCCACGGGUAAAAAGAUUUGUUUUUCAAUGACCCAAAAGAAAAUUUUCCAUGGAAGAUUCAUAGUAAAAAAUGCCAUGGUAUGUUUAAUUAAUUUUCGUUAUAUUGUAUACACAAUUUGAACACAAAAUUAUGUGUGAGGUAUUUGCCAUGGUGUGGUAGUAUAAAUUGCCAUGUUUAAAAAAUACAAUUGCCAUGGUACUAAAGAAUAAAAUUUACAUCACAAAAAUUAAAGAAAAAAGGGAAUUUGCUAUGGUCCAUCAUCUCAUACAUAAUUUUUCAUGAUCUCAAAAACUAAAUUUGUAGUGGAUUAAAAAUUUUAUCACACUACAUAUAAUGAAAUGUUUAUGCAUGGAAAACUUAGUUAGUUUUUCUUCAAAAAAAUAUGGCAAAAUUAGAAGAGUUUUCACUAAAACACAUGUCAACUUUUUGAAAAUGUAACGGUACAUGGAUUUUUGUUAAAAAGAUGGCAACAAUAUACUCAUGAAAAAUAAUCUAGGAAAUCCAUACUGCACAACCAAGAAGUUGCCAUGCUAUAUAGUGCAUGAAAUAAAAAAUUUCCAUGGCAAUACAUGUUAAAUAUUUGACAUGGCUAUUUAGGUAAAGUUGCCAUGUCAAUUAAGCUAAAUUUACCUUGGCAAAAAUAAAAGGUAAAACUUGCCAUGGCAAUGAAUGUUAAGAGUUGCCAUGGCGAUUUAGGUAAAUUUGACAUGUCAAGUAAAGUAAUUUUGCCAUGGCAAAAAUAAAGAGUUAAUUUUAUUGCCAUGAUUUUUACCAUAUACAUGAAGACACAAAAAAUGCCGAUUGAAAAAUGCCAUGGCAACUAAAAAGUAAAAUUUGACAUGGAUGUAAAGGUUAAUUUGCCAUGGCAAGUAAAGAAGUAAACUUGCCAUGAGCAAAAGUAAAAGUAAAAAAGUUGCCAUGUAUGUAAAAAAGUGAAUUUCCAUGUAUGUAAAGGUCAAGUUGCCAUGGCAAAACAGAAAAGGUUAAUUUGGCAUGGCACUUUUAAAAAGGGUAAAUUUACCAUUGGCAAAAAGAAAGGUAAAAUUGCCAUGGUUAUAAAGUAAAACUUACCAUGGCUAUAAAACUAAAUUUACUAUUACAUAAAUUGCCAUGAAGGUAAAUAAGCCAUGGCAGAAAGGAAAAGUAAAUUUUAAUUAGCCAUGAUCGACUAAAAAGUAAAAUUAGGCAUGUAUGUAAAAGUUAAAUUGCUAUGAUAUCAUAGAUAAUUCUGCCAUGGUAAAAAAUAAAUGUAAAGUUAAAAUUCGCCAUGGAAAAAAUAGAAGUAUAAAUUGCCAUGUCAAUAAAAGUUAAAAUUUGCCAUGGAAAUUAAGGUGAAUUUGCCAUGGAAAAAGAAAAGUAAAUUAAUUAGCCAUGAUGGGCUGAAGUAAAAAAAAUUGACAUUAUAUGUAACAGGAAAAUGCCAUAGUAGUGUAGAUAUUUUUUUCAUAGCCAAAAAAAUAUUGACAUUAUAUGUAAAAGGAAAAAUGCCAUAUUAGUGUAGAUAUUUUUUUCAUAGCCAAAAAAUUGCAAAUUUGCCAUUAAAAAGCAUACAUUUCAAUGGAAUAAAACUUCCCAUGGCGAUUUAUGUUAAAUUACCAUGUUAAAAAGGUAAAUUUGUCAUGUCAGCAUAGAUAAUUUUGCCAUGGCCAAAAAAAUGUAAAAGUAGAAACUGCCAUGCUAAUAAAAUUGAAAUUUGCCAUGGCGAUUUACGUAAAAUUGCCAUGUCAAUGAAGGCAAAUCUGCCAUGUGACUAAGAUACAAUUCUAAAAAUAUCGUUAGAUUUGCCAUCGUCUUAAUCAAAAUUUAGACAUAGGCCUAAAAUGUCAAAAUGCUUGUACGUUGAGGGACAUGGCUACAAAUUAUGAACAAAAAAAUGACAUGUCAUAUGCAUAUUAAAAUCUUGCUAUGACGUUUCAGUUAUAAUUCCAUUCUUUGUGUAAGAAAAUUGCCAUGAACAUAUUCAUUCAUAUAUUAAAACAACACCUGGCAUGCUCCAUGCUGGCUCUCAAAAACAUUCAUAGCAAAAAAUAUAUAAAAAAUUGCCAUGGCAAAACUAGUUACAAAAAAGAGAGAUGGUAGGAGGUUUUAAAUUGAAAAUUUGCCAUGGCAAAUGAUAUCUAAUUCGAAAUGAUUUGCCAUGGUAUAUGCAAUUAAAUGAUGUGUAAUUCAUGAGAAAAUGUAGAAGAAAAGUGGUGAAUUAAUCACUAGGGUGGAGCUGCAUCGCUGGGCGGCGGCUAAAAUGAAAGCUGGCGAUUAGUGGCGGAGUCCCCUCCCGGCGACGCUCGGCAGAUGCUCGGGCUCUGCCAAAAAACUUCCAUUAGAUUACAGUAGGAGCUGGAUAAUUAAUCACCAGUCUUAGUGGGCAAAUGCCCAUGAAGCACAUCCCGUUGUAUUAUGCCCAGGCUCCAUGGAAGGGCUAGCUCCAUCACCGGCGACGGUGGAAUUGGAGCUGGAGAAAGUGAGGGACGGCAGGGAGAGAAGAGGGGUAAGGUGGAGCCGUACGCGUUCGUUUCGGUCGCGUGUCGCACCGAACAACCGCGAAAAGUGACGUGGACACUGAGCUAACAUUAAGAUUAGUGCGAAUUAAACGGACGGCGGAAACAGCGUUCGGCCUGAAACGUCCAAAAUCUGACGUUCGGCACUUAUUGUUUCCAAGAAAGAGUCGCUCGUUCAUCUCACAUCACUCGGCUGGUCUCUGGGCCAUCCCUCGGGCCGGGCCACACACGACUACCCUUCACUUCCGCGGGCCGCAGUCGCGUGCCCAUUCCCCCCUUUCGGCCCUCACGUAUCCGGGCCGGGAGACUAGCACUAUAUAUACCGGGCAAGCGAUGCCGCCCUAGGGUUCUUCCUUCACCCCUGCUUCCAUUCUCUUCCUCCGGGAGCGCCGCCGCUUCCUCAUCUCCCACCUCUCGGCUCGGGAGCCGGAAGCGAAACCCCAAGGUGAGCCGGACCUCCCCCUCCUUCCUUCCUCCCCGCGCUCCGGUCGCCUCGUUGGUGCGUCGCUUCUCCGUAGUCCGUGCUAACUGCUGCCUAGUCGUUCGAUCGAUUCCACCGGUUUUAGUCUCCUCGCUAGCUCGACGCGCUUCAGUUCACGUCGCUGGAUCUGUCGUCGUUCUUCCGUGUUUUUCAUGUUCUCAAGCGCCGUAGAUCUACUGCCUUGUUCGUCCUGCUCGCCUGUUCGAACGGUUUUGUUCUGACGUCUGUAGAUGCGCGCUAGGUUGUUGUUCCGUCGUGAUUCACGUGGAUCUGUUGUCCCGGUGUUGGUUUUGGCCAUUUUGCUAUGCUGUUGGUUCAUGAGGUUUGCUAGAAUGCUCGAUCUGUAGGGUAUUUGCUCGCUCGCUUGCCUGCCUAUCGUAACCUGGUCGGUGUUAUUCUCUGCUCUCAUGCUCAGAUCGGAGAAAAUUGUAUCACUGCUUUGCAUGUUCAUUUUAACUUGAAAGAGAGCUACCGAUAUUUAUCAUCUGUGUGUUUCAGUGUUUUAUGUAAGUUCAGUUCAGGCACUCUGCAUGAAUUUCGGUCUGAUCUGAUCAUUAUUUCGUUUGGAUGAAUAUGUGCUAGUAUUUUCUGUGUUUUCCUUGGUAUUUGAUGGUUGCGCCACUUGAGAGUUUCAACUCAAUGACGUUCUGUUCCAUUAUUUAUAGCGUUUAUGUUGGUAGUUACAUGAUAUCACAGUCAUUAGCGCAUAAAACUGUGAUUCCAUGACAAAUCAGCCUCUAUUACAUUUACCCAAGUCUUGACUUUGUCUGUAAUCACCUUUACACUGUUUUGCCAUUUGACAUAAUCUUCUGGAGAAGUUUUUAUCUAUGUACCACCCCUUUAUAAGCUCCACAGACCUGGAAGUACUUGGGGUUUUAGUUAGUGAAUCCAUUUCCUGUUUUUGCUUCAUAGUUGCUUCAGUGCUUUUGCAUGUAUGCUCUGCAUAAUAUUUCUUUGUUAUUGCUGUGUUGUUUUUUCUCAUACUGUGACUGUCAGUUCUCUUAAUAUUGUUUGGGCUUGCUUUGUUGCUGCCUUCUCAGUGCACUUCUAUUAGUCCUAAUAUAUUAAAUUUAAUAAGCUCAGUUGACCAUAUUAUAUAUUUCAGGGGAUGUUGGUGGAAGUGUUGGUUAAAGUAGUUUUGUAGCAGUGUAUGAACCUUAUUGUUGUACACCAAUGUUAAGUGCACUUUCGAGUGGACAAUUGUGGUUUUAAUUACUUGGACAUCCAUUAUUAUAUUACUGCCAGAUUUCAUGUAUAGUUAUUCGAACUGUAUUAGUGCUUGAUUCUGAUAGCUUGCUAUUCUUUGAACAGGUACUGUAGUCCUGGCGUGACAUUCAAAAGCAGUCAAGAUGGUGAAGUUCACAGCGGAGGAGCUCCGUGGAAUUAUGGAUAAAAAGAAUAAUAUUCGUAACAUGUCUGUUAUUGCUCAUGUUGACCACGGUAUGUGAUUGAACAGUGUCAGUUGUCUCUAAUUAUAAUGUUUAUACAGUAUAAUCUUUUAGAUUGAUGUUUUUGUAGCCUGCUCUUAGUUGUGCCAUAUUAUUUCUAGAACCUGGAUCUCUAUAUUAAUAACUGUUUCACUGUUUUAAUACAAGUUUCAGCUCUUGCUGUCUCCUGGAGCUUAUUCUUACUGCUUGUAUGAUUGAUUAAUGCUUUAACAAGCUUAAAUGCAACUAUUAGAAUAUAAUUGCAUGGCUCAAAAUCUCCCCAGUUUGGUGUAUGCUCCUGCUAGUUGCUGAAUGUAUUUCAAUUUACACGGUUAUACUUAGUAACACAAAAAUGCAUUUCCUUCUAUUAAUGUUGUUUGCAAUGUCCCACCAGAUUUUGUUAACCAUGUUACUAAAUACCUGGUUUGUCCUCUUUUAAUCAUGGUUUGUUUCAAUGUACUUUAAUGUUGUGCUGUACUUUACAUCUCUCAGUGGUUAAUAUGUUCAAGUGUAUAUUAAUGUAUAUCACGUUCAACUGUCAAUCUGGAUGCUUUUGCACCGUCCUCACCCAUAUUUACAUGUUUGCAGGCAAGUCUACGCUUACGGAUUCCCUUGUGGCAGCUGCUGGGAUUAUCGCCCAGGAAGUUGCUGGUGAUGUUCGCAUGACUGAUACCCGUGCAGAUGAGGCAGAACGUGGUAUUACAAUCAAAUCCACGGGUAUCUCUCUGUUCUAUCAGAUGACUCCUGAAUCACUUGAGAUGUACAAGGGCGACAGGGAUGGGGAUGAAUACCUGAUCAACCUUAUUGACUCACCUGGUCACGUUGACUUCUCUUCGGAAGUGACAGCUGCUCUUCGUAUCACUGAUGGUGCUUUGGUGGUGGUUGACUGUAUUGAGGGUGUCUGUGUGCAGACCGAAACUGUGCUGCGCCAAGCUCUUGGUGAGAGGAUUAGGCCUGUCCUCACCGUGAACAAGAUGGACAGAUGCUUCCUUGAGCUUCAAGUGGAAGGUGAGGAAGCAUACCAGACUUUCUCCCGUGUCAUUGAAAAUGCCAAUGUCAUCAUGGCAACAUAUGAAGAUGUGCUCCUUGGUGAUGUCCAAGUGUACCCGGAGAAGGGGACUGUUGCAUUCUCUGCUGGUUUGCAUGGGUGGGCUUUCACCCUUACAAACUUCGCUAAGAUGUAUGCCUCCAAGUUUGGAGUUGAUGAGGCGAAGAUGAUGGAGAGGCUUUGGGGUGAGAACUUCUUUGACCCAGCCACAAAGAAAUGGACCUCCAAGAACACUGGGACAGCUACCUGCAAGAGAGGUUUUGUUCAGUUCUGCUACGAGCCAAUCAAGCAAAUCAUCGCCACCUGCAUGAAUGAUCAGAAGGAUAAGUUGUGGCCUAUGUUGAAGAAGCUGGGUGUGACCAUGAAGAAUGAUGAGAAGGACUUGAUGGGCAAGGCUCUCAUGAAGCGUGUGAUGCAAACUUGGCUGCCUGCCAGUCGUGCUCUGCUUGAGAUGAUGAUAUUUCACCUUCCCUCUCCCUCAAAGGCACAGAGGUAUCGUGUGGAGAACUUGUACGAGGGUCCCCUUGAUGAUAUAUAUGCUAAUGCUAUCAGAAACUGUGACCCUGAUGGUCCUCUUAUGCUGUAUGUCUCCAAGAUGAUUCCAGCAUCUGACAAGGGUAGGUUCUUUGCCUUUGGACGUGUUUUUGCCGGGAGGGUUGCAACUGGUAUGAAGGUCCGUAUCAUGGGUCCCAACUUUGUUCCUGGCCAGAAGAAGGAUCUGUAUGUGAAGAGUGUCCAGCGUACUGUUAUCUGGAUGGGAAAGAAGCAAGAGUCUGUUGAGGAUGUUCCCUGUGGUAACACUGUUGCUUUGGUUGGUUUGGAUCAGUUCAUCACCAAGAAUGCAACCCUGACAAAUGAGAAGGAAGUUGAUGCCUGCCCAAUCAGGGCAAUGAAGUUCUCUGUGUCCCCUGUUGUGCGUGUUGCCGUUCAGUGCAAGGUGGCAUCUGAUCUUCCUAAGCUUGUUGAGGGUUUGAAGCGGCUGGCGAAGUCUGACCCUAUGGUUCUCUGUAGCAUUGAAGAGUCUGGUGAGCAUAUCAUUGCUGGAGCUGGAGAGCUUCACCUUGAAAUCUGUUUGAAGGAUCUGCAGGAGGACUUCAUGGGUGGUGCUGAAAUUAUUGUUUCCCCUCCCGUCGUCUCCUUCCGUGAGACUGUUCUUGAGAAGUCCUGUCGCACUGUCAUGAGCAAGUCCCCCAACAAGCAUAACCGUCUUUACAUGGAAGCUCGCCCAUUGGAGGAGGGAUUGGCUGAGGCUAUUGAUGAUGGCCGCAUUGGCCCGCGUGAUGAUCCUAAGGUUCGCUCCAAGAUCCUGUCUGAGGAGUUUGGGUGGGACAAGGAUCUCGCCAAGAAGAUUUGGUGCUUUGGACCUGAGACGACUGGCCCCAACAUGGUUGUUGACAUGUGUAAGGGAGUGCAGUAUCUGAAUGAAAUCAAGGACUCUGUUGUGGCUGGGUUCCAAUGGGCAUCGAAAGAAGGUGCUCUGGCUGAGGAGAACAUGCGUGGCAUUUGCUUUGAGGUCUGUGAUGUUGUUCUGCACACUGAUGCUAUUCACAGGGGUGGUGGUCAGGUCAUCCCAACAGCCAGGAGGGUCAUUUACGCUUCUCAGCUCACUGCCAAGCCAAGGCUGCUGGAGCCUGUGUACCUGGUUGAGAUCCAGGCCCCGGAGAAUGCACUUGGCGGUAUCUAUGGUGUUCUGAAUCAGAAGAGAGGGCACGUGUUUGAGGAGAUGCAGAGGCCUGGUACCCCGCUGUACAACAUCAAGGCUUACCUCCCGGUCAUCGAGUCGUUUGGGUUCUCAAGUACCCUCAGGGCGGCGACAUCUGGCCAGGCUUUCCCCCAGUGUGUGUUCGACCAUUGGGACAUCAUGUCUUCUGAUCCUUUGGAGGCCGGCUCCCAGUCCGCGACCCUUGUCACAGAGAUCCGCAAGCGCAAGGGUCUCAAGGAACAGAUGACCCCUCUAUCUGAUUUCGAGGACAAGCUCUAAACUUUUGCUUCUGUUACAUGGUCUAGUUUGCUUUUGCUGCUAAGAGAGCUGCACUAUUAUCUGUCUAUUGAGUCGUCGUCGCUGUAUUGCUAUUGGAAUGUACUCCUAUCUGUCGUGAUACUGGCACUUUGUUUUGAUGUCUGUCGAUGUUAAAACUUAGAUUAUAUAUCUGUCGCGAUACUUUUGAUGUCUAUCAAUGUUAAAACUUAGACUAUAUAUCUGUUAUGGUAGUUCUUGUUGAUGUCUUGUUUGCUUUUGUGUUAGAUCUUGAGAUCUCUGCCUGGUUCUUUAUUUUGCUCUAGUCUUGCUCUAUAUUUUUAAUGAUCUUGAGAGCUCCUCUACUUGCAGUAUUUCUUCCUGCUCUUAUCAUCAUUUUACCUUCCAUGUUUUAUGCCCAUCAAAAUGUGUUCCAUCUUCUGUCAGUUGUAUUUCAAUCUAUGCUGUACUUGUUUUUCUCCAUUUUCACGAGACACGCACUGAUGAUGAGAAAUUGCUCCCUAGUGCUAGAUACAUCUGUUGAGCAAACAACAUUUCAGACGGAGGAUGUAGUACAUUAGAGGAACUUGCCGAGAGAAUAUACUGUAGUAGAAGCAUCUGUUAAUGCCGAGAGUAUCCGAACUUGUAUCUCUUCGGAAUACUACAGAUUGAACCUUUGUAGGCAUGAAAGAAUAUUCACAUAAUUUUCAUGCUCAGUAACUCUCUUACUCCACGGUCAUAGCAAUAUUGAGUUCUGAAGUUGUUCAUGGUAAAUUCUGGCAUAUAAUUGAUUUGUCUGCUAUUUCUUUACUGUUACUGGAUGCAAUGUACUGAGUAGUUGUACACGGGCUCUAUGUAAUUAUGACACUUGCAAAUAAGCUUCAACCUUUUAAUUUUUGCUGAAACAUAGGCAUGCCAUUUAAUGACUUGUUUUCAUGACCAACUUUGCCACAAUUAAGCUUAGGCAAAGAGUGGCUAACAAAAUGUUUACUACAAGUGUGGCAAGAUUUGGCAAAAAAUUUGAGCCUAUGACAUGUGGAUCAUAUAGCUAGAAAAGUGUGGCAGCUAAGUGUGGCAAUAAACUAAAUACAUGCCUAAGAUGUUGUGGCACGACUAAGGUUAGACGCGGAAACCUUACGCUGCAAAUCAAACAUACCUUAACUAAAAUAAAGUGAUCUCAGGUUUCUUAAUUUGGACACGAUGUUCAUAAAUACAAAUAAUACUCUCUCCGUAUCUAAUACUAAAACGUGACUUGAUACAUCCGUAUUUAGACAAAUCUAAGACAAGAAUUUUGGGACGGGGGAGUAGAUGAUUGGCUUUGGUCAGUGUGUUCUGGCCGCUUUAUGGAUGCUUACUUUUAUCUUUUAUGAAAUUUCAAUACUUUUCAAAAGACAAGACAGACUUUUAAUUGCCAACAAAAAUAGUACGGGAAAAUAGGGCUGAGGCUCGUCCAUCAAAUUCUCCGCUAAAAGGGAAAAUAUAAAGUGGCGGAGCUAACAAUAAUUUUGAUUGAUUGCAUUCAUCUUUGGAUGAAAGCUUAGUUUGAGCAUGAUUCUCCAAAAAUAUUACCUAAAUGAUAAGCUUAAAAUCCGUAGCCUCCUAUUCACCAUCUCUAGUCAAUCAUGUCGAUCAUUUCAAUGGAUAUUAGAGUUAUGGAUCUUUAUUACGGCUUACCGCCUAAAGAGAAUAAGGUCGAUGCCGGGAAAUCCACCGGUGGUGCCCCUAUGGUACAUGGUGAGCUUCCCGUCACCACACAACUGUUGCCUUGACCAUGGUGGACUUUACGUUAAUGUUGGAUUUUUAAGUCCGCCAUGAUAAAAGAAGUUCAUUCCAUUUUCAAGGAAGAGGUGGGCUCGAAAGUCAAAGCCUCUACAUCCGCACAAUCCUCAUUUGCUCCAAGUGAGGUUCGUGAUGUGGACGAUGUAAGAGAACAUCUUGCUCUCCCCGAACCUACAAUUGCACCCCUCGCAAUUCCAUAGAGUGCCACUACACACUAUGACCUAUCCAACAUCCGGAUAUUAAUCAUGUUGGGCCUCCGCCCCCUUUGAAAGCUAACACAUUUUCUAAGCGGAAACUCACUCUGGAGUCUCACAUUUACAGUGCCUCUACACAACUCUCAUGGGUGAUUGCGAAUGGUUUCAAGCCCAAGGACCCAUCAAGCCUUACACCAAGGGAAGCCGUUGAUGAUCGAUUCAUUACCACCGCCUUCAACAUGCUCCGGCUUGCCACCACCGAUGAGUAUGCCAAUUCCAUUGCUAUCUUCAAGCCCCCCAAAGAAAUUUGAGAUUGCAUUGAGGAUAUAUUUGAAGGACAUGACAAUGUUCAGAGAUCUAGGUUGGUCAUUGUUCGUCAAUUUGUCCAUAAGGAAUGUGAGAGAGACCACUGAAGAGGUGUUCUGGAGAUUGAAGUCACUUGUGUUGGAUUCGAGAAACUUUUGGAGCCAUGGUCUUUACGAAUCAUACUAUGAUCAUGAUGAUCCACCAACAUCCCGACUAUGACCGAAUGACUCCCAAUCGAGUUGUGUCUUCUUUUGGAGAUCAAGUCCAAGAACACAAUGGCGAUUGAUCAAGAAAUAAAGAACUCCAAUCUAGCGCUAAAGGCCAAGAAGGUGGUCGGAUGUGCUACGAGAGAAGAAGUUGAUACCUCGUGUCAGGUUGACUUUGAGGAAGACUUGACCCUCUAGGUCAAGAAAUAUUCGGGCACAAAAGCAAAGAAAAGGGGAAGCAUCUUAAGGGAACAUCCUUUGGGAGAAGAACGUGCCACAAUCUUAUUAAUGUUACAUGGAGAAGAUUUCGUUUUGCGAUUGACUUCUCUCUCGCGCCAUCCGCCUCGCGAGCCGUCCGAUCAAGGUUGAUCGUGCUGCACUCAUCGUAUGUCACCCGUCCACCUGGGGCCCAUGCACCACCGUCCGCAUUAUAUCCAGCGCAACAACGAGAGCCACUCGCUCCCCCCCACAUGAGUGAGAUCCCCAUUUUUCCUCUUCAUAUUUGAAUCCCUCUUUGCACGGCCCCGUCGGAGCAGUCGCAAGCGGCAUGUAGCACCUGACGGGGAACCUGCUGCACCCUAGCAGCCGGCGACCCACAGCACCCGCGUCGGCGUUGCCCAGCAUCGUCGACCGUUCCCGUGCCCUAUGUUGCCGAGCAUCGUUGGCCGUUGCUGCGGUCGGUGUUGCCGAGCACGUCUGCGCUCAGCUCUCAUCUUCUUUUUUUUUUGAGGCACGCUCAGCUCUCAUCUGAAAUUCUCACCACGCCUGGACAUCAUCCCUUUCGGCCCGACUCCACAGUGGACAACAGACAGGCCAGCUUCACUUGCGGGCCGCAUUUCGCGUGGCCGGCCUUCCCCCUCCGCUCCGCGCGCAUCUUGGCCCGCACGGAACCAACAAAAUAGCAUAUAUAACGGCCAGCAAAUGCGACCUAGAGAGUCCUCACUUCCUUGAACCCUUUCCAUUCUCACGGAUCGGGAGCGCCGCCGCUUCCCCACCUCUCGUCUCUCGGCGAACCCCCAAGGUGAGCCGAACCUCCCCUCCCGCCUCCUCCCCCGCGCCCUCCGGCUGCUUCUCCGGCUGCUCCGUCGGCGGGCGCGUCCCUGCUAGCUAGCUACUGGCUGCUACCUGGCCGACCGAUUUCACGGGCUCUAGUCCAGCCUCCUCGCUAGCUCGAUGCGGUCCAGUCCCCUUUGCUGGGUUCGUGGCCGCUGGGAUUAUUCCUAUGUGGUUUCGAUGCUCUUAGACGCGGUAGAUCUGCUGCUUCGUUCGUCCCGCUCGCUUGUUCCUGGCGACGACUUUGUGCUGACGUCACUAGAUAGAUAAGCUCGUCGCUUCCGAUGCGCUUCUGCGGUGGCUAAGGGUGUUUGCCCCGUCGUGUUUAGCGAGGAUCUGCCCGCUCCGCCGUGGUGGACGGCGAUCUGUUUUAUGUGGUGUUCCGUUAGCUUUUUUCGCCAUUUUUUGCUGCGCUGCUGUUCAUCCACGGGCUCUUAGCAUGCUCAAGCUGCAGGGUUUUGCUCACUCGGUUGCCUGCCUGCCGUACCCUGGUUGGUUUCGUUCUCUGUUCUCAUGUUCAGGGCGGAGGAAAUGGUGAUGCAUACCUUUGCUUGGCAUGUUUAAUUUAAUUUGAUUGUGUAUAUAGAACGGGAGACUCUUAUAGAAUGGUGUGUCAGUUCUUAUCUACUUAUAGUUGAGGUAUUAUGGGUGAAUUUAUCCCUCAUCUGUUUUAUUUGGUUAAAUUGAUCCUAUGUGACUAUCUUCUGGUGUUCUUCUCAGUGCUCCCCAUGCAUGGUUGGUUGCACCUAUUUCAGAGCUCAACAUUAUGACCUUCUGUGCAUCGCAUUGUUUCUAGUGUUUACAGUGGUAGUUACUACUACAUGAUAAUACAGUCAGCACGUGUGCAUAAAACUAAAACUACCUUCUGUCACAAAUCAACUUUGCAUAAAACUACGAUUCUGUUUCGAAUCUGAUUUGUUUUCUCCAUCCACAUAUGAUUGAUUCAUGAGAGAUGUUUCUAUGAUCCACAAAGUUAUACAGAUCUGUAGGUACUUGAAGGUUUAGCUAGUGAAAUCCAUUACCUGUUUGUGCUUCAUACUUGCGCACACUUCAGAUAAUGGACUGCUUUUCUUUCUUAUCUUUCUUACUGUUUUGUGCUUUCUUUCGCAUACUGUCAUGUCGAGUGCUCUAAAAAUUGGUUGCCAUUGUUGCUUUCUGGCUUCCUUUUGAACGCACUUUGGGCAAUUAAGUUUUCAGAACAUGGUCUUCAGUUCCCAUAAGUUAGUUUUAGUAUGCUUGGUUGACUGUAACACAUAUUUCAUUUUAGUGGGUGUGGUUGUGGAAGUGUUGGUUAAAGUAUUUUUGGUACUGUACUUGAAGCUAAUGUGUGCCCAACAGUAGUAAGAGCCUUCUGUUUAUUCAGUUGUGGUUUUAAUUACUUAAUUUUUGUUCCAUUCUGAACAGGAACUAUAUUCCCAGCGUGAUAUCCAAAACCAGUCAAGAUGGUGAAGUUUACUGCGGAGGAGCUCCGCGGAAUUAUGGACAAGAAAAAUAAUAUUCGUAACAUGUCUGUUAUUGCUCAUGUCGACCACGGUAUGUGCCUGAACAUACAGUUGUCUCUAAUUAUUGAGUUCAUACAGUAGAAUCUUUGUUAAUCAAUGUUUUCAGCCUCUUAAUUUUACUGUAUUUAAUUCUAAAUACUGAAACUAUUUAAAUGGGUCAAUUUAACAAGUGGAGCAUAAUUAGUUUCAUCCCUAAAACCAAUCCAUCUUAUUGUGUCCUGGAGUUUACUACCACUGCUUAUUAUAUGAUUGAUUUCUGCUUCACCAAUAUGACUGAUUUCUGCUUCACCAAGCUUAAAUGUUACUGUUGACAUACCAUCCCAGGGCUUAUAUCUCCCCAGUUUGGUGUAUUCUCACAUUGUCCCUGAAUGCAUUACACUUGUAGGAUCUGAAAUUUACAUGAUUGUACUUAGUUACUUCAAUAUUGAUGUCCUUAUAUUCUGUUUGCAAUGUCCCACUAGAUUUUGCUUAACCAUGUUGCUAAAAACCUUGUUGAGCUUAUUUGUACCUUCUUUUGUUUCCUGAUUGUUUGAAAGUACUGUACUGCUGUGUCCUACUUCUGCCUUAUAUGAGUUAACAUGUUCGAUUUUCUAUUCAUAUAGGUUGUGUUCAACUGUCAAACCAGAUGCUUGUGCACUGUUCUCACAUAUUAUUUACAUAUUUGCAGGCAAGUCUACGCUUACGGAUUCCCUUGUGGCAGCUGCUGGGAUUAUCGCCCAGGAAGUUGCUGGGGAUGUUCGCAUGACCGAUACCCGUGCAGAUGAGGCAGAGCGUGGUAUUACAAUCAAAUCCACGGGUAUCUCUCUUUUCUAUCAGAUGACUCCUGAAUCACUUGAGAUGUACAAGGGCGACAGGGAUGGAGAUGAAUACCUGAUCAACCUUAUUGAUUCACCUGGCCACGUUGACUUUUCUUCGGAAGUCACAGCUGCUCUUCGUAUCACUGAUGGUGCUUUGGUGGUUGUUGACUGUAUUGAGGGUGUCUGUGUGCAGACCGAAACUGUGCUGCGCCAAGCUCUUGGUGAGAGGAUUAGGCCCGUCCUCACCGUGAACAAGAUGGACAGAUGCUUCCUUGAGCUUCAGUUUGAAGGUGAGGAAGCAUAUCAGACUUUCUCCCGUGUCAUCGAAAAUGCCAAUGUCAUCAUGGCAACAUAUGAAGAUGUGCUCCUUGGUGAUGUCCAAGUGUACCCAGAAAAGGGGACUGUUGCAUUCUCUGCUGGUUUGCAUGGGUGGGCUUUCACCCUUACAAACUUUGCUAAGAUGUAUGCCUCCAAGUUUGGUGUUGAUGAGGUGAAGAUGAUGGAGAGGCUGUGGGGUGAGAACUUCUUUGACCCAGCCACAAAGAAAUGGACCACCAAGAACACUGGGACAGCUACCUGCAAGAGAGGUUUUGUUCAGUUCUGCUAUGAGCCAAUCAAGCAAAUCAUCGCCACCUGCAUGAAUGAUCAGAAGGAUAAGUUGUGGCCUAUGUUGAAGAAGCUUGGUGUGACCAUGAAGAAUGAUGAGAAGGACUUGAUGGGAAAGGCUCUCAUGAAGCGUGUGAUGCAGACUUGGCUGCCUGCCAGUCGUGCUCUGCUUGAGAUGAUGAUAUUUCACCUCCCCUCUCCUUCAAAGGCACAGAGGUAUCGUGUGGAGAACUUAUACGAGGGCCCCCUUGAUGAUGUAUAUGCAAAUGCUAUCAGAAACUGUGACCCUGACGGUCCUCUUAUGCUGUAUGUCUCCAAGAUGAUUCCAGCAUCUGACAAGGGUAGAUUCUUUGCCUUUGGACGUGUUUUUGCC